Molecule: long non-coding RNA, 289290 nt
Filed under: Coffea arabica (coffee)
Lineage: Eukaryota; Viridiplantae; Streptophyta; Magnoliopsida; Gentianales; Rubiaceae
Description: long non-coding RNA (CARA_LNC005598)
Source: RNAcentral
CAAGCGGCCGAGUCUCUUGCUGCUGUUAACAACACAACAUGGCGCUAUAGCAGGGAUGAUGCACUUCUCGUGGAAGAAGCUGAACUAGUUGGCAUUGAUAACCCCAAACAACAGCUGAUUUCUCAACUAUUCGAGGGCGAUGAUUCCCAGCUCAAAGUUGUUUCAGUGGUUGGCAUGGGAGGUCUCGGUAAAACUACAUUAGUUAAAAAAGUCCAUGAAGAUUUAGAUGUUAGAAGGCAUUUCCCAGUUCGUGCCUUCGUAACUGUCUCUCAAACAUGCAACUUCCAAGAACUCCACAAAGACUUGGCUCGGCAGUUACACAAUGAAUUGAAGAAACCAGUUCCAGAAUCGAUUGAGGCAAUGACUGCAAUUCAGCUGAAACAAUUUGUUAAAGAUUUUCUUCAACAAGCUGGAAGGUAUGCAAUUGUGUUUGAUGAUGUAUGGGAUACGGAAUUUUGGAAUGCAAUCAGAAUUACACUACCCAAGAAUGGCUAUGGCAAUCGUGUCAUGUUAACAACACGAAAAGCCGAUGUAGCCUUUGCAUCUUGCACCCAAUCUCAGGAUUAUGUCUUCAGAAUGGUUCCCCUGUCUUUCGAGGAUUCAUGGACCCUAUUUUGCAACAAGAUCUUCAAAGGAAAUGGUUGUCCUGCCCAUCUAACAGAUGUUGCCAAAGGUAUAUUGGGGAAAUGUCAGGGAUUGCCCCUUGCGAUUGUUGCAAUCAGUGGGCUUUUGGUUUUGAAAGACUUGACUAUUGCAGAGGAAUGGGAGAUGGUUCGACGCAGCCUAGUGGGUGAAUUGGAAGGCGCUGGUAUGCUGGACAGGGUCAGAAAGAUACUUUCUCUCAGUUACAUUGAUCUACCUUGCCAUCUUAAGACCUGUUUGUUGUAUUUAAGCAUUUACCCAGAGGAUUUUGAAAUACGUUGUCAUAGACUUGUUCAAUUAUGGUCAGCUGAAGGAUUUGUAGGAAAGACAGAAGGAAUGACAAUGACAGAUGUAGGCUUCAAUUACCUCAGAGAACUUGUCAAUAGGAGUCUAAUUCAAGUGACUAAAAGUUUUUAUGAAGGAAUCCCUUACACAUGUCGAAUCCAUGACCUAGUGCGAGAAGUUGUUCUUUCCAAGUCAAGGGAACAAUAUAUGAUCACAAUUACAUCUGGACAGUGCACAAGGUGGUCAUCUGAGAAGGUACGCCGUUUGGUAGUCCAUAGCAGCAGCAACAACACCGAGCAGCACCAAGAAAGCCAAUAUUAUUGCCUUAACCACCUUUGAUCCUUUAUUACAAUUGAAUGCAUGAAUCCACUAGUAUCCAGAGCCUUGUUAUCUAAAGCUUUAAAGAGUAGCAGAUUGUUAAAGGUUUUGGAUUUGAGUGAUGAAGAGACACUGGAGGAAAUCCCAAAUGAGAUUUUCAACUUGUAUCCAUGGUUCGCCAUCGCGGGUCGCGGUCGCAUCGCGGUCUCAGUUGUUUCACAUCCGUCGCGGCAUAUCGGUUGAAUAUCGGAUGAUAUGAACAUUAUAACACAUUAAAAUUUCCAAAAAUUUUGAAAAAAUUACUAAAAUUAGAAAAUAGUGAAAAAGACACAAUUUAAAAAAAUAUCGGAGUCGACUCCGAGUUGACUCGGAUAUAUGGACCGAUAUCAUGUAUCACCGAUUCGAAUCGGUCAAUAUCGGCCGAGUCAGAGCGAGUCGUCGCGGAUAUGGUGAUAUCCGUGAUUCGGGGAUCGGUAUCGUACCGGCCCCUUCCGUUCCAGAUACGACUCGGCCGAUACGUAUCGGUAUCGGCCGAUAUGGCGAACCAUGCUUGUAUCAUCUCGGGUAUCUGAACCUAUAUAGGACAGGAGUUAAAGCAGUCCCAAAAUUCAUAGGAAAGCUUUGAAAUUUGGAGUAUUUGGAUUUGGGUGAAACUCAAGUCAAGGAAUUACCCAUGGAAAUCCUGAAGCUACAAAAGCUUGAGCAUCUUAUAGUAUACGAAAAUGUUGAUUUUUCGCGUGAAAGUUAUGGAUUUCAUGGGAUUAAAUCUCCAUCAAAAUUGGGAGGGCUUUCUGCCCUACAAACACUAGAUACUAUAGAUGCCAGCAGCGGAUCCGUAACAGUUAAAGAGAUAGGAACUGACAGGGCGUCAAACCUGUGCAAUAAUAAAUACCUGCUUAAAUAAAAUAUAAUUUCUGUAGAUAGUGAUAAACAGGGUCGAAUCCACAGGGAUUGGGGAUAAUUCGUUUCUUCUAGAGUUCAAAGUAUAGAGGGUUUUGAGAUUAAAUGCCAAUUAAACAAAUUAAAUGCAGGAAGUAAUUAAUUCAAAGAAAUAAUUAAGAGAAGCUCUAGCCAAUGGUACACUUAAGAAAUGGUUCAUGCACUGAUCAUUGAUGCAGAAAUAAUUCCAACAUUUAGUAAUAGAUUAGUUAUAGCUGUCAUGCACGCGAUAAACAACCAACCCUUCCUUAAUUUCUCGAUAGCUAAGGUACGACCGUUAGCUAUUUCUCUAACCCAAAAAUAACCCUAGGUACGACCGUAGGAUUUAAUUCCUAGAUUGCAUUAAUAAUUAAAAAGGCCCAAUCCUAACCAACAAACACGCUACGAGGGUUUGUUUAAGAUAGAUUAUAUGCUCCCCUGGUAUAAACCCAAUUACGCCAGUUGCUACUGAGGUAGAGAUAACGAACAAUUACGGAUUCAAUUACCCUUAUUUAGCAAAAAUAGCCUAUAUGAAUAAUUAAUUAUUGCGCACUAAUCAAUCAUACACAAGGCCAUAGCAAUUAAAAUCAAGGAACAUAUAAAUACCAAUAAAUGAAGAAAAUAAUUAAAACAGAUUCGAUCUCACAGUAAUUGUCGAACCAAAUCGUCAAUUGUCCCCUUGACUAGAAAAUAAGAAUUCAGUUCUUCAUUGUUGAGGGAAUUCCCAACAUGAUACUGUCGAAAGUAAAAAACUCAGUCCUGCGGCUAUUCAGCCUCUCCUUCCAUCUCUCCCCCGUGACUAGUCUUCUAACCUAAUAAGAAGAGAAAAGAAUCCAAAAGAUGGGACCCUUCGAAUUCCUUCUUGUUUCCUAUUGAUAGUAGGACUCCUAGCCUCUGUACGUUUCUUUCUAAAUAAUAGACUAAUGCCUUUCUUUUCUCCGUGGUCCCCGCACAAUUGAGAGCAAAAGUCCUCCCAAAACUUCCUGCACCAACCGAGGCUUUCCUUCUUGUUUUGUUGCCUAUUACUUGUAGGACUCCAAUCUCCUAAUCAGCAAAGGAAAUGCAAUCUCUUUGUAGCACCAUGUGAGUCCGGUUGUUUGAAAUCUCCAUUAUCUCCAAAAAGUCCAUCAUUUUUGUAGUUUUCUGCUCCAUUCCCUGAAAUUGAGUCCAAUACCAAAUAUAAGUAAAUAUUAAUAAUUAAAACAAUAUUUGGCAAGGAUAAAGGGGAAAAUUAACAAUAAAAUAACCAACAAUUAACACCCUAUCAGGAACAUUGACUCAAUUAAAAUGAUUAGGGAUUUCAAAUCUGAGAAGAGAAGAUGGAAAGGUGCUCUGCUCCUCCCUUGCCACCCUCACUAGUCUUCAGCUACUAAACAUUGCUUCAAUUAGAAAUGAUGGUGGUGAUUAUGAGGUAAUGGAUCUGAAUCUUGUACAACAACAGUCUCGUUCAUCUUCAGUGUCUUCUUCAUUUCUCCAAUCUCUUCGUAUGCUAGUAUUGCAUGGCCCCUUAGAAAAGAUGGCGAAAUGGAUAGCACAUCUUCAAAGCUUGGUAAGAAUAUAUUUGAAGUGGAGCGGUUUAAGGGAUGAGGAGGAUCCGCUUGAACCCCUCCACUAUUUGCCAAAUUUGGUUACUAUUCAUUUUUGUGGAUCUUACCAAGGAGAGGGGUUGUGUUUCAAGGCUGGAGGAUUCCUGAAGUUAAAGGAUUUGCACCUCCAGAAAUUAGAAAAGUUAAAAUGGCUGAAAGUGGAGGAGGAUGCAUUACCCAAUCUCCACGAACUGGGUCUGGAUAGACUUCCAUUGCUAGAGGAGUUACCAGUUGAUAUUCAACACUUGGGCCAUCUUCAAAAGCUGGCUUUGCUUGGGUUGAGUUAUCAACUGAUGGAGAAGCUAAAUAAUCUGAAUGAAGAUAGUGAACAUUAUGGAAAAAUUGCACGCAUUCCUGAAGUUGAAAUUGCGUUUUUGACAAAUGAGGGAUGGAAAUAUUGCCAGCUAUGGGGGAAGAAGAUGUAAAUAUUCCUCUCUUAGUAGCCCUGCUUUCCUAUUUCUUUUUAUUUUCUUUUUGCACUUUUGUUUGUAACUUCUAAGUUUAUAAUUUGCUUUGUCUUUUAUCUUAUUGUAUAAAUAUUGUAUUGCAUAAUCUUGUUUAUAUACGGUAUUGCACUCUUUUUUUUAUUUAUUUUUCUUUAAUUGAUUUAGCAAAUAAUUUAGAGGUUGCAGGUUGCAAGUGUAUUAGCAUCUUGCACACAAUUUCAAUAUACAAUCUAAAACAAUAGCCUAAAAUUUUGGUACAAAAUUAAAACGUGAAGCCUAUGUUUAUACACUAGUAUGACUUAGAAAUUGAUUUCUCCAAUAAUUAAUAAUAUAGUAAUUUUGGACAAAUAACGGUUGUAUCAGUCCUCUAUGCUCAUCCAUCUGUCCUUUUAUGACAAAUUUUGAAGGAACACAUUUAUAUUUUUAAGUAAAUUAUUUUCAAUUAUGCCAAACUGCGAUGUAUGAAUUAAUAUUAUGUCAAAGAUAUGACAAAUCCACUUAUUACAGUCAUGAAAACAAUUUCUUUUUCUAUGAAUUCAUAAUCGAAUGUUAACACUAUAAUGCCCAAUCCACCGAGGGUCAUUUUUAAACCAACAAUAUUGAAGUUGCUAAAAUUGAGAACUUUUUUGUCACACGCUAUAAUUUCUUCUUCUUGUGAUGAAUACUGGUGUAAUAAUACAUCACAAUCUUUGUUUAGUACUUACCACUAUUUGUUGAUGAAUGCAGUCAUAUUCAUAGUCAAUAUUUGUAAGGCAACAAAGAAGUAUAAAAACCAAAUAAUAGUCGUUGGACAGGAAAACCAAUGUUCUUAAAAGGCAAAUACUUCUCCCCGUUAUUUGGGAUUGUCAAAGAUCAUGGCGUAGGAUAAGUUGUUUUUAUAACAAACUAACCUGUUAGAAGUGGAAGAGUCCUUGAACAACACAGAGAAAUAGGAAAGCUCAGGUCUAGUUAUUAUUGCAAGGUUCAUGAGUAAAAGGAUUAUGUAUCACAUUAGUCCGAGAGAUAGAGAAAGAACAGUUAAUAUAUGUAAGGGUCUGAGGCCUAAUGACUUAAUUUUUUGGGUCAAAGUUCGGUUCCUAACUUACAUAUUAGGUUCUUUGAUGGAUUCUCUCAAGGUGUUUUCCCUUGUCAAAUUGGCAUCAGAGUUUUAGGUUACGAGACUGGACUACUCAUAGGCAAGUGGAUUCUUCUCGGAAUUGGACUGAUGAAAAUUCUCUUCUUGAUGGUAGACAGAAGUGCCAAGGAAUUUGGUUAGUAUUGGACCAGGUGCGCCAUAAGUUUGGCAAGGGGUCCGGUUGGUGUUAGAUCAAGGAGCCAAGGGUUAGUAGAGGUCCAGAAUGUAGUUUGAAUGUUGACGAAGAGUGGGUCCAUGUUUGGGAGAACAGGUGACUUUAGGUGAUAAGGUGAGUUUCAGUCGAGUAUUAAAGUGGACUCAAAAAAAGGCUUGUAAAUUUAGAUUUAAUGUGGGGUUACUCAUGAAGGGGAAAAUUUAUUAGGUUCAUGAGUAAAAAGGUUAUAUCCCACAUUAGUUCGAGAGAUAGAGAAAGAACGAUUAAUAUAUAAAGUAAGGGUCUGAGGCUUAAUGGGUUAAGUUUUUCAGUCAAAAUUAGAUUCUCAAUAUAUAUAUUAAGCUCUUUGGUAGACUCUCUCCGAAAAGAAUCCACUUGCCCAUGAGUAAUCUAGUCUCGCAAUUCGAAACUCUGAUACCAAGUUGAUAGAGAGAUGCAACUCGACAGAGCUCACUAAAGAGCCCAAUAUAUAAGUCAGGAAUCCAACUCUAAUCCAAAAGUUUAAACUAUUAGAUCUCAGACCCUUACUUACAUAUUAACUACUCUUUCUUUAUCUCUCGAACCAAUAUGAGACAUAAUUCUUUACUCAUAAACCUAACAAUUAUGGCUUCGAAUCAAUAGGAAAGCUCAAGUCUAGUACUUUCCAUGCAUCAGCUUUAUGUUAGUACCAAUGAAAGGACAAGGCAUUAGAAGUAGAAAGAUAACACAAGCAAUUAUUCAAUCUCAUUAGCUAUUCAUCUUCAAUCAAAUGAAGCACUGUAUAAUACCCAAGAAAAGAAUCCAAAUUUGAUUUUCAGUAUUACUAUGAUAUUUCUACCUGAAGGCUUGCCUUGGUUUAAAGAUAUACCAUAUUUUUGGUAAUUGUGGAACUUGGAGUUGAUACACAUAACCUCUUGUAAUUUUACAUAAUGCCAGAUGACCCCUUACAGUUUUAAACUAGUUAAAUAAACCCUUGUGGUAUGUAAAGUGAAAAAACAGACGGAAUACACCAUCGGUCAUAGCAAUUAUACCAACGCGUUCCAAAAGUGCAUAUGAUAGAAUCAUAAUAUCUACUUAGCUCCCCUAUGGUUUGCAUGAAUAUCCACUUUACCCCUAUAUUUUUUAUAUUUAUCCACAUAUUCCCCCUAUGAUUUUAUGCAAAGUAGUUAGAUAGUUGUUCGAUUCAACAUUUAAGUAAGGGCACCAAAAGUAUUUUAACUGACAAUGUUACAUGAGCCAUUUUGCAAUAAAUUUCCAUUUUACAUGAAACUAUAGCAGAGUGAAGUGAAUAUUUUAAAACAUUAAGACUCAGUUUGGAUUAGCUGUUUUUAGGAGUGUUUUUGAAAUAUUUUACUAAAACAAUAUAUGUGAAAAUUUUUACUGUAAAUGUUUUUAAUGGUGUUUUUGGGGUAUUUUUAAAAAUAUAUUUGGGAUAUUUUAAGAUUUAAAAUUUUAAUGAUGAAUUUUUAAAAUUGCAUAAAACCUUAGCACCACCCACCACCACCCCUUCUCACCUCCCUUUUCCUCUCUCUUCCCCUCUCCUAUUUUUGAUGGCGUUUUUGGAGAUAUUUGGGGUGUAUUUUGGGAUAUUUUUAUAAUUUAAAAUAUAUUUUUUGAAAAAUUUAUACCGCCAUCCAUCUGCAUCUCCUCCUCCCUCCUCUUCCCUCCUUUCUCUCUCCCCUUCCUCCUUUUUUCCUCUCUUUCUCCUUCAUCGGUGGAGGUAAUAGUGAUGGUGGAGGAGGGAGGAGGAGUGGUAGACGGUGGUGGUGAUUGGAGGAAGAAGAAAACAUGAUAGGAUAUAUUUAUAUUUUUUUUAUUUUUUAUUUUUUAUUUGAAAUACAAGAAUAUUUUUUGAUUGUAUUUUUGAAGUGUGUUACCAUAGAUUUGUAGAUGAAAAACAAGUAUUUCGAAAACUCUUAAAUCCAAACAGAGACUGUGGUAAUAGAUGAAAUGACAGAGGAGUUAUAUAUAAUUUACCCUCUUUGCCUAGACAUGCUUGAAUUGAUUCCUCUGUCUUGUAAUGCAUAAAAAAAAUAAAAGGACAAAUUAAUUAGAUGUCACUCUUGUGCUUUAUUGCUUCUUAAGUAAUAAUAAAAUACAUGAAACAUGACCCACCAUUGCUGUAAUUGAAUAUCUCUGUAAAUUACGAUGCUUUAGAUGACUUUAAGCCUGAUGUACUAACGCCUUCAGGUAUUAAGUUUCUCCUUUUGAGAAAGCACAGUUACAAGCAUCAAUCCGCGUUCCAUCGUUAUAAAAUCUUUACGCGCCUGUAGCUUGAGCAUAUCUUCAUGUAUUAAAUGAAUAUGCUUUUAAUGAGAAACAUCCCAGCAUGUACAGAGUCCCCAUUCAACGCCCCUCCUCCCCAUCUCCUCCCCCACCCCUACCCCCCCGCCCUCCAAUCAAUAGGAAGAAAAAAGUAAAUAAAGCUCUACGGUUCAGGAAAGUAAUGUUUUGGCCAAAGAAGGAAUUAACUGUUAGUAACAUUUGCAAAAUUAAAGACGGAAACCAAAUGCAGCUAAUGAUUCAUUUUUUUUCCAAUUUCUAAUUAUUUACUUUUGUUUGAUACCAGAAAAAAAAAACUUUUUAGCUUUACUGUUAGAAUUGCUUUCACUAACGCAUUUGUUAAAGGGCUUACCCUUAACGAUAUCCACAAGCCCUCACUAGCUUUUCUUUCAUUUAAGGGCGAUAACAUAGUUCGUUUAUAGUGCAUCGUUUUCUUGUGCCUCCAUUUACGCAAAAGAUGGAAAAAUGUAUGAUGUCUGCUUCUCAAGCUUCUUUUGAUCAUAGCUAGUAAAACCUCGUGUUAUCUUCAUACUUUUUGUUAAUUUUUUUUUCUUCAAAGGAGGAGUAAGAUUCAAGAAUCAAAAGGGAAAAGGAGAUUUCAAAUUCAAGAUCUUUAAGUUUUAGGAUGUGGAUUUUAAUCACUAGAUUAAGGAUUCCUUAGCUUGGUAUAAUUCAUGUUUAUAAAAUUCAAAAACACUCUUGUAUUAUGCGUUAUUAACAAAUAUUUUGAAAAUAAUGCGAUACGAAUCUCAUCAAGAAUGGCAAAAUUCAAUAUCUAGAUAAGCCACAGAAUCAUUUUAUGGAUAAAUUUAAAGUUACAGAAACCUUGACCCGACAAGAACAGUAAUACACAAACCUUGAUAUUAUCUCAACCCGACGCGAAAAAAUAAUUAAAGAAUAUUGGUACAAGGUAGAAGACGCAACAAUCAAGCACGGUCUUUGAUUGAUAAGUCAAAUUGAAAACGCCGAGACACACUCAAAAUAAAUUCAAGAAUAUUUCCAAAGGAAGCAAGAGAAAACAUUCAAUCUUAAUUAUUAAAUCUUCCUAUUACAACUAAAAAUAAGAACCAUUUAUAGGCUAAAGUUCUAAACUAACCCAGAUCCAAAUCGAACAAGGAUUAUGUCACUUGUUCCACUAAAUCUAAUAAACUAUUCGUCCAAAUACCAAAAAAGUAGGCCAUUUUAUUCAUAUUAGCUAUUAAUUGAGCAGUCAAACAAAGUCUUGAAUGAACUAGGCAAAAUGGAACAAAACAUUAAAAAAAAAACUAGAAAACUAACGAGGGGAAUCCAUAGCCAGAUUCUUGCCUAGAUUCAUAGCCUGAUUCCCUCCAGAAGAAACGAACAAAGAACGUGAAAGUGGGACAACCAUCUGGAUCCCAUCGGCAAGGUGAUUUCUAGGCGGAUCAGGUCGUGGAUCACGUUAAUCCGCAUUUUCCUCAGCUUCUUCGACUCGAACAAGCAUCCAUCAGCCUUUCCUUAAUUAUCCUACUCCUUGUAUGAGUUUAUGUGUUUCAAUUUGCCUUUGUUUAGCAUGAACCAAAGGUUGAAUUAUUAUGCAAAGUAACGAUUUGAACUCCUUAGCAUAAAUACUCGCGACUAGACUAGUUGGAACUAAUCGGCAAUUGUAGUCUCUCACUAUGAGAGGAAAAUUCUCUCUGUCCUAGAGAGAGAAAGUUCCCCUAAGUGGGUGUAGAUCUUCCUUGAAACUUUCAAAAAUUAAAAAAGGGUUAGGCGCCAAGCUUAAUAACUUUCCUUCAAUGGAAACUUGCAGAUUCCCUCCAUUCUUUCUAUUUUCGCGGUAGACUUCUAGUUGUGAUAACUCUGUCUAUUCUCUAAAUCACUUUCUUGAUGAGUAUGAGUUGAUAAUCAGUAGAGUAUUGUCUGGUUUUAGGUUUGCGUUCUUCCUAUUUUUGUGUUUCUCUCUGUUCUCUUUUUCUGCUUGUUUGUUUUUUUCUCUGAUAGGAUCAGCUGGUGUUGGGAGCUAGUUGGAGGCAUCGGAAGACUACUGGCUUCGGAUCUGAACUGGAUCGGUGGCUCACUGGAAAUCUCCGAGUGAGGUCUGUGGAUAGAAGCUAUGGAUAGUAUAGAGGAAGUCCUGAGAAGGUUCAAACUAUCGAAUGGGGAAAGGGAUGGAGUUAGUUUGGAUGAUGAGGAAUUGACUCAAGGAGUCUUGGAGUGCAAGCUGAGUCUAAUUGGGAAAAUCUGGGGGGAUAAACAAGCAAAUGUUGGAGGAAUCAAGAGUUUUGUAGGUAGUAUAUGGUCUCAGGUUAGGAAUUUGAGAGUGGUAGAGAUCGGUUGCAACAUGUUCCAAUUUAUUUUCGAAAAGGAGAAGGAUAUGGAAUGGAUAUUGAACAAGAGGUCAUGGUUAUAUGAUGGUCAACACUUAGUCCUGCUAAAGUGGAGAGCUAGACUGGAGGAGAAUGAAGAGGCAUUGAGUAAAACUGUGAUUUGGGUCCAGAUGUGAAAUGUCCCAUUACAUUGGGUCACGAAGGAAGCAGGUAGGAAAAUAAGGAGCAUAUUCGCUAUAGUAGAGGAUGUGAUCAUUCCACAAGGGGGAGGGAAAGAUGAUAAACACAUAAAAGUUCUUGCGGAAAUAGAUCUCACUGUUCCUUUACCGAGAGGGGUUAUGAUUAAGAGCUUUGGUAUGAUGAGAUGGAUAGAAUUUAAAUAUGAAAAAUGUCCAGACUUCUGCUUCUGCUGUGGUAUGAUUGGGCCUAAUGAGAGGAACUGUAAUAGCAAAGGUUCUAAUAAGGAUAGGGUGGCUCUAUAUGGGAACUGGAUGAAAGCUAGUUAUCCUCGAAGUCCUAAUAAGAAGUAUAGGACUGGGAGGGAGUUCAAGAGGGCUGAGAGUGAGGAGUUUCAAGGUCAGGAAAGGAGUGAUAGCAGUAGUUAUGGCAACAAACUGCUGCUAACUUACACAGAUGCAUUCCAUAAGGGGGAGGAUGUGAGACAUAAUGGGGAGGGUGAGAGGACUAGGGAGAAGGUUCUGGGUAGAAGGGAGGAGGAGAGAGUUGAAGGAUUAGGUGGGAAGGCAAAAAUAGAGAGAGAGCAGGGGGAUAAGGGAGCUGGGAAGAAUAGAAAAGGGGAUAAAAGAGAUCAAGAGGAUACUAGGGAGAAAGAGGACAAAAGGCAUAGAUGGAGGUCAGGUUUGGGGUGGAAACAGUAGAAGAGAUGGUUGAUGUUAUGUGGAUUGAUGGUGAGAAGAACGAAAGUAUGGUAAGAGGGGAUGGUAAGGUGGUACAUGAGGCAGUGGAAGAUAAAAAGAAACUGGAGAAAAAGGACGGAGGGCAAAGGGAGUCACAAGGCUAAUAAGAGAUGGAAAAGGCAGGUACAGGAUGUAAGUAGAAGAAAACCAUUGAUGGAGGUCAAUAAGGAUGCUGGUGAUUAUGAAAAAAUGGAAAAGGAAAAUGAUGCUUAUGGAUUCGAAAAAAAGGAAGGAGGAGAGAGUUGAAGGAUUAGGGGAGAGGCAAAAAUAGAGAUGAAGCAGGGGGCUGAAGGAGCUGCGAAGAAUGGAAGGAGGGAUAAAAGAGAUCAGGAGGAUACUAGGGGGAAAGAGGACAAAAAGAGCAGAUGGAGGUCAGGUUUGGGGUGGAAUUAGUAGAAGAGAUGGUUGAUGUUAUGUGGAUUGAUGGUGAGAAGAACGAAAGUAUGGUAAGACGGGAUGGUAAGGUGGUACAUGAGGCAGUGGAAGAUAAAAAGAAACUGGAGAAAAAGGACGGAGGGCAAAAGGGAGUCACAAGGCUAAUAAGAGAUGGAAAAGGCAGGUAUAGGAUGUAAGUAGAAGAAAAUCAUUGAUGGAGGUCAAUAAGGAUGCUAGUGAUUAUGAAAAAAUGGAAAAGGAAAAUGGAGCUUACGGAUGUGAAAGGAAGGGAGGAACAGGUAGGGAAGGAAAAUCAGAAGAAGUGCAAAGUUGUAGUGGAAGGAGUGAGGGGACAGUUUUAUCUGAGGGUUUGGAGCCUACCCUAAAUGGGGUUCCACAUGCCAAUGAGAGCUAUGGUAUGGAACGGUUGAGGUGUGGAGAGUCCCUUAACAGUUCCCCAACUGAAGGAGACUAUAAAGCUCCAUUCUCCAUCGUUGGUGUUUUUGUCAGAAACAAAAAAGAAAAAAAGCUAUUUGAAUAAUGUGAAGCAACGGAUAAAAUUUGAUAACCUUUUUUGUUGUUGAUCUUGUGGGAUUAGCCGGUGGAUUGGCAAUGUUUUGGAAGAAGGAGUUACAGAUGAAAAAGGUGAUGUUCACAAGUGUUACUAUUGAACUGCUUAUAGAUGAUAAGGAAGCAGAUGUAGAGUGGUGGUGUGUCUGUGCUUAUGCUAGUGCAGACGCCAGGAUUAGGAGAGAGCAGUGGAAGAUAAUAGCUAGAAGAAGUUGUAUUUGGGGAGAAUCCUGGGCUAUUAUGGAAGACUUGAAUGAUAUUACAUCAAAUGAUGAAAAGUGGGGAGGGAAGCACAGAGCUGAGGUGAGUUUUCAGGAUUUUAACUUCUUUAUUAACAGCAAUGAAUUACUGGACAUAGGUUUUGAAGGCGUACCCUGGACUUGGUGUAAUAACUGGAAUAGUGAGGAGAGAUAAAAGAAAGGAUUGAUAGAAUUUUGGUCAAUCAAGGCUGGAUAAGGAAGUUUGAGAAGGCAAAGUGCACACAUGUGGAAACUGAGGCUUCUGAUCUCUAUAUUCUAGUGUUGGAUACUAAACCUGUAGAGAGGAAAUGGAGGAAGAGGUUCAUGUUUGAUAGGAGAUGGUUACAGCAAAGAGAUAUAGGGAGAGUUAUAGAAAAUGCAUGGGGAGAGUAGCAGGGGGGAUCUAGGAUGUUUAAGGUACAAAGUAUAAUCAAACAGGUCAGGAUGGAUUUACUUAGUUGGAGUUCUGCAAUUCUAAAAAACUGAUAGAGCAGGUGAGUAGGAAAUAAAAGAGGUUAAGGAAUUAAAAGGUAAUGGUUACAGGAUUAAAUUAGCUGGCCUAAAGAGGAAGAUGGCUGAUGCUUAUAAAAAAGCGGAAAUAUACUAGAGUCAAAAGGCUAGAGUUAGAUGAUUGAAAGAAGGGGAUAAAAAUACCAAGUACUUCCAUGCGAGGGUGACAGGUAGGAGAAAGGUGAACAGGAUAAGUGUAUUGAAGAGUAGGACUGGUGACUGGUGCAAGAAUGAGGAGGAAACAUGUCAGGAGAUAAUUGACUAUUUCCAGCAGAUCUUUACUACACAGGAGCCUGAGAAUUUUGCUGAGAUACUAGAAGGAGUUCCACAGACCAUCACUGAGGAGAUGAAUAGGGAGCUAACCAGGAAAGUUACAGAGCAGGAGAUCAGCAAAGCUGUCUUCUCGAUGUAUCCACACAAGUCCCCAGGACCAGAUGGUACGUCUCCAUUUUUUUUUUUUCAAAAAUUCUGGCCAAUCAUUAAGUCCGAUAUUGUUUGGGCAAUUAACAAUUUUUUUCAUUCUGGUCACCUUCUCAAAUCUAUUAAUAAGACUCUAAUCAGCCUGAUUCCUAAAACUGACACUCCGAGCACCAUAUCAGAAUUUAGACCUAUAAGUUUAUGUAAUGUUCUUUACAAAAUCAUAUCAAAAGUGCUCACCAACAGAUUCAAAUAUGUGUUGAAUGCAUGUAUUAGUCAAUCCCAGUCUGCUUUUGUUCCUGGAAGGUAGAUUUUGGAUAAUGUUUCGAUAGCUCAUGAAUGCAUUCAUUACUUAAAAAAUAAAAGGUCUGGUAGGGAUGGUUACAUGGCUAUCAAACUAGAUAUGUCUAAAGCGUAUGAUAGAGUAGAAUAGAGGGUUUUGGCAAAAAUAAUGAUGAAAAUGGGGUUCUGUCCUAAGUGGAUCCAGUGGGUGUUGGAAUGUGUCUCUAGUGUUACCUAUUUAAUUAAUUUUAAUGGAGAGAAAAAAUGACUCAUUAGGACAACAAGAGGGCUGAGGCAGGGAGAUCCCUUAUCUCCUUACUUGUUUUUGAUCUAUGCUGAGUGGUUCUCAUCCCUGUUGAAACAAGCAAAUGUGCAAGGUAGCUUGACUGGACUGAAGAUUGCAUAAUGGGCACCCAGCCUCUCGCACUUGUUUUUGCAGAUGAUUCCUUGGUUUUCUGUAAAGCAAAUGCUGAGGAGGUUGAUCGGUUAAAGAGGAUUCUAGAGGUGUAUAAACAAGCUUCUGGACAAUUGAUCAAUGUAGAGAAAUCUUCUCUAAUCUUUAGCAAAAAUGUGGAAAGUAGACUGAAGGAAGGGGUUAUGAGGGAGCUGCAGGGGAUGAAACUUGCACAGCAAAGCAAGUAUUUGGGACUACCUUUAAUCAUUGGAAGAUCCAAAAGGCAGACUUUUGAGUUUAUCAGGAAAAAAACAACUGAGCGAUUACAGGGAUGGAAAGAGAAACAGUUGAGCGAAGCAGGGGAGGAAGUCCUGCUUAAAUCUGUUAUAAUGGCCCUGCCCACGUAUGUAAUGUCUUGUUGAUUGUUGCCAAACGAUCUGUGUAAGAAAAUCUGCUCAAAGAUGGCCAAAUUUUGGUGGGGGCAAAAAGGAAAUGAACAGAAAAUACAUUGGUUGAGCUAGGGAAAAUAAUCAUAUGUGAAGGCAAAAGGAGGUCUUGGUUUAAGGGUUCUUCAUGAGUUUAAUCUGGCUUUGUUGGCAAAACAACUCUGGAGAAUAUUAACCAAGCCUAACUUGCUAAUGAAUAAAGUAAUGAAAGCGCUCUCUCUAUGGAAAAUGGAAAGCAAUGGCACAAAUUCAUGGUGUUGGAAAAGUUUACUGAGGGCAAGGGAGUUUUUAGAAGAAGGUUUAAGGAAGAGGGUGGGGGAUGGAAAAUCUAUUAGUCUAUGGGAGGAUAGGUGGCAACCAGAUUCUGAAGAUGGGAAAAUUAAAACUCAAAGAAAGGAUGAUGUGAGUGUACUCAAAGCAAAUGAUCUCAUAAAAGAAGGGAAAUGGAAUAAGGAGUUGAUUGCACAUGUCUUUGAGGAACAUGAAGGGAGGGAAAUACUAAGAAUACCAUUGAGUGUGUAUGAGAUGAAGGACAACGUAUAUUGGAGUAAGUCUAGCACUAGAGAGUACAUAGUAAAAUCAGGUUAGAGAUUGGCUAAAGGCCUUAGAGGGAAGGGGGAGCAUGGAAAGGCAGGUGUUGAAUUGAGAUGCAGAAGAAGGUGCUCAUCUCAAGGUUGGAACUUCCUUUGGGGACUGAAUGUGAAACAUAAGCUGAAGCAUUUCAUCUGGACAUGCUUACAGGGUGUUGUGCCAGUAAAUGCAGUCAUUAAGGAAAGAUGCUUAAAAGGGGACCAUGUUUGUAAAUGCUGCAGGGAGUAUCCAAAAACCAUUGAACACCUGUUGUUUUUCUGUGAUAAUGCUAAAGAUAUCUAGAAGGUAGCACCUAUAAGUUGGGAAGGCUUAGAAAGUUACAAGAAUAAGUUUGGGCACUGGUGGGAGGAGCUAAAGGAAGCUGGGGCUAAGGAGAGUGGUCAGGAAAGAAUAGAGCUGACAAUGAACUUACUUUGACAAAUCUGAAAGUCAAGAAAUGGGAGGCAGUUUGAGGCUAAAGGGAAGGAUCCAAUGGCAGCAGUAAAGAAGGCAACUCUAGAGUGGAGGGAGUUCCAGGAGGCUCAGGAAUUAGAAGGGGGAACAGAUAGCUAUAGGAACAAAGGAAAGGAGGGACUAUGUGGCUGGAAGGAACCGGAAGAGGGAUGGGUUAAGAUAAACUCUGAUGUAGCUGUGCAAUAAAAAACAAAUAGAGCUGGAUGGGGGUUGAUUGCAAGGGACUAUCAAGGAAAAAUUCUUGGAGCUUGGAAAGUGCCAAAUACAAGCUGCUCAAAUGCAAAACAACAGGAAGCACUGGCUUUAAGAGCUGCUAUGUUAAUGGCAAAAAAGCAGGGUUGGAGAAGAGUGGAGUUCGAAUCAGAUUGUAAGCAACUUAUUGAUAGAAUAAAUGGUGUGGAAGGAGAUAUAGUUAGGCAUGGCCACGGUUCCAGAACCAGAACCGCCAGUUCUGGUUCUUCAAAGAGGUAGAACCAGAACCGCACCAUAUAAGAUGGUUCUGGUUCUGGUUCCAGAAUCGCCGGUUCUGGUUCCAGAAUUGCCAGUUCUGGUUCUUCAAAGAGAUAGAACCAGAACUGCAUAGUUCUGAUUUCGGUUCCUUAUGGUUCUGGUUCUGGUUCCGGUUCCGUAUGGUACCCUACAAUUUUAUUUAAUUCUUUAUCCUUACCAAUUUUAAUACGAAUAUAACAAUAUAUUUAAAAUUUCAAAUAGAAUGUACAAAAAUAAAUACAAAAUAAAGAUCAUAUUUUCAUUUUAUUAUUAUUCUACAAAGUAAGAAGUAAUAAAUAGACAAACAAAUUUUAUGAAAAGUACAUUACAUUGUCAAAUUAAAAAAUACAUUACACUAUCAAAUGGUUGUCAUGUGUUGAUUUUCUUGAGUUGGACAAUCAUUAAUGUUGAAGAUUUCAUUUGAAAAAAUAUUGCAAAAAAUAUUUUUUUGCUUGCUUGAUUUUGAAGAUGAGCUACUACCAUCAAAACUUGCCAUUUGUUGAUAGCAAAUAAGCAAAAAAAAAAUUGUAAGUAAUAAUUUAAUACUUACAAAUUAUAAUGAUAGAUAUUAGACGAAUAGAAAUAAUUAAAUAAUUAGAAAAAUAUAUAGAAAGUCCAUAAAAUUUAAACUUUCUUAAAACCUAUUAAACACAACUAAUUUUUUUGAAUUAUCUCACUACUUAUAUUAAUUAUUUUUAAUUAUUUUUAACUGUUCUGGAACCGACGGUUCUGGUUCUGGUUCUAUUUUUUAGAGAACCAGAACCGGAACCUUUAUCCAAUGUUCUGCCACGGUUCUGGUUCCGGUUCUGGUCCCUGUUCCAAAUGGAACCAUGGCCAUGCCUAGAUAUAGUUAGCCUAAAAUCCAGUUUUUAUGAAUGUUAUUUUUCCUUUACGAGUAGGAUUAACAACUCUGUCAGUCAUGACUUAGCAAAACUAGCUAUAAACUUGAAAGGAAUUGCUGAAUGGAAGACUAACUUCCUAGCGUGGUUGCUUGAUUUGCUUCAAGCAGAUUGUAGGGGCAACUGCUCUAAAAGCUUGUAAUCUGUUUUGGUAUAUUAAUGAAGUGUUGUCGUUGUGGAAAAAAAAAAGACCAAUUGGAACUAUCACACGCUCAUGGACAGUGACCGGAUACAUAUCGUAAUGGAUGCUAAUUUAUACAUCACGAAUAAUACUUCCAUUCAUAUGUUAAAAAAUAUAAUACUCCAUUUAUGAAAAAUUUUCAUAAUCUGUAUUUAGAUAGGCAUGUUGUAACCUAUGAGGCAAAAAAUAACAAAGAUUUAUAUCAUUUUUUGCAAUGAACACAAUAUCAACAAUUUGAUAAAAUAAAUAUCUCAUAACAAAAAAUACAAGCUUAACCUAACAUUAGAAAAAAAUAAAACUUUUCUUUUAAAUAAUUUUUUUUCCGGACAGGAGAGAAUGGAAACUAAGAAGAGAGGAGGUGGUAGAAGAAGAGAGGAGGUGGUAGGGGAAGAGUCCAGGACCUCUAAUUCUAAGUGUCUAGAUCUUAAUCACUAGAUCAAACCUCAAUGGUUAGAAAAAAAAAAAUAAACCUGAUAUUAAUAUAGCUUAGCACAUAAAAGUCAUAUUAGACACUCAUAUUUUUAGUUGCAUAAUUUUCAAACAUGUUUGUAUUAUAUAUUCAUGGCUAAGUUUUUAUGGAUAAUAUUGUUAAACUUGUAUUUUUCACCUGUAUUUUCUACUGUACUUUUUAAAGAGUAUUUUGUGUAUGUAACACUUUUUGUGUCAUUCUCAUACCUUAUCUUAGUGAUGGUGCUUUUUGUCUUUCGAGAGUCUUCUUUGUGCAAUUAACCAUGAAAAAUUGAUAGAGUAAUAAUUCAUGACAUUUUCUUGGAUCAGAUACUUGAAAUAGGAAACAAAAAAAGAAAAAUUAACAGUCCUUGAAAAGAAAAUGAGAAGUGAAAUGGGGACACUAAUUUAGUUUGGUGGGUGGUGGGCCAAGGGGUAAAGGUAUUUUUGAGUUAUAUGGAUAUCAUUUAUGAAUAUUAUAUCUGUUCAUCAAAGCUCAUUAAAAACUUUCUUGUUCAUCACUUUAAAUUAAUGUUGGGGGCCUUCCCAUUUUUAGUUUUUCAGACGUCAACAUAAACAUGGGUUUGCGAUUUUCAAAACUAAAGGGAUUAUAACACUGCCUAAAAUUCUUUUCUAUUUCAGAAAAGGAUCAUAAGUAGUAUCAUAAUUCCUUUAUUUCUGAAAAGCACAAUCACAAAUGUGAAUUUGAUUUUUUAUCCUCCAAGACCAUAACACGUCAGAUCUUUUUUUUUUUCAAGCAUAAACUUGAGAUCUUAAAGAAGCACUCAAAUGUCUUAAGAAAUAAAAAAUCAUAAGGUUUAGGGUAAUGAUACAAUGAUAAUGUUAGAAUACUUUAGAAUUUCACUAUACUAUCUUUUGGACUAGUAUUAGAAAUACUUUAGUCAGAUGACCAUAAGAUCUGACGUUUGACUAUGAAGUCCUUCAUUUUUUUUCUUUCCCAUUGUAAGGCUGAAGUCUCCUAUUCCAAGAAAAAAAGGUAACUAUUAAGCUUUCUUUAGUUGAUGUGAUGUAUCACUAUAAAAUAGUAACCUAAAAUUCCAGUAGCUAUUUGGUUCUUUUUCUCAUGAUAUUUUAGAUAUUAUUUGCACUUCUAAAUUAUCGUCAGUUAAACAUAUUUAUAACUAAUUUAAGUAAAUUUGUCCAAAUAAUUGUGAAAUAUCUUAUAAGUUGUGUGGGUAUUUAAGUCAUUUUGGCCAUGAUGAUGUAAGAAGUGGGAUCCAAUACUCUACCAAAGAAGAUCCCUAAUAUUUUGAAAACCUCAUGAAAGGUUUCUGAAAUUAUACCAAUUCAAAUUUUUAUUGCUCACUUUUUUUUUGUUUUACCCUUUCUCCCCUCUCCACACUCUUCUCACCCCCAAACUAUCAAGACCAUGAUUCAUAAUGUUGUUGUCUCACCUUGUAACCCUAAAAAUUUUUAAAAACUGCAUGAAUAUCUAUCACGUAAGGGGGUGAAUAUAUGUAAUAGUUUUGGUCAAGGAUAAAAUAAUGACAUUAAGUUGGCAGGUUUAUCAAACAGUUAUGAAAUCAAUGGUUGGUGAUGAUUGUAUUUCUGUACAUGAUAAAAUUUCAAGUCUGCAAAACGACAAGAAAAAUACACGACAAAUAUACAAUAUAUAAAUUUAAGAAAAUAUGUGAGUACAAUCUCUGGGGUUUUUUCGAACUUGUAAAGAGUUUCCCUCUAUUCUCCUCCUCGAACACCAAUCUAAGGGUUUCGCAGCUUGUUCUUGGAUCUACCACCGAUUCCUUCAAAUCUUGAGAUGGAAGAUUUGAAGAACUUGAAAGAUAUUUGAAGACUCAAGUUUUGAUAUAUGGGAGACUUGGAGAGCUUGAAGAUCCAGACCUUUGUAACUUGGAGUUUCAAUACUUGAAUGUAUGAGAUGCCUCUUCGUGUGUGUCUGACUAGUAGAGAGACCCCUAUUUAUAACCGUAGGAAGAGGUAGAGGUUGAAAACAUGUAUACCACUUUAUUUGUCUUGCAAGACACGCAGUCACAUUAGAACCAAUGUUUUCAGAACCGGACCGGACCGGACCGGCCGGUUCGACCGGUUGGACCGCGAACCGGCCAUGUCACCGGUCCGGUCUAAUGCUAAAGCCGGAAAUUCAUGGAGAACCGUUGAAACCCGGACGAACCGGACGAACCGUGCGAACCGUUAAGAACCGUGAACCGGCGGUUUUUUAAAUUCUUCAACAAAAUAUCAAGAAUGGUGUAGUUAAGAUUCGAACCUGGGUCUCCAAAUUUAAAUAUGACAAUCUUACCGCUAGACUGUACUUAAGUUUGUUGAGAAUUCUACUUGACUAAAAAAUAUAUUAAAACAUCAAGUUCUUCUCUUAUUUUUUUUUUCAAUUUUUUCUUCUUAACCAUUUUUAACCCAAAUAUCCACAACAAGAUUUUCUCAAGUCUUCACCAUUAUUAUCUGGUUAUUAUCUUUAGCAGAUUGUAAACAAGUUGAAAAUUUCAACUUUUCUUGUUUUCCAACAUUUUAGUAAGUUUAAUUUUUUUUCUUUUCAAGGUUUUUUUCUAUAUUAUUAUCUUUAGUUUAUUUUUUGCAUUUUCUUCUUUUUCCCCUCAAUUUUCAUAUGUUUCCCUCAUUUUUGUUUUAUUUUUAUUCGAUUAAUUAAGGAUGAAAUUUUUGCAAAAGUAGUGCACAUCCGUGUAGGAAUUGGGUAGGAAUUACAAAUAAUAACAUUGGGUUGGUAAAAAAUAUGGUAGUUGGCACAUAAUUGAAGCUAUUGAUAAUUGAAUUUAAAAUAAUUAAUGGUAUAGGAUCAUUGAAUUUAAUAUAACAUGUUAAUUAGUAAUGUUUAGUAGCAAUUAAUUUUUUAUGUGUUUAACUGUAUAUUUGUUUUUCAAAAAUUUUUAGUUUUUUUUAGUUUGAGCAAUUAGAUUUAUAUUUUUAUAAUAAAAUUUUAACUUUUUCAGCUUAAGUUGAUGAAAUUGUGAAGGUGGUGUGGUUGUUUAUCAUGCCACUGAUAAAAGUUUGCUAUUCAAAUAGUUUGUCUUAACUUGAACUCUUUUAUGGAUUUUUUUAAGGGUUGUAAAAGAAUUUCAAUAUUUAAUUAAUUUAUUUUUUGUGUUUUUAUUUGUGAUAAUUGGUGCACAUUUGGAUUGUAUCUAUUUAUGUUUAUAAUGAAUUUAUGAAAACUUGUGGUGAAUUAUGAUAUUUUAAUUAUAUUUAUCAUUCCAUGUUUUGUGUAUAAUUUUAGAAAAUUUAUUAUUAUCAUAACUUAAAUUAAGUUAUGUUGGUAAAGUUCAAGUGUAGAAUGAAACCUGCUUAGUACUUAAAAAAAAAAAAAAAAAAAAAAACAGUGAACCUUUGAACCGGCCGGUUGGACCGGUCGGACCGGUCGAACCGCGAACCGGCCACCUCUCCGAUUCACUGACCGGUCCAAGUUUAAAAACAUUGAUUAGAACUGUGCCAACUUAAAUAUUAUCUCUUUAUUUUAUAUUCAUUAAUAAAGAGAUAAGUAAUUCCUCGAUUGGCCAAACUCGCGAGGACACGUGACGUGGCGCCUUUUGACUAGACAAGCUAUUGCAGUAUAUAAGAAGUAUAUAUGGAUUAAACAAGUCUAAAUAUUAUCUCUUUAAUAAAUAUUUAGGUAUUUAUCCAAAAAUUUUCAAGUCAAGUAGAUAUGAUUUGGUUGGUGGUGACAUCCCCGCAAUUUCAAUUGAUUAGAACGUCUCAACUUGACACGUGGCAAAAUAUAAUUAGUCAUUUAAUAACCAAUUUUUUCAAGUGUACAUGACAUAUGGCAAUAUCCAAUGGGAUAAAAAUAAGCCAUAAAAAUACUUUAUAGACCAAUGGUAAUUUUUGGAAUUUAAUUAAAAUUUCAUUGUCUACAAAUGCCCCCUCAAAACUUGUUUGCAAAGAGUACAACUUGAACAGACGAGUUUUAACUUUCUUUACUUCGUUUAAGUUCCUUUCUUGCCAAAUUGGACUUCGAAACUUCGUGAAUCAAGUCAUCUAAGUAGGAAGCCAGCUGCACAAAGAUUUCAACGACCAAAUAGGAAUAUAAGUGAUUAAUCAAACUUCACAUGGAAUUCAAUCUCGUAAGUGAUUGAUCAAGCUCGUAUGCACUAUACAUGCAAAACACCUUUUCAUUGGCCUAGAAAGUUUCCAACUCCAAUUAUAAGACAAGUGCCCUGUUCCUUGAUCAAUCAUGAAUCCCACCACUUCACAAGAUUCAAGGUCUGAACCAGUCAGCUUCUUAUCGAAAUUCUAGGAUUUGUAUCCUUGAUGAACCUAAACAUUUGAGUUCCUUUUUUUUUUUGUGAUAAUGUCGAAACUUGAAGAGUAACCCAACACAAUUCUUCAAGGAAUUAAUCAGCCUAUAAAAGUUGGUUGCGAAAAUAAUUCCUUCCAAGGCCAACAUGAAAUGAAGCUUUGUCCUUUAUAAUCAUAUGGAAGAAAAAAAAACCCAGCAAGCUCCCGAAACCAACUUAGAACUCAUUUCCUUUUAGAUGAUCAGCCUGCCAGCCAAUUUAAUUGCUAGGAACCUCUAGAGCAAAGAUAUUCCUUAGACAAUUUAGGCAAACUAGGAAGCCAAUUACAGUUGAACUCACCUUCCUCUCCGAAUUUGUAGUAGAAACCCUUUCUAUAAAUUUCCAAGUCCAAAGCCGUGAACUUGCUCAAAAAUUUCUUUUCCUUUUGAUUCACGAAUAUUGUUGUCAAGAGGUGUUGCUGCUAUGUCUUUAUUUGUUGUUGCCGUCGUUCAUUAUUUGCUAGUUUGCUUGGCUUUGAUGCCUUUUCCAUUGAUAGAAUCAAUUUGAAGUCAGUCAUCACUCCUACCGAGCUACUCUUGAAUUAUUCUAAGGUACGCACUACUUUUCCAAACUAUAGAUGAAUUUCUUCUUUGCUAGAGUUUAAAACUUUAUAUAUAUAUAUAUACCUAACUCUCGGGCUUUCAAGUUAUCCAUGGACACGAUUGCUCUCAUAUUAUCCCACCAAAAAUAACUUUCAUGCAGUGAUCUAAUAUGCUUCUUGAGUUUAUAGUGGAACUCAUACGGAUUAACCGAUGAAUGACUUGACGCUCUCAUUACCACCCUGCUUGUGUUUCUCUUUUUUUUUUUUAUUACUUCGCAUGGAAUAGUUGCUGAUUUUUGUAGUCUGUGCACAAAUAGAUUCAGGGACAAUAUCUUCUUUGUCAAUAUUGCAAGAACACCUGACCCAAUGCGCUUUAUACUUACUUUCCAUGCAAGAUGCUAAGUACCAUAUGAAUCAUUGUCUUUGUUGGCCUUGCAUGAGACUUCCCACCAUGAAUUGGUUAGGACAUUGUGUCUGCCAAUUAUACUUUAAGAUGAAAACUUGAUGCACCAUGAACGAUCAUGUAGAAAUAUUUGACGGUUGCUUCGACCAAAUUGGUGCCACCGGCUAUUUGCAUCAUGCCGAUACCAUUUUUGUUUAUUAGGUACCUAAGACUUUACUUUUCUGCACUUAAUUAUUAAAAGGAACUUCGGCAAUAGACUUUGCGUGUUUAUUUCGAUGCAUCCUUGAUGUCUCGGAUGUGAUUGACACCUGAAAUUUGUGUGUCUACUUGUCUUGUGUUGUAAACUUGUAGAAUUGCAUCAGCAUGUAUCAUAAGAUAGCCUUAAUUUUCACACCAGUCUAUAGCAAUACCUCAAAUUUACUAACUUGCUCUCUUGUAGAUAACCAAUCUCGUGCUUGAAAAGGAGAUUGAAACAAUUUCAGGGAUUUGAGAAAGGCUCAACCGAAUAGGUAAUUUAAUUACCAAAAUUUUGUAAGAAAUUUCCUUCAUCAUCUAAUAUUUUCUUUUUCAAAAUUUCAGAAAUCAUGCAAAUUAAGGACUACGCCACACCAUUGCCCUAUAUUUCAUUGACGGAUGAGAGGGAAGAGGCUCAAUCGAAGAGCUUGUCAUUAUACGUUCAUAAACCAGCAAUCGGUGCCUUCGCUGAAUCCUUUAUACCUCUUGAAUGAUGCUUUCAUCUCGAAUAUUGGACUAGCAAGUGGACCAAAGAAGUGGUGGCCCCGUCGACUUUCUCCACUACGCCGAGGGAAGAAGAAGUGGUCAUAUUAAACUCGUCACUUCAUAAUGGAGAUCCAGAAAUAGCCAAAUUUAUGCUUCCGUUCGUGGGAUUCAAUAUUGACAAUUCUACACAGAAGAUUCUUUCGUCCUUCUUUGGCGAGGCGUGCUUCACCUCUCAUUAUUGGGAGUGGGUCGAGGACAUGCUUGGAAGAUAUAAGAAAGUGCUUGCACGUGCUGGCAUAUUUGAAGCCGUCUACGUGUUGAGAUUCUCCUACGACUGCUGCGAAAAUUUAUUGCGAGCUUUCUUCAAAUAUUGGUGUCUCUCGACAAAAUACACUUCAUACGCCCGUUGGGGAGUUGUCCGUCACACUUUGGGACCUUUAUCGACUUGGUGGCCUCUCGAUCGAUGGCUCGUUCAUUGAUGAAGUUGUUCCUUCAGGGCAAGAACUUUUCACUCAUGACAAAGAAGGGAAAUCACUUCUCCCUGAGAGUUGCAGGCAUCUCUUUUCUGCUUACUACCACCUUUGUACGAAUGACCAAGGAGCCUGGAUGAAAGAUUGGAUCCGCUUCUGGUUCAAAGGAGAGGUUAGGUAUAGGACACCACCGAGCAGAGCGAAUAGAAGAAAGAUAUGCAAAUGUGGGACUCCAUACCGAUAAAUGAUAUGCAAAGGAAUGAAAUCUACUAUAUUUUUCUUUUUGACCUCUCUUAGAGGAACUGUUUCAACCCACUUUGCAAAGUAAUCUGUUGCCGCCAAAAUAACAAUGUGUCCUCCAGAAGAUUUUGGAAGCGGUCCAACUAUAUCCAAACCCCAAGUAUCGAACAGUUAAGAAGCCACAGUUGGGUGCAAUGGUUCAGGAGGUUGAUGGAUGAAAUUGCCAUGGAAUUGACAAGUUUGACAUCUUCUAGCAAAGUCGAUGCAGUCCUUCACCAUCGUUGGCCAGUAGUAUCCCAUUCUUUUAAUGCAAAAGUGUAAUUUUGAACCAGAUUGAUGAGCACCACAUAUCCCAGAGUAAGCUUCCUCCAUUACUUGCAUGGCCUCAUCUUCUCCGAAAUAUCGUAGAAACACCCAUCAAAUGAUCUUCAAUAAAGCGUUCCUUUAUAGUAAAUGAAACAUGGUGCUCGACGACGUAUAUCAACCCUUUUCUUGGAUUCUUCUGGUAACUUUUCAUGAUUAAAGUAAUCAAUGAUGAAGUGAUGUCAAUCCUCCUUUUCAAUCACAUGGUCAAAAAUAUGAUAAGCAUUUUCUUCUCCAUCAUUAUCUUUUUCAUCGAACAUCGGAGGUAUGACCUAAUUUUGACAUAUCGAAAUUUGAUUUCGGUAAGAAGGUAGAGUGAUUAUGGACGCCAAUCUUGCCAAAAAAUUAGCUUGUUGGUUGAAAUUUCUAGGGAUAUGCUCUAUAAUGACAUUGUCUAAAUAUCCGAUGAGUUGUCUUGUUUACUUGUAAUAUGGGAUCAAUUCGGGUUUCUUGACGUCAUAAAUACCAAGAAGUUGAUUUACCAUUAAUUUUGAAUCACCAUAGACUCUAAAAUGCAACUGCUUCAUGUCUACAGCCGUUUCAAGAUCGAGAAUUAAUGCCUGAUAUUCAGUCAUAUUAUUUGAACACCGACGUGUUAAAGUGAAGGAGUACGGCAAUAUAUCUGCUUUAGGAGUAUAAAAGACAACUCCCGCACCAACUCCAUCACGGUGAGCAGCCCCAUCGAAAUAUAUCGACCAUAAAGAUUCAAUCAUAAAUACUUUUUCAUCAGGGAGUUCAUCAGUCAACUCCUACUCGGUAGGCAUGGGAUGAUCAGCUAGAAAGUCUACCAACAUUUGUCCUUUGACAGCCUUCGCAAGUACAUAAAUAAUUUUGAAUUGUUAAAACUGAAGGUAUCAUCUCGUAAGUCAGUCAGACAGUAGAGGUUUUGCCAUAACAUAUUUAAUGGGAUUGGACUUGGAUAUGAGUCGAAUAACGUGUGCUUAAAAAUAAUGUUUCAACUUUUGAAUAGCAAAUAUAAGUACCAGAACACAACUUCUUGAUGGGUGAAUAAUUCAACUCAUUAGAUGUCAUCAUUCGACUCAAGUAAUACAGCGCAUUCUCCUUACCUUCAUCAUUUUUCUAAGCAAGUAAGGCCCCAACCGACCGUUCUUGAGCGAAAAUGUAAAAAAUCAAUGAUUUUCCUAGAAUCGGCCCAGCUAACACCGGAGGAUUCAUGAGGUACGUCUUGAUGUUUGUAAAAGCAUUUGUAUACGCUUCAUCCCACUCGAACGGUACCCCUUUUUUCAUCAGUCAGCUAAAAGAUUGGCAUCGUCCGGCCAAAUUAGAGAUAAACCUCCGGAUGUAAUCCAACUUUUCUUGCAGGCUCUUCAAUUCAUGGAUAUUUCGUGGUUCAGGCAUAUUCACAAUGGCAUCAAUUUUAGAUUGAUUGAUCUCUAUUCCCUGUUGAUGAACGAUGAAAUCGAGAAAUUUGUCAGAAGUGACUUCAAAUGCGCACUUCAAAGGAUUCAUCUUCAGUUGGUAUCUCCGAAGGCAUUGAAAAACUCUUCGAAGGUCUUGAAUAUGAUCUUCUCACUUCUUUGAUUUCACCACAAGGUCGUCCACAUAGCAUUUCACAUUUCUAUGGAGCAUAUCGUCAAAAAUUCUUUGCAUUGCCCUUUGAUAUGUCGCUCCAACAUUUUUCAGGCCAAACGACAUCACUUUAUAGCAAUAAAUUCCCUUGGGAAUACGAAAAGCAGUGAGCUCUUCGUUUUCGGCUGCCAUGCGUAUUUGAUUGUAACCAGAUGAUCCAUCGAAAAAUGAUAGUGCUUCAUGUCCUAUUGUAGCAUCUACUGUUAAUUCUAUGAUGGGGAGCGAAAAAUCAUCUUUGGGGCAAGAUUCAUUUAAGUCUCGAAAAUCAACACAAAUUUGGAUUUGCUCAUUCUUCUUUCUUACAGGGACGAUGCUUGAAAUCCAUGUUAGAUAUUUCACUUCUCUUAUGAAUCCAGAUUCAAUCAAUUUAUUUAUCUCAUUUUCUAUCAAAGGAAUCAAUUCGGGUCGAAAACGUCUUUGAGUUUGCUUGAUAGGUUUUGUUCCUCGCUUGACAGACAAAUUAUGAAUAGCGACCCUUGGAUCCAAACCAGGUAUUUCUGAGUAAUUCCAGGCAAAGAUAUCAUUGAAUUCGAGCAGCAAAUCAACAUACUCUUUCUCUUCUUCAGGAAUCAUAUAAGAACUUAUGUAAAUUGGGCGAGGGUUGUCACUUGUACCAAGGUUAAUCUCUUUUAACAUAUCGACUGUAUUUUUUACUUCUUGCUCAAAUUCAGGGGGAGUGUCAUCUGCAUCUUCUUCUUUUUCUUCGGGAUCACUGAUUAUAAUAUGAUGGCAAGAGGCAAUACUUUCUUGACCCUGUUCUUCAGAGAUGGUUUCAAUUUUAAGUUAAACAAAUUUUCAUAAUGCAUAAAGAAAUUGGACAUUCAUUUUCUCGGAUCAUUCUUUUUUAUUGGAAUAAGAUUUUCUUUCUUGAAAACUUGGUACUCUUAUUUUUUACAGCCUAGUCUCUCGUAGACGGGCGAUUUCAAAUUCUUCGGUUACGGGCAAAGCCUAUCAAAUAUAGAAGUACGCUUUGACUUAUUUCCCAAUCUAUCGAAAACAGAUCUCUUUCGACGUGUGACCUCCAUUUCUUCGUUCACAUAGUUACAACUUGUCCUUUUGAUCAUUAUACGAACAGGAGAAGGCGAUUGACAACCAAGACCUAUCGAUGAACUUUCAACAUUAUAGCCUCUUUUUUUCAGCAUUUUCUGCGUAUGCGUCAAUCCAUGAGUUUUCUCGCCAGUCACUUUAGGAGGGAAUUUGCCCAAUGCAUUUUUUUCAUUUGGGUUAUAACCUGCCUUAGCAACAAGUCUAUAUACGUUUGGAUCAAAACUUUCUUGAGUCCGAUUAACUGGUAGUGAGUAAUGUUCCACUGCAGGUUUUUCUUUGGGACAGACAAACCCUUGCAAGUUUGCUUUCUCACUUUUAACAAGCUCUGUUUUGGUGAGCAGAACAUUUAAUGCGUCAUUUCUGAUAAAGGAAGAUUGACCUUCUUCUCUCUUUGAUCUUGGAAUAUAACGCAAAACGGGUACUUUGAAAUCUUGAUUUUCUUCCCUUGCUGAUUCUUUUCUUGUUGCUUCUUUUUGAAGAUAAAAUUUGACGUCGGCAAAGUGAGUCUCAGCCUCAGUGAAAGGUUUAUCAUCGAUAGUAACUUUCUUAACUAUAUCGUUUUGAUAAUAUUGAAAACAUUGAUGCAGAGUAGACGGUAUAAUUUUAUUCUCAUGCAUCCAGGGUCUUACCAAGAGCACGUUAUAAGAGAUUUUGGCGUCAAUAAUAUGAAAUAACACACUUGAAAACAACUCACCAAUGAGCAACUUAAGCCUUAUGAUGCCAAUUGCUCUUUGUCCCUUUGGUUAAAUUCUUGGAUCAAAAUGCGGAUCUGGGAGAAUUCAUCGCCUGAGAUUCCUAGUUCUUUCAUGGCACGUACAGACAUGAUAUUAACAGCAGAUCCCCUAUCAAUGAGUAUCCGAUUCAUCUUCUGUUCUCAGGCAUAUGCACUAACAAACAAAGGUCGAUUGUGAGUUUUCAAAUCAACUGUUAAAUCGUCAUUAUAAAAAAUGAUAGUCGUUGCACAAUUCACCGGUGAUUUAUCAUCGAUUUUGAGUUUUUUCUCAAAUUUAGUGCUAAUUUGUACGGCUUGAGCAUUUUCAGCUUUGAUGACAUUACAAGAAGUAGAAUUAUCAUCAUCGUCCUUCAAAUACCCCUUAGGUAUAAAUUCUCUCAGUGUCACAGGUUGUCGAACCUCUUGAAGGAGCUGAAGAUUUGAAGGAAUUGUUGUCGUGGCCACUCCAUUUUGCUUCUUUAUCACACUUCGUUGUUUUGUUGUCACUUUAGCUUUUGUCGAACGAAUGUUUUUUGAAAAGAUAUACUUCUUUAUCUUUGGCUUGCGAGUCCUCCUUCAAGUGACUAAGGUCCAUCAUUCAUUAUCAUUUUCAAUAACAUUUUCGAUUGAAGAUCUUUCAAACUCCUUUUUUACAGACAAAGCAUUGUUUAACAUGGGUGGAACUUCUAUCUGACAACACACAGAUCCAAACAUUAUUGUUGUUUGGUUUGCCGAUACCUUAUCCUCCUCGAAAAGGAUUUCUUCUUGACGGGCUAAUUUCAUAAUUUUGUUUUUAAAAAUAAAAGUAUUUAGUGAGAGGGUGGUCAAUCAGGCGAUGAUAACAGCAAUAAUUUGGAUCAUUGAUUUGACCGGCUUCCUCUGGGCGCUUCAUGUCGGAAAGUUCAAGGAGUUUCUCCUUGAAAAGGUCAUCAAACAUCCCCUGUAAAUCAUAUUCAAGGAAGAGAUACUCCUUUUCUUGCAUCUUUUUUAAAGUGGGUCUUCUUACUGAUCUAUUUUGGGAGGAAUCUAACUUCUCAGUGACCUUUCGACUUACUUUGGUAGCAAUUUUCAUGGGAGGUUUAUUUAUUGCUAUAGACUCCUUAUUACUGAGUCUUGAAGGAAUUUUGUCCCCUUUUUUAUUUUUUUGUCUUUCAUUGUCUUGACGAGACGGUUGUACUCGCGGAGCCUGAACAGGAAGCCCGUCAGCUGCGUUGGCAGUGAUACUUAAUUUCAUAUCAUGAGCACGAAUAGCUAAUUCUUCAAAUGUGUUUGGACGUAUGCGUUAUAGAAUGUAACUUAAGCUCCAAUGCAUUUCUCGAAUGCACAUUUCUAUGGCAGAGGGUUCAGACAGUCUGUCUUUGUAGUUAAGAGUCAAACUUGUCCACCUAUCGAUGUAGUUGACCAUCGGUUUAUCCUUCCAUUGACGAGUGUUAGUCAAUUCCAGCAUACUAACGGCUCUUCUAGUGCUGUAGAAGCGCUUUAAGAACUCUUGCUCCAACUGUUUCCAACUGUCGAUGGACCUCGGUGUAAGAUCAGUGUACCAAUCAAAUGUGUUGCCCUUCAAGGACCGAACAAAUUGUUUGGCUAGCAGAUCACCAUAGGUUCCAACAUUAUUGCGGAUCUCAAUGAAAUAGGCCACAUGUUGUUUUGGACUGCCUUUUCCAUCAAGCUGUUGAAACUUAGUCGGUUGAUAUCGAGCAGGCAUUGCUAGAUUGUCGAUUCUAGCAGUGUAAGGCUUAGAGUAGGUAAAGUUUGAUUUUGAGCCACCCUCAUUUUUGUCUUUAAUUAUGUCUUUAACAAGUUUCUUCAGUUGUUCUACAAUGAUAGUUCCCUCGGUGGUCACAUAUACUACCUUUACCUAGUCAUGUCCUUUAGAUGAGGGAAUUUCACACUCUUGGUGCUCUUUAGGGUUCACAUGGCUUCUUUCAGGAGCGUAAUCUUUCUGGGUGAGCAGUUAAGUAAUAAGAGCAUCUUGGUUCUUGAUGUGUUUCAUCAUAGUCUCCAUCAUUUUGGACAUUUUCGAAACUUAUUUUUCGAGAUUUGAAGUGUUUAUCAUCAUAGCAAGCAUUGCAGCAAAGUCUUCAAUAGAAAAUCUCAAGUGAAGAGUUUCAUGUGAAGAGGCUGAUCCAGUGCUUGAUGAAUCAUCAUCAUACUUAAAAAAUUUGAAUCCGGAUCCAAAUUCGAGCAUGGUAAGAGUCUUCUCAAUCGAGACAGAAAUGUCUUUGAUUCCUACCGUGGAAGAAUAGCUCAUUGGUGAUGUUGAACCAAAGAUGGGAGUUGACACCGAUGGAGCUGCCAUGCUACUUUGGGUGGAAGUUCUCGUCAUACUUCUUGUCAUGGGACCCAUAACGCGAGUAUUGAUGGCAACAGGUGCAGAUUCCUGAACAGGUUUGGCAUUAGCAGUUUUGGAACGAGCAGUCAUGGACUUGUUGUUCUUUGGUACCAUUGGUGAUAUAUGUACUUAAAUAUUCGAGGAGAAGAGAUGGAAGACAGAGAUGGUCCCACAGGACCUGCCAAAAAUUUGUACGCGAUAAAAUUUCAAGUCUACAAAAUGACAAGAAAAAUACACAACAAAUAUACAAUAUAUAAAUUUAAGAAAAUAUGUGAGUACAAUCUCUGGGAUUUUCUCGAACUUGUAGAGAGUUUCCCUCUAUUCUCCUCCUCGAACACCAAUCCAAGGGCUUCGCAGCUUGUUCUUGGAUCUACCACCGAUUCCUUCAAAUCUUGAGAUGGAAGAUUUGAAGAACUUGAAAGAUAUUUGAAGACUCAAGUUUUGAUAUAUGGGAGACUUGGAGAGCUUGAAGAUCCAGACCUUUGUAACUUGGAGUUUCAGUACUUGAAUGUAUGAGAUGCCUCUUCGUGUGUGUCUGACUGGUAGAGAGACCCCUAUUUAUAGCCGUAGAAAGAGGUAGAGGUUGAAAACAUAUAUACCACUCUAUUUGUCUUGCAAGACAUGCAGUCACAUUUGGACUGUGCUAACUUAAAUAUUAUCUCUUCAUUUUAUAUUCAUUAAUAAAGAGAUAAGUAAUUUCUCGAUUGGCCAAACUCGCGAGGACACGUGACGUGGCGCCGUUUGACUAGACAAGUUAUUGCAGUAUAUAAGAAGUAUCUAUGAAUUAAACAACUCUCGCCGGGACUCACUCACUCACUACAGUUCUCAAUUAAAUUAUAAUGCACAUCUCAAUAUUACAUCAAAUUCUCAGAAUUUACAUAUCAUAAGCGAAGUGAAUACUUAUUCCCAAGCGUGAAACGUACACAUAUAUUCGUUCAAUUUCAAACAUUCAUACAAACCCAACUAGUACACAAGAUGAAUAUAAAACUCAAUUUAUACAGGAGAUAAUCCAUCCAGUCACUCGGAGAACUUAAUACAAAUGCUUCCUUUGCCUCGAGCCCUGUGGGGAGGAAAAUAUGUUUUGUGGUGAGAUAAAAACUCAGUGAGUGUCCAGCAAAAAUCAGUAAUCAACUAGUUCCACAAUAAUGCAUUUAAAUGAGAUUAUGAAUCAAUAAUCAAAUGUACGUUUAUUGCUCUUGUGAGCCAGUGAAAUCAUCGUACUUAGAACUCCAACGCUCAAACGGAUCCAGUAACAGUCAAACAGUACAAGGGAGCCAUUUGCUCCAAAUAAUCAGUGAUGGAGACUUUGUUUCCAAGCACAAGAUUUUUCAAGAACUCAUUGGAGCCAAAUCAUGUCAUGGCACACACAUAAACACAAAUGAUAUGCAAUCGAGUAAGCAUUGCAAGAAAUAGUUCAAAAGUAAAUUUGCAAAUAGUUGUGGGAUCACUCACCAACCACAGCUCAGGAACCAUCCAUCAUAAAUCAUUGCCUUGCUCAAGUCCAAACCCUAGAUCACGAAUAUCAUAUCAAACAAAAGGAAUUCUAAAAGCAUCAAGUUCCUAUUACCUUUUGGCAUUUUAAUCACAAUUGAAGUUACACUUAUCCGAUUGAAAAGAAUCUUAUGGCGUUACGAAGAUAAGACAUAUACCAACAUUUCUUAUGAAGACCUCUAAAUCCAAAUUAAACAUUUUCAUGGUCAAAAAUCGAAAUCUUAGAGAAAAAUGGAAACUGUCCGUGAAACAGGGCUUAAGGGCAGUAAAGGGUAUUUCGAUCAUUUCACAAACUACAGUACUCCAAUCGAUCUGAAAUUUUGCAGGUAGAUAGCUAACUCAUAUAUUUAGAACUUUCAUGUUUUGUCCAAAACCUGGUUCGGUCUAAAACAUGGAGAAAUGUGCAGUCCAAGUUGAGUCCAGAAACAAGGUAAAAACUGAAAUUACACUUCUAAACUAACCGUUGUAUAUAACCACAAGUACACAUACGAAUCAUAAGAUAUACCACAUAUCUAAUUAGGCCACAAUGCCCCUUCAAUAUAAGCCAAUUGAUAGCUCCAAAACCAAUCACAAUUAAGCCCCAAUUCGAAACCUUAAAACUGAAAUUUCCGCACAAAUUCUGAAAUUUUCCGCAAAUAACCACAAUUAACACAUAAAGGCUACAUUUCACACCAUAUCAAGCUAUCAUUCCAUGGCCAACCAACAAUUAUUAUAUAAAAUCAGAAAAUUCACUAAUAAAUCAGAAAUUUGCCAAACUCUAAUUAAAAUCAUGAAAUCAUCCACAAACUAGCAUAUCUAACCUCUACAAAUCACUAAUUUCUGAUUAUGAGGAACAAAGAGAGGAUUUCUUGGUAACUUACCUUACAACCACAAGAAACAAGGUAGCUUAGUGCUUUCCCUUCACCAAAGACUCCACCAAAGCCUUUAUUCUUCCUUAGUACACACUUGUAUGGAGUAGUUUUCAAAACUAACGGUUGAAACUCAAGAUUUGAGCAAAAAUGGAAGUUGAAGUUGAGGAAACUCUCUUGGUUUUUCCUCUCAAAGUGGCCGGCCAAGCAAGAGGAAGAAAUGAAGAAAUAUCAGUCAAGAAACAAGAUAAGAAUGAAGGAAAACAGCUUGUCAAACUUGGCUGCCGAAGGUGCCACGUCACAAUCCGGCCAAGAUCUGGCCGGAUUGUCGGCCGGAUUCCAGGCCAGAUUUAGGGCAGUGGCAAAAUCCAUUUUUUUCAAAACCCACCAACAAUCCGACCAAGAACUGGCUGGAUUUGCGUUCGGAUUUGCUAAGAACACUGUUCACCAGAAUUUUUCCUUUUCUUCUUCCUUCGGGCAUCACAAACUCCCCCCUUUAAAAGAAUGUCGUUCUCAAUAUUCCAACUUAUAUUAAUCAGAUUAAUAUAGUUCUCGAAAGUCAGUCAAGCACUAAGAAUCACUCCAAUCCCACUUAUCACUUAGCACGGACCCACUAAUAACUAAACAAGUAACCAAAAGAACAUGGAAAAGGGCUCGGUUCAACCAACUAGCCCUGAGUUGGAAAUAAAUUCCCAGAUAUUCGAAAAAUUCAGGAUAUGACUUAGCCUAAAGUAGGAAAUUUUAUCCCCUGGCGGUGCUGGACAAUACAACAAGCUAGCACAACAGCUAUACUUCACUAAAGAGUCUCAGGAAUUCGUCCCUGGUGGUACUGGACAACACAACAAGCUAGCACAACGGCUAUAUUUCACCAAAGAACCUCAGUUCAAGAAUUUUUAUCCCUGGUGGUGCAUGAUAAUACAACAGGCAUGCCUCACCAGAAGAAUGACGGUGCUUGAUAACACAACAGACAAUGUCUCACCAGAGAGGUUCAGUUCAAGAAGUUCAUCCCUAACGGUGCUUGAUAACACAACAGGCAUGCCUCGCCAGAAGAAUGGCGGUGCUUGAUAACACAAUAGGCAAUGCCUCCCCAGAAAGGUUUAGUUCAACUGCUACAGAAGAGUAGUAGUCGGUUUACAACCACACAUAAAAGCAUACAAGUUCAAAAAUAGGGUCAAUUACUUCAAGUUCAUGGAGUACAGGUACAAAUAAGAACUCACUCUCCUAGCUUAUGCCCAGCAACUCACAUUCUCAAGUAGUCACAGUAUUCAAAUCCACAUAUAGGUCAUAUACGAAUCAAGCUACUUACUCAUGUGUAAAAGAGAUACCAUAUAUUCAGGCAAGUCAGGUCAUUAAGUGUACGUAAGAGCACACUCACCUAAAUAGGUUCAAGUCUCAUGUGAGAUCAGCUUAGUCGGUCUCAAGCAGUUCCAGUAUUUCAAAUCCCAACACUUACAAAUCAGGUGAUGCAAACCUUAAUCAAACAAGAAGACUAGAAGAAGGAUGCAAAAACCAAAAGUUUUCUAAUAAUUCCGGCCACCACCACAAUCUAUCAAAACUCUAGCCAAAAUCUUGUUGGACAAGUUCUAGAUAACAUUUAUCAUUUCAAUCUCCUCAUUUGGUUAAGUCUCGAGUACAAUACGAAAUCCUCUGUGCUCUAACCUGUGCCAUUAUAACUUAUCUCAAACUCACUUAUGAUUCCUAUUCACAUCAUCAAACACUAGACCAUGUUCCUUUCAAAUUCACAAGCAUUUCCUCAGGAAAAGUAUCGAGUACUCAAGUAUAGGACUCCAAAACUAAGAAACUUUACAACUCAGGCUGUACGCUAGUACCAGAAUCAGUUGAUUGUACACUUGGGAGCAACCAAGGCAUAUCUUACGCUUACCACUUUCAAACCAGUCCCACAGUUCGGCAUCCUAAACUAUAGCCUAGGAUACACUACAGAGAUCUAAAGCCUAAGCUCUGAUACUAACAGUGACAGCCCCACCUCCCCCUAAGGCGAACGAAAGGGUUCGGCGGACCGCCUGCCCAGCUCUCGCUAGGACUCACUUACUCACUACAGUCCUCAAUUAAAUUACAAUGCACAUCUCAAAUAUUAAAUCAAAUUCUCGGAAUUUACAUAUCAUAAGCGAAGCGAAUACUAAUUCCCAAGCGUGGAACGUACACAUACAUUAGUUCAAUUCCAAACAUUCAUACAAACCCAACUAGUACACAAGAUAAAUCUAAAACUCAAACUAUACAUGAGAUAAUCCAUCCAGUCACCCGGAGAACUUAAUACAAAUGCUUCCUUUGCCUCGAGCCCUGUGGGGAGGAAAAUAUGUUUUGGGGUGAGUUAGAAACUCAGCGAGUGUCCAGUAAAAAUCAGUAAUCAACCAGUUCCACAAUAAUGCAUUUAAAUGAGAUUAUGAAUCAAUGAUCAAAUGUACGUUUAUUGCUCUUGUGAGCCAGUGAAAUCAUCGUACUCAGAACUCCAACACUCAAACUGAUCCAGUAACAGUCAAACAAUACAAGGGAGUCAUUUGCUCCAAAUAAUCAAUGGUGGAGACUUUGGUCCUAAGCACAAGAUAUCCCAAGAACUCAUUGGAGCCAAAUCAUGUCAUGGCACACACACAAACACAAAUGAUAUGCAAUCAAGUAAGCAUUGCAAGAAAUAGUUCAAAAGUAAAUUUGCAAAUAGUUGUGAAAUCACUCACCAACCACAGCUCAGGAACCAUCAAUCAUAAAUCAUUGCCUUGCUCAAGUCCCUAGAUCACGAAUAUCAUGUCAAACAAAAGGAAUUCUAAAAGCAUCAAGUUCCUAUCACGUUUUGGCAUUUUAAUCACAAUUGAAGUUACACUUAUCCGAUUGAAACGAAUCUUAUGGCGUUACGAAGCUAAGACAUAUACCAACAUUUCUUAUGAAGGCCUCCAGAGCCAAAUUAGACAUUUUCAUGGUCAAAAAUCGAAAUCUUAGAGAAAAAUGGAAACUGUCCGUGAAACAGGGCUUAAGGGCAGUAAAGGGUAUUUUGGUCAUUUCACAAACUACAGUACUCCAAUCGAUCUGAAAUUUUGCAGGUGGAUAUCUAACUCAUAUAUCUACAACUUUCAUGUUUUGUCCAAAAGCUGAUUCAGUCUAAAACAUGGAGAAAUGUGCAGUCCAAGUUGAGUCCAGAAACAAGGUAAAAACUGAAAUUACACUUCUAAACUAACCGUUGUAUAUAACCACAAGUACACAUACGAAUCAUAAGAUAUACCACAUAUCUAAUUAGGCCAUAAUGCCCCUUCAAUAUGAGCCAAUUGAUAGCUCCAAAACCAAUCACAAUUAAGCCCCAAUUCAAAACCUUAAAACUGAAAUUUCCGCACAAAUUCUGAAAUUUUCUGCAAAUAACCACAAUUAAUACAUAAAGGCUCCAUUUCACACCAUAUCAAGCUAUCAUUCCAUGGCCAACCAACAAUUAUCAUAUAAAAUCAGAAAAAUCACUAAUAAAUCAGAAAUUUGCCAAACUCUACUUAAAAUCAUGAAAUCAUCCACAAACUAAUAUAUCUAACCUCUACAAACCACUAAUUUCUGAUUAUGAGAAACAAAGAGAGGAUUUCUUGGUAACUUACCUUACAACCACAAGAAACAAGGUAGCUUAGUGCUUUCCCUUCACCAAAGACUCCACCAAAGCCUUUAUUCUUCCUUAGUACACACUUGUAUGGAGUAGUUUCCAAAACUAACGGUUGAAACUCAAGAUUUGAGCAAAAAUGGAAGUUGAAGUUGAGGAAACUCUCUUGGUUUUUCCUCUCAAAGUGGCCGGCCAAGCAAGGGGAAGAAAUGAAAAAAUAUCAGCCAAGAAACAAAAUAAGAAUGAAGGAAAACAGCCGGUUAAACUUGGCUGCCGAAGGUGCCAUAUCACAAUCCGGCCAAGAUCUGGCCGGAUUGCUGGCCGGAUUUAGGACAGUGGCGAAAUCCAUUUUUUUCAAAACCCACCAACAAUCCGGCCAAGAACUGGCCGGAUUUGCUAAGAAUACUGUUCACCAGAAUUUUUCCUUUUCUUCUUCCUUCGGGCGUCACAUAUCCUACAAUUAAAAAAAUUCAAAGGGCAUAUCAAUGCACCUCGUUAGUGUAAAUGAUCCUUUCUUCCUAAUCUCAUAGAGAACUCAGCUGGUUUCCUCUCCAUUAAAAUAGGGACUCCUAAUUAAAAUAGGAUGAUACUGGUAGUAGAAAAAAUAAAAAUCAAAUCUCAAGUAACUUAUUAGUUAUGACUUUCAAUUCUUUAGUUGGCCUGAUUUAAAAUUGUAAAUCAUCGUGGCACAUUAACACAAAAUUACACAAAUUACAGUAGUUAACACACACACACAAAAGGCAUAUACUACACUUUUUCUUCCAUCGUUUAUUUACUUUUGCGAGAGGGUGCAAAAGUAAAUCAAAUUAAAGGUCCUGAAGUGUGAAGACCCCACGGACACACACACAUACAAAAGGCAUAUACUACACUUUUUCUUCCAUCGUUUAUUUACUUUUGCGAGUGGGUGCAAAAGUAAAUCAAAUUAAAGGUCCUGAAGUGUGAAGACCCCACGGACAGCAAAGUCUUUCUAAUAGUUUCCACGAAUUUGCAUUUUAGCUUCAUUUGCAGCUUGGGCACCUUCGUCUUUCAAAAUCAAGUCGUUGGCUUCUUCUUUUUUAUUUCCAUCCUUUUGCUUUAGGACGUUCUUUCCUUCUUGACAAUUAAUACUUCAUUUUCCUGCAGUUUCUUUCUUCUAAGGAGCCACUAUCGUGGAUCAUGGGUGAAGAAGGAACAUAAUAUAUCACUAUGAGCAAAAGAUUAUAAAAAAGAGAGUAUAAAACCCUAAAAAAUAAUUCGAAGGUCCAAAUGUAUCUAAAACUAAAAACAUUUCAGAUCUUUUUUUUUUUUUUUGAGGCAUAACACUCAGAUCUUAAAGAAGCACACAAAUGUCUUAUAAAAUCAAAAUUCCUGAAGUUUAGGACAAUGAUACAACGAUAAUGUUAGAAUACUUCAGAAUUUUGCUCUACCAUCUUUUUCGUAUGGAUUGACCUACUAAAAUUUUUCUUUUGACAGUGCCAUUCUUGAUAAUCCAUAAAAUACUAUCCUCUUCCAGUUUGUCUUAUUUUUCUCACAGUAUUUUUUUCUAGUUUCUGGUUGCUUUUAAGAAAUAAAGAUAUGGAUUAGAAUUUUAUUAAGGUCCUUGAAAUCACAAAUGCACUCAAAAAUUUGUGCAGCUUAUCAACUUAUAAAUAUUGGUAAGACUAAAAACUGCUUAGACUCUAUAUACUCAGAAAAUAAUGGCCAACAAUAUUAAAUUAUUAAUGUGUGCCCCUAAAAAAACAAAGUAAAAAAAUGACAAGAUAUCGUAGGUAACUUUUGACUCUCUUUAGUUGGCGUGAUUUAUCAUUGCAAACCCUCGUGGCAAAUAUUAACCCAAAAUUACAGUAGUUUAAAAAAAAUGCUCAUUCACACACACACAGACACACAUACAAAAGGCAUAUAAAUAUAAACAAUCUUCCCUUCUUUGUUUAUUUCCUUUUGCAAGCUGGUGCAAUGGCUGCUCCUUUAUCCGUUGGAAGAACCCACAAUCAAUUGAAUAGCACUGAAGGGUGAAGACACCACUGACUAAAAAAAUCUUCUUGAUAAUUUCCUCAUUGCUGCAUUUUAGCUUCUUUGGUCUGUAAGGCAGCUUCGUCUUUCAAAAUCAAGUCGCUGUUUGGCUUCUUCUUUUACAUUUCCAUCCUUUUGCUUUAGUUUUUUCUUCCCUUUUGGAUGAUUAUGGCUUCAUUUUCCCUCCAAUUUCUUUCUUCUGAUCUGUGAUUACGAUAUAUACUUUCUAGCAUUUCAUCCUUAACUUUCUCACACGACUUUAACAAUUUUUCUGUAGUAAGGUAUCAAGAUGACAAAUACACUUACAAAAGAAUUAAAGAAUAUGGGACCUGAACUUUCCAAGUUAUGACUAGCAACAAGUUUCACCGGUGAAUUUUAAAUAUUUAACUAAAGUAACUGUUUUGAUAUAGGAAUCUGAAAUAAAGGUAAUAACUCAAUCAACCCAACUACGGCCUUUUCAGCCUAUCACUCCAAAAUAUAUUCAGGAAAAGCCAAUAAAAUAAUUCCUUUCAUUUUUUUAGUUGGGAUUGCAUGGAUAGAAUAUUACUUAGAAAAACUUUUGUAUAAUUCACUGUAGCAUGUUUUGUAGUGUAAUGUAUUUAAGAUAAAUAAGUAGUUGUAAAACAUGUUUAAGUGCAAUUAAGAAAAUAAAUAUUCUUUUAGAGUCAUCACAAUGAUAUGCAACACAGGCGUCCCACAAAUUAGCUAUCAUUGCAUAAGUAAAUCAGUAAAGGACAGAUUCACAUUUGAAUAUGUCUGGAAGCCUUUGCAGAAUCAAAGACUUGUAAGUUCAGCCCCAUACCUUUUAUAUUCACAGAUCUGAACGCGGUUUUGAUUUGUUGACCAAUAGUACUGAAUCACACAUUAUUAAAGUUCAUCAUAUUACGAACCGAUGACCAACUCUAAUUUCUUCCUUCUCUGUACAAGGUCAAGGAGCCUCUCUUCCUUUCCUGAUAUUCUCAAGUUAAAGAAAAAGACUGAAAAUGGCAGAAACAGUUCUCUCUUUUGUGUUAGAUCAGCUCUCAAUUUUUCUGCGUGAAGAGGGCAGAUUGUUGGGAGGGCUUCGCCAAGAGGUUCAACUCAUCAGCGAUGAGUUGGGGCACAUGAGAGCUUUCGUGGGAGUGGCAGAAACAAUAGAAGAAGGUGCUGAUCCCAGGCUCCAAGAAUGGAUCAAGCAAGUACGAGAAGCCGCUUGUGACACUGAAGAUGUUCUUGAUGAAUUCGUAGCUCGCUUUGCUCACCAUCAUGCAACAGGGUUCUAUGGCUCUGUUAGGAAAAUUUUCAACUCCGUGAAGACUUUGCGAGCUCGUCGUAAGGUUGCUGAGCAAAUACAGAGCAUCAAGGCCAGAGUAAAGAAUAUAUCUGAAGGGCAUCAGAGAUACCAAUCAGAAUUCGGCGGUGCUACCCAAGCGGCGGAGUCUCUUGCUACUGUUAACAACACAACAUGGCGCUAUAGCAGGGAUGAUGCACUUCUCGUGGAAGAAGCUGAACUAGUUGGCAUUGACCACCCCAAACAACAGCUAAUUUCUCAACUACUCGAGAGGGAUGAUUCCCAGCUCAAAGUUGUCUCUGUGGUUGGCAUGGGAGGACUCGGUAAAACUACCUUAGUCAAAAAAGUCCACGAAGAUUUAGGUAUUAGAAGGCAUUUCCCGGUUCGUGCCUUUGUAACUGUCUCUCAACCAUGCAACUUCCAGGAGCUCCUGAAAGACUUGACUCGGCAGUUACACAAUGAUUUGAAGAAACCAGUUCCAGAAUCGAUUGAGACAAUGACUGCAAUUCAGCUGAAACAAUGUGUUAAAGAUUUUCUUCAACAAGCUGGAAGGUAUGCAAUUGUGUUUGAUGAUGUAUGGGAUGUGGAAUUCUGGAAUGCGAUUAGAUUUGCACUGCCCGAAAAUGGCUAUGGCAAUCGCGUCAUGCUAACAACACGAAAAGCCGAUGUAGCCUCUGCAUCUUGCAACAAAUCUCAAGAUUAUGUCUACAAAAUGGUGCCCCUCUCUUUCGAGGAUUCAUGGACCCUAUUUUGCAACAAGAUCUUCAAAGGAAAUGGUUGUCCUGCCCAUCUAACAGAUGUUGCAAAAGGUAUAUUGGGGAAAUGUCAGGGAUUGCCCCUUGCGGUUCUUGCAAUCAGUGGGCUUUUGGCUAUGAAAGAUUUGAAUAUUGCAGAGGAAUGGGAGAUGGUUCGACGCAGCCUAGUGGGUGAAUUAGAAGGCUCUGGUAUGCUGGACAGGGUCAAAAAGAUACUUUCUCUCAGUUACAAUGAUCUGCCCUGCCAUCUUAAGACCUGUUUGUUGUAUUUAAGCAUUUACCCAGAGGAUUAUGAAAUACGUUGCCAGAGACUUGUUCAAUUAUGGUCAGCUGAAAGAUUUGUAGGAAAGAGAGAAGGAAUGACAAUGAAAGAUGUAGGCUUCAAUUACCUAAGAGAACUGGUCAAUAGGAGCCUAAUUCAAGUGACUGAAAGUUUUUACGAAGGAAUCCCCGAGACUUGUCGAAUCCAUGAUCUAGUGCGAGAAGUUAUUCUUUCCAAGUCAAGGGAACAAAAUAUGAUCACAAUUACUAAUAUGAUCACAAUUACUACUGGACAAUACACAAGGUGGUUAUCUGAGAAGGUACGCCGUUUGGUAGUCCAUAGUAGUAGCAACAACACCGAGCAGCACCAGGAAAGCCAAUAUUAUUGCUUUAACCACCUUCGAUCGUUUAUUACGAUUGGAUCCAUGAAUCCACUGAUAUCCAGAGCCUUGUUAUCUAAAGCUUUAAAGAGUAGCAGAUUGUUAAAGGUUUUGGAUUUGAGUGAUGAAGAGACAUUGGAGGAAAUCCCAAAUGAGAUUUUCAACUUGUAUCAUCUCAGGUAUCUGAACCUAUAUGGGACAGGAGUUAAAGCAGUCCCGAAAUUCAUAGGAAAGCUUCGUAAUUUGGAGUAUUUGGAUUUGGGUGAAACUCAAGUCAAGGAAUUACCCAUGGAAAUCCUGAAGCUACAAAAGCUUGAGCAUCUUAUGGUACGCACAAAAGUUGAUGUUUCUGAUGAAGCUUAUGGAUAUCAUGGGUUUAAAGCUCCAUCAAAAUUGGGAGGACUUCUUGCCCUACAAUCAUUAACAGCCAUAGAUGCAAGUAGCGGAUCCGUAAUAGUUAAAGAGAUAGGAACAUUGACUCAAUUAAGACGAUUAGUGAUUUCAAAUCUGAGAAGAGAAGAUGGAAAGGAGCUCUGCUCCUCCCUUGCCACCCUCACUAGUAUUCAGCUACUACACAUUGGUUCAAUUAGAAAUGAUGGUGGUGAUUAUGAGGUACUGGAUCUGAAUCAUCAUCAUCAACAACAACAUUCUCGUUCAUCUUCAAUGUCUUUUUCAUUUCUCCAAUCUCUUCGUAUGCUAACAUUGUGUGGCCGCUUAGAAAAGAUGCCACAAUGGAUAGCUCAUCUUCAAAGCUUGGUAAGAAUAGAUUUGAACUGGAGCAGUUUAAGGGAUGAGGAGGAUCCGCUUGAACCGCUCCACCAUUUGCCAAAUUUGGUUACUAUUCAAUUUUGUAGAUCUUACCAAGGAGAGGGGUUGUGUUUCAAGGCUGGAAGAUUCCCGAAGUUAAAGGAUUUGUACCUAGAGAAAUUACAAAAGUUGAAAUGGCUGAAAGUGGAGGAGGGUGCAUUACCCAGUCUCCACGAACUUAGUCUGGAUACACUUCCAUUGCUAGAGGAGUUACCUUUGGGAAUUCAGCACUCAAGGAAUCUUCGAAAACUGUAUUUGGUUGAGUUGAGUUCUCAACUGAUUGAGAAGCUGGAGAAUCUAAAUGAAGAUACUGAAGAUUAUAGAAAAAUUGCACACAUUUCUGAAGUUGUCAUUGAAUUGUGGACAGAUGAGGGAUGGAAACGUCGCCGGCUAUGGGGGAAGAAGAUGUAAAUAUUCCUCUUUUAGUAGCCCUGCCUUCCUAUUUCUUUUUAUUUUCUUUUUGCACUUUUGUUUGUAACUUCUAAGUUUAUAAUUUGCUUUAUCUUUUAUCUUGUUGUAUAAAUAUUGUAUUGCAUAAUCUUGUUUAUAUGCGGUAUUGCACUCUUUUUUUUUUUUUUGCUUAUUUACUUUUUCUUUAAUUGAUUUAGCAAAUAAUUUAGAGGUUGCAGGUUACAAGUCUAUUAGUAUCUUGCACACAAUUUCAAUAUACAAUCCAGAACACUAGCCUAAGAUUUUGGUACAAAAUUAAUACAUGUAGCCUAUGUUUAUACACUAGUAUGACUUAGAAAUUGAUUUCUCUAGUAAUUAAUAAUAUAGUAAUUUUUGGAAAAAUAAUGGUUGUAUCAGUUCUCUAUGCUCAUCCAUCUGUAUUUUUGUGACAAAUUUUGAAGGAACACAUUAAUAUUUUUAAGUAAAUUAUUUUCAAUCAUGCCCAACUGCUAUGUAUGAAUAAAUAUUAUGUCAACGAUAUGACAAAUCCACUUAUUACAGUCAUGAAAACAAUUUCUUUUUCUAUGAAUUCAUAAUCGAAUGUUUGCACUGUAAUGCCCAAUACACCAAGGUUCAUUUUUAAACCAACAAUAUUGAAGUUGCUAAAAUUGAGAACUUUUACAUCGCACGCUAUAAUUUCUUCUUCUUGUGAUAAAUACUGGUGUAAUACAUCACAAUCAUGGUUUAGUACUUACCACUAUUUGUUGAUGAAUGCAGUCAUAUUCAUAAUCAAUAUUUGUAAGGCAACAAAGAAGUAUAAAAACCAAAUAAUAGUGCUUUGUUUGGAAACCAAUUUUUCUCCAAAAAAAAUUUAAGUUUUUUUGUGAAUAUAGUUUUGAAUCACCUUUUUAUCUCACACGCAUUAAACCGUUACAACGCAUUUUUUAUGUAAAAAUUCUAGAAAAUAACAAUCCAAAUGAGACGUUUAGUGUCCUUAAAACACAAAUACUUCUCGACAUUAUUUGGGAUUGUCACAGACCAUGGCGUUAUAUAACAAACUAACGUGUUGGAAGUGGAAGAGUCCUUGAACAACACAGAGAAAUAGGAAAGCUCAGGUCUAGUAAUUAUGGCCUCGGAUUAAUAAUUUUGAAGUUUCAGGAAAGAAUUCAGAGUACUCUAGAAACAUACAGGCUCAAAUUUUGUGCGGCUAUUCUUUGCUUAGUCCUAAAUCAAUUCAUUCCAUAGAUGCAAUUCGUGCCAGUGAUUAUUGGUGCAACUGAUGGACAAGAAAUCUAUGAUCUAAUAGAGCUCAAAUUACUUCAAUUACUGAAGACCUGUUUAAACUUUCAUGCAGCUUUUGAUGAAAAGCCAUAAAAUAGUCUAUUUCCACGCUGCAAAAGACAUACACCUAAAGGAAAAGAUUACAAGACAAGACAAACAUAUCAAAUGAUGCUUUAAAGAAAAAAGCAUAUCAAAUGAUGCUAAUAGAAGAUUUAGACUAUGUUUUCAGACUCGGACCGGCAAUCGACUCGGCCGAACUCAGGGGUCAGGGGUCAAUGUGUUCGAUUCGAUAAGGGGUCAAACCAGAUAACGUCAUAAAUACGUCAUAUAUAUAUAUAUAUAUUCUGCAAAUCAAAUUUACAAAAUAUAACCAACAACCCAAUCAUCCAAAUUUAUAUCCAUUUCACCGAACAAUUCACCAAAUUCAUCCAAAUUCACAAAAUUUACAAAAUAGGAAUCCCAUACAUGUUCAAUCCUUGACAAAUAGCAAUCCAAAUAAGGCAACAAGUUCAUGUUCAAUCCUUGAUAAACAUCAAUACAACACUAAAAAACUGGCACAAUCAGAGGAUUCUUACAUCUUCCCGCUUGUUCAAUACUGAAGGACCUGAAGUGAGGAUUAUACUACUAAUUGAGAAAUUCACUAAUGGACCAAACCAGCAAAACUUUUAUAUUUUACAUCCCAUGUUCCAGCCACGGUCAGAAAAGAAUAUAGUUAAUAUAUCUAAAAGAUGCAAUUGCAAUUCUUUGCACUUAAGAAUGGCGUCAACAUGUUGACUUAACCUUCUACUCAAAGUGCAUAUUGUAUGUCAUAUAGGCCACACUUUUUUUCAAACUCACAUAAAAGAAAAGCAUAUCUGAAGCAUCUUGAGACCAUCAAAAGAUUCACAAGAAUUUUCAAGUCAUAUCAACUUUAGGAACUACAAGAGUAUAUGAACCCAGAUUUUUUAUAAGUUACCACACUAUCAAGAAUGUAGCACUCGAUUAGAAACAAAGAGACUGCCAAAUCUAACUAUAAAGAACAUACAAGAUCAAUACAAACUGGACCAGCAUGCAAGAACUUAACCUUUUUGUAAUCUAAUGCAUCCUAUAAGUUACAAGAAUUUUCAAGUCAAAUCAAAAGAUUCACAAGAAUUUUCAAGUCAUAUCAACUUUAGGAACUACAAGAGUAUAUGAACCCAGAUUUUUUAUAAGUUACCACACUAUCAAGAAUGUAGCACUCGAUUAGAAACAAAGAGACUGCCAAAUCUAACUAUAAAGAACAUACAAGAUCAAUACAAACUGGACCAGCAUGCAAGAACUUAACCUUUUUGUAAUCUAAUGCAUCCUAUAUUUGUCAAUUAUCACAAAAUUGAAAGUCUAGAAUUUAAUAAGCAGGUUAAAGCUCUCAGCUAAUACCCUGCCAUCAAGUUUACAUGAAACUUAUAACUUUCUGUUAUAUAGAAGUAACUGAAACCAUCUGCCUAAGGGCAUCUUUUACAAUGUCCCCACUCAAUUUUCGUCAUUAUAGUCAGAAUACUGCCAAUGAAGUGGUACGAAAAAACACUUGAGGAAAACAAACCAAUCAAUAAGGAGGUAAGACUGACGAACCAAGCAAGAAAGAAAGGUUCAAAAGGGUUUUUCGUUUCCUUUUCAUAAGAAACCAGAAACGCCUAAAAAAUGUUCAAGUCCUUGAGGCCUAAUUCCUCCGAAUCAAAGAAAUGGCCCAAUAAAAAAUGUCCAGAGAAAAGGGCAGAAAUAUUCUUCUAUUCCAUCUAUUUUUUCCCCCACAAUAACAUCCAGAGCAUAACGAUUUUCUUUCCAUCAUCAAGCAAAAGUGAAGAAUAUAAUUAGUCUCAGAUUCUAAAAAUUACCAGAUUGAGCUCUGACCUCGCGCGUUGCUUGAGCCUUGAACUCUGAAGAAACUAGCGAUGCUGCAACGGUGGAGGCUAGAGGUUGAACGACACAUGAUCGGCGGCAAUCGCGAUUAGGAAACGAUCAGUGAUUAUGAAGAGACGGCGGUGGAGGUUUUCAGGGUUAAUCUCAGAUUCUCAGGAACGAACGAAAGAGAGAAGCAGAGAGUUGCGUUUGUCUAAUUUCGUUCCAUUUUUUCCUUUUCUUUUUGUUUUUUCAGUCAAUCAAGUAUUGAGUCCAAUUUUUUAAUAAAAAAAAGGCAAAAAAAAGAAAAAAAGAAAAAACCGGGGUUAAUUUGAUUCUCCGGUUCACCGGUCAAACCCAAGUUCUGACCGGGUUUGGCCGAUUUUUUAAUCCCAAGUUUUUUACCUAGCUCGGAGCGGAUGCCUGGCCGAUUUCCGGUUUGACCGGCCAGUCCAGUCUGAGUCUGAAAACACAGGAUUUAGAUGUACAAUCUGCCCCUCCCCGCAAGCUACGCACAAUGCUACCACAUAAAUCUCAGUAUGUACCAAAUAGAAAGCAAAUGAUUGCUGGUAUCAAUUACCAAAAGUAAGCUAAAUGCUGACGUGCCAUUUGAAGCUGCAUCUGUGUGAGUGUGCGCAGAACCCUAGAGAGAAAGUGUCUGAGAUUUAUAUUUUACAAGUCAUGUAACUUGUAAUGAUGCCCACAACUAUCAAAAUUACGUAUUUAUAUCAUAUCUAACCAAAUUCCUUGCAUCCUAUGCAUCAUAAGAUGCUUUGCCCUGCAAAUUCCUAGAAAGUUCUAUGCAAAGGGAGGAUGCUUUUCCAUGCAACACUUUCCGAGAAAAAUUCUAUGCAAAGAACUCAAAGGGAAGAAGGUCAACCCAAUACCAGGAAGGAUUCACACGAUUCAGAUAUUGCCGCAUCAUGGGUCUGAUUCAUGUGUCUCUAUCCUUCAAGUUGACUAAACCAGUCUGUAUUUGUUCUUGUGAGGACUCUAGUGUCAUUCAAAGAAAGUGUCUUAAGACCUUGAGCAACGGCAUCUACAGGCGUGUAUAUAUCUCUCACUUGCCAUCUAGGUUCCUGAUCGUCCAACAAAACAAAUUUCAGCAUAAAUGGAGAAUAAAAAGAAGAAAUUUUGUUAGAGAACAAUCGUUGACCAUGUCAUUGUUCUCAUUACCGUGCUACUUUCCAAUUUUUUAUCAAAAGUAACUUAAAGAUCAUGCUAAAUAAUACAUACACAGUUAGCAUAACAUACAAGGCGCAGCGCAACAUGUCAGCAUAAAUUCCCAGAAAGCGAAGGUCUAGAGAUUAUGAUACAAAAGGAGCACAAAGUUACUGCAGCAUACCUGUAUGCAAGGUGUAAUAUGAGUUCCAUUCAAUAUUAUUUUCUGUAGUUUUCCACCAAUAGAUUCCACUCAAGGCUUCAGUGUCUCUUCAAGAAUGUCAGUCUCAUCAAUUGCAUCAACAUUGAACUUGACCUGAAAAAAGAAUCAGAUAGACUAAAAAGUGAACAUCGAAGUUGGAGCAAUUCAAUCAAUUCUUGUACUUGAAUAACAUGCUCAAACCAGUAAUGUACACUGAACACUGUAUGACUUCUGGAAACAGUCGAGAUUCUUAGAGGGUGCUGGCCUCAACUCUGAAAUUCCUUCAGCAAGCUGAAGUAACAUCCAUUUGAGGCAGAUUGAGGAUUAGAGAAUGACCAGAAGACAGAAAGAGCAACUGAGGAUGCUCACCUCGGCCGCCCCGCAUGCCCGAGGUGAACUCACCUCGUCCGUCAUCAGAGCUCAUCCGUGUCUCGGGCAUAUCCCUUAAGCUCGGCCGGAUCCCCAGUCUACCGUGUAGGUGACCUCGGCACCUCCACCUCAGCUGCACGCGGAUGAUGCCAAGACACCUGACAUCAUCCCGGAUCAGUGCUUUAUCUGAAAAGCACUGUCGCACUUAAUGACUACUGCGAAGGACUCCUCGUCACCCUGUCCAGGCGGCUACAGUGUCAGAGUCAGGCCCCCCGACAGGGAGCAGACCCGUAAUGGCAGGACAUGGGUCCCACCGGCAUAAGACCUCCGUCCUGCCCUUCACUCUCACUCUAUAAAUACCCCACACACUCCCAACAAGUAAACACACUGUUCAUUCUCAUAUACUAUUAUCUUUCUCAUUCUCAUACUAACUUAAUCGUCGGAGUGAUACCAGGGGAGAAGCCCCGCCAUCCACUUCAGACGUGAGGAUACACCUCACUUCAUCUCAGAGGGGCUUGAUUCGGGUCGGUUCAACUACCCACCGAAAAUCACCUCUUCAAUUGGCGCCGUCUGUGGGAACGAGAUCACUGUUAAAAUGAGAUCCACGCGCUCCAGAAGCGGAAGAGUUCCCUCAAUUGGGGUUGGGCAGACCUCGGGAGCCCAGCAAGAUCGUAUUUCUGAAGAACAAGGGUCUCCAAGAACCCAGCCCAAUAACGAAGACGCCAUCGCCAAGAUGGCCGAGUUCGUGGCUGAUAACCCAAACAUCUUUGAAGAACUGGGGAGGUACUUCAAAAGGCAGGGGAAGGAAAAGGCCGAGUCUUCAAAGCGAAGGCCGACGAAGUCUCCUGAAGUGCCCUCAGGGGAGGACUCCGAUGAGGGGCGUCCCUCUCGGAGCACCUCUAGGCGCGCCUCCUCCAAGGCGACCUCUAAAAUGGCCUCCAUCUCCAGGGCAUUUUCCCGGGGACUGCUAGGGAAACGCGCCGAGAACCCACCUCGGCGCCCCGGGGGCCUAGCUACUGACUACAUGAGGGCUCCGCCCUUCACUGAUGACAUCAAUGGGGAGAUGGUGCCCCCAAACUUUAAGCUUCCAAAUUUGCACACCUAUGACGGCCGAGAUGACACCGAGGAUCACCUCCGCGCCUUCAUCUCCGCAUUCUGACUCUACUGCGUCCCCGACGCCGUGAUCUGUCGGGCUUUCCCCAUCUUCCUACACGGGACCGCCCGAAAGUGGUUCUGGAGUUUAGAACCGGGGAGCAUCUACUCCCUGGAUGAGCUGAUAGACCGGUUCAUCCACCGCUUCGUGUCGUCUCGACCAAUAACAAAGACUUCAGCUUACCUCUUGAACCUGCAACAGGGUCAGGGCGAGUCACUUCGCUCAUACGCCCAAAGGUUCAAUGAGGAGAAUGUACAGAUACCUGACCAGAACGAGCAGGUAACUAUCGCUGCCUUCACCAACGGGUUAGUGGCAGGGAUCUUUAACACCGAAAUCCAUCGGCAGUACCCCCAUACACUUCGGGAGCUCUGGGAAAGAGUGGACCAGGGAAUCCGAAGUGAAGAUGUAAAUCGCAUGAAGCGAGAAUCCCAAGCAUCUCGUACCGGGCAAGAUCCCCGGAGGAGGAAAGACACAGGCCGAAGUGAACAAGGCCGAGGUGAACAAGGCCCAAGUGGCACUUCAAACCAACUCCGAGACCGCCGAAGUGUCUUCGACCGGAUCGUGAAAGGCAGAUCAUCCAUCUCGGACGCCGAGCUGACCCCCCUCAAUUCGAGUUGGACCCACGUCCUGGCUGUGAUGAGGCAGAAUCACCUCGGCCGCAAUCCUCCCGAAAUUCCGGGGAGGAGAGAUAAAAGGAACUCGAACCUCUACUGUGCCUACCACCGUGAUGUAGGGCACGAGACUGAAGACUGCAAUGACCUGAAGCGGGAAAUCGAGAAUUUGAUCCGGCAAGGAUACCUGAAGCAAUUUGUCCGCAAGGAUGGAGGCUUCAACCGAAGCGUCUCCCACCGGGAGAACCGGGGCCCCCGCCGAGACGACCGACAAGACACGAACAUGCAUUGCCGAGGUCCCGAGGACCGUAGGGAGGACAAGCAGCCCCCACGCGAUGGCUCACCGGGCUACGGCCCCAACAUCGCCAGGGUGAUCAACACCAUCGCGGGAGGACCAACGGGAGGAGACAGCCAGAACUCCCAGAAGCGGACCUACCGCCAGGCCGAGAUGGAGGUGACCGAGCCGAGCUCUCGGCUGUCCGAGGUCAUCACCUACGGUCCCGCUGACCCCGUUCCUACGGCCUCCAGCAAUCAUGAAGCUCUUGUGAUUGAAGUCCUCACCAACAACUACGUAGUCAAAAAGGUCUACGUAGACCCCGGAAGCUCGGUAGACGUCCUGUACUACCGAACUUUCGAAAGUUUGAAACUGACCAGGGAGCAACUCACUCCUGUCAGAACUCCCCUCGUGGGAUUCGGGGGACACGUCGUCCACCCGGAGGGCAUGUUGACCCUGAUGGUAACAAUCGGGCGUCAUCCACGCUGCCGAACUGUGCCUGUCAGUUUUGCGGUGGUCAAAGCAGACUCCCCCUACAAUAUGCUGAUAGGCCGGCCCACGCUCAAUGCCUUGAGAGCCGUAUACUCCACCUACCACCUGAGCUUUAAAUUUCCAACAUCUGCGGGGGUGGCCGAGGUGAGCAGCGAUGUGGGCGCCGCCCGGGAGUGCUACCUCGCCACCAUUCAAGCAGCAGUCACCCCCCGGCCCUCACCGAGGUCAGAAGAAAAGAGACCAGCGGUCCUCUCCAUAGACUGCAUCAACCCUCAGAAGGCAGAAGAGCCCAACAGGCUGGAGCCCGGGGAUGAGGUGGAACUGGUGGUAGUGGAUGAAGCGAAACCUGACCAAGUGCUCCAAGUAGGGGCUGGACUACCCUCACCCCUGAAAGAAGAAAUGAUCUCCCUGAUCAAAGACCACCGAGACGUCUUCGCGUGGUCCGCGGAUGAAGUGGUCGGAGUGCCACCCGAGCUCUUGAUUCACCAACUCAACGUUGACCCACAGGCCCGACCUGUGCGACAGAAACGAAGGCACUUCGGCCCCGAACGUAGUCAGGCCAUAUCGGAUGAGGUCGACAAGCUCUUGCCGGCCAAAAUGAUCUACGAAGUCCAAUAUCCCACCUGGCUGUCCAAUCCAGUCAUGGUCAAAAAGGACACCGGUGGAUGGAGAAUGUGUGUCGACUUCACCGACCUCAACAAGGCCUGCCCCAAAGAUUGCUAUCCUCUGCCGAGGAUAGACGCCCUCGUCGACGCGGCGAUGGGGUAUGAAAUCCUCUGCUUCCUAGAUGCCUUCAAAGGGUAUCAUCAAAUAGGAAUGAGUGAGGAGGACCAAGAGAAAACGGCGUUCUACACCGACCGAGGUACUUAUUGUUACACUACCAUGCCCUUCGGGCUAAAGAACGCCGGGGCGACCUACCAAAGGCUGAUCAACCGACUCUUCCAGAAUCAGAUCGGCCGCAAUGUGGAGUCCUAUGUGGAUGACAUCCUCGUUAAAAGCCUCGCCACUUCAUCCUUUCUGUUAGACGUGAGGGAAGUCUUUGGAGUCCUACGAGACUCGAGGAUGAAGCUGAAUCCCAAGAAGUGCGUCUUCGGCGUCACCUCGGGAAAAUUCUUGGGGUAUCUGGUUUCCCACCGGGGAAUCGAGGCCAACCCCGACAAGGUGAAGGCCAUUCAGGACAUGUCCCCACCUCGGAACAUCCGAGAAGUCCAACGGCUAAAUGGACGCCUGGCCGCGCUGAAUCGCUUCCUGUCCCAAUCAGCUGAGAAAGCUCUGCCCUUCUUUAAGGUGCUCAAGAAGGCUGAUCAGUUUGCCCGGACGGAAGAGUGCCAGGCCGCUUUCGACAAGCUGAAGCAAUACCUCUAUCACCUACCAACUCUCGCUUCAUCUCGGCCCGAGGAGAAGCUCUACCUCUACCUCUCCGCAGCCGACGAGGCUGUCAGCGCUGUUCUUAUCCGGGAUGAGGGCACCCAAGUGCCAGUCUACUAUGUCAGCCGGGCUCUCCGCGGACCAGAGACUCGAUACACUCAGGUGAAAAAACUGGUGCUGGGGCUAGUCCACGCCGCUCGGCGGCUGUAGCCCUAUUUCUUGGCUCAUCCCAUAUCCGACAGGACCGACCAGCCUCUCCGACAGAUACUGGUUCGACCCGAGGCCUCCGGGCGUCUCACCAAAUGGGCUGUGGAAUUGGGAGAAUAUGACUUGUCAUACGAGCCCCGCACCGCCAUAAAAGCACAGGCCCUAGCCGAUUUUCUGGCCGAGUUGACCUUCACGGAAGGCCCAGAGUCCACCUCCGCCAGUGCCGAGGUGUCCACCUCAUCCCUGUGGAUAUUGUAUGUAGAUGGAUCCUCUAAUGGGGAUGGCAGCGGAGCUGGGCUACUCCUAGAAGGACCUCAGGGAGAAGUGUGCUCUUAUGCCCUCCGCUUUGGCUUCCCAGCCACCAAUAAUGAAGCCGAGUACGAGGCCUUAAUCGCUGGACUCCAACUGGCCCGAAGGCUCGGCGCACAACAAAUCCACGUCCGCAGUGACUCCCAACUCGUCGUACGCCAAGUCCUUGGUGAGUAUGAGGCCAAGGAUGAGACCAUGCAACGGUACCUCUUCAAAGUACACCAACUCACCGCGUACUUCGAGUCCUUCGAAAUCCAAAGAAUACCCUGUUCCCAGAAUAAGCGAGCCGACGCCUUAUCCCGGCUGGCUUCUACGUCAUUCUCUGAGCUCAACAAAACUGUUUUAGUGGAAGUCCUGAGUGAACCAGGAUAUGUGGAAGAGGUGGCCUGCCCCGUGCACUCUGAAGAAACAUGGAUGACCCCAUUCAUCCUUUUCUUGGGUCAGGGAGCCCUCCCUGAAGACCGAGCCGAGGCGAGAAAAAUACAACGCAAGGCGGCUCGGUACGCUCUCCGCGAUAGAGAGCUGUACAAACGUUCCUACCUCGGUCCAUGGCUGAGGUGUGUCACUCCCGAGACAGGACGCCACGUCCUCCAAGAGAUCCACGAGGGCUUGUGUGGAGCUCACGUCGGCCACAGAAUGCUAGCCAAGAAGGCUCUGCUUCUUGGAUAUUUCUGGCCCUCAGUUCGGCAAGACGCCCAAGACCUCGUCCUCGGCUGCCCUUCCUGCCAAGUCCACGCGCCCGAGUAUCACCAGCCCGCCAACUUCAUGGUUCCCAUCACUUCACCCUGGCCAUUCGAGCAAUGGGGGACAGACAUCAUAGGUCCUUUCCCCAGAGCCGUCGGGGGUCAUACCUUCCUGGUAACCGCUGUGGAUUACUUCACCAAAUGGGUUGAAGCCGAGCCUCUGAGGACCAUCACCGGGCUGGCAAUUCAAAAAUUCUUUUGGAAAUGCAUCGUCUACCGCUUCGGCAUACCUCAGGUCAUCAUCUCGGAUAAUGGGAGGCAAUUCGCCGAGAACCCCUUUAAAAGUUGGUGCACAAACCUUGGCAUCAAACAACAUUUCACUUCGGUAGGCCAUCCCCGGGCCAACGGCCAAGCAGAAAACUUCAACCGAACUCUCUUGCACGGCCUUAAGACCCGACUACACCGAGCUGGAACAUCCUGGGUCGAAGAACUCCCCAGUGUCCUGUGGUCUUAUCGGACCACGCCGAGGUCAGCCACGCAAGAGACCCCAUUCUCCUUGACCUACGGAGCUGAGGCUGUCAUCCCCGCCGAGAUCCUCACCCCUAGCCCCCGACUGGCAGCCUAUGCCGCCGAGGUGAACGACGAAGAGAGACAGAUGGAUCUCGACCUCGCCGAUGAACGAAGGGACCUCGCCUCAGCCCGGAUAGCCUCCUACAAGAACACACUGGCACACUAUUACAAUGCCCGUGUCAGACACCGUAGAUUCCAGCCUGGAGACUUGGUUCUGAGAAAAAACUCAGUCAGCCGAGCUGAACCGCAAGGGAAACUAUUCCCAAAGUGGGAAGGCCCUUACCGAGUUGUGGAGUCUGACCUUAAGGGAUAUUGUAAACUAAGCUACCGAGAUGGCUCACUAGUGCCGAGGUCUUGGCACUCCGAGAACCUCAAAAUGUAUUAUACUUGAAUUUUUAAUCAAGUUAUGACUUCGGAUCUUAUGUUAUUUUUCAACAUCGGUUCUACGUUAUUAAAAAAUAAAGGGGGACAAGCAAGGGACGAAGUCAAAGCAGACGAAGUCAAAGUAAGAAAUUAAAGUGCUGAGGUGAAAAGAAAUAAACUUUCAUUCAAAAAAGAAGAGCGUUACAAAAAAUACAAGGCCGAGGUCGGAGUGCUACUAAGCACUCUCCACCUCGGCCACCCCUUUAAGACCCACGAGCCUAGACCCCUGUCUCGGCUCCAUUCCCCUUCUCGGCUCCCUCCUGGGCAGCCUUUUCUCCGGCCUCCUCUCCACCGGGGUGAAGCUCUUCUCCAUGCUCUUCGCCGAUGUUCCCUCCAGACACUUCACCCGUCCCUUCGCCGAGGCCUACCUCGGCUUCUUCUCCUUGGCCCUCCUCGAACACUUCGUCGAGUUCAGACAGCCAUUUGUUGAACUCGUCUUGGAUCUCGGCCAGGUUCCUUCCAUUUUGGAUGCCCUCGGCCAUCCGGUCACACAAUUCCUUGGAAUCUUCAUUGUAGUGAGCAUUGUCUUUCAGUGACUCCAAGGCUUCAGAUGAGAGGUGGGCUGCGGCCGCGUCCACACCCGACGUGAAGCCAAACAUGAAGCUCGGCGUAAGCAGUUGGCCGAGAUCCUUGGUAAAGGACUCAGACCUCCGAAAUGCGUCCACUGCCGAGGCCCCAACACUGUUGAGGGCUUGCUCAUGAGACUUCUUCACCUCCUCCCCCCUCUUCUGUUCUUCUUCGAGGGCCGAUCUGAGACUGUUCAUAGUAACCUCGGCCUCCUCACCCUUAGCUUCGGCCUCCUUGAGCUGCCUUUGAAGCUCGGCCUUCUCAGACUCGGACACCGCCAAUUUCUUCUCCAACUUGGAGAUCUGAUUUUGCAGCUUGCCUGUGUCCUGCUCCUCGACCAUAGCACAGUACCGGUGUGCCAUCUCGGCAACAAAGGCUGAGUUGGAGGCCGUGGUCACCAUGAGACUCUGAACCAUCUCGGCCGGGGUCAGCUUCUUCAUGAACUCCAAGUCCCUUGACAGGGUGGAGUGCAUCACUAGCUCUUGGGCAACCCGAGGAUGGCUGCACCUGUCGUUGACCGAAAGCUUCCAGUUCGGACACCAGUGCUCGCCAGAGUGUGUCUUCUCCUCCCCGGGAAACACCGGGGGGCUAUGGAAACGGUUCCAUAGCGAGGUCCCCGACACUGCAUUGACUGGGGGCUUCAGCUGCUUGCCUCGGCCAUGAGGUGGGAGUGCCGUGGUGACUCCAAGAGGCACUCCCUCGGGCACGGACGAGGUGGACCCCGUAGCCGCGGUGGCCGAGCUGCUUUGACCAACCGGGGUGGGAGUGCUUUUAGCCGCCGAGGUCUUGGCAGCUGGUCCUUGUGAUUUCUUCUUUGGCGGAGGUGCCGAUGUCUCGCCAGAGCUUUUCCUCUUCUGCCUUUUGGCCACCUCGGACGAGCCCGAUACGACGAUGUCGGACAGUUUAGUCACUGCACAAGAAACAAAUAUUAUCAUAUGCCUUAGCCGAAGUGAAAGCAAAGUUAUGAAAGAAAAUUACAAGGAAUCUUAAGUUUGGUGGAAGUGAAGGGAGUUUUGUCAGGACUGAGCAAAGCUCGGCUGACUCCUCCAUCAACCAGCACGGCUUCGGGGUAGUCUAGGCUAUAUAUCCGAAAUCCUGACCCCAUCAGCUUCUGGAAGUCCUCCUCCUUGGCAUCCCCAGCGGAGGGAUCGGCUUUCGCUUUGAUUGGCCUCCACCAGAAACCUCUGGGAAAGUCCACUUCGGACACAAAGAAGAAGUCGCGUUUCCAAUUCUUGAUUGAGCUGGGAGAACCGACCACCAACUUCGGAAUGGCAUUGUUCCGAUUGCUAACAAAAAACCAUCCCUUGUCUGUCCCGUGCGCCUUGAGGGUAUAACAUCGGCAGAAGAGGUCGACAGAGGGAGCCACCUCCUGAUGUCGGCACAGCAUCUCGAACCCUAUAAUGAUGCGGAUCGCGUUCGGGGUGAGUUGGGUAAUCCUCACGCCGAAGUGACGAAGCAAGUCCCUGAAGAAUCUCGACGUGGGCAUCCUCAGCCCGGCCUCUAACUGUUGGACAUAGAUGGCCACUGUGCCCAAGGGGGGCUUUUCGGCUGAGUCAUCUGCCCCGGCCGGUAUGAUCUCGUACCCCGACCGGAAAGGGUACUUGUUCAUCACCUUCACGGCCCUAUCUCUUCCGAUGCGACUUCUAAACUUCGGCAUCUUGCCGAAGUCGAUGUUGGCUAGGUCCUUGGGAGCGACAGGCUCCAGGGCGUCCUCGUCGUGUGGUGUCUCGACGCCGAGCUCCUCAUUGUAGUCCACCCCGGAACCACCCUCGCUCAUCUCGGAUGACUCCAACUCCGAGGCUGCCCCACUGGCUCCCGCCUCGGUUGAUCCCUUCUCAGAACUCGGGGUCGACCCUUCCGAGCUAGACGUCGUCGCUUCUUCCCGAGGAUCCGGCCUCACCUCGGUCAGGUAGCUCGGAGUUAUGGUCUCUCUGUGGGUCUUAGCCGUUUUGGCCAUGGGUGAAAGAUGAAAUAAGAAAGAAAAAGGGUACUUACUAUUGCCUACGGAACUGGACGAAGUGGAUGACCUCGGAUCUGAUCUCGGCUACUAUAUUGACCUCGGCUACGCUCGCGAACUUUGCAGGUCUCGGAUGAAAAUGAAAGGUGUGGGAAGUGCGGUGAGGGGGACCCCCCUAUUUAUAAGGGUUUGGGGAGAAUCCGAAGAGGCGGCAAGAAUGUGAAAGGACGGCCACGUUCGAAUUCAAAGCGUCGUGCCUCCCUCUCUCCUCAUUAAUGCCCCGUCCUUUCAGCUGACACCCUCUGCACGAAACGUCCCACUACUUCACGACGCGACGGUUACCAGUGACCACGUCCUGUCAACUGACACGCCCACGUGUCGCGUCCCCGCAUCUUCCGGGGCAGUUUCAGGACUCCGACUCUCUACAACUUCGGCCCAAGGAAGCCUCGGUACCUCCCUGGCCCGGAGCUUCCGAGGCUUGGGGGGCUUAUUGAGGAUGCUCACCUCGGCCGCCCCGCAUGCCCGAGGUGAACUCACCUCGUCCGUCAUCAGAGCUCAUCCGUGUCUCGGGCAUAUCCCUUAAACUCGGCCGGAUCCCCAGUCUACCGUGUAGGUGACCUCGGCACCUCCACCUCAGCUGCACGCGGAUGAUGCCAAGACACCUGACAUCAUCCGGGAUCAGUGCUUUAUCUGAAAAGCACUGUCGCACUUAAUGACUACUGCGAAGGACUCCUCGUCACCCUGUCCAGGCGGCUACAGUGUCAGAGUCAGGCCCCCCGACAGGGAGCAGAGCCGUAAUGGCAGGACAUGGUUCCCACCGGCAUAAGACCUCCGUCCUGCCCUUCACUCUCACUCUAUAAAUACCCCACACACUCCCAACAAGUAAACACACUGUUCAUUCUCAUAUACUAUUAUCUUUCUCGUUCUCAUACUAACUUAAUCGUCGGAGUGAUACCAGGGGAGAAGCCCCGCCAUCCACUUCAGACGUGAGGAUACACCUCACUUCAUCUCAGAGGGGCUUGAUUCGGGUCGGUUCAACUACCCACCGAAAAUCACCUCUUCAGCAACAAAGCCAUUUCACCAUUUGACAGAUAAAUGAUGGAGAUAUAGACAUGUUCAGCCACAAAGGUGGCAGGAUUUGUUUUCCAGGUUGGAUAGGCAUCAUGAUGUAAGUGGGAUGUCACCUGAUUAAAAACAGCUGGCAACUGAUCAACAAACUUGUUGACUGAAACUGCCACUUCUGGAUCGUAAUUUGGAAUCAUGGUUCCAGGAGUAUCAAGUAGUCCUUUCCAUGCAUCUGCUGUAUAUUAGUAUCAAUGAAAGGAGAAGGCAUUAGAAUUAGAAAGACAACAUAAGCAAUUAUUCAACCUCAUCAGCUAUAUAUCUUCAAUCAAAUGAAGCAUUGUAUCAUACCUAUGAAAAAAAUCCAAAUUUGAUUUUAAAACCAUUACUAGGAUAUUUUCAUUACUACUUGAAGGCUUGCCUUGGUUUACAGAGAUACCUUAUAUUUGGUAAUUGUGAUACUUGGGGAGUGUCUCGCCCCAUUUUUUGCGAUGAAAAUAAGUAUUUAUAAAAGAUGUGAUUUUAUUUAAAAAUAAGUAAAAAAGGACUUAGAAUGAGACUUGAAAGAAUGCGAUAGUUUGGAUCCAAAAUUUAGUCUAAAAGAGUUUUUUAAAAAAAUAGGAGUCGCCACUUGGUAUUGAGUUUGGGUGUACCAAGUCACCCAAAAAUAUUUUUGACAAAAAUAUUUUAAAAUAAAACCCUUUUCGACAACUCCAGAUCUUUAAAAAAACAAAGGAAAAUGAUUUCGAAAGUCACGGUUGAAGAAAGGAAAGGCAAAGGUUGGAUUAAGUCACACUUAAGGCACCCUUUCAACCUAGUCUAAGCUAGUUGCGAGAUUUAGUCAAAGUUUUCCUAAUCUAACUCUUAAUUUUAUCACGCUUGGAUGUUUCUUACAUGGUUGCAAAUCUAAAUUUAGAAAAUAUCAAAAAGGACAAAAUGUUCAUUCAACGGUUUAAUUGAUACCAAUCGCAUUAAUUGCGAAGACCAAAAUAAUUCCUUGAAAGUGUCGCGAGUAUACAAAUGAUGAAAUUAAAAGAAAAGAAAAGAAAAUUAAAUUACAUACAUAGGUAUAAAUGAUCAAAGGAAAAGGAAAUGUAGCAUAAUAGGUAUGGAAGGCAAAAACUCGUGACAUAAUUUUCUUAUACAGGGAUUAAUAGGAUAUUUAAACUAAAGAGUUAUAAUCAUCCAUUUCCCAUGUUCAAAGAAUAAUUUUCCUAAUCUAGACAAGCAAAUGAACUAACUUAUUUUUGUAAUUUUUUAAAUGAGAUGCAAUUCUAAAUGAUAUGAUUAACACAUUUAGAGGGUAGGGGGUGAAGAAUAAUAUAAUAGGAAAUAUCAUGCAAAUGAGAAAAAAUCCUAAAAAAUGUGCAUGAAAAUGUAAUGAAUGUCACACAAGAGAUGAAUCUAACGCACGAACGAUCUAAGAGUUUUGCAUUGAACUAGCCCAUUUCUAAAGAACCUUACUAGCGUUGGACUAGCAAGCAAGCGGAAAAGAAAGUCACAACUAGCGUUAAAUUAGUGUGGUGACACCAUGCAUUAAUAAUACAUAGUAAAACAAAUAAGGUAUAAAUUAAAACAAAUAAACACAUAAAAGCACGUAGCACAUAACAUAUAAAUAUAAUAUCUAUAUGCAAAAAUUUUAAAAAAAGCGGAUAAAGCACAUAACACAUAAGCUACAUAAAUACACAAAAACUUAUCUAUUACAGUGGGGAAUCUAACUACAAUCUAAAAUGGGGAAAUAAAAAAAAAUCCUAUCUACCCUAUAUAUUAUAAUAGGGGACCUAAUUACAAUCUAAGAUGGAAAAAAUAUGAUAAAAUAAACCUAGUUAUCCUAUCUAUUACAUUAAGCUAUCUAAUUACAAUUUUUGUAAAGAAUAUUACCUAUCUAUUACAUUUUGAGGUAUUUAAAUACCUCCCAAAUAAUUAUAAAAUUAACUAAACAAACAUAAGAAAAUUUGAAUGAACAUUUGAAUCAAAUAAAUAAAGCAUAUAAAAAUAUAUAAACACAUAAGAACAUGUAAGAGCAUAUAAGAGCACGUAAUCGACAUUUAAAUAAUAUUAGGGGUACCUCCAUUUUUGAAGUGGUAAUUCAAUAGAGUCAAAUUGUCCUAGUUAUAUCCAAAAUGAACAAAAGAAUCAUGGUACCAAUUUAAUUGAAAAUAAUAAUAAUGAUAAAAUACUAAAUUCACAUUAACAUGUCAAACAUAAAGGAAUUUAAGAACAUCUAAAAAUCACAAGUUAAAUAUGUUCAAAAGUAACAUAAUUAGCUAUUAAAGAAAAUAAACAAUUAUAAUAGACUGUCAAAAUUCACUAGGGACCGAAUUGCAAAAAUUAAAAAUUGUUGGGGUAAAAAAUAAUUUUUCCAAAAUUUAGGGGUCAAAAUUAAAUAAAAGAUAAAGUUUAGGGACAAAAUUGAAAUUAAAUUAAGGACCUAAUUAAAAAUUUUAAAAUUCUGGACCACAAUAAAAUUACUCCAAAGAUUAGUGGCUAAAGUGCAAAUUUCAGUUUCUGGUUUGGGCAAGAAAAGGCCAUCGGGCCUUUUUUUUUGCUUGGGCCGAAAAUUCCUAAACCCAGUCGAAACCCAAAACAAAUAAGCGGUCCAGCCUAUCCUUUUAUCACUCAAGCCCGACCAAAAAUGCAUGGGGUCUGACCUCCUAGCACAAGCCGAAACCCAAAAGAAACAAACCAAAACCCAUUCCCAUAACUUAACCAAAAUAACCAUAAGCCCACCACACAAAAAAAAACAUUAGCCCAACACUUUUUUUUUUCUUUCUUUUCCUUCUUUUCUUUUUCUUCUUCUUCUUCUUCAGUUUUCUUCUUCUUCCACCCGAGAAGCUGAAUCUUCUCCUUGCUGGCGGCUAUGGCCACCUCCGGCGGAGCCAGCGCCGGACCGCCACCGGACGCAAAAUUUUCGGUUACCAAAUUUUCUCAAAAUACACCCCCUCACUCGAUUUUUUGCGUAGAUUCCAUUUUUGGGCUUAGUUUUUACAAAAAAGGAACCAAAAGUGGCGAAAAUAGCAAAAGUCAGUCCAGUUUUAUUUUUUUUUCAACACUCAAAUCUUCACCAAAAACCAUAAAAUUUAGAGUGAAUGGCCCAAAAGGUCAUUAAACUAUUAAAAAUGGCACCCUUUCGUCAUCAAACUUUUUUUGUGGUCCAAAAAGUCACUAAACUCACAAAAACGCACUAGCGAGGUCAUUUUACUGAUUUUUAGCAGUUUCUCAUCCGGUGGCACCGGCAAGGUGGAGUGGAGGAAUAUUUUUUAAGGGGCAAAAAUGUCCAAUAAAAUAUGACAGACCUGUUUUGUCCCCGCAAGCCGUGCCCUUGGAUCUAAAACUUCAUUGAGCCCUUCUUUCAUCUAUUAGACAAAUCUUCUUUCAUCUUCCCCAUUCUUGCGGCUCACCACUUCAAAAUCUACUCUUGUGGCUCUCGGAAUGCCAUGACUAUAAUAGACUCCGACAAGACUCUUAUUUGCCUCCGCAACGCCUGCAAUUUCGUCGGCAACCUCGUCAGGUUAAAAGGGCAGUUUCUUUUCGUCAACACCAACACCCUUUUCGACGAAAUCAUCGAGGAAAUGACGAAAGCUAUUGGGAUUAAGAAUGACAAGUCGUGGCGUCUUGAAGGCUUUUUAACAAACAGUUCGAGUCCCAAAAAGUUUCGCGGCCGGAAUAAGAAGUUGAACUUGGGAGCCAUUCACGCUCCUGAUUGUGUGGUGAUUUUCGAUACGGAGAGGAAGUCUUCGGUUAUUUUGGAGGCUGAAUGGUUGCAAGUUCCGAUUGUGGGGCAUGUUGAUUCGAGUAUGCCGUGGGAAACUUAUAAGAAGAUUACUUAUCUGGUGCGUGCCAAUGAUUCAGUUCAAUUUGUUUACUUAUUUUGUAAUUUGAUCACUAAAAUUUUUUUGUAUGAGCAAAGAAAAAUGAAGACUGCACAAGGGGCAGAUGAUUUAACCGCUGGGACUCGGUAUGAACUCUACUAAUUUUACUUUUUGUGUUCAUUUUUGAAGAAAGAAGAUUUCUCUCUGAAUAGAUGAAAGAGAGACUCAAUGAACUUUUAGAUCUAAGGGCACGGCUUGCGGGGACAAAACAGGUCUGUCAUAUUUUAUUGGACAUUUUUGCCCCUUAAAAAAUAUUCCUCCACUCCACAUUGCCAGUGCCACCGGAUGAGAAACCGCUAAAAAUCGGUAAAAUGACUCCUCUAGUGCGUUUUUGUGAGUUUAGUGACCUUUUAAGCCACAAAAAAAGUUUGAUGGCCAAAGGGUGCCAUUUUCAAUAGUUUAGUGACCUUUUGGGCCAUUCACUCUAAAAUUUAUACUACAACACUCCUUGUGAUUUUUACAACAUAACUAUGAACGGAAAUUAAUAAAAGCAACAACAAAUAUGACAAAAUUAAAUCAAAACAGUCCUAAAAAUAAAAAAAAAAUCCUUCAAUACUUUUGAGACUCAAAACUCCAAAAACUUGGAUAACCAAACAUUUUCCGGGCCUUGUGCUAGUUAGGACCAUCUAUCUUGACAAAAUAAGCACAAAAGAUUCACUAAAUUGAUUCAUUUUUCGGUUUGACAUUUUUACAAACACUUAAUAUGCAUUCACAGAAAUCCUCUUUUCCUCUUAAUAUUAUUCGUGACUUACCCCAAAAAAUUCAACAAACACCAGCAGCCAAUUUCUUUCACAAAACCCACAAAAUUAUUGAUCAUCAAGGCCGAAGAAAAGAAGAGAAAAAAAAACCGAACCAGUUUGCAUUAAAAAAAGAAUCAAAUAAAUCUUUGCCAAUUUUCCAGGAGCUAUCUCGUUGGAGUCAAAAUAAAAAUAAAAGGAGAGACUUACAAUAGUUUUACAAUGGCGAUUAUUAUGGCAGUGGUGGUGGUAAUGGCACUAGCAGCAAGCUCCCAACUUCACCCUUGAUCUUGCCUUUCACCUUCUUUUGCCCCCCUUUUUUUUUCGGUUUGUGAGAGAAAAUGGCUGCAGAAGGAAGGAGCUGAGAGAGGGAAGUGAUUUUGUAUUGGUGCGUGAUGGUGUAUGAGAUUGAGAGGGAGGGAAAAAGAGGGGAGCCGAGAGGGAGUAUUGGAGUUUUUUUUUUUAGCUGUCUGAUGGUGUGUUUGUCUGUCUGGGAGCAAAAGAAAAGGCCGAGAGGGAGUAUUAACAGAGUGGAGUUUGUGGCUUGUGUUGGUCAAAGAAAUGAUGGACUUCCAAAUGACAAGAAAAGUGCAUGGAAAUAACAUGAUGAACUUUUUGACGAAAAUGAUGAGAAAUGUUAAUGAGGAUGGAGUGUAAAAAUAGAUUAAUAGUGGUUUUGAUAAAACAAAAUGAUUAGGAUGAUUUUUGAUUCCUUGAUUUCUUGAUUUUGUUCUUUUUUUUCUUUUUUUUUUAAACCAACCUAAAAAUAAAUAAAAUAAAGAUGAAAUAAAUAAAAAAAUAUGCACAUUAAAAUACAAGAAAAUAAAUAACUCAUUAAAUAGAUAAAAUUCAAGAAAAUAUUAAAAUUGAUAAAAUUUUGAUAUCUACAGGGGCUAAUUACUCAGAAUAUAGGUAAGAAAAAAAAAUCGGAGACUUAUUAGUCUGACACAUGCUGGGUAUAAAUCUAUUGUUGCAGCCCGGCACCUGACACCAAAUUUUUUUUUAAAAAAAAUAUGUCAGGUGCCAGGCUGACACAACUCGUCACCUGACCCAAUUUUUUUUUUAAAACAUGGCAAGUGCUGGGCUGGGCUGACACAGCCCGGCACCUGGCAUCAAAUUUUUUUUUAAAAAAAGAUGUCAGCUGCCAGGCUGACACAACCCGUUACCUGACCGAAUUUUUUUUUUUCUAAAACAUGGCAGGUGCCGCAUCCAGUCAAAAGUUUUGCUUUGGGACUUAUUAGGGACUUACCCGGAAGUCUUGGGACUUAUUAGGGACUUACGACGAAUUGUGUCAUCUGGGAUUUGAAGCAGUUGCAUUAAUCCAUCUAAUUGUGAUUGCUUGCUUCCUCUUGCACCAAACUUCCCAAAGUUCCUUUGAACUCGUCGUGAACGUCCCAUGGUACAGUAGGGUUUGGGACAGGAAUCUCAUGCGGCCAUAUGUAACUGUUUUGUUAACUGGAACCAUGUGGCUAUAUACAACUCUUUUCCUUUUAAAUGGGUAUUAUUGGGUAUAUUUUGAAUUAGGUCUAAUUCUAUAUUUUACAUACCCAUUCCACCCAAAUUAAACUUGGGUAUGGGAGCCCAUUGGAUCUUAGAACUUUUUGCCAGUCUAAUAACAUUGCACAGCAGAAACUUUAUUAAUAUUUCUUUCAAGUGUAGGUGGGAUUACACUCCAUCCCCUGUAUCACUCAAUUUAUUCCUUUCUUUAAAAACUUUAUUAAUAUCUUAAACACCAAUAAAGCUCAAGAAAAAAUUCAUACAUAUCCUCCACCAACGAUUUAGACGUUUCAAGAAGAAACCUAUAAUUGAUUGACCCUAAUAAAACACCAAUUAUACAUACUUGGUAAACAAGAAAUUAGCUAAUAAAACACCACUUACCAAUAAGAAAACUAUUAGAAAUUUUGACUUCAAUAUAACCCUUGGAAAUUAAAUAAGAAUCUGCUUUAUUUGUCCACUCAAAGAUGUGAUACUUCAUUUUGCUACCCUUAAUGUCCUUUGCGUCUAAUUUAUCCAAAUUACAUCAUCUCCAAACCCUUGAUCCUAAUUUUUAAACCACUCGUAAUGAGUGGGGGAAGAAAAACUUUCAACAAAAAAAAAAAUGAACUAGGGAUAGGUAUGGUUAGAAAUUUCAUAUCAUUAUUGUACUUUCUAUAUUAUAUGGUUAGAAAUUUCAUAUGAUUAUUGUACUUUCUAUAUUAUAGUAUGAGAAUGGCUGGAAAGAAGAAAUCAAAUCCUGCAUGUAGAUCUAACAAUUAAUCUAAUUAAAUAUUAGUUAAGAUAUAUUUCAGGUAUCAUAUUUUUUAAAUUAUAAGAUUAAUUAGAAAAGGUAAAUAAAUAUAAGAGAAAGUAUGUAAGAUUAAAUAGAAAAAAUAUAUAAAUGCAAGAGAAGCUAAUAAUUAUUAGUAUGUAUAUAUAUACAUGGCAAAUGUGUAACAUUGAAUUCAUCCCUCUCCCGCGGUAUCUUUCUUAGUAUUUAAGUACACUCAAAACAUCUUUGGGGAAUCUACACAUUGUUCGGCACAUGCAUUGCAAAAGUGGUCUUUCCUUAAUAUUUGGUCCAAAUAAUACAUCAAUUAUAAAAUACUUGGUAAACAAGAAAUUAGCUAAUAAAGCAACACUAACCAAAUAAGAGAACAAUCCCAAAUUUGACUCCAAUAAAACACCUAGAAAUUAAAUAGGAAUGUGCUUUAAAGUUGAGAUACUGCAUUUAGCCACCACUAAUGUUCUUCAAUUACAUCUCCCCCAAUUCUUGAUGCUGAUUUUCAAACCAUUGGGGAAAGCACACGUAAGUGAACUCAGCGGCAGCUUCCACUUUCCAAGACGUGCCAUGUAAUGGUUUGUAAAGAUCAAAGGGUAAUUAAACUAUCUGGACGAGAUGCCUUAUAUUCUUUGCAAUUUUUUACCGCUGACUAAUCAGAACAUUUCUCCAUUACUUCGCCAGAUCCUAGUUUUUUUCUAAUUAGCAAAAAAAAAAUAAAAAUUCCAUAAUAGUUGUAACGAGAUCUAACACAGGCAGGAAUUCUUAGCUUUAGGAAUUCUAUAGCUCUGCCAGCUUUUUUAAAAAGCUUAAAAAUUUGGUGUCAGGUGCCGGGCUGUGUUAGCCCGGCAACAAUAGAUUUAUACUCAGCAUGUAUCAGACCAAUAAGUGUCUGACUUUUUUUUUUUUUUUUUUACCUAUAUUCUAAGUAAUUAGCUAAGUAAUUAGCCAUCUACAGGGAGGUUUUAAUAAAAGUUUCAAAAAUAAUAAUUUCAAGGUCUUGAAUUGAUUUCUGUUUCUUGUAAAUCAUAAAAAAAAAAUGAGAAGACAAGUUAAUUAUAUGUCACUCUUGUGCUAUAUUGCUUGUUCUGGAAUAAUAAAGUACAUGAAAUAUAGCCUGCCAUAGUUUGCCGGUAAAUACCUCUGUAUUCCCUAAGACCCUAAAAACAAUAUUCUACUCCCUCAACACAAAAUAGAAGAACGAUGUUUUAGAUGAUCUAAAGCCUGACAUCAAAACACUUCAUGCAUUAAGUUUCUCUUCUUGAUAAAGCCCAGUUUUCAAGCAUCAAUCUGCAUCGCAGUGUUAUAAAAGCUUUACGCACGAUUAGCUUGAUGAAGGAUUAAAUCCAUCACACUCAUAUCUUCAGGAAUAAAUGAGAAACAACAUUAUGUGGGUUAUGUGAAGGAAGGACUUAGGAGGACUCGUAGAUUACAGCCUAGCAUAUGCAGACUCCCCGUCCCCACAACCCCCCCUCCACCCUCGGCCCAACACAAUAAGAGAGAGGGGGUGUGGGAAGCUUCUAUGGUUCAGGAAAAUAAUUGGAUUGCGAUUUUCUGUAAAAAAAAAAAUUUACGUUUUCCGUGAACACAUUCCCAAUCACCUUUUCACCUCACAGUACAUUUUCCUUCAAAAAUUCUUAAAAAUAGCAAUCCAAACAAGGCCACACAAUGAAUUAAUUGUUAGUAAACUUUUGCAAAAUUAAGAAAAAGAAACCAAAUGCAAGAGUACAAAUUAUUUAGUUUUAUACAAACCAAUAAAAAUUACUUUUUUUUGUUACUGCUACACUUGCUAUCCACAAUGAAAAUGCACAUAUUAACAUUUGAAAGGCGUAGAAAAGUUGGCAUAAACGUGCCCCAAAUUUCUCCUCCCACUUCAAUGUUGGCAUUUUUAUCUCUCAAUUAUGUUUUGCAAAUAUCCGUAGAGGUAGCAAGGCUUAUUUUGUUGUACAAAAGAAUGAAUCCAUAUACUUUCUCGGCUUUUCCUUCCAUUUUACGCAGUUGAUUUAAAAUUUUCAGUUGAUAUUUGAAUUUUGAAUCAGUUCAUUUGCCCCAAACGAACCACGUUAGGAUUUCAAUACAUUUUUUACUUUUUUAUUCUGCCCACUUAUUAUAACGAUGUUGUUUUUGGUCUAGCAACGGGACCAGUAGAGAUAGUUUCGCAUCUCGUCGCAUUUUGUGAGAGGAUUGUUCAGGAACGGUCAGCCUAGUGACCGAUCCUACCCGAAAUAUACCUAAAAGCACAAAACAUGGCUCUUACAUUAUCUCUCUCAUAAUAAAUGAUGGUGGGCCAUUGUACUUUUGCUUCACAAGUUUGUCCCCCAUUCUUUUUUUUGGAGGGGGGUGGCAAAUAGUGUAAUUUAUACGAAAUUUUACACUAUAUCAAGGGCAUUUUUUGAAAGUUGAGGAGGGAGGGCAAUUGUCCACCCUCAACUAUUAAUAGCUCCACUCUUCCAAACAAGCUGAACUAGCUCUUGCACAAAAUAUAAAAGUUAUAACCUUUUGAAUUAGCUUUCCAAUGCAUCAAAAAUCAUAUCAUUUGGGACUCUGUAGGCUAAGAAAUGAUAGAUUUCUCCCUGACUAGUCAACAGCCAUUUUUAGAUUUUGGUUUUUUAAAAAAAUGCAUCUCUGUAUUUUAAAUUUUUGGCCCUCGCAAUAUGCAAAUUGGACUUCGAUGUCUUCAUAAGAAAUGUAGCCUAUCUAAUACAUGUAGUUCAAGUUAUAGUUGAAAAACUCCGAUGUGUCAAGGUAGCCAAUCUUCGUUGCCACUUAGAGGCUUUGUUAGCCUGGAUAGGAUGAAUUUCCCUUACCUCAGAGUUUAAUUGCUAUGUACUCCUGCACUUUCUCGUGAAAAAAAAAAUGUACUUAAUGUCACUUGAAAUCACUUCAAAUAAUCAAAAAUCAUGCAAAUAUAUUCUCGCUUUACUCCAUUUGAUGAUUGAAUAAUCAAAACCUACAAAAAAUAUGAAGUUUUAAUCGCUUAAAUACAUAGAAAUGCAAUUUUUCUUACUUAAUCAUAAAAUACAAACUUCACUAGAGAGCUAGUUAAAUUAGCUCUUAAAAUGACUAAAAAAUGCCAAAAACUACAUAAUAAAACACACUAAAAAUAUGCAAAUAAAUAGUUAUGAAAAUUUCUUUGUGCAAUUGAUCAAGUAUAUAAAAAUUUAAAAAAAAAUCAAUAGUUGAAUGAGGUAUGGUUAGAAAAUUGAAAUGAAAAAAAAAAUCAACAGUUGUCAAGAAAAGAAGUUAACGGUAAUUUUUGUUUGGUGGGUGGAGAGCCAAGGGAUGUGAGUAGAUGUAGUUUGGAAAAUCAAAGCAUUGUGACUAAAAACGUUUUAAUUAGUCAUUCAAUGGAAUAAAAGAGAGUAGUGCGUGUAGAUACCAUGGAUGAAUGAUAACUAUGCAAAAUUUGAAUUCGAAAUUUAAUUUUUGCAUGUGUCAUGGAUCCAACGGUGAUAGUGUAUACACUGUCAGUGUAUAUAAGUUUUACUCUUUAAUUAUAUGCUGUUAUCACUAACCUAUGGUAGUGCUGAGACCUCAAGAAAACCAUCUUGCUUCUUUUUCCUUUUUUUUUUAGCUCAUUGGAAACUAUAGCUUAACUAAAAUGGUAGUGUUUGAGGUUCGAACCAGGGACCUCACCAUCUCUGGUUAAUGCUAUUCCAGUUGAGUUAGUUUUGUAAGGUAAAUUUUCUUGAUCAUCACUCAAAAAACUUGGGGGCCUCCCCAUUUCACACGUGAGGCUAUAGCAAUACAACGUCUUGUGUAAAUAUUGCUGUACCCAAAAUGUUCCAAGAACACUAACAUUUUUUAGAAUUUCCACAAUAUAAGGAUCCUUGGCAUGAAAAUGGCAUUAUACAAUUACACUUCUACUGGACGUUACUACAACUUCAACAGCAAGAAAAGUUCAAAGUUCCCUUGUUUACCAAAAAAAUAAAAAAUUUUGUUUGAAUAGUCAGAGUCACAUUUAAAUCCCAAAAAAUUAGUAUUGAAUAGGAUACAUUUCCGGGCCAGCCUAACAACUCUCCUUAAAUUCUUUGCGUCGUCUCAAAAUUCAACUAGUAGAGAUAUCUAUUAUCUAGAGGUAAGUCAUAUGCCUGCCUUUACGUGGGUAUUGCACUUAAUCGGGUACAAUCCUUAACCCCUCCAGUACCUUGCUCAUUCAUAACCCAAUACGACAAAGCCAAUCUCGUAGAAAGCAUACAAGUUUUGCUCUAAUAGUAACUGUGAUGCUUUCCAUUUUGGGUUCACCAAAUAACUUUUGAGCAUAAUUCACAUAACCAAAAUGCUUAAACUAAAACCCAUGAGAAUUGGUCUAUUAUCUAUCAAUCAAUACUUUUAUCUUUUUCUACGGGAGAAGUGGCAUGAGAAUUGGUCUUUCAAUUAAAGAACCCAAUGUUUGCAUAGGUCAGUUGAUUCGAGUUGGGCUGGAUCAACAUUUUUAUACAAACUUUGAAGUCAAUAAUUUUAAAAUUUUGUCCAAAUUGAAGGUAGAUAUACUCGUCAUUUGGGUGUAGGUUUCUUUUCCAAAUAGAAGACAAAGAAAAACGUAAAACAACUGGUAGAUGACCAAGUGAAUAAUAUUGCGUACAGGUCAUAGUUAUUAAACCCAGUCCGGCCCGGCGAUUCAACCGGUCAACCCGGUGAACUGGCCAUGAAACCAGACUGGGUUGGUAAUUAGAUCGUUUGUACAACAAACCCGUUGACUUGUCAACGAUUCGACAACUUGGUUGAACCGGACGGUUUUAUAAGGAACCGGUUGUAUGUUAAAAUAUUUAGAAAAUGUUGCUAGGAAAAAUCAAACUCCGGACCUGACGCAGAAGAGCCAAGCGCGCGCACCACUGGACCAACAACCCCUUUGGAGCUUAUUCAGCCCUUCUAUAUUAUAUAUUAGAUCUUUGUUCUUAUUUUAUUUCAUCAAAACAAAAUUGUUUGGAAUCUUAUAAUAAAAUUCUAUUAUUCCACAAAAUCUAUAAGUUAUGAAUAGAUUUAAAAAAUAGCAUAUUACACAAUUCAUUUUAAAGACAAACAUUAUUCUUAAUAACUUUUUACACUUAAAAUUCGUAAAUAAAUUAGACAAUUACACUUAGAUAUUUGGUUGAUUACUAAUUAAAUUUAGAUUUUGUUAAUUCUUAUAAGAAUUAAUGAUUUUAGAAUAAAUUGCACUAAUUGAGUAUUUACUAUGGUAUAGUUUAUUAUAGUUUCAACUAUAUCAAAAAUUAUGAAAUAUAAUAUUUAAAUAUAUUUAGUGACCCACCGGUUGGACCACUCACUUACUGGUUGAACCAGUAAUCCGUUGACCCACUUCUUUCACCGGGCUCCUCUCCGGGCCGGGUUUAAUAACUAUGGUACAGGUCAUCAAGACAUUAUAAAAAUCUAAUGAUAUCAUUGUCGGUUUUCAUUUCAAUAUAAAAUAUAAAUGAUUCCUAAUCAAUUAAGUUUUGUAAUUUGUUUAAUCUUCCACUUGCAUAUCUCCAUAUUCGUUUUCCAGUGCAUAUUUGUACUUGAUCGGCUUCUAGUGUAAAUGAUUGUAAGUUCAGGGCAGCUUCCUCAAGAAUUUCGAAAUCAGUUUGAUGUGAUUUCUGUACCAUUAGUAACCUUAUACUGUUAAUCAAUUUAAUCUUCGUCCUCGGAUUUCCAGCUUCGUUCCAAGGAUGAUGCAGCUAUCUUACCUACCACUGACUUUUACUCUUCAUUCUGUACUUUAAUGAUGCAGCCUCUCAGCAGAUCCCAUUUAUUUACCCCUGUUUCCUACUUUGGUUCAGGGUUCAAUUUUCACAAGUUUUCAAUAAAAUUUUUUAGGGGUUAAUCUCAUUUUAUCCCCUUAAAGAAUACCCCAUUUCUCAGUUUACCCCCUAACCUUUAAUUUUGCUCACUUAACCCCCUUUAGGACAAAAUUGCCCUUGCAUUAUUUUGACUUUUCAUUUACCUUAUUUUCCUUGGGUAAAAUACACGGAACUCCCUUAUGGUUUCGCGAAAAGAUACAUUACCCCCCUAUCGUUUAGAAACAUACACAUAAACACCCUAAACUUCAUAACUAAAGUGGAGAUUGACUUCUUAACCGGCUGAGUUACCAGCUGCAGGUCGAAUACCCAAAAUACCCUCAUUUAUAAUAGAGAGGGAGAGAGAAUCAAGAACUGACUCUCUCUCGUUCAUCCUGUGUAAGAAAAAAAAACCCUAAAACAAGGGAUUUGUAUACUAAAUUGUUGCUGAAAUAUCAUGAAUCUGAGUUGAAAACAGCGUGGCUGCCUUUCGGACAUGAAUUGGUUGAUCCUAAAGGGUUCCUGAGAAGCUGGAACAACAGUGGUAUUGGAGCUUGUUCGGGUGGCUUGGCCGGGAUUAAAUGUGCUCGGCGACUAGUAAUUGUAAUCCAGCUUCCCUGGAAAGGUCUAGGUGGUCGAGUAACUGAAAAAAUUGGGCAGCUGCAAGCUCUCAGAAAGCUUAGCCUCCACGAUAAUGCAAUUGGUGGUGCAAUUCCUUCCUCGUUGGGGCUUUUGCCUAACCUCAGAGGUGUUCAAUUAUUCAAUAAUCGAUUUUCUGGUUCAAUCCCACCUACACUUGGUUUGAGUCCCCUUCUUCAAUCACUAGAUUUCUGUAACAACUCCCUCUCUGGAACUAUUCCAGCUACUCUUGCCAUUUCAACCAGGCUCUUUAGGCUUAAUUUUAGCUACAACUCUUUGUCUGGUUCAAUUCCCACCAGCCUUACUCAAUCGCAAUCGCUGAUUUUUCUUGCUCUAGAGCACAACAAUCUCUCUGGUUCCAUUCCUGACUCUUGGGGUGGAAAUGUGAAGGCCCUCUAUCAACUUCAGUCCCUAACACUUGGUCACAAUUCAUUUUCUGGGACAAUUCCAGCUUCUCUUGGCAACUUAAGUGAGCUCCAAGAGAUUUCACUCAGUCAUAACAACAUGGCUGGAUUGAUACCCAAUGAAAUUGGAAGACUAUCUAGGCUUAGAACACUUGAUUUCUCAUAUAAUGCACUCAAUGGGAGCUUACCUGCCGCUCUUUCCAAUUUAUCAAACCUUGUAGUUUUGAACUUGGAAAGCUACCAUCUUGACCACCAAAUUCCUGCAGCUGUAAACAAACUACAGAAACUAUCUGUUCUCAACUUGAGAAAUAACCAAUUUGCUGGUCCUAUUCCAGCAACAGUUGGGAACAUUUCUUUCCUGACACAAGUUGAUUUAUCUCAAAACAAGUUUAGUGGAGAGAUUCCAGCAUCUAUAGGUGAUUUACCUAAUCUUAGUUCCUUUAAUGUGUCUUACAACAAUCUGUCCGGUCCUGUUCCAACUAAGCUUGCUCAAAAGUUCAAUGCAAGCGCCUUCGUGGGCAAUCUUGAGCUAUGCGGAUACAGUGCAUUAACCCAAUGUCCAAUACCACCCUCUCCGGGCCCAUCAACUCCACCAGAAUCUCCAGCAAAGAAACAUCAUAAACUGAGCACUAAAGACAUUAUUCUCAUCGCAGCUGGGGCUCUCCUCAUCUCCGGAGAAAAAGGCACUCCUCCAACUGCAGGUGAAGUUGAAGCAGCUGGAGAAGCAGGAGGAAAGAUUGUCCACUUUGAUGGACCCAUGGUUUUUACAGCAGACGAUCUGUUGUGUGCCACAGCAGAGAUCAUGGGUAAGAGCACUUAUGGAACAGUAUAUAAGGCAACAUUGGAGGAUGGCAGUGUUGCUGCAGUGAAGAGAUUGAGAGAGAAGAUUACAAAAGGACAAAGGGAAUUUGAAACUGAGGUUAAUAUACUGGGGAAGAUCAGGCAUCCAAACCUUUUAGCGAUGAGGGCUUAUUAUUUAGGUCCGAAAGGUGAAAACUUCUCCGUAGAUCUUCUCCCUUUUUCCUUUCACUCUUUGAUAGGUUGAAAUCUCUUCUCCCCUGAUAUGUCACUUCAAUAUAGCAACUGAAGGGUAACUUGGGAAUGAAACUCAAGAUCUUUUCAAAAGAAUCUCGCAUACCCAUCAUCAGUAGGUCGUUCAGCCGGUUAUAGGUCUAUUUCCACUUUAGUUAUGAAGUUUAGGGUGUUUAUGUAUAUGUUUUUAAACGAUAAGGGGGUAAUGUGUCUUUUCGCGAAACCAUAGGGGGGUUCCGUGUAUUUUACCCUAUUUUCCUUUCUUUUAUUUCUUUUUCUCUUUCUUCUUUAUUUAAUUCUUCCUCUUUCCCACAAAAAUCUUCACCUUAAUGAUUGAAAUUAAAAAAAGAGGAAUUGCAGAGAUCUAUCCUCUCCUUAAAUGAUUAAAAAAUAUUCAAAUCACUUUCCUAAAAUACAAUUUUUUUAGCCUUUCAAUUCUUUUAACUUUGGGUUUUCCUCUUUCCUUUCUAGUUUCUCAUUUUAUUCCCAAGAAAAUAUCUUAAGAUGAAAUUGUGACCUGAUUAAUAAUCAUCAAUUGAAAUUUGUGACACGUGGCAUCAUACAAAAAAUCAAAAUUAGUUUUUGAUACCCUUUCAAUUCUUUUAACUUUGGGUUUUCCUCUUUCCUUUCUAGUUUCUCAUUUUAUUCCCAAGAAAAUAUCUUAAGAUGAAAUUGUGACCUGAUUAAUAAUCAUCAAUUGAAAUUUGUGACACGUGGCAUCAUACAAAAAAUCAAAAUUAGUUUUUGAUACCUUUUAAACCUUCACCCAGAAAUAUGCAAUUACAAACUCAAAACAAAAAUUUUCAUUGAAAUGGAAUUUCUAUUGGGAAGGAUGAAAGAGAGAAGAAAGAGAAAAAGAAAUAAAAGAAAGGAAAACAAUUUCAUCUUAUGAUAUUUUCUUGAGAAUAAAAUGAGAAACUAGAAAGGAAAGAGGAAAACCCAAAAUUAAAAGAAUUGAAAGGCUAAAAAAAUUGUAUUUUAGGAAAGUGAUUUGAAUAUUUUUUUAAUCAUUUAAGGAGAAGAUAGAUCUCUGCAAUUCCUCUUUUUUAAUUUCAAUCAUUAAGGUGAAAAUUUUUGUGGGAAAGAGAAAGAAUUAAAUAAAGAAGAAAGAGAAAAAGAAAUAAAAGAAAGGAAAACAAGGUAAAUGAAAAUUCAAAAUAAUGCAAGGGCAAUUUUGUCCUAAAGGGGGUUAAGUGAGCAAAAUUAAAGGUUAGGGGGUAAACUGAGAAAUGGGAUAUUCUUUAAGGGGAUAAAAUGUGAUCAACCCAAUUUUUUAGCAUUAAAUGAUAUCUACACAUUUUCACUUCUCACGUCGUUUGUCGUUUGGUUGCAACUUCUUUACUUUUUCACAAAAGCAUUGAUAAAAAAAAAACCGUUUUUUUCUUAACAACACUUAUUAUCAUUAUCAUUUUUAAAAGAUACAACAAAUCUCGGUACUUUAGAAUGUAAGUGCAAGUUAUCUUAGUUUUUGUUAUUUCAAUUAUGUCCUUAUUAAUUGAUGAUUGAAGUUUCAUAUUAUACUCUUUUUAAUUUUUUAUGACUAUUGAAAUUCAUUUUGUCACACCUUCAUCUUUUAAAAUCAAGUCGCUGUCUGGCUUCUUCUUUUUAAUUUCCAUCCUUUUGCUUUCUGGUGUUCUUUCCUUCUUGACAAUUAAUUCUUCAUUUUCCGGCAGUUUCUUUCUUCUGAGGAUCCACUAUCGUGGGUCAUGAGUGAAAAAGGAAUCGCGAUAAGCAAAAGAGUACAAAAGAGAGAGAGCACAAAACCCUAUAAAAUAAUUCCAAAGUCCAAAUGUAUCUAAAACUAAAAACACUUGAGAUAUUUUUUUUUUUUUGGGAAGCAUAACACUCGAGAUUUUAAAGAACACACAAAUGUCUUGUAAAAUCAAAAUUCCUAAAGUUUAGGAUUAUGAUAAAAUGAUAAUGUUAGAAUACUUCAUACUUUAGUAUAUUAAUUGAACCAUUCCAUCUAAUUAGUGGUUAAAAAAUAGGGAACUUAUAAAACACGAGCAGCACAUUGCAAUUAGUGGGGAACUUUUGUCACUUUGUUAAUGAAAAAUAGCAUGGCAGACUAAAUAGGACUUUAGGAAAAUUAAGUGAAUUUGAUGCUAUUUGUUGGCAAACUUCUUGGAAACUGAAGAAGAAUGGAAAAAAGAAAUGUCUUAAAAAAAGUUAAACACAACUAAUGCUCACAUUCUUAAAUCUUUUGGGCUAGUAUUAAAAAUACUUUAGUAGGUGACCAUGAGAUUUUUCCUGUUUUUCGUACUAACUUUAAUCACAUGCCAAAUAAAAUGUUGCUUUUUAAAGAACAUACCAUUGCAGGUGAAAAAUACUGCCACAAACUCGAUUUGUCAAGUGACAAGAUCAUUACUUCAGAAAAGGGUAUGCUGAUUUUUGCCUCUAUCUUCCGCACUUUUCAGAAAGAAAAAAAAAAGCAUAAUCAUUUAUAUGAGCUGCCAUUGACAGAAAAAAAAAAAAAGAGUAUAUCCCUGUAACAGGAUAAACCAAAAAAAGAGUAUAAUCACUUAUUUGUGCUUUAUGAUUAUCCUAUUUGUACUAGUGCUCUAUUUUUUUUUUUUUUUUACACUUUUCCUGUUUUUUCUUUUGACAAUGCCAUUCUUGAUAAUCCCCAAAAAUACUAUCCUCUUCCAGUUUGUCUUAUUUUUCUCACAUUGUAUUUUUUUUUUCUAGUUUCUGGUUGCUUUUAAGAAAUAAAGAUAUUGAUUAGAAUUUUAUUAAGGUCCUUGAAAUCACAAAUGCACUCAAAAAUUUGUGGAGCUUAUCAACUUACAAAUAUUGGUAAGACUAAAAACUGCUUAGACUCUAUAUACUUAGAAAAUAAUGGCCAACAAUAUUAAAUUAUUAAUGUGUACCCCUAAAAUACAAAGUAAAAAAAUGACAAGAUAUCGUAGGUAACUUUUGACUCUCUUUAGUUGGCCUGAUUUAUCAUUGCAAACCCUCAUGGCAAAUAUUAACCCAAAAUUACAGUAGUUUAAAAAAAUGCUCAUUCACACACACAGAGACACAUACACAAAAGGCGUAUAAAUAUAAACAAUCUUCCCUUCUUUGUUUAUUUACUUUUGCACCGUGCAAUGGCUGCUCCUUCAGUCCUUUAUCCGUUCGAAGAACCCACAAUCAAUUGAAUAACCCUGAAGCGUGAAGACCCCCACUGACUAAAAAAGUCUUCCUGAUAACUUCUACAUUUUUGCAUUUUGGCUUCUUUUGUAAGGCAGCUUCGUCUUUCAAACUCAAGUCGCUGUUUGGCUUCUUUUUUAAAUUUCCAUCCUUUUGCUUUAGUUUUUUCUUCCCUUUUGGACGAUUAUGGCUUCAUUUUCCCUCCAAUUUCUUUCUCCUGAAUUAGUGAUUACAAUUAUAUUUUCUAGCAUUUCAUCCUUAACUUUUUCACACGUCUUUGACAAUUCUUUUGUAGCAAUGGUAUCAAGAUGACAAACACUUACAGAAAAAUUAAAGAAUAUGGUAUUAGUUGUCGUAGGAUUCCAGUAACAUGAGUAAUUGACUUUCAAGUUAUGACUAGCAACAAAUUUCACCGGUGAAUUUUAAAUAUUUAACUAAGGUAACUAUUUUGAUAUAGAAAUCUGAAAAAAUAAGGUAAUAACUCAAUCAAUUGAACUACUACUUUUUAGCCUAUCACUCCAAAAUAUAUUUAGGAAAAGCCAAUAAAAAAAUUCCUUUUAUUUUUUUAGUUGGGAUUGCAUGGAUAGAAUAUUACUUAGAAAAAAUUUUGUAUAAUUCACUGUAGCAUGUUUUGUAGUGUAAUGUAUUUAAGUAAUUCUAAAAUAUGUUUAAGAGCAAUUAAAAAAAUAAAUAUUCUUUUAGAGUCAUCACAAUGAUAUGUAACACAAGUGUCCCACAAAUUAGCUAUCAUUGCAUAAGUAAAUCAGUAAAGAACAGAUUCACAUGUGAAUAUGUCUGGAAACAGUGUUUUGAAAACCAGACUGGACCGGCCGGUUCGACCGAUUGGACCGCAAAUCGGUCAUGGUUUCGAUCCGAUUCUAUGCUAUAGUUGAUCAGGUUAGAAAACCGGUCAAAAACUGGUUAAACCGUGAAAACCGCCGGACCGGAUUGAACUGGCGGUUUCCGGUUUUCGAGAUUUUCCCUUUUUUUUUUUUUUUUUUUUUUUACAUUUUGCAAAAUGCAGCUAUCAAGAUUCGAACUCAAGACCUUUGUAAUAAAAGACCAAUGUAGUAACCAUUGCACCAUCACAUCUUAUUAGUUUUUUUUUAUAACUUAUUUAUAUAAAACAAAAACUCAUAUUUCUUUUUUUCAUUUUUUUUACAAAAUCUAAUCAUCUCAUGGUUCUUUCUUUUUAAUCUUCAACACACACACACACACACACACACUCUCUCUCUCUCUCUCUCUCUCUCCUCUUUUUUUUGUCACUCACUUUUUAAUCAAACCACUUUAUUUUUAAUUUAUUGAUGUUUUCUUCUAUCUUUUAAUUUUAUUUUUGUCCAUUAAAUUGAAAAAGGUUAAAAAAGAAUUAUUUUUCUUUAACCCAAAUUAUUUAAUGCCACAACCACUCACUUUUAUCUCAUUUUUUAUUUCUUAUCAAGUUUGCAUUUCUAUUUUCGAUUCUCCUGACUUCUUUCGAACUCCAAAAUUCCUUUUUUAAAUUGCAAUCUCUAAAUCCCAAAACGUAAAUUAAAAUUUAAGUUCACAAAAUCUAAAUUCUCAUAGACAUGAAUUUUGUAUAAUUUUAAAAUAUUAUGAUAUUUUUGGGUUAGAUCUAAGAUUUUUUUGGUAGAUAUAAUUGAAAUUGAAAUGAAAUUUAUUUGUUUUAACUUAUAAUUUAAAAUUUUUAUUUUUAAAAAAUCAAGUUAUUCAAAAAUAAUAAACUUUUCAUCAUAUAAUGUAUUAAAUUAGUCCAUUACAUGUCUUAUUUUAUGCAUAAAUAUUUAUAUAAAUAUUUUUUUUUUAAAUUCAUUGAACCGAGGUUAAAUCGGUCCGAUCGAUUGAACCUCGACUCUUUCACGUCACCGGUUUAAUUAACGGUCCGAUUUUUAAAACAUUGUCCGGAAGUCUUUGCAGAAUCAAAGCCUUGUAAGUUCUGCCCCACACCUUUCAUAUUCAUACAUCUGAACGCGGUUUUGAUUUGUUGACCAAUGGUUCUGAACCACAGAUUAUUAAAGUUCAUAGUAUACUACGAACCCAGGACCGACUCUAAUUUCUUCCUUCUCUGUACAAGGUCAAGGACCCUCUCUUCCUUUCCUGACAUUCUCAAGUUAAAGAAAAAGACUGAAAAUGGCAGAAACAGUUCUCUCUUUUGUGUUAGAUCAGCUGUCAAUUUUUCUGCGUGAAGAGGGCAGAUUAUUGGGAGGGCUUCGCCACGAGGUUCAACUCAUCAGCGAUGAGUUGGGGCACAUGAGAGCAUUCCUGAGAGUGGCAGAAACAAAGGAAGAAGAUGCAGAUCCCAGGCUGCAAGAAUGGAUCAAGCAAGUACGAGAAGCCGCUUAUGACACUGAAGAUGUUCUUGAUGAAUUCGUAGCUCGCUUUGCUCACCAUCAUGCAACAGGGUUCUAUGGCUCUGUUAGGAAAAUUUUCAACUCCGUGAAGACUUUGCGAGCUCGUCGUAAGGUUGCUGAGCAAAUACAGAGCAUCAAGGCCAGAGUAAAGAAUAUAUCUGAAGGGCAUCAGAGAUACCAAUCAGAAUUCGGCGGUGCUACCCAAGCGGCGGAGUCUCUUGCUACUGUUAACAACACAACAUGGCGCUAUAGCAGGGAUGAUGCACUUCUCGUGGAAGAAGCUGAACUAGUUGGCAUUGACCACCCCAAACAACAGCUAAUUUCUCAACUACUCGAGAGGGAUGAUUCCCAGCUCAAAGUUGUCUCUGUGGUUGGCAUGGGAGGACUCGGUAAAACUACCUUAGUCAAAAAAGUCCACGAAGAUUUAGGUAUUAGAAGGCAUUUCCCGGUUCGUGCCUUUGUAACUGUCUCUCAACCAUGCAACUUCCAGGAGCUCCUGAAAGACUUGACUCGGCAGUUACACAAUGAUUUGAAGAAACCAGUUCCAGAAUCGAUUGAGACAAUGACUGCAAUUCAGCUGAAACAAUGUGUUAAAGAUUUUCUUCAACAAGCUGGAAGGUAUGCAAUUGUGUUUGAUGAUGUAUGGGAUGUGGAAUUCUGGAAUGCGAUUAGAUUUGCACUGCCCGAAAAUGGCUAUGGCAAUCGCGUCAUGCUAACAACACGAAAAGCCGAUGUAGCCUCUGCAUCUUGCAACAAAUCUCAAGAUUAUGUCUACAAAAUGGUGCCCCUCUCUUUCGAGGAUUCAUGGACCCUAUUUUGCAACAAGAUCUUCAAAGGAAAUGGUUGUCCUGCCCAUCUAACAGAUGUUGCAAAAGGUAUAUUGGGGAAAUGUCAGGGAUUGCCCCUUGCGAUUCUUGCAAUCAGUGGGCUUUUGGCUUUGAAAGACUUGAAUAUUGCAGAGGAAUGGGAGAUAGUUCGACGCAGCCUAGUGGGUGAAUUAGAAGGCUCUGGUAUGCUGGACAGGGUCAAAAAGAUACUUUCUCUCAGUUACAAUGAUCUACCCUCCCAUCUUAAGUCCUGUUUGUUGUAUUUAAGCAUUUAUCCAGAGGAUUUUGAAAUACCUUGUGGUAGACUUGUUCAAUUAUGGUCAGCUGAAAGAUUUGUGGGUAAGAGAGAAGGAAUGACUGUGGAAGAUGUAGGCUACAAUUACCUCAGAGAACUGGUCAAUAGGAGCCUAAUUCAAGUGACCCAAAUUUUUUAUGAAGGAAUCCCCUACGCUUGUCGAAUCCAUGAUCUAGUGCGAGAAAUUGUUCUUUCCAAGGCAAGGGAACAAAAUAUGAUCGCAAUUACUACUGGACAAUACACAAAGUGGUGGUCUGAGAAGGUACGCCGUUUGGUAGUCCAUAGUAGCAGCAACAACACCGAGCAGCACCAAGAAAGCCAAUGUUAUAGCUUUAACCACCUUCGAUCCUUUAUUACGAUUGAAUCCAUGAAUCCACUAAUAUCCAGAACCUUGUUAUCUGAAGUUUUGAAGAGUAGCAGAUUGUUAAAGGUUUUGGAUUUGAGUGAUGAAGAGACAUUGGAGAAAAUCCCAAAUGAGGUUUUCAACUUGUAUCAUCUCAGGCAUCUGAACCUAUGUAGGACAGGGGUUAAAGCAGUCCCGAAUUUCAUAGGAAAGCUACGAAAUUUGGAGAAUUUGGAUUUGCGUGAAACUCAAGUCAAGGAAUUACCCGUUGAAAUCCUGAAGCUACAAAAGCUUGAGCAUCUUGUGGUAUACCAAAAAGUUGAUGUUUCUGAUACAACUUAUGGAUAUCAUGGAUUUAAAGCUCCAUCAAAAUUGGGAGGGCUUCUUGCCCUUCAAUCAUUAACAACCAUAGAUGCGAGUAGCGGAUCCGUAGUAGUUAAAGAGAUAGGAGCAUUGACUCAAUUAAGACGAUUAGGGAUUUCAAAUCUGAGAAGAGAGGAUGGAAAGGUGCUCUGCUCCUCCCUUGCCACCCUCACGAGUCUUCGGCAACUAAACAUUGCUUCAAUUAGAAAUGAUGGUGGUGAUUAUGAGGUAAUGGAUCUGAAUCAUUCUCUUUCAUCUUCAAUGCGUUCUUCAUUUCUCCAAUCUCUUCGUAUGCUAGUAUUGCGUGGCCGCUUAGAAAUGAUGCCGCAAUGGAUAGCUCAUCUUCAAAGUUUGGCAAGAAUAGAUUUGUAUUGGAGCGGUUUAAGGGAUGAGGAGGAUCCGCUUGCACCCCUCCACCAUUUGCCAAAUUUGGUUACUAUUCAAUUUUGUGGAUCUUACCAAGGAGAGGGGUUGUGUUUCAAGGCUGGAGGAUUCCUAAAGCUGAAGGAUUUGUACCUAAAGAAAUUAGAAAAGUUGAGAUGGAUGGAAGUGGAGAAGGGUGCAUUGCCCAGUCUCCAAGAACUUAGUCUGGAUACACUUCCAUUGCUGGAGGAGUUACCUUUGGAUAUUCAACACUUAAGCUGUCUCCGAAAGCUGGGUUUGUAUGAGUUGGGUUCUCAACUGAUGGAGAAGCUAGAGAAUCUAAAUGAAGAGACUGAAGAUUAUAGAAAAAUUGCACACAUUUCUGAAGUUGUCAUUGAAUUGUGGACCGAUGAGGGAUGGAAACGUUGCCGGCUAUGGGGGAAGAAGAUGUAAAUAUUCCUCUCUUAGUAGCCCUGCCUUCCUAUUUCUUUUUAUUUACUUUUUGCACUUUUGUUUGUAACUUCUAAGUUUAUAAUUUGCGUUAUCUUUUAUCUUAUUGUAUAAAUAUUGUAUUGCAUAAUCUUGUUUAUAUGCGGUAUUACAAACACAAAUACUUCUCGACAUUCUUUGGGAUUGUCAAAGACCAAGGCGUAGGAUAAGUUGUUUUUAUAACAAACUAACGUGUCGGAAGUGGAAGAGUCCUUGAACAACACAGAGAAAAAGGAAAGCUCAGGUCUAGUAAUUAUGGCCUCGGAUUAAUAAUUUUCAAGUUUCAGGAAAGAAUUGUGAGUACUCUAGAAACAUAUAGGCUAAAAUUUUGUGCGGCUAUUCUUUGCUUAGUCCUAAAUCAAUUCAUUCCAUAGAUGCAAUUCGUGCCAGUGAUUAUUGGUGCAACUGGUGGACAAGAAAUCUUUGAUCCGAUAGAGCUCAAAUUACUUCAAUUACUGAAGGAAUCUUUGAUCCGAUAGAGCUUAAACUUUCAUGCAGCUUUUGAUGAAAAGCCAUAAAACAGUCUUUUUCCACGCUGCAAAAGACAUACACCUAAAGGAAAAGAUUACAAGACAUGACAAAGCAUAUCAGAUGAUGCUAAUAGGAGAUUUAGAUGUACAGUCUGCCCCUCCCCGCAAACUAUGCACAAGGCCACCACUUAAAUCACAGUAUCACCAAGUAGAAAGCAAAUGAUUGCUGGUAUCAAUUACCAAAACUAAGCUAAAUGUUGACGUGCCAUUUGAAGCUGCAUCUGUGUGUGUGUGUGCAGAACUAUCAAAAUGACGUAUUUACAAGUCAUGUAACUUGUAAUGAUGCCUACAACUAUCAAAAUUACGUAUUUAUAUCAUAUCUAAUAAGUUUGUUUGGACAACAUAUUAUUUGACCAAAUAUAUUUACUUACGUCAUCAUCACAAUUUCCAAUACACCUUUUUAUCUUUUCAAUUAUCUUUUUAUCUCACAUACAUUACAUCACAAAAAGUGCUACAGUAAAAAUAUCUCAAAUAAUUUACAAUCCAAACAAAUUUCCUGCAUCCUCUGCAUCAUAGGAUGCUUUUCCCUGCAAAUUCCUAGAAAGUUCUAUGCAAACAUAGGAUGCUUUUCCAGGAACACUUUCCGAGAAAAAUUCUAUGCAAACAACUCAAAGGGAAGAAGGUCAACCUAAUACCAGGAAGGAUUCACACGAUUCAGAUACUGCCGCAUCAUGGUUCUGAUUCAUGUGUCUCUAUCCUUCAAGUUGACUAAACCAGUAUGUAAUUGUUCUUGUGAGGACUCGAGUGUCGUUCAAAGAAAUUGUCUCAAGACCUUGAGCAACAGCAUCUACAGGCCUGAACUCCAAAAUUCCUUCAGCAAGCUGAAGUAACAUCCAUUUGAGACAGUUUGAGGAUUAGAGAACGACCAGAAGACAGAAAGAGCAACAAAGCCAUUUCACCAGUUGACAGAUAAAUGUCGGAGAUAUAGACAUGUUCAGCCACAAAGGUGGCAGGAUUUGUUUUCCAGGUUGGAUAGGCAUCAUCAUGUAAGAGGCUUGUCACCUGAUUAAAAACAGCUGGCAACCGAUCAACAAACAUGUUGACUGAAACUGCCACUUCCAGAUCGUAAUUUGGAAUCAUGGUUCCAGCAGUAUCAAGUAGUACUUUCCAUACAUCUGCUGUGUAUUAGUAUCAAUGAAAGGAGAAGGCAUUAGAAUUAGAAAGAUAACAUAAGCAAUUAUUCAACCUCAUCAGCUAUAUGUCUUCAAUAAAAUGAAGCAUAGUAUCAUACCUAUGAAAAAAAUCCAAAAUUGAUUUUAAAACCAUUACUAGGAUAUUUUCAUUACUACUUGAAGGCUUGCCUUGGUUUACAGAGAUACCUUACAUUUGGUAAUUGUGAAACUUGGGGAGGAUUUAAUAAAAGUUUCAAAAAUAAUAAUUUCAAGGUCUUGAAUUGAUUUCUGUUUCUUGUAAAUCAUAAAAAAUGAAAGGACAAGUUAAUUAUAUGUCACUCUUGUGCUCGGCCUUGUUUGGAUUGUUGUUUUCCGUUGAAAAAUUACGUCGUUUUCCGUGAUCACAUUUCCCUAUUACCUUUUUUCCUCACAUACAUCAAAUCGUUACAGUAUUUUUUCCAUGAAAAAUCAUGGAAAAUGCAAUCCAAACAUGAAAUAUAGCCUGCCAUAGUUUGCAGGAAAAUAUCUCUGUAUUCCCUAAGACCCUAAAAACAAUAUUCUACUCCCUCAACACAAAAUAGAAGAACGAUGUUUUACAUGAUCUAAAGCCUGACAUCAAAACACUUCAUGCAUUAAGUUUCUCUUCUUGAUAAAGCCCAGUUUUCAAGCACCAAUCUGCAUCACAGUGUUAUAAAAGCUUUAUGCACGAUUAGCUUGAUCAAGGAUUAAAUGAAUACACUACUUGCUUCAGUGUCCAUCACACUCAUAUCUUCAGGAAUAAAUGAGAAACAACAUUAUGUGGGUUAUGCGAGGAGGACUCGUAGAUUACAGCCUAGCAUGUGCAGACUCCCAAUCUUCCCCCCUCCCCCCCCCCCCCCCCCAACACAGUCGGGGUGGUGUGGGAAGCUUCUAUGGUUCAGGAAAAUAAUUGGAUUGCAAUUUUGUGCAAAAAAUUUUUUUUUACAUUUUCCAUGAACACAUUCCCAAUCACCUUUUUACCUCACAUACAUCAAAUCGCUACAGUACAUUUUCCUACAAAAAUUUCUAAAAUUAGCAAUCCAAACAGGGUAACACAAGGAAUUAACUGUUAAUAAACAUUUGCAAAAUUAAGAAAAAGAAACCAAAUGCAAGAGUACAAAUCCGAAUAUAGCUAAUGAUUCUUUUUCUUUUUCUUUUAUUUAGUUUUGUACAAGCCAAAAAAAUUACUUUUUGUUGUUACUGCUACACUUGCUAUCUACAUUGAAAAUGCACGUAUUAACAUUUGAAAGUUGCAAUGAAGUACACUCUCUGCAAAUGUCAAAUAACGUCUCUUUUUUUUUUAGUGUAAGUGGAAGGGUUCGAAUCCAGAAUUUCUCACUUACUCUCCCUCUUCUUGAACCACCCAACCCAUCCCUCCACCUCCCCCUCCCCCUCCCCCUCCCCCGUCCCUCCAAAAAUCAAAUAAUGUCUCAUUUUCCGUUUAAUGCAGAUAUUGUUGUGGCCUCUUUCAAAGCAUUAAAAUGGAAUCAAGACUAAAGAGCACUUGUAUGCCUGGGUAAUCUUGCGUAUGUUUCAAGGCCACAGAAAAUAACAUUUGCAAGAAGAUUCUCUUUUAGCAUAUCUAUAAGGAAAUCAAGGGUAGAGACACUUCACCAAACUAUAGUUCCAAAUAAUUGGUCUUCAGGAACCCAAAGAGUUGCACAGGACAGGGAAUUAGUAUAAGAUUAAAUCAAACUGGUGGUACCUAUUCAAAUUUUGUCCAAUACGGUAGAGGUACUCAUCCUCCAUUACAUUAACAGAAGGUUUGUUUUCCCAAUAGAAGAGAAAAUGAAAAAGGCAAAUAAACAUUGUCAAGAAUGUCACAACAUUCACAUGAAUUACUCAAUUAAGUGCAGAUAGAAAACUACACAACCAUGUUGACUGCGGAUUGUCGAUUUGUGGAUAACAAAGUUGGUACCUACAACUAGAAGCUUUGAUUUGGCUACAAAUUCAUGACAUCCACACAUUAGUAGCUCCACAAGUAUUUGUGUCCACACAAUUUGUAGGAUACAAUUUCUACAGCAUGCCUUGCUAGUUUCCGAAAAGCCCAAGACUUACCCCUCAUUCUAGUGCUAUCUAUGACCGUCACUAGAGCGUUUCUAUAUAAACCACCUUAUAGGUAACCAGUUGUCCGCUCUGUUGUUUAACACCCUUAUACAGAACUUAGCCCUAAAAAGUUAGACUAACUCAGAAAAUAGUACUAAACUAUUACUGCAAUUUACAAUAGAGAAAUAAAACAGAAACAGGAACAUUCCCUACCACCCCAUCCCUUCUCGCAGUCCACCAAUACUCAUUAGUCUACAACACAAAUUCCUCCACCUAACCCAAACUACAAGUUAGAUCAUGGGAAGGUGAGAGCAAAAAUGACCUUCAAGAGUCCAAACAAAGCCAUGCUGUUUCUCAUCAAAGCUAAUGUCAACGGUGAUUAUAUUAACAACAGAGGAAUUGAUUUGGCAAUUUCUCAGUAGCCCGCUUUUGUAAAGAGCAUACAACUAAUCAUGGGAUUCAAAAGAUUUCUAUUAGACUAACGCAGCAUUGAUGUAUAAGUAGCUAAAGCAACAUAACUAAUGAUGUUUAAUUUUAAAGAAGUAUUAAGAAAAUUAAGAAACCUUUUGCUGUGAUCAACCUGAGGCAUUUUGAGUGAAUGAAUAUACUGGAGAUGCUUUCAUUAUUGGAAGUACUUGACUGACAAGAGGUCCUAACUGCAUCAAAGCAUAAUACAACUUCAAAAAUGAGGAAUGUUACAAAAGCAAUACUAGUUCUUUGAGAGGCAGUAGACAAAAAAUUUGUCACGGAUUCUAAAGCAAGGGCUGAGAAAACUACAGCCCUACCAAUUGAACGAGUAUAGAAACAACUCAUCACAUAAGCAUAUUUACAAUCAACUCCACCUUGGUAUAUAAGAUUUCAAAUGAAAUUAAGGUUCAAAAACAAAUGACAAAAUUGAUCCACCAAAGCUCAAGGUAUAAUAUUUAUGCAAUAUCAAAAUAUAAAUUCAACAGACUAAAGAAAUGUUUAGAUCCAACUUUCCAUAUAAUCCUCAAUGUUGAUUGGCUCCAGUUAAGCCAUCACCAAGAUCAAGGAUAUGUUAACUAUAAUGUUGUUUAUGUGGAUUCCCUUAUACUGAACUAAUUUGUAUUCUUGAAUGAACAGAAGACUGAUAUGACUUCACCCUUUGGAUGAAUAAUAAUUGGUGAACAGUUCAGUAUAAGGACAAAAUUACAACAAUCACAAACGAACAAAAGUGCGUUAGUUGCUCUAAAAGCCAUCAGCAAGCAGAAGCAUAGGUGCUAAAACUCGAAGCAGAAAGAUCUAGAAAUGAUGUACAGACAUACCAUUUCCACAAAUAUAUGCAAUCACUGUGGACACUCUUUUAAUUAUAAACUGCAUAUUACACUUUCUACUUCACAUUUUUUUUCCUUUUCACUUUAUUUUCUGAGUUGCUACCUUCAGCUAUCAUUUGUCCUGUUUCAAUUAUAAGUUUACCCGUUUUCUUGCUCCCUGUAAUGUUACCAAUUAUUUCCUUUCCAAAAAAAAUCUUCACUUUACGUCAACUUCAUGGCAUAGCUGAAGCAAUAUAUAUUAUAAAAAAUUUUCUUUGUUAGCUGACAAUCAUAAUACGGCAUUGAUGCGAUGGCACCUUUACAUUGCUUUAUGCAUUAGCUUUUUCAUGUUUGUGUUUAACAUUUUACAUCUUAUACAUAUUCCAAUGUAAAGGGAAUAGCAUGACAAUUACGGAGAUUUUGAGGAUGAUAGGAUCCGACACAACAGGUCAUGCAUACAUCUUUCGACAACUAAGAUGAUAUUAUCCAUAGGAUUAUUGGAGGAUUAGUAGAAAUUCCGCUUGAAAAAGGUAAUAAACUCAUGCCAUGGCAUGAUAAUGAAAGCAAUCUUAGUAACUAAAGAGACUUUCAUCCACCAAGUGCGCUCUCAAAAAUGGCAUCAGCUGGAUACAUGUCAAAUAUCUACAGGACAUGACUUUUACAUCACUGAUGGGGUAGGUCUUAGAGUGCUAACACUCACAAAUCGUGGAGUUCCCUGUUCAUGAACUCAGACAAACUACAUCAGUCAGUUGCAUCACAUGAUAGAUCCUCAAUAGAAACCACGAUUCUUAUAAAUUUACCCUAUAUGUCGGUUUGAAAAUUCAGAGAGGCAAUGAAAGAAUAGGCUGUUUGCCUGGUGAAAUUUGAGCACAGAUUAGAUUUAAGAAGUAGAGGUUAGAUAGAGAUUAGGAGAGGUACAGGGCUAAAGAAAGGAAGGAAGGAAACAUGACUACUCAGACUUCACAGGUAAGAGCCUAAGAGGGGUUUCAUUCUGAAACUUUCUUGAUUCAAACUCACUCUCAAUUACAAAAACUAAUGCAAGCUAUUCAAAGAGUCUAACACAGCAACCUAAAAGCUUUCUCUUCUGAAAAAAAAAAACAGCCAUUCAAGAGUAGAGUCGAUAACAAUUGUUGUCCACAACAAUAGUAGCUAUGUUGGAUGACCAUUGAACUCCCAACCAUGGGUGUUAUUUGAAAGUCCACCCAUGCCCAUUGGACUUCCAAUCAUGCUUUACCCUUAGACUUCUACUACUAGUUUCAAGUACAGCAUCAUUAUCAGGCAGCCAACUACUUACCAACAAAUGUUGCAGCAACAAGCUCAACAGUUGCACACUGAAAAUUAGCAAAUGAACCACAAUCUGAAUCUCAAAUCAAUUCCAGAGCUAAAAGAUUGUGAAACUGAAGUUUUUUUUUUCCUUCGAUAUACUGAUGUCUUUCAUAUCCGGCAUCACACUAGCUAAGCCAUGGCUACAAUUAUUUGAUCUACCCUAGAGCACCAUUACCUGCUUGGCAUAGUAUGCAGCAGUUCUUAUGUCACAUGGUCGGAACUAAGAUGGAAACAAAAUACCCUAUAUACAAAUUGAAAAGGAUGAUUCUAAAAACUACUCUUGUUAUCCAUGGUAAAAAUGAUAUAUAUGAAAGAAAACCCAAAUCUACAGACUAUUUCACGAGUUGCAGCCAUCCUGUGCAAGAACACCCAAAUCACAAGGUGCAACAGCAACUUCUACACUCACGAGUUGCUACCAUCCUGUGCAUGAACUCAUACAGACUAUUUCAGCAAGUGGCAUAACACAGAUGCAUCCUGACUCACUAAACAUUGUUUUGAACUACUCAAUCUCCCCAUAGAAGUCCAUUCCCAGCUUCACAUAUUAUAUAACUGCUCUUAAGUCAUUAUGAGCCAGCCAGGAAGAAUCGUAAUCCCCAAAGGUUUUUGGGCUCUUGAAGGGUGGCCUCCAAGAUUUCAUGGCCACAACUGUAUAAGAAAAGGAAAUCCCCAUCCAAGUUCCUUGGAAGCCAGUAAAAGCCAGAACUAGGAAAAUGAAAGAAACUAAAGCAUAAACUGCAAAUUUUUCCUUCCCCAAGAGCAUUGCAUGAAUAGCCCAAGUUAUGGCAGUUAGAGAUGAAGGGGGUAAGAAGGGUAAUUUUCUUUCUUGUUUUUUUUAGGCGAAGGAAUAAGGGUAAGUACUGUAAAUACUUAAAUAAAGAAAGAUCUUUAGCAUUGAAAUAAAUAAAAAAUAGCAAACAUCCAAUUUAAUAAAGAUUUAUUGCUCAACUUCAACAGCCAAAAAGGUUAAAAACCAACUUUUUGCUAUUUUUUGGAUAGUCAGGAUAAUAGCUAAGCCCCUUAAAUUAGUAUUGGAAUAGAAUUACCUGCUCAAAGUAUGGUACUGCCUCCGACGCUGGCCUGUUGUUGUAUGAUAUUAUUGCAUUUGCCUUCAUUGAGAGACAAGAAUAACCGUCAUUAAGUCAAAAAGUACUAAACACUGAACUAAGGUGCAUGUUCACACAUUAAAGCUGCAAAAGCAUAACUUUUUAGUUAUAUUUUUCUUAUCUUAAUUAAGUUCAAUGUUGGUUAAGCAGUUAUGAAACUUUGGAAGAAAGAAGCAACCUUGGGUAUCUUCUCACAAAAAUAACUUCCAUUAAGCACUUGUAGAAGUGCACCAUUGCUGCAAUUAUAGUUAAACCAAAUAACGUCAAAGAUAGUAUCGUGAUAAGAAUGAAAUAAAAGUUAGAUGAAUUAGAUAGCAUUUUAGGCAUGGUUAUCUAUAACGAAGUCUCAUCGGAAUGAAACUUAAGAGUACUAGCGAGGUUUUUAACCUUGAAGUAUUCUUCAUCAUCCUCACCAUUUCAAAGUAAACAUUCCCAGCAUUUUGUUAAUCCAAUCCAAUCAGUCAUAAGUUCCUCCAAUGUAUCCAAGCUUAACUCGAUCAUCUUACAUUCAAAAAACAAUUCAUUGGACAACUAUCCCAUGUUCAGCUCCAAAACAGCUUUACUGAACCUCUACUAUGAUAAAAUGAAUGUUGAUAUGAAGGUUAGCUGCUCCAAUACACAUUGAUGUAAAGAUUCCUCAAGAAAAAAAGAGGACAGGCCUAACAUCCUCGGGACAAAGUAUAUCAUUGAGCAUACAAACUAACAUUAGACAACACAAUUAAGGCUUUAUGAAGUUUAAUUUGUGAUCAUUAAUGCUCAAUUAACCUCCACUCACCUAUGGCCAACCGAGUAAAGUGGAAGAUCAACAAUAUCAUCAGGUGAAAGGCCAUAUUCUGGCAAUUCAGACCCCAAAAUCAAAUCAAAGCCAGCAUGAAGCCUCUCAUAAAUCUCCCUAGUAACUUUUUCAUGAUCAAACGUCACGUUAUAUGGCACCGAGAUAAUGAAAUAGCCUUCAUUUGCCAGUUGCUCAAGCAAAUAGCUGCCACCACAACAAAAACAACUAAUCAAACAAAACGGAUUAUAAGACUCUAUUACCAUUUUAGUUUACAGUAGAAAAAAUUGAAUUAACAACCCUCUGUUCUGUAGUAAACAUCACAGUUUGAAUUUCAAUCAAGUAGACCUUGCUUUUCCAGAGCAAUGUUUCCUUCUUCUUUUCCCAAGUUAAAAAAAAAAAUUACUUCAACCACAGGAAAAAUCUUCCAAAAAAAAUUAACACUACCAGCAAAUUUAUUUCAGUUUCUGUGUUUCAAGAAUUAAUUCAAGGAUUAAUCUAAUAUAGUGUGUUAAAACUAUAGUUGGACAAGCAAAUAGCCACAUAUAUUAAUCCAGAAAUUAAAUUAAAAUGUUCCAUCCCAGAAAUCUAACAGCACUUCAUCAAAAUAGGAAAAAAAAAAAAAGACAUGAAAAUUAUCAACUAUAAUAGUGAAGUUUGAAACCAUAGUUAUUAAACCCGAUCCGGCUCGACGGUUCGACUAGUCAACCCAGUGAACCGGCCAUGGAACUAGGCCGGGUUCUUAACAAGAUCGUUUCUGCAUUAAAUCCGUAGACUUUUCAACGGACCGACGGUUCAACCGGUUAACUCGAUUGAACCGGCCGAUUUUCUGAGAAACCCGGACUAUGGAAAAAUUUUGUAAACAUUGCUGGAAUGGAGAUUCGAACGUGUGACCUCAUGCAAAGAAGAAGACAACCAUUACCGCUGGACCAACCAACCAUUUAUUACUUACUUUGCUCUUAUAUUAUAUAUUAGAGUCUUAUUCUUAUUUUAUUUCCCCAAAACAAAAUUUAUUUGAAAUCUUUUAAUAACAUUUUUAUUAUUCCCUGAACUCUAUAAAUUGUGAAAUUGACUUAAAAAUAACAUAUUACAAAAAUCAUUUUAAUGGCAAAUAUUAUUCUUAAUAAACUUUUGCACUUAAAAUUCAUAAAUAAACUAGAUAAUUACACUUAGAUAAAAUUUUAUACUUGAAAUUUGGUGGAUUACUAAUUAAACUUAGGUUGUUAAUUCUUAUAAAAAUUAAUGAAUCUAUAAUAAAUUAAACUAACUGAAUAUUUAUUAUGGCAUAAAAAAUUAUAAAACAUAAUAUUUAAAUAUUUGUAGUGACCCACCGAUUGGACCACUUACUCACCGGUUGAACCAGUAACCCGUUGACCCACCUCUUUCACUGAAUUCUUCCUCGGGCCGGGUUUAAUAACUAUGUUUGAAACAGAGAUAUUAACGACAGGCGAAUAUACAUAAGUAAAUUGGUGAUUGACCUGUAAGCAACUUCAGGGACAGCUCCAACAAAAGCACCUCCCAAAAAUUUAAUAAUAGCUUUAGGUUUUCUCCCUCUUGGAGGAGGAAUGACCAAACAAGACUCAAGCCUAUGGUAAAUUCGACCAUUGUGAUUCACAAAAGAAGUGUUCUUGAAGCUAUUGGGUUUAACCAUUUCCAUUUGGAUCCUGCAAGUUGUCAUUUUUUAGGGUCUUUUGCAAUUCUCAGUGGGAAAACCCCUCUGGAGAUAUAAUUGAGAAAAGGGCUUUCUUUAAAUUUGUUGAAUCUUGGAAAGUUGUUGAGAAUAGACGUGGUGCUAGCCACGGCAGCCAUGGCCAGCCUUCUUCACUCGGAGGUUCUAGUUGGGAGUUGGGAGGCGAAAUUGGAGCUAAAAAUGUGAAGCGCGGGAGGCAGUACGUGGCAUUAUAAUUGCUCUCCUUUUGUUCCAACUAGAUUUGGGGCUGAGUAACAAGUUCAGUCGAAUUCAAGUAAUACUAUGCUCGAACUCGAAUUCAGUGCCAUACAGACCUAUUCGAGCUGGAACUCGAGUCACGCGAGCAGGUAACUCAAUUUGAUUCGAUAAUAUGUAUUCUAAACUCGAGCUCGACUCAUUAAGAUUCCAAGUUAGUCUCGAAUAUGUCGCGCCCCAUUUUUGAAAAUAAAUUUUAGUGUUUUAACGCAUUUUUUAUUUUAGAAAAUAAAUAAAGAAAAAGGACCUAAAAUGGAACUUAAAAUAUGCGACGUUUUGAAUCCAAAAUAAUAGUUUAAAAAGGAUUUUAGAAAAAAUUAGAGUCGCCACUUGAUAUUGAAUUUAGGUGUACCAAAUCACCUAAAAUAUAUUUCAAAUAAAAAAAAUAAAUAAAACCCUUUUUAGACGACUUCGGGUCUUUGAAGCACAAGAUAAAAGAGUUCGAGAGUCACGGUUGAAGAAAGGGAAGACAAAGAUUUGAUAGGUUCAAACCUAAAGCACCCUUUCAAUCUAACCAAGGUUAGUUGCAAGAUUUAGUCAAAAAUUUUCAUAAUCUAACCUAUAAAACUUAUCACAUUUGGAUGUUUUUACAUAGAUGCAAAUCGAGACUUAAAGGAUAUUAGGAGGGUCGAAAUGUCUCUUCAAAAUUUAAUUGAUGCAAAAUACAUUAAUUGUGAUAUCCAAGAAUGAUUCUUAGAAGAGGUCACGGAAAAUACAAAAGAUAAGAGUCAAAAGGGAAAUUAUAGUAUAUAGAUAAAUAUACAUGAUCUAAAAAAGGGGAAUGUAACAUAACGGGUAUGGGAUGUUAAAAUUCAUGACUCAAAUUUUCCUUCUUAUAGAAGAGAUAAUAGCGUGCUAAGAUUAAGAAAUCACACUAGUUCAUUUCCCAUAUUUGAAAAGUGAUUCUUCUAAUCUAAUUAAACAAAUGGACUAGCCUACUUCUAAUUUCAUAGAAUGAGACGCAAUUCUAAAUGAUAUGAUCCAAAUAUAUAAAGGGUAAGGCAAUAAUAGUAGGAAAAAUAACAUGCAAAUCAAAAUAAUCCAAAAAUAGGAAAAAUGCAUGAAAUGCAACAAAUGUCACACAAGGUAUGAAUCUAGCACGAAAACAGUCUAAAAGGUCUAGCACUGGACUAAUCCAUUUCUAUAAGUCCUCACUAGCGUUAGACUAGCAAAAAAUUGGGGAGAAAGGUCACAAUUAGCAUUGGACUAGUAUGGUGACAUCAUACAUUUAUUAUAAAUAAAUAAAUCAUAUAAAACAUAAUUAAAGCAAAUAAACAUAUAAAGCAGAUAAAGCACGUAACACAUAAGCAUAAUAUCUCGAUGUAAAGAAUCUAAAGAAAGCGAAUAAACACAUAAGCACAUAAGGAAAUAAAUGCACAUAAAGACUUAACUAUUACAUUGGGGCUCUAACUAUAACCUAAAAGGGAAAUUUGAAAAACAAUAACCUAACUACUAUAUCCAUCUAAUUAACUACAUUUUUUGGCAAAAAUAAAAUUUAUCUAUUACAUUACCUAACUAAAUACAUUUCUUGAGCAUCUAUCUAUUACAAUUAGGCAUUUAAAUGCCUUUCAAAUAAUUAUGAAAAAUUAAAUAUAAUAAAUAAAAUUUUAAAAUGAAUAAAUACAAGAAAAAGCACUCAAAAUAUGCAAUCACACAAAAAAAAAUAUAGAAGCACAUAAAAGGAUUUAAAAUAAUAAUAGAAGAUACCUCCCUUGAAAUAGUGAUUAAAUGAGGUAGAAGUUGCCCUAUUUAUACUCCAAAAUCAACAAAAUAGUCAAGACACUAAUUUAAUUAAUAAUUAAAAAUAAAAUGUAAGCAUAUAGCAAAUUGACUUGAUUAUAAAGAAAUAUAAAUGGACAUAAAAUUCCUGAAAUUUACUAAGUAAAUGCAUUUAAAUGAGGUAUAAUUAAUUAUUUAAAGAAGAUAGAUAAAUUAUACUUAAGAAAUCAAAACUGUCACGGAUCCAAUUGCAAAAAUUGAAAAGUUUUUUGGGGUCAAAAUAAUAAUUUUUGGAAAAAGUCGAUGGUCAAAAUUGAACAAGAGAUAAAGUUCAUGGAUCAAAUUUUAAUUAAAUUAAGGACCUAAUUGAAAGAAAUCUGAAGUUUUUAGGGCCAUAAUGAAAUUAAUCAAAACAUUAGGAACUAAACUACAAAUAUGCUUUCUAAUUUCUUAGGGCUGGAAGGCCUUUGGAACUUCUCAUUUAUUUUCUUGGGUCGAAAACCUCUUGGCCAAAAGGGAAAACACAGAGAAAAUUUUGGCUAAGCAAACCCAAAUAAAAAAUGUUGGGUUUUACCUACAAACUCACAUCAUAAACCAAAGAAAAUAUACCAUAAACCUAUCCACCAAAACCCGUUAAAUAACCCUAACCCAUUUCUUAAAUUAUUUUCCUAAACCCAAAUAUUUAAUUGAAUAAAUAAAAGCCAACAAAAAUGUUUAGACCCAAAUUAUAUCCUAAAAUUUAGAAAUAAUUCACUCAAAAGCAUACAUAAAACAUGUAAAGAGGAUCAAGGCUUGCAAAGAGAAGAUUUGAUUCAUUUUUUCACAACUUUUGGGCCUUAGUGUAAUUGUUCAAAAGUCAAGGGGCCAAAUUGCAAUUUUUCUAAAUUUCUAUGCAAGCCGUCAAUAGGUGAUUGCUCGAAAAAUUCAAGUACCACAGAUUCCGACUAGUCCAGGAUGAAAGGAUUUCCACUUGUUUCGAAGAGUUCAUUUUCAAGUAUAAAUGGCUUCUCAAUUUUUUUCAAUUACUUCAUUCUCGUCUACAAUAUAUUGGGUAGGCUCUUCAAACUACUCAUCAGUGGUAAUAGCUCCCACAGUGCUCUUAUAUUCAGGAAGAGGAUUCUUACUGACAUUCAACCUUUGUUCACCUCUCCUCCUCAAAAUUAUCUCUCUGGCGUCAAUCAUGUCUUGAAUUUUGUGUUUCAAUGCCCAGCAACUGGCAAUAAAGUGACCAGGACUCUCAGAAUGAUAGGCGCAAAUGACUUGAGGAUUAUAACCAAUAGGAAUACCCCUAGGGUAGGUUUUAGGAGGUACAAUGCCAAUUUUGCUAACAGUUUUAAGCUGCUCAUACAAUUGAUCGAGGAGUCAGGCUAGAUUAGUGAAGAUUCGGAACUGGUUUUGGGUUUGGGAUCCACUAGCUUGAGCAUGGUUAUGGGCUUGGUUAUUGGUAGGGUGGGAUCCCCUUAGAUUAUAAAGGGGUUGGGGUUGAGUUUGCAAAUUUGUGUGAGAAAUUUAAAAAGGCGAUGCCGGUAUGCUUGUAUAGUUUGGUUGGGAGCAAGGAUGAUUGUUGGUGGUGCGAUAAACGGGUCGGGGGUUUGGAUAGUAUGGAUAAGGAGAUGAGUAGGUGGAGUGGUUUUGAAAUUUGGUCUAGUUGAGGGGCUUUGAUCCCAUACAGAGGCAGUCUCUCCUCUUUUUUUUUUUUUUUUGAAUUGAGGCUUCUUUUCAGAAUUAUUUUGGCUCUAUAGGGCUUCCAAUUGCAUUUUUAAAGUUGACACGUUAACUAUUUUUCCUGCCUUGACAAACCCAUCAAAUUCUUCAAAUUUGUUGACAAUAGCAGCAAAUAAACACUCAGUUAUACGAAAAAUCUCUUCAAAGUAUAGUGGGUCAUGUGCUUUAAUGAAUAUGCGGACAGUGUCCUCCUUGGUCAUAGGGGUUUCUACCUUGGCGGCCAACUUCCUCUAAUGUUUAGCAUAUAUCUUAUGAUCUUCUAAUGGUUUCCUCUUGGUUCCUUUGAGCGUCGUUCUUGUCUGUGCAAGCUCACAAUUGUACUCAUAUCACAAAAGUUGUAGACAAAUCCAACCAAGUUUUCAUCUCUUUAGGCUUCACAUUGGAAUACCAGUCCAGAGCGUCGCCUUCCUAGCUUUCAGGAAAUAAAUGCAUUGGUAGGUUCUCAUCAUCCAUUGAUUUCCUUAACUUGUUUGCAAACAUUUGGAGAUGCAUCUUGGGAUUUUCGGUUCCAUCAUACUUACUAAAUUUAGGAACUUUAAAACCCAGAGGCAACUGCAUAUCCGGAAAGAGACACAGUUCAUCAUAGUCCAAAUCUCCAUGCUUGUUCAAUCCCUGGCUUUUUUUUCAUGAACUUAUCAAAUCGAUCCAAUCUUUUUAGCAAAUUUUUAUCAAUUGAAGCAGAGGGUUCGUCAAUUUCUGCCUUUGUUUGAACGACAAUGUCCAACAUGAACGACUCUAUGGUAGGGUGAUGGGAUCCUUAAGAGUUAGAUGGGAUAUUCAAGUUGAUUUGUAGGUAACUUUGGAGAAUUUGGUUGCUAGUUGGAUUGACGAAAAUAUUGUUUGGAUAUGUAUGCGGUAAACUAGGGAUGGGGUAAGUAAAGGCGUCCCCAGGUGGACUUGUAAAAAGUGGGAUAAAAGUGGUUUGACUAUGUGAUAUGUGAGGUGAGGGGUGAAUAAAUUUGAUACGUACCAAAUUCAUACCCGAAUUCAAAUUUAAUUUGGUACUUUGAAAUCGGGUAUUUGGUAAUUUGGUACAAAAGCUGUAUUUACCGAAUUCACCGAAUUCUAAUAUGAUAUGAAAUAGGUAAUGAGAUUAUGAAUUUGGUAAUAACCGAUUUCACAUUUAAAUUUAGUAAAAUGAAAUAGGGCACCGUAUUACCGCAUUCGAAUACCAAAUUAGUUUAUAAAAUUAUAUAAUAUAUAGAUAAAUGCUAUUUAGUAUUAGUAUAUACUACUAAUAUAUUAUUAUAUUAUAUAGGUAAAUGCUAUUAAUAAUAGUUAGUAUAUGGUAUUGCCAUGUACUUAUGAUAAUAAUAAUAUAUAAUGAUGUACAAUAUACUAUUUUAGUAUUUGUUAAUUGUUAUAUGACUAUAAUAAUACAAAUAUAUAAUAAUACAUAGCAUAACUAUAAUACUUAUUAUUUUAUACAAGACUAGAAUUAGAUGAUAAUUAAUAAGUAUAUGUAUAAUACUAAAUAUUAAACAAUAAACAUAAUUAAUGAUUAGAAUUUAGAUAUUGGUAAUUUGAUACAUCAUUCAUGUUUGAAUUAUUGAAUAUUUGAAUGCGUAACUUAUAACUUGCAAAUAUUAGUGUACUCUAAAAUUACAAAACAUAUUUAACAUAAAAAUCCAUAUUCUCUAUUCACUAAUCUUAAGGAUUUGUGCAUAGACAAGACAACUAAGCAGUUUAAAUGAAUGCAUAUGAAUUGCAAAUCAAUGUAUUAGUGUAUUGGCUUUUACUAUUAAAACCAAUUAAGUGAUUUGCAAAUUUUUCCAAAAAAGCUAUAUAAGAAUGGAAACUACAAUUAAAGGAUUCAGCAGACUUGUUUUCUUUUAAUGAAUUCGGUUAACCCUAAUUCAUUACCAUUUUCAAAUUCAAAUAUGGAAGUGAAAUGAAUUCGGGUAUCUCUAAUUCAAAUUUGAAAGCGGUUUAAAUUUUUAUAAGUCCAAUAACCGAAUUUACUGAAUUACUGAUUUUGCACCGUUUGCUCACCCCUAUAUGAGGUGAUAGGUUUCUAACUCAUAUUGAUUAUCGUCAACGGGAUAUGAUCAUUUUGGACACUGCCAGUGUUGUUUGAGAUCAGUUAAUUGAUCAUGCGCCUUUGUGCCACCAUCUCUGCACUUAACUCAUUGAAUCUGUUCAGCAUCUCUCUCAAUUGGGCCCCCAAAUUUGCAGUAUUUAAGAUGGAAUUAUGGUAGAUCUUUCUGUCGGUUCCGGAUGGAAAUUCAUAUUUUCACGGUUCUCAAGAUUCUGCUGCGGGACCGCGUAAUGAUGAGAUUUCUAUGAGUAGUUAUGUUUGAAAGUACCUAAGAAUGCUCGUGCAGUCAAACGAACAUAAGGUUUCCCCGAAAAUGCAUGUUGGUUUCUGAAACGAAGUCAGGAAAACUUCAUCACAGGGUGCGCAGUCCUAAUGAACCCGCUACUUUGAGUUUCGAUUUGACUGGCUUGGAGGCGUUUUCCCUAAAUUCUUUCAAAACAAAAAUUGCUCUACUGCAUUCAGGGAUAGUGCAGAAAUCAAUAGUUUGCUCAAAAAGUUAAGAUCGACAAUGGAAUUUGACAAGGAACUAGGCUGGUCCGUCAGCCUAGUCGCAAUUUUUCAGAAAACUUCGUUUUUUUCUUUUUUUGUUUUGUUCUCUCUGUCUCUCUCUUUUGUUCGCUUUCCUGACUCUUUUUUGCUCUCUCCCUUCUCUGCCACCUCCCUAGACUCUUCUUCCUAUUUUUAAAUGCAAAAAAAAAAAAAAAACCCCUCAAACCCUAGGAACAAUAAUAGAUAUGAAACCAAGUUUGAUGGCCAUUUUUUAUCCAAUUGAUCAAUUUUUCGAGUGUCUCAAGAUAAGAGUAGGAGGGAUUAGUUGUGUUGUACUUAUUUAGACUUGGAAGGCCAAGAAAUCAGGAGCCAAAACGAAUUAGAAUUCCUCCAAAAUAAUGCAACAUCGCCAGCUUUCUGUACUAUCGUCUAGGGAAGAAGGUAUUGCGUGCAUGCAAGGGUUUUUUUUUUUAAACAAACAUCUAUUUUUUUUUGUUUUCUUUCUUUUCUUUUUCUUUCUAGUUUUUCUGCAAAAACAAUCAAAUAAAAAUCUAAUGAGAUGAAAUGAUUUUUCUUUAGAAAAAAUAAAAAAAUAAUAAUAGAGAUACAAUCACAUUGGUUUUAAUCCAUAAUCAUCUAUCAUGCAUUCAUAUAAUACUUUAUUAAAUGAAAGUAUAAAAUUUAUUUAGUUCUAAUCAUAUAUCAGUAUAUGCUCAAGCCUUUAAUCUCAAAAGACUUCAAUUUAAGAGGUUUAAAAUUAAUUGAAUCAAAUUCAAGUGAUAAUUAUUUUUAAAAAUCUAGAAAAUUCCUUUAACUAGAGAAUCACAGUCGCAAAGUGAUAAGUGACUAAUUUGAGCUAUAUUUGAAUGACAUUUUAUAUUAUUUUUAGUCACUUUUGCAAUGCUAUAAGAAGAAAAUAGAUUAUUUUGACUAUUAUUAGUUUAAAAUGCUCUUAAUUGAUUAAAUGAGAUUUAUGUUCCUUUUUACUUGUAUUUUGUCCAUAAUUUUUAUAGGAGUUGGAAUGGACGUCAUUUGGAUGAAAAAGGAAAGUUGACAGCUUUGAUACAUUUUCGUAUUUCGGCUAUAACUUGAGUUAUAAUGAUUGGAUGGAGAUAAUUCUUGAACCAUUUUGAAGAUAAGAGAUGGCUCUACAAUUCUUAUGAAGACAUCGAAAUUUAGUUUAAAGGUUUUCCAGGUCAAAAAGCCAAAUUAUAGUAGCCAAUUUUGUAUGAUCGAAACUGAAACAAGGCAUUGAGUAAUCAAGGGUAAUUCAGUCAUUUCGUAGCCUACACAAAUCCAAAAGAGGUGAUUCUUGAUGCAUUGGAAAUCUAAUUCAAAGGGCUACAAGUUUUAUGUUUUAGUCAAGAGUUAAUUCAGCUUCUAUCAUUGAGAAAAUUUCAGUUGAAUUUGAUACGAAAUUGGAACGACCUUGAAAACUGAACAGAAAUUCAGAAGCAAAGUAGGGGAGAAAUCCGGUCGACAAUCCGACCGGGUUCUAACAGGAUUCUUGGCUAGAUUCUGGUCAAAAAUGCUGCUCUCUAUUUGCACAACUUGUUUUCUUCUCCAAUAAUUCACAGCUAUUGAUGGACGUGUGACAACCAUUUUGCAGCUGUAAAAGUGAUGUUUGAAGCCUCAUUUCUUGACUAAUUUUAUCUAUAAAUAGCCAUGGAGUUGCAAGAAUCAAAAGAGCUUGAAGAGUGUAAAAAAUACUACAAAAAUGUAGUUCUUACAUUUUCUUGAUGUUAGGUUAGUGUAGUAUAGGAGAGUUUAACUAGUUAGUUCAUCCUUCUUAUUUAUUAGCUAGGAAAAAAUGAAGAAGGAGAUGAAGAUGGAGGAGAUGAACUCAUGUGACAAGGGUUACAUUUCAUUCCAAACUCUUUAUCUUUUAUACUUGAUUCUAUUGUUUAGUUAAUAUACAAGUUUAGAUUCUAUGUUUAUUAUGUGUUUCUAAAGUUUAUACUUUGGGUUUAGUUGAACUUUCUAUGAUUGUUAGAGUUUAUUAUUUGGCUAUUUGAUGCUAUUAUUUUGAACAAGUUAUUUAGUAUUUUUGCUCUUUAAAUCAUGAUUACUUGGUACCAUUAAUUGUGAUUAUCUUAAGGUAUUGUUUCUUUAAUGAAAAUUGAAAUUUAAUAUUAGUUCAAGAAGUGCUAAACCUAGAGACUACAUUCAUGAGAGUAGAGGUACACCUUUGUGGUUUUAAUAAUUCAUUUCAUGUAAUUUCAUUGAAAAAAUGAACUUGUAGUUAAUUUCAUAACCACGAGAGUAGGUAUCGAUUAGUUAUAAGUAUAGUUGAUUCACUACGAGAGUAGGUUUCACAUGCAUACGAAAAUUACGCCAUAACUACCAAUAUAGUAGCACUCAAUGAUCCAAAAAUAGCACUUGCAUGAGUAGUUAGGGAUACCAUAACCUAAGGAGUUUUCAUUUGUUAUUUUCUUGCAUAAGUUUAGUCUAGUUUUAUAUCUUUUAAUUCAUUGAUUAUCUAAAUAAUAGAGAAAUUUUAGUAGUGCCGGUAAUUGUCCAAUCUUCCUCGUGGAAUCGACCGAUAUAUGCCCUAAACUACUAAUUUGAUCUGUAUACUUGCAGUCAAAACGGGUGUAAAUUGGAUUUAAACUUGUACACAUAUCAAAAAUUCGUCAAGUUUUUGGCGCCAUUGCCAGGGAAGAUUUGUGGCAAUAUAGGCGUGAAGAGCAACUUUAUUAGUUUAAACAUUUUAAUAGUUUUUCAGUAUAUUAAUUGAGUCUAGUUUGUUUUGUGUUUAUCGAGUUAGUUUUGAAUUUUAUUUAUUCAUUUUUUUUGCUUAACGUGUGUAUGUGCUUUAUCACCUAUUCUUCUUACUAAUCUUGUUCUUAAGUUGUUUAAAAGCAAUAUUAGAUAAUGAGGAGGGUAGAUCAAUUUGGAAAACAAUGCAUGAGAAGUGGAAGUUUGGCAAUGAAUGGUUACUACGUGCAAAGUUCCAUAGAUAGAAGUAACCAAGAAUUUAACGAAAAUAUGUCGUUUGAAGAUGGUUUAAGGAGUUUAAAGGUUAAACUUGAUGUUAUAGCGUUAAAUGUUCAAAUAGACACCAUUACGAAUAUGUUUGAACAAAAAAGGAAUGUUAAUACUUUUAAUUGUUAUCAUGUGAUUUGUGACUUGUGUGGAGAUUAUCAUGCUACUCAUACAUGUAUGCAAGUACAAAAUGUGGAUUGCUAUGAUGAAUUUGGGCACUAUAAUUCUUGUUUUGAUCAAGACAACUCUAAUUGGGGUAAUUCUUAUGCUUACGGUUGGGAUAAUCAAUGUGCAUAUAGUGCUUCUCCAUGUUCUUUUGAUUACUAAUCCGAAUGUUUCCAAUAUGAAUAUAAACCAUCUUAGAAAUUAGCAAUAGAAAGAUUAGCUAAUGAUUCUAAACCAUCUUAGGAGUUAGCUAUAGAAAAACUAGCUAAUGCGACCGCCGACCGUUUUGUUAGGAUUGAGGAAAAAUUAGAUAAAUUAACUUCUCACUUUGGUAGAAUACAAGGCCAAUUGCAUGAGUUAUAUGAAAUUAUUUCUUCUAAUGAUAUGUACUAUGACCCUAGCAUAAAUGGUGAGCAUAUUGCAAGUGAAAGUGGAUUAAUUUUGAUGAAAAUGAUGCAUAUAAUGUGCAUUUGAAUGAGAAAAUGUUCAUUUCAUAAGAUAGUAUUUUUGGAACUAACCUUGAACAUCAAGAAGUGAGUCUUAACUACUCAUUGUUAACCCUUCUUGAGGAGCGUGUUGAAAGUAUAGGUUCUAAAGGUAUUAUUGUCCAAGAAACCCUCAUGGCAUCUCCUUUGGUGAGUACUCAAGUGAUGCACAUCCAAGGUAAUAUCUAUGAGUCACUUGAGAUUGGUAAGCCACUUCCAUCUCUCAUAUCAUUAGAUUAUGUGUCUUUUGCCAUUGAACCACCAUUUGUUAAUCCACCACAUCUUCUAAUAGUGAAUUAUUCUUUAACAAAACCUCCUUGAAAAAUGAGGUGAUAUAGUCAAGCUAAUGACUAUAAAGAAGUACUUGUUAGGAGGCAACCCAAUAAUUUCUUGUUUUUAGUAGGUGUUAGUGGUUUGAUAAGUAUUUUUGUGUGUUUUAUAGGUAGCAAUGGCAAGGAUUUAUGCAAAUGAUCUCAAUUGCAAAAGCGUCUAUAUUGAAGCAAAAAGGAAAUUUUCAUGUUCAUUUGAUGCAUUUCAUGCAUUUAAAAUACUUUAUGUUAAAGUUAUAUUAAUUCAUGGUUAUGUAUUUUCAAGUGUAUUUGGUUGAGAAAAGCAUAUUUUUAUGGUUUUAAGUGAACUUUUCUUGAAGAACAUGAAAACAAUUGAAAUUCGAGUGAGUGCGGAAACUUGGUCAGGCAGUUUACUGGAGGAAAAACUGCAGAUUGACAGGGUGAUGCGGAUACGGGUGUGCAAUAAAUAACUUCAACCUUGGGUCAAGGAUCCUUUGGUCAACAUUGGUGGUCCGAUGACAAGAUCAAGAUCCAAGAAGGUGAAGGAAGCUUUACAAGUCUUGAUCAUUCACCAUACAAGCAAGGAGCAAGCAAAGUUUGAAGAUUUGAUGGACCAUGAAGUUACCUUGUUCACUUGUACGUUUGAAGUGAAGGAAUGAUCUCAUACUUGUUAGCUUAGUUGAUAGUUGUUUUAAGACUGCCUAGUUUAGUAGUUGUUAGUCGUUGAGUAUUUUAUUACUUAUUGGGCCUUAUCGGGAAACCUUAAAGAGCUGGCUCUUUAGGCGACCGAAUUCCUAUUCCAGGUUUAUUUGGGCCAGAUUUGCCCUAGUUUUAGCCUAUAAAAGGCAUCUAUUGUAUGCGUGGAAAGGGGGAGAUGAUUACAACCAGAAAUCGUGAGGAAUUUUCCUUCAAGUUCUUAAUCGAACUUACUCUUGAAUUCUUGAGUUCAUAACUUAGAAUUCAAAUCAGACUUUAUCGAUUAGUUUGUUCCCUAAUCGUGGUGUCUAUUCAUCCAUCUUUAUUUGCUUAAGGCUGCUGACUACCUUCGUGUGUCAGAGGUCUUGACUUCAUGAGAACAAUUGAGGUCUUGAGGUCUUGAGUUCUGAUAAUUACAAGGUUGGGAGGGUCUUCCCCUAGGGUUGCCUUAUCAGUUGGUAAUCAGAGCAUCAGAUUAAUUCUCUUUUAAUUGAAAUUGUUCAUAUCUUGUUAGUUUGUGUCUUUUGUCAAAAAAAAAAAAAAUACUGUAGCGAUUACUGUUCAUUGUUACUGUAGCGAUUACUGUUCGUCGUACUGUAGCGUACUGUUCACGUUACUGUUCAUCCGAGUCAAAAAAAAAAUCUGUUUGGGUAUUGUCUUUUUGUGUUUUCUGUCCAGGUUCUUGGGUCUGUUAUACUUGUGUUUGGAUUGUUAGGGUUUAAAGACAAAAAAAAAAAAAAGAGUCACGUACCUUAUAUUGUUUUAGUGUCCAAGUUGCUAGAGUAUUGCUGGAAUUUUCUUUUGAGUAUUGCUGAAAUUUUAUUGUGCCUAUUUCUUGAGUAUUGGUUGUUGUUCUUGCAAACCCUAAACACCACAACGCAAUUUGGGGAAGUUCUUGAGCUUCUUGAACAAAUUCUUGAAGUUCUUGAACCAUAAAGUCUUGUUUUGAAAAUUCUUGAACAAUAAAUCAAGAACCAGAGCCUUCUUGAAAUUUGCAUAACCUUUCAUCCGUUUUUUUUGAACUUGUUGGUGUGACCUGAAUUUGUGUUCCUUGAAGAGCCGAAGCAAAAAAAAAAAAAAAAAAGAGAGAACAAAAAAAAAAAAACAAAGAAGAGAAGGAAUCGGCUCUCACACAAAGGAAAUCAAGUAUCUCAAAUCUUGAGUUUCCAAUUCUUGAUUGGUUUUCAAUUCUUGAAUAGUUUCCAAAUAUUGAUUGGUUUCCCAAAACUUGAGUCUCCAACCUUAAUUGAAUUGCAACAACCCCAAACGACCUAACCAGCCCCAAACACCCCCAAAUCAGUUUCCAAAACCAAACCUAAACCACCACAAACACCAUUUACCAUCCAAAUACUGGCCAGAAACUCAGCAAAAAACAGCAGCUCAAAAAAAAAAAGUUCUAGCUUCGGGUAGAGUUUUUCUAAGAUUUGCAAAAUUCUGCUUUGUGUCUUGUUACUUGCUUAUAGGGUAAUUAAUUCUGGAAUUUUUGAGAGUUUGAGUUAUUUUAAAAACUUUGAGAAGGAAAAUUGAGAGUGAGAGUGUUUUCCUUGAGUGAUACACGAGUGCUUUGCAAGGUAGACUAGGAUACACUUGUUUUGCAGGUUUGACAAUAUGUCUCAAGAGGGGAACAUGCCUGAGCUGUCUGAGAUCGACAUGUCACUCAAACUGGUGCUCCAAACUCUUCGAAAACAAGCGGAGAGACAUGAAGUUGUAAUGACACAAUUAUUAGACAGAUUGGCUGCUAUUGAGAUGCGAGGUACCGAAAAUACACACAAUAGGGUUUCGAGUGUUCAGAAUGCUGAUCAUGAUGUGGAUGAUGAGAGAUAUCAUUCUAACACCUCAUUUGGAUCAAGGAAAGGUCAAAGGGGAGUGAUGGAACACAAACAUAAACCCCAGCGAGAAAACGAAUCUCUUAAGAGGAAGGGUUCCAUGCAAUCUACCUUUUUAAAGCCGGUUUAUACAAGAGAUGAUAAGAAAGUUCAUUCAACAUUUUCUAGGCCUAAACCUAGAGUUGAAUCACCUCAUGAGGAGUCAUUUUGGGAGACAUAUCAACGUCUUCUACACCAAAAAUAAAUGGAGUCAAAUGGAUGCUAUCAAAGCGAGUUUUCUAAGAAGGAGGUAGCUGACCCUAUUCCCAACAAAGGAGUAUCUCAUCCUAUUGAACCAUUUGUUGAGGAGGUUGAUAAUGAGAAAACAAUCGAGGGCGUUAAGCUAGAUAAAGAGAUGGAAAAAUCUGAUGAGAUGAGUGGUAAAAAGGAAGAAAAAAGAGAAAGUGAGCUGAUUUUGAGCAAAAAUGUGAGGGCUUAUUGUUUUUCUAACGAACUUACCUAUGCUGUAUUUAGUGUUUCUUCAUUUGUGCAGAUUAAGCAAAGUCAAGUGAAGUUAGUCAUGCCAUGCUCCAUUCCAAAGUCACUUGUACAAUUCACUAGUUUCCAUGGAGUUUGUCUUCUAGGAAUUAAAUCUAUUUGGGAUCACCUCAUGGAACAAUUUCAAUUCAAAUCUGUCCAUACCAAAGGGGAAUCAAUUCAAACCAACCAUGAAGGGAGAAUUCCAAAUUUUGACUCUCAUUUGCUACCUAUGGUUCAUUCAUCAUUUUUACCUUCUUUUGAGUAUAAUUUCCAUCCUAACACUUGUAUUUCUUAUGCAGAUUUUGAAGGAAAGUGUAAAAGGCUAGCAAUGCCUUCUCAAGUUGAAUCAAUUGGUGAAAGGAAUGAUGAAGUGUCAAAGGGAGUUUUCACACUUAAAACUUGUUCUAUACCUUCUUACCAUUCAGUUGAUGAUGUACCAUUACUUCUUUACCCAAUUUCUAAUUUGUUUCAAGUUGAAGGUUAUUUUGUUUUUGUAGGUUGUAAAGCUGUCCAAAAUUUUCCAGUUUUGAUUAAAGACUUACAACCUGAUUUCGUGCUUAUUCCAACUAAAGGUGGUGAUCUUUCAUGCUUAUUCACACAGCCAAAAGCUGGUGGCCAAGUGCUCAAUUUGUCAACUUCAACUUGUGCUAGUUCGAGUAACCCUCAUGAAGUGGACUUCAAUUGUUUGCUACCUUAUAUGUUGGAAGAUGAGAAAUUGUGUGUCACACAAGAUCCCAAACCUUUGCACAAUCAAGGUGUCAAUGUGAAGAUUCAUGACCAAAGGCUAAUUAGAGAGUUUUGGAUUGCCACUUGGGAUUUUCACACGCCUUACACAAGCUCUUUCCUACCUUGGCGCAUGUCCUUGUUUGAGAGCUUCCCAAAACUGACCAAACGACAUGCAACAUAGCUCGUAGUCAUUCAUCUAUUUCCAACAUUGCUGUCCUUUUAGCGCACCAUCGAUUUAUGGACAAAUCACUUUCAAGAGGAGACUUUGAAGAUUCGAGGACGAAUCUUUUCGAGGAAAGAGAGAAUGAUGCGGAUACGGGUGUGCAAUAAAUAACUUCAACCUUGGGUUAAGGAUCCUUUGAUCAACAUUGGUGGUCCGAUGACAAGAUCAAGAUCCAAGAAGGUGAAGGAAGCUUUACAAGCCUUGAUCAUUCACCAUACAUGCAAGGAGCAAGCUAAGUUUGAAGAUUUGAUGGACCAUGAAGUUACCUUGUUCACUUGUACGUUUGAAGUGAAGGAAUGAUCUCAUACUUGUUAGCUUAGUUGAUAGUUGUUUUAAGACUGCCUAGUUUAGUAGUUGUUAGUCGUUGAGUAUUUUAUUACUUAUUGGGCCUUAUCGGGAAGCCUUAAAGAGCUGGCUCUUUAUGUGACCGAAUUCCUAUUCCAGGUUUAUUUGGGCCAGAUUUACCCUAGUUUUAGCCUAUAAAAGGCACCUAUUGUAUGCGUGGAAAGGGGGAGAUUAUUACAACUAGAAAUCGUGAGAAAUUUUCCUUCAAGUUUUUAAUCGAACUUACUCUUGAAUUCUUGAGUUCAUAGCUUAGGAUUCAAAUCAGACUUUAUCGAUUAGUUUGUUCCCUAAUCGUGGUGUCUAUUCAUCCAUCUUUAUUUGCUUAAGGUUGCUGACUACCUUCGUGUGUCAGAGGUCUUGAAUUCAUGAGAACAAUCGAGUUCAAUUUCCAUUGGGAAAAAAGAUCCAACUCUGAUAAUUAUAAGGUUGGAAGGGUCUAGGAGGGUUUUCCCCUAGGGUUGCCUUAUCACAGGGGAGGCAAAAAAAAUUUUUUUUGCUCACUCCUAGAAUCCGGCCAACAAUCUGGGCGGAUUUUGGCAGGUUUUGUGACCAAAAGAGGAAUCCGUGAACGGAUUCACGGAUUCCUCAAUCUUUCCUUCUCUUCUUCUUCAACCCACACACACAAACACCUAAAAUACACACUACUCACUAAAAUCUCUCUUUUCACUAUCAAAUCUUUCAACUAACUUCACCAAAACAUCCCCUUAACCUCUAGAGAUGAUUUCAUAGUUUAAACUUUUUCAAAAAAUAAGCUUUAAUUCAGAUUUGAGUUUGGUAAGAAUAAGGGUUUCAAAUUUUUGAACUCCAUUUGAGGCCGAAUUAGAGUGAGAUUUUAGGGGCUUUCUUCACUAUUUGCAUCCAUAAUCGUCAACCAAUAAGUUUGAGGUAAUAAAUAUUCACCAAAUUUUGUCAUUUAAAUUUUGCUAUUUUCACUUUUUUUCAAAUUUUUGGCCAAUUUUGAAUUUCUUUAUUUUGUGAAAUUUGGUACUUUCCAUUAUACUUAUUGAGGUUAUUGAUGAUUAUUGUUAACGGUUAACUUAUGGGCUUAUGACUAUUUGGUGAAUUUAGCAAUUUUUAACUACUUUUGAGGAUUAAUGUGACUAAAUAAUUAUUAGCUACUUUCUUUAGCUAAUUGGAUUGAAGAAAAUUUUAUGAGAUAGAUGGGUUGCUCUAGAAUAUUUACAUGCUAAGUUUAGGCUUAAUUUGCUUACCUCUUAAUUUUUGACAUGUUUAUUCUAGAAUUUUUGAUAAAUAGUAAAUUAGUGACCUUUUUAAACCUAAAACUCAUGGUCAAAGUACUAUUUAGAAUUUAAUUAUGCUUAUUUAAGUCAUUAAGAUGUGAGUGAGUUGUGUGUUUGUUUAGUUGUUUUCUUUAAUUACUUGGACAUUAUUGUUUAUUGCACUCAUAUGUGUCAUUUGGAAAAAUUAUAAGAGCACUUGUUGAUAGUAAAUUUUGGUACUUACUUAUGGUGUUGAUUGAUACUCAUUAUGUCAGUAAGUUAAUGAGUGUGCCUCUUUAAAGAUAAGGGUAAAUGCGAACAAGUAUUCGUUAUCCUUUAUUUAACAAUGUACCUAUUGAAUGACAUUAAUGUUUAAUAAUUUUAUUUAGAUACAAUGGCUCGCAUUAAGAAAGUUAGGGUGAAAUCUUUACCUCCCAAAAGAAAAGGAGAAGCUUCUAUGUUUACUUCUAGACCACAACAUAAAAAAAGAAAAGCAAGUAGACGACUUAUACUUAAAGAUGAACCAUCAUCAAAAGAGGAGAUUCAAUAAGAAGUAGAGCAAGAAGAGGAACAAGAGGAGCAAAUCCCAUAUGAUAGUUCGCGCUUCUCCUCCACCGAAAAUGAAACUUGGUAUAAUUCUCGAAGGGAGUUAAGAUGUUGGAGGAGAAGAACGUCACUCAUGAUGUUGAGGAGGUCUACCAUCUCAAGGCCUACUCUGCUAAAUUGGGAUGGGAGAAUUUCUUCAACCUCCCAAACAUUUAUUAUGAAGAGCUUGUCCAUGAACUUUAUGUAAUUGUGAAGGGCAAGCAGUCUUUUCACUUUGACACGGAAGAAAUUACAAGUACAUUACAAGGAACCAGUAUCCGAAUCCAUAGAUCUCAUUUGCAAAGCCUUCUUCAAGUUUCUGAUGUUGGAUAUAAGGUUGAUUUGAAGAAAGCAUUUAAACCUCGCGAUUUGGACUCAUGGAACAUGCUAGAGGCACUUGUACGCUUGGGAGUUGAGUAUAAGACCACUCGUAAAAUUGGGUGAUAUUCCAUGAUGACUUCCUCAUUUUCGGAGUCUCAUCGUCUUCUCAUCUACUUGGUUGCCUCCAAUAUAAUUCCAAGAGCGAAUGGUGCCAAUGAAUCGCGCAUAAAUGACAUCUAUUUCUUGGACAAAAUAGAGCAUGCCUUAGGCAACAUCCAAGGUUUUCCAUUAGAAAGCAUUAUCAUCAACCACAUGUGGGUUGUAGUUCAUAAUAAUGAUGUCAAACAUGUUUUCCCAUAUGCUCGCUUUUUGACCUUGGUAUUUCAAAGGGUUGGAGUUGAUUUCUCUAAUACUACCCCUACGUACCUCAAGAAAAAGGACAUUUUUAUAUUGAAUUUUUGCAAAUUUCUUUUGAAGAUCAAAAACGCGGGUGGUGACAUUCGACAAGAGGAAGAAACUGAAAUUGCAUGUCUUGAAAAAGAUCAAGGUGUUGAGACAACUGCCCAACCGGUCUCAACCGAUCCCUCCUCUUUACGUCCUUCAUCAUCACCUCAAGACACUCGAUCUUUUCUCAAAAAGAUGAUGGAUAUGCUACUUUGCAUCGAGAUUGAAGUAAAGAGGAGUCGAAAAGAGUACAAACGGAACUCCGAGCGUCUUCAUCGCAUUGAGGCUAAACUUCGCAUUGAAACUCCACCGACUCCACCUUCCUCAUCUGACCAAGCGACUACUUGAGGGAACGUUCAUCACCAUCAACCUCGUUCAUUUUCCCAAAUUUGUAUGUUUGCUUUAUCAUUGCCGCUAGUUUUUUUUUUUUUUUUUUUAGUGGUUUUCCUUAGUGUUUUUUAUGUUUACUUUUUAGUGGUUUUCCUUAUUCCUUUUUGUAUAAGAACUCAUCCAAGUGAUCUUCACUUAUGUUGUGAUUUUAGUGCUCAGACUUCUUAAAAUUGAAAAUUCAUCACUUGACCAUAGAUUUGGAUAGCGCAAGUUCAAUAGGGGAGCACUAUUUUCUCUUACUUUCGUAAUUUUUCCUUUCUCACAUUGAGGACAAUGUGAAGUUUAAGUGUGGGGGAGGGAAAUAUGUGAACUCACAUCCUAGUGCUACGUGAUGAUAUUUUGUGGAUUUAAAUGCAUUAAAAAUGUUGAAAUUGUGUUUGGAAAUAUUACCAUGUUGAAGUUUUCUUGAAAUUAGGUUUGUUGGCGGGGAGUUUCGCCCAUUUAUAAGGGGAAACACUGUCAAAAUUUUUUAAAAAUCUUUUCAAUAUUUCACUAAGACCCAAAAAGUUUUGCAAUUUUUGUCUUUGUUUUAAAAAGGGCCAAUUUAUUCCAAUCUUAAGCAUUGUAAUUUUUCCACUUGUUGAAAUUUAUAUAUAUUUUGGAAGAUUUAAUUCUCAUUUGACUCGGAAAUGGUUAUUAUGCAAUUUAAAUUUUUAUAUUUUAAAAAGUGUAUCCUGUAAAAUAGGGAGAAUUAUGCCUAUUAUUUUACAUGUUUAAUGAGAUUUCUCCUCUUUACUUAAUUUUGCAAGUAAUUGAUAUAGUUAAGAAAAGCUAUACUCUUCUUUUGAUUAUUCUUAUAUAUUUGCUACAAGGGAAUAUCUAUUUAUUGUCUUUUAUUUAAAAAAAGAAUAAACAAGAAAAAAGAAAUAAAAAGAAGAAAGGAAAAAAAAGAGGGAAUAAGCGUUUUUGCUCUACUCCAAUAAUUAUUGUACUGAGUAAUCGGAGGUACAAAUGUCAACAUUCGUAUAAAAAGGUACUUGAAUUAAGAGUAUGCAUUGUAAUUUAAAUAAGUGAAAUGUUGAUUAACCGAAACUCUUCACCUAAAAGUGUCGAUCUUCACGUCAAAAGACAUUUUUACUAUUUGAGUAUAAAUUAGUAUGAAUAAGUCCCUCUUAGUUGUGAAAUUUGAGAAAAAGAUGAUUGAAGAAAAAGGAUAGCUAUGAAUUGACUAUGAUUUGCUUGUUUGUGAAAUUAGGUUAGAGUGAGAGAUUAAGUUUAAAUUGUUAAAAUUAGGAUAUAAUUAUGUUUCCUUUACUUGAUAUUAUGAGUAUUUAGUGUAAAUUGAACAAUUGUAUAAAGAUUGUUUGCCAAAUCAUGAGGAAUUAAAUUUGAAAAAAGUGCAUAUAUUGUUUCACUUCUUGAAUCAUUGUAAUUGAUUAUGUGUGGAUUGCUUGAGAAUAAGCAAUGAUUCAAGUGUGAGGUAGUUAAUACGUGACUAAUUUGAGCCAUAUUUGAAUGACAUUUUAUGUUAUUUUUAGCCACUUUUGCAAUGAUAUAAGAAGAAAAUGGAUUAUUUUGGAUAUAAUUAGUUUAAAAUGCUCUUAAGUGAUUAAAUGAGGUUUACGUCCUUUUUUACUUUCAUUUUGUCCAUAAUUUUUUACAUGAGUUGGAAUGGACUUUGUGAAGAUUCGAAAAUUCUAUUAUUUUAAAAUCCCUAAUUUUGGCUAAAUUAAUUAUUUAUUUGGAUUUUGCCACGAAUAAUAUUUUCUAGCCUUAUUAGACCUAAGUACAGGGUUUUAUAGUUUCGUUAUAUUUUUAAAGUGUCUCGUUUCAAAAAAAUUAUUUUUCUUAUAAGCUUGUUUAGUGAAAAGUGAAAACGUGUCUAAACACUUUAGCCAAUUGGGAGUACAAUAAGCUCAAAAAUUUGAGACAUAUACAAUGGUCCUAAAAUAGGCAAUUUUAGGUUUAAAAACUCAAGUGAUAGUUGGUAGUACGAUUGUUAUAAGAAUUUCUCGAAAGUUUCAUUUUAUCGCGCCUAAAUUGGAAAUACGUGUUUUCACGUGCGCGCUUAAUUGAGGGACCUUGGACCAUUAUUUUGGAACAAUUAAGAAUGAAUAAUAUUUAUAUGAAUGUAAGUGCCCUAGAGGUUUAAUGCACUAGUGCAACAAACUUAAGAGAAAUUGAGCACAAAACGCGCGCGUAGGCGCACUAGUUGCAAUUGAUUUUUACGCACUUAAAAUAUUAGACGGUCAGCGUUCCUUGUACGCAAUAGAAUCAGCAAAACAUAUCAUUUCUUCAAGCUCCAUGGACGGCUAGCAGUCAGCAAGGGAGCAACCGAAAAACUUCCAACAUUUCCUCUACAAAACUCACUCAAAUCACCACCAAAUCUUCUCAAAAUUUAGCACUACUUAGCCUAAGCCUUGGAGUUCACAUCUAGCUAAAAAGGGGAGGAUUUUCACGGCUCACUUAGGAGCAAGGAGGGACCGAAUCUCUGAUUGAGACAUCAACUAGAGUAAGUUUUAAUUUAGCCUUCUAACUUCAAUUUUUGGAAGUUCUAGUAUAUCUUUUAGCUCUUAAUUUCUUAUGGGUUGUUGUUGAUGUUGGAAAAUUGGAAAAGUGGGCUCUAUGAACUCCCACUCUUGAGUUAUUGCUGAUUUUGUGCUUGAUGAUGGUUAUAAUGUUGGAUUAGUGUUUAAAUUAGUGGUUUGUUGAUGGAAACUCACGUUGGGUGCAAAGGCCAAAUCUGACCAUUUUGCCCCUGCUUUGUUCGGCCACUUUAAUGUAGAAAUUUGAGGAUUUAAUGGCUUGAUUGUGUUGUUUACAUGUUGUAGUGGUUGUGUAAAAAUUUUCAUUGAAAAAUGUUGAGUUUUGGUUGGUCAAAUGAAUUUAUUCCCAAAGUUAGUAAUCUGGAAGCUGUUCACGUCAUGGCCAGACCAGUAUUCGUAUUUCAUCCAUAACUCCGUGUUCCGACAUCAAAAUCAAGUGCCAUCAGUGGCAUUUGAAACUAGACAUUCCCCUCUUUCCAACGGUAUAAAAUGCAUGUUUUGGUUCCAUGUGUGUGAACCGCACCACUCUUAUGAAAUCAGCUGUUCUGUUUCUCUGUUCUGCUGGAAUGGAAUGCAGAAGCUGUGACUUGAACCUCGAUUUCGAGCUAGUUGUGUACCGAAAUUCAAAAUGAUUUCUUCUGUGAAAUUAUAGCCCUAUGAAUCUAUUUUCCAAAACUAUCAACCAUUCCCAAUUCCGAACUAAAUUGAGUGAGUUAUGAUCAAAAUACGACAACUGCCUCGUUUUUGAAAACUCUUAGAUUUGGACAGAUUAGAUGUGAGAUUUGUUGUGGUCUUACUAAAUGAAUUUCUUGGUGCUAAACACCUACUAAAAGUACCAUGUAUGUUCCUUAGACCUUUCUUGCACAAAUGAACCAUGUUUGGAGGUUUUUCCUUAGCCGAAUGUUUGGAAACGGAGAGAAAGGGAGCUAAAGGCAGUUUUGCCUUACUAAUUUCAAAAAUUUGGUUGAUUGGUUAACUACCUUUCCGAAGGUAUUUUUCCACAAAAUUUGAUAGAGAGAUACCCUUCAUAUAGAAGUACUAUACUGCAAAAUUUGGUACCAAUCCAAGUCUGUUUCGACACUUAACUAAAGGUCUAAAGUCGGAAACCCAAAUCUGGAAAAUUGUUCAACGGUCUUGAAUUUUUCCCCAACUUUGAGCUACCAUAUCUUGGUGCUCGAAACUCCGAUUCUUGAGCCGCUUGUUCUGUCCUAAACCUUACUUGCACCUCUAAUUGAGUUAUAAGUUUCAAGGGCUGGUUUGCAACGAGUGAAUUCUGCCAAAUUUUCAAAGUUAGCGAAAAAUCAACCCCGGCUCAAUCCUGGUAAUCUAGAACAGCAACUUUAGGCUCAUUUUUGAAUACCUUCCACUUAGAUUCAUGGAACAGUGUCUUCUAAGGACUUUUAGUACUUUGGAAGAUAAUUCCAACGGUACCAAAUUUAUCAAGUUUCGACUAGUAGAAAAGAAGUUAUGAUUUUUCAAAGAUUUGACCAAAAAUCGAAAAUUCUGAAAUUUCAAAGGAAAUCCGCGCGGGAACUAUUCUACCAGAAUCCGGCCUUGAAUCCGGCCAGUUUCUGGCCGGAUUAUCGGCGAAAUUUGAAAAAAAGGGAGGUUAGCCACUGCCUCCAAUCCGGCCAGAAAUCCCGCCAGAAAUCCGGCCGGAUAUCUGGCCAGGUUCCGGCCGGAUUGUGACGUGGCCCACCCACUUUCGAUUUCGAUCGUUCGUUUUGCAAUCGUUUCGCUCGUACUCGUUUCCAACCAAUGAUUUUAAGGAUAAUAAUCCGAUUUUUACUUGAGUCCUGCACCCUUUUUGAGAAUCCAACUUCAAAGGCAAGCCCAAACGAAAUUUUCAAAAUAUUUUCGAACCCUACUCGUGUUCAAUCUUUCUCACCAUUUGGGGACCUAUAGUAAUUGUCUACUAUUCGAUGUUCAGGUACGCACGAGGACCUCCAAGAGGACCCUACCGUGGAAGUUUGAACCCUCCAUCCAACCUACUUGCUUGCAUAACUUGGUGAGUGUCAAGUGUAUGACUACUUGAACUCUAUAGACUUGAUUCAUGCUUGACUUACCUGAUUACAUGCUUAACCUAUUUGGUUUUGAAAAAAAAAAAAAUGGAGUCGAGCGUGUACUUAAUCGCACUCGUUCUCAGUUGAAACAAAUGACUCAUGCCUGACAUGCUUUGCCUGGUUUAUAUGACCUGAAAUACAUGUUUAAACCUGUCAAAUGCUUGAAUACAUGACAUAGUAUGCUAUGACUGCAUAUGUCGUUGGAGUGAAUCUCCUCGACACUUACAUGAUACAUGGGGGACGCCCAAACUCAUAGGCCGACCGUGGAACUCGAGCCGGCAUGGGUUUGGUCUGGAACCUCGGUGAACUAUGAGAUUCACAUGAUAAGCUUGAUCUAUUGAGAGAUCUCGCUUGGCAUACUCGUGAAGUAUCGCCUUAUAAAUGUUGUGCGGGCCCGAAGCGGUGUAUAGUGGACGGAUGAGAAGUAAGUGGUGAACUACGGAUAUGAAAAUAUCAACCCGGUUGACGGAGAGUCGUAUCGGGGAGAUAUACGAAUGACAUCGGUAAAAUGUGGAACUUAGCUCCUGAGAGCUUCCAUAUCCUUGAAUUGUUUCUGGUUACAUUUUUGUUGGCGUUAUUAAUUACUUGCAAGCUAUUACUUGAAUUGUUAUUUGGUCUUGUUACCUGAACUAUGUGUCUGCAUGUGUGUUCUUGGCCUCAUGAGCGUUUUUGCUCACCCUGUAGAUUUGUUUUUCUUAACAGGAUUGAACUUGGCGAGGUAUCGAAGAAACCUUCCUGCUACGCUUUUGUUUAGGGUUCUAUUACUUUUGACUAUAUCUUGGCUUUUGGGUUGUAUUUUCGAAAUCUGAAUAUAACUUUUGGGGCAUGAUGUAUAUUUGGGAUUUAUGAUGGUUGUUGAACACCCGAUGUGCGGGUUGGAUAAUGGAUGAUUUUUAUUAAACUUGAACGCUUCCGCAUUUAUUGUAUCUAAGUUAUUGACUCGUUUUGUGUGGUCCAGUAAUAAGGCUGAAUGGAAUUGCUUGAGUCCUGGCGAGAGCUAAGCAGGCGUCCCGCGGAUACCCUUUGGUUCGCCUUAGGGAGAAGUGGGGGCGUCACAGACUUCAUUUGGAUGAAAAAUGAAAGUUGAUAGCUUUGAUACAUUUUCAUAUUUCGGCUAUAACUUGAGUUAUAAUGAUCGGAUGGAGAUGAUUCUAGAACCAUUUUGAAGAUAAGAGAUGGAUCUACAAUUCUUGUGAAGACAUCAAAAUUCAGUUUAAAGGUUCUAGGUCAAAAAGUCAAAUUACAGUAGCCAAUUUUGUAUGUUCGAAGCUGAAGCAAAGCAUUGAGUAGUCAAGGGUAAUUCAGUCAUUUCACAGUCUACACAAAUCCAAAUGACAUGAUUGUUGAAGCAUUGGAAAUCUAACUCAAAGGGCAACAAGUUUUAUGUAUUGGAUAAGAGUUAAUUCAACUUCUAUCAUUGAGAAAAUUUCAGUUGAAAUUGAUACGAAAUUGGAAUGACCUUGAAAGAAAUUCAGAAGCAAAGUAGGGGAGAAAUCCGGCCGGAUUUUGGCUUGAUUUGGGUCAAAAAUAGCUGCUCUCUACUGACACAACUUGUUUUCUCCUCCAAUAAUUCACAGUUACUAAUGUACAUGUGACAACCAUUUUGUAGCUGUAAAAGUGAUAUUUGAAGCCUCAUUUCUUGACUAAUUUUAUCUAUAAAUAGCCAUGGAGUUGCAAGAAUCAAGAGAGUUUGGAGAGUGUAAAAUAUACCACAAAAAUGUAGUUCUUACAUUUUCUUAAUAUUAGGUUAGUGUAGUAUAGGAGAGUUUAGCUAGUUAGUUCAUCCUUCUUGUUUAUUAGCUAGGCAAAGAUAAAGAAAGAGAUAAACUCAUGUGAUAAGGGUUACAUUUCAUUCCAAACUCUGUCUUUUAUACUUGAUUCUAUUGUUUAGUUAAUAUACAAGUUUGGAUUCUAUGUUUAUUAUGUGUUUCAACAGUUUGUGCCUUGGGUUUGGUUGAACUUUCUAUGAUUGUUAGAGUUUAUUAUUUGGCCAUUUGAUGCUAUUAUUUUGAGCAAGUUAUUUAUCACUUUAACUCUUUAAAUCAUGAUUAACUUGGUACCAUUAAUUGUGAUUAUCUAAAGGUGUUGUUUUUUCAGUGAAAAUUGAGAUUUAAUACUAGUUCAAGAAGUGUUAAACCUAGGGAGUACGCUCACGAGAGUAGAGGUGCACCUUUGUGGCUUUAGUGAUUCAUUUCAUGCAAUUUCAUAGAAGAAAUGAACUUGUAGCUAAUUUCAUAACCAUGAGAGUAGGUAUGGAUUAGUUAUAAGUAUAGUUGAUUCACUAUGAGAAUAGGUUUUACAUGCAUAAGGAAAUUACACCAUAACUAACUUAGGUAGUAGUACUCAAUGAUCCAAAAAUAACAUUUGCAUGAGUACGUAGUUAGGAAUACUAUAACCUAAGGAUCUUUCAUUUGUUAUUUUCUUGCAUAAAUUUAGCAUAAUUUUAUUUCUUUCAAUUCAUUGAUCGUCUAAAUAAUAGAGAAGAUUUAUUAAUGCCCAUAAUUGUCCAAUUUUUCUCAUGGGAUCAACCCGAUAUAUGCCCUAAACUACUAAUUUGACCUAUAUACUUGCAGUCAAAAACGGGUGUAAAUUGGAUUUAAAUUUGUACAUAUAUCAAAAACCCAUCACAAAGGCUUUAGUGACAGCCUUUGUGACCUGUAUAGUUUGCCCUACCAAUUAAUGAAAGGCUCUCUAACAACCCCCUUUUUUUUUGUUUUUUCGAAUUUCCAGAAUUGAGCAAUGGAAUUUUGGUAACUCUAAUAAUUUAGAAAUCUCUAUUUUAUUCACAAUAAAACAUAGUUAUAGUUGCCAAAUUAUAUAGAAGAACCAAACUAACUAAACAAUAUUAGGAACCUUUAUUCCUUAGGAAAUCAUAUUUCUUAAGAAAUCCUUAUUGGUUUCCAAUUUUAUUUUAAUUUCUUUUGCCAUCAAAUUUCCAAAAAAAAAAACUAUUUGAUUUCUAAAUAACACUUUUCAUCAUCUAAUGAUAAAAUUUUUGGAUCAAAAUCAUGGUCGAAUUCUGACAAGAAUCAUGCUAAAACUUUUGUUCAUUAAAGAACACAUGGACACAUGCUCUUCCAACAAAAAUUUUCAGCAAUAUCAAUCCACAAAAACCAGCCUUAAUCAUUAUUCAAAAUUCAAGAUUCAAAAUUUCAUCCAAAUAAAUUAUCUCAUAAUUAACCAUAAUAGCCAAAUUGAUAAUUUCAUGAAAUCAAAAAUAUGAUCCAAUGAAAAAUCUAAUUUUCAUCAAAUUUCCAACCACAAAAGUUGUUCAAUUUUUUUUAAAAUUUAGACAACGUUAAAAAACUUAUUUUUUAUGAUAAAACUAGUCCGGCAAAUUUGGAUUGUGAUUUUUUACAGAAAAAUUUUUAUAUUUCUAUUAACAUAUUUUACAAUUAUCUUUUUCUCUCACAUUCAUCAAAUUACUACAGUACAUUUUUCUACAAAACUCCUAAAAAUAGCAAUCCAAAUGGGUUACUUUUUUUUUACAAAAAUUAUCCAAAAUUUUUUUUUCAAAAUCUAAAACCUUUUCAAAAUUUUAUUUUUUCAUUUGAGCAAUAGUUUUUAAACACCUCUUGAAUUGAAUAUAAUUAAAUCUAAUUUAACAUAUAUGACAACUGAAUAAACAAGUCACAUGUCACUACAACAAAAAUGACUUUUCGUGACAUGUCUAUAAGGACACUUGCUGGUUUGUGUCAUUAUAACACAUCUAUUAUGACACUUGUUAUCAACUCAAUAAUAUACACUCUAAUUUUUUUUUAUUUUAUCUGAUAUAAAAAUAAUAAUGUGCCUUUAGAUUACCUAUCAUUACACUUGAGAAAAUGUGAGAUAUACUAAAAAAAAGGAAAGGCACAAAACAACAUCAUAGUGAAUUGGCGGAAGAUUCAUUUGCUGUGAAAUAUUCAAAACUUUCAAUUUGCCGGCCAAAACACUUGGUCAAAUUUUGCUUCUUCUGAUCUCUCUCACAGAAAACACUCUCUCCGCAAACUAACUCUUGGCAAAUUAUCUCUCAGCCAAGUAGGGGCGUUAAGACCGGAGUUUUUUGUAGAUGGCGCAAGACGAUUGCAGAUGGGUAAAGGAAACCUGGAAAAUAAUAGACCACCGAAGUACUAAAUGAAACUUUCUUCCACUUUCUUUCCUUUCGCUCUUUCUGGCUCCCAUGACCAAUUAAAGUAAGGAAGAAUCAGCCAUGGGAUUGAUCGUCUCCGCUUUCAGUUCAUUCCAUUCCUCAAGCUCACCGCCGUCUUUCUCCCCUCAACCGCCACCACCACCGCUGCCGGAAUGUUAUUUCUCUUUUCCCUAGCUACCCUCCUUCUACAAUCACCAGCAGCUGUACCAGUACCAGCACCAGCACUAGCUGUUCUUCCUCUUCUUCUUCUUCCUCCUAUUUUGGGAUUUCGAUUUCUGACAAAACUAUGAUUUCUGUUGCGUCUGGAAAAGCUAAGUCAAACCGAUCGUUGUAUAUUGUAGCUGAGGUGUUUGAGAAAUUUACUGAGAGAGCAAUUAAAGUGGCUAUGUUUUCCCAGAGGGAGGCAAAUGCUUUGGAGGUAGAAAUGGUGUAUACCCAGCAUCUUUUGCUAGGACUUAUCGCAGAAGAUAGUGCUUCCGGUGGGUUUUUAGGCUCUGGAAUCACAAUCGAGAUGGCUCACCAAGCCGUUAAGAGCAUUUGGCAUACCAAUUCUGAUGAUAAGGAGGAGAAUGGUAAGGGUAAUGGGAGUGGUCUUGGUCCUGAGGGGGCAGAGGUCUCGACCAUGGAUGUGCCAUUUUCGCUGAGCACUAAGCGGGUUUUUGAGGCUGCCGUGGAGUAUUCGAGGACUAUGGUGUAUAAUUAUAUUGCGCCGGAACAUAUUGCUGUUGGGUUGUUCACUGUCAAUGAUGGAAGUGCUGGCCGUGUACUUUAGAGGUUGUACAUUUUAAAUUAGCAUAAUUUUAUCUAUGAAUGCUUUACUCGCUGAGAAUUGCAAUUUUUUUAGUGCUUUAUAUUGGUCUUAUAUGGACUGCUGAAACUAUUGUUGCAACUUGUGAUCGAAGACAAAACUAGGAAGGGGUGGCAAAACAAGUCAACUGGGAGGUAAAAAGAAUCACCCAACUCUGACUGUACAUCCUGCCCCUGGGGCUUCGUUUGGCAUAUCUUCUGCCUGCUCUUCCCCAAGAUCACCUGAGAGCUGCAAGCCUGCAACACCGAUGGAAAUGCCCAUGAACCCAUGCUCCAGAACAGCUAUCACAGCACCCGAAUGCAUAUGCACAGGGUCCAGAGCUCACCUACUGUCUGCAAUCUUAUAGGUCUUCAGCAGUAGAACAGUGCUUCUAGUCUUCAGCUGUAUCCUCAGAAUUACUACCAAACCAUCAGUCUUUUUGGUGCGCAAGAAACUUCAACUUGUUGGAGUGACAGCAAUGCUUCUGGCUUGCAAGUAUGAAGAAGUUUCUGUUCCUGUCGUUGAAGACCUCAUAUUGAUUUCUGACAGGGCUUACUCCAGAAAUGAUGUGCUUGAGAUGGUAGGUUUGUUAUGGCAUCUAUUGUCUAUGAGUUGAUCUUUGAUAUAUGAAGCUUUCCUUUGUCAUAUAACUAAAAUUGAAUUGUGGCUCGCUGCAGGAGAGCUUAAUGAUCAAUAUCUUGCAGUUUAAUCUUUCAGUGCCUACUCCUUAUGUCUUCAUGAGGCGCUUUCUUAAAGCUGCUCGAUCUAAUAAAAAGGUAUUGUUUCGUAUUUAGUGUAUGUGAAUUUUUUGCACUAUCUUGAUCUGCCUAAUAACUGGCAAUAAUCUUCUGGUGACUAGUUGGAGCUUCUGUCCUUCUUUAUCGUUGAGCUGUGCCUCGUCGAGUAUGAAAUGCUUAGGUUCCCCCGUCUCUCUUAGCAGCAGCAGCUUCUUUAUUUCAAAUUUUUUGUUUGAGUUACCAUGCUCAGUUUAUGACAUUUUAUUCCUUGCCACAUUCAUUUUUUAUACAGAAUAGAACCACUCGUAUGUAAAGAAUAUGUAGAUAAACGCCCCGUGAUUAUCCCUUACCACAUAGGCGAAAAGCGGUUGUACGUUAGAUUUCAGGUGAGACCCUUUUGAGUUUCCAUACUGUGAGUGUUAAACAUCUUAUUCUCUUUUUGCUACUGAUGAUAUGGUCUGCAAGAGUUUAGAGAAGGCUUGGCUUCACAUUCUCAGGCCCUGAUGGAUCAAAUGACUGCUAUUAGGGUAAUUUUGAUCAUCCCUAGCUCCUGCUUACUUCCUUUUUCUCUUUUAAUUUGGUGUGUAUGGAGAGAGGGAGCUUAUGUGCACGAGAAUUCCAAUUCUAUUCUCUAGAAUUAUAACAGCAGAAGCUAAGCUUUUGUGCCCUUAACAUAACGGAAAAGGGAAAUGUGAGACGAUUACUGAUCACUUGUUGUUGGCAAUGAUUACAUGACUAUGGAUAGAGGCUUGGACCACUUGCACUAUUGGCAAUGAUUACAUGGCUACUGAAUAGGGUAGAUUGCAAGUACCUUGUAUUCUGCUUGAAUGAGGAAAUAAAUAGUCAACCUUUCCAUUCUGAAAUACAUGGUGCAGUUUUUUGUCGGUGCAUUGCUUUCAAGAUAUGGACCUAUUAGUUUCAUCCACAGGUUGUUGUCUUGCCCUUUCCUAUUCAAAACUCUGAUUACUUCUCUUUGUUUAAUGUUCCUGUCAAAUGCUUCGCUUGGGGUCAUACCUGGUUGUGAUGCAAAUUUCGAUAGGCAUUUAUACUACUCUGAUCAGAGAUGUUUUCAUCUUUAAUUUUUGUAUUUAUUUAUUUUUUUUGUUUUAUUAUGUAAAUUGGAUUAACUGAUUGUGAGCAGAGAAUGUCUGGUGCUUUAAUGGUCCCACAAUUAGGAUUUAGAAUUGGACCUAGAGAUGGUACAGGACAAGUGUAUUAUGCAAAGCAGUUAGUAGGUAGCAAGCGUGUUCAUUUUGGUUUUGGCUCCCGAGCAAGAAUUUGCUUGAAUAAUGUGUGUUAUGGAAGUUAAUAACUGAGUGUAGUGGUCUAGAUGUUGAAAAUGAAGAAAUGUCAGACAUGUAACUCCUUGGCAUAUAUUGUUGAUUGGACGUGUUUAUUUGAUUACCAUACAGAAACAGAUUAAUGUCUUAACAACUUGGCUGAAUCUUUUCUUUUUGAACAGGUUAAAGUGCUUACCAUCUGCGAAUCGAGAAACAAGGAUAAACUGGAUGGUAAUCCUAAGAUGAUUUUGCUUCUUUUGUUUUUUUUUAUUUCAAAUUUUUUGUUUGAGUUACCAUGUUUGGUCCCUUCAAAUUUACUGUGCAAUGCUCUGUCAAUGGGUUCAAGAAGUGGACUAAGACAUGCGAGAGGCACACAAACUACACUGAAGAUCAGCUUUUGUAAGUGGUUCCUUAUGCUUUUCACACAUUAAUGAAUUUUAUUGCUAGCUAUGAUGAUCUAAUGAUCCCAACAAACUUUGUGCACAGGUGGAACCAGCUGAAGAUUGAUGGGGUGUUCGUGGCUAUGAUUGAAGGGUCUAAUUUCAUUGGAAAGUUUGGCAGCUACUGCAAGUUCUUUCUACUUGUUAGGGAAGAGAAUCUUUUAGUUUGUGCACAUGAGGAUCUUUUAGUUUGUCCACAAGAGAAUCUUUCAAGUUUGUACUUGUUAGGAAUUUGCUAUGUUAGUACUUGUUACUGACUUUUAGUUCAAUAAAUUAUAUUUGAGCAUUGAUUUUUGCUUUUAGAUUACUAUAUGCAUUCUGUUCUUUGGGAUAAUUUUACAAGUCCUUUGGGUUUCUGAUUGACGGAAUGUAUAGCAGGGAGCACUACCUGCAGGUUGCUUCUAUAUCAAAAAAAAGAAAAAAAAAUCCUGACAAUUAAAAGUGUCAGCAUAGAAUUUGAUAUUGUAAUGUUGUACUAUAGCUAUCCUGACACUUUCGAUUAUCAAGAAAAGGAAUUUUCGUUGGCAGAUGAGAUGUUAUAACAACACAGUUUUCCUGACACAUUUGAAUAUUACAUACCUAUCCCUACAUUGGAAGGGACGACACUCGUCCUAGGUGUGAGGAAAAGUAAAGUGUCAGGUUAAAUUAUCUAUACUGACACCUUUAAAUGCCGUUAAAGGGCAUUUUUGUUGUAGUGUGUUUUUAUCAAGGUUGGCUCUGAUAUCACUAUAUGGAAUCAUGGAGAUAAAGGCAAUAGAAAUUUAAAAUUUUCUAUUUCUCAGAAUGCUAAAUUAAAUCACAUGCAACUAAAAAAGGGUGUUUAAAUAUGUUAUUUCAAUCAAUGAAGAAACACACAAACAUUUGGAGUGUUUAUUACAAAGGAAGGCAAGAGAUUCACAAAGCUGCUCAAAUGUUUGACCUCUAAUGGUGAUCGACAUGAACCCUUAGCUAGAACCUCCGAGACUGAAUUAGCUCUUACUAAAUUUAGUGUUAGCUAAUUCUAAAAUGAUCACACAUAAAAGGUGGGAGAGAAAAGUUGCCCUAAUACACGAUUAGGGUUUGUGCCAAGAGAGAGACAACAAUGAAUUUUUCCUUUUCUUUCUUGCUGAGGUAAAGUCCCAUUUCUUUCUUAUUUUUCCAGCAAAAAUCUCACCUAAAUUGUGUAUCAAAAAAUGUCUUGCAAACAAAGCUUAAAAGGGUAUAUAUAGGCAAAGAGAUUGGCCCAAUCCUAAUGGAAACCAAAAAUUAGUUUCCUUAAGAACUGGUUUCAUUAUCCCAAUACAACUCCUCAUAUUGAAAGAUUCAACCAUAUUUGCACCAUUAGUCCCUCAAGUUUAAUUUGUCUCACACAAUAAACUAUAAGUUAUAAAAUUUAUGUUUCAAGUAUCUACAUGAAAUUCAUUUAAUCCAGCUAAAGGACUUUUUAAUGUGUGUAACUCAUUAGGUUUUCAAAUAUGUUGGCAAUAAGAAUGAGUUAUAGUUCUUAAUCAAUAAAAACUAGAUAAAUUAAAACUCCUUUUAAUUUAUUAUUGAUUUAACUAAUCAAUCAACUCAUUCUUAUAGACCAAAAUUGGCAUCUAACAAUGCAUUAUAACCACCCAAAUAAUGAAAAAAGUCAAGUGGAUUAAUAUCCUACCACACUUAUAUCACAUUAAUCAUGGAAUGAGUUGUGUCAAUUUCAUUAUGCAAUUAUUGUUCUUUUCUUGUACCAAACUAUAAUUUCAGAAUAAAAGUACUUAGAAACAUCGUUCUAAGACUCACUUACUUAGUUCUAAGAUUUCUUGAGUUAUAUUUCUAGAAGGGGCCAUUGAUGAGAUAAUUCUUUUUUCAUAAGAGGUGGUAAGUGCUUAAAGAUUAUUCAUUACCUUUCUAUGCUUCAAGUAUAUAUUCAUAUGCUAAUGAUGUUUUAUGGAGGAAAUCAUACAACAAAUAAAAUACAAAUAUUCAUACUCAAGGCACCAUAAUAACUUUAAAUCCAAGGAUCACUUACAUAAAACGUAAUUUAGAGACUAAUUCUUUUGGCACAAAAGAAAUCUUUAUGUGAAUUAAUCUAGUAAAUUUGACCAUACUGUCAAAUACCCAGAUACUAGUUUAGAUGUCUCGCACCAUAGUAGAUGAGGUCAACUACUUUCCUAAUAGAAGCAAUAUAGUAUAUACUAGUCUAACCAUAUUGACAAUGUCCAAUUCUUGUUCAUGCUUAAACUAGAGAUAUUCAGGAAUAAAUUUUACACUUAAUCAAAUGAAGCUCACCAUCAUAACACUUGUGAUUUCAUUGAUUAAGUUUAUUCUAGGACUUUAUCAUACAAGUAUAAACAUACAAGCAAUCAGUAUGAUAAAGAUGUCAUUUAUGAAUGCAUAAAUAGUUUAAGUACAUAUAAAAUCUCUAAGAGUGACUGUCGUUAGGGCAUACAUACUUACAUUUUCUCAUAAGGAUGUGUUUGCUCAUAUUUCAUCCUUAACUUUCUCACUAAGUUUUGACAAUUCUUUUGUAGAGAUGUUUUCAUAAUGAUUUUUAGAGGGUUUAUGUUGUGUGCAAUUUUUAGUUGCGAGUGGACUCAAAACCUGAUCCUCCCAAAACAAGUCUCAAAUCCUUACCAAUUGAGUCACAUGAAUAUAUGAAUAUUAUCUUAAUAAUCAAAACUCAUUUAAAACUUUCUUACUUAUCACUAAAAAAUGUGGAUGCCUCCCCGUUUUAGUUUUUCCAGUCAUCUGCAAGAUAGAUAUGUCCAAUGUAAAUAUUUCUAACCAUUCAAUGCCUAUCUCACAACUAGGGAAAGUUGCUGAAAUAUACGAUAAGCAUAGGAUGUCAAUGUUACUAGCCAGUUAGGUAGUUAGAAUAAAAUCAAAGUUUAGGAGAUUCUAUAACUUUCAAAUUUAUAGCAUCUGUAAUCUUGGUAUUUUCCAUUAGAAGAUAUUUUGAUUGCAGUUCUAUAUUCUAGGAUUUUUCACAUAUAUAGGUAUGCAUAGUUUUUUUUAAACUUUUUCUGAUUACAGUUAUGUAGGGGUAAAAUUUUCCUUCAAGACUGAUUUGAUGAUAUCGCAUUAUAUCCAUAGCAUUUUUAGUUAAAUAAGAAAUGGAUAUAUUGCAGGAUAUUAUAUGUAGGCAUAUUUUACAAUUUUUUAUGAAAGUAUGACAGAAGGUUCGUCACAAAAAUACAAGCUUGGAAAAAUUAAGCAUAUGAGUUUAUAUGUGAAUACUUUGAGUACAUUUAAAAGUUAUGAAACUAAAAAUAUAGAUAAAAUUACUAAAAUUUCUGUGAUUACAUUACAUUCAUAAUAAUUUUAACUCUUAUUUUUGCAUAUGAGAUAUUAAAUUUAUAACCUUAUUGAUUUUAUAUGUGUGUGUAAAUUUAUAAAAAUUAUGAUAUAUGUCUUUGCUAUUGUGUAUAUAAUUUGGAAAUAUAUGUCACUUCUCUUACUCAAAUUUUAAAAUUUUUCAAAAUUUGAAGUAUAAUAAGUCAAACAUUUGUUAUGCGUUUAAUAUUGUUAUUUGAAACAAGAAUAUUUAUGCUUAAAAGAGUUUACCCUUUCACAAUGCAAUUGUUUCCGUUUACAUUGAUAAGUAACAAAAUUAACUUGUUAAAGACAAGUUGAUAAGACACUUUACCUGUAAUUAACAAGUCAUGAUUCCAGUCGUCAAGGAAUAAGUGGGGAAUCAUGUUGAUCCUCUUUAAAAAAAAAAAAAGAAAAGAAAAAGACAAGUUGGCCGCUAGAAGGGAUUUGAAACUCCUCUUUGAGCUGCACGCUAAGGAUUUAGACCCAUGCUCAAUAGCUAUUCCUUUAUUGGAUUCAAGAGCCCACAAUCAAAUGAAAGGUAUUGAAGAGUGAAGAGCACUAAUAAUUUCCAUGAUUUUGGAUUCUAGUUUGAGUUGUAAGCAAGGCAUCUUCUUUUAAAACCAAGUCAUCGUCUAGCUUCUUCUUUUAAAUAUUCCAUUCUUUUGCUUUAGUUUGUUCUUUCCUUAACGACGAUUAAUUUUCCUGCAAUUUCUCUCUUAUGAGUACAAUAUUUCCUCCUAUUUCAUCCUUAUUUUUCUCACAAGGCCUUGACAAUUCUUCUGAAUAGAUAUUUUUGUAAUGAUUUUUACUAGGCAUAUGCCAUCAACAACUAUGUAAUUUACAAGAAAUUUAACAAAUAGUCUACCAACAACACUAUAGUUAGCAGUGAACUUAAAACCUAAUGCAUCCAACACAUGUCCCAAAUCUUUACCAAUUUAGUCACAUGAGUAUAUUAUUUGUGAAUAUUAUCUUUCUCACAAAUGAGUGGCUUAAAUGAUGCCAUGUGUAGGUUUUAACCUGCUAUUACAGGUUUUAUUGGGUACAUAAUUGCAGCGGUAAUUUUUUGCAAAUAAUAGUAAGUUUGUUUUCUUGUGUAAGUCAAGUAUGUUUUGCGAUUCAUGUAAAUUACUUUUAAAUAACAAAAGUUACUAAAAUUUUAACAUAACACUUUUUCUCCAAAACUUACCAUUUCCUAUAUAAAACUUACUACUUUAUUCAAUCGAAGCUUAUGAAUAUUUUCAAAACCUUACCACUUUUAUACUAAACUCACUACAUUAUUAAUCAAUCUUACGAACUUUCAGGCAAAACUAACACUUUAUUUUAUACAAAAUUUACUAUUUUUGUCAAGCACAACUUAUGAUUUCAUUAAAAAAUCUUACUAUUUUUUGGUAAUUAAGUUUCUAACUAAACCUUACAACUUUUUGUUCAAAAUUUACUGAUUUCAUAAUUUUUGUAAUUUACAUUUUAAAUAACAAUCUAAGUUUUUAAUUAAAACUUACUACUUUUUCUCCAAAACCUACUAUUUUACUAAAUGAUAUAAAUGGCCAUUGGUAUAACUUACCAUAUUUUAGUAAAACUUACUAUAUUGUUAACAAAACUCACUACUAUUUUUUAACAAAACUAAGCUCAAGCAACUUUGCACAAAAGUCAAUACUAUUUUAAGCAAAAACUUGUAACUUCAUUAAAAAAUCUUACUACAUUUUCUUUUGUAAAAAUUGUUGUUUCAUUGAUAUGACGUACUGCUGAAGCUUGUCAUAUGUGGUUAUCAGCUUGGUGCUUUUCUGUAACCACCUGUUGUGACCAAUCAUCAAAGUGAAUCUAUUAGUUUUGUAAGUUUACCAUCAAAAUUAGUUAGUUUUACUCUUGAAUCGAUAAAGUUCAGUAAUUAUAAAAGUUACCACAAGUUAAAAAAGAAAGCAUACCAAAUAAAAUGUACCAGUUCUUAAGUAAUUUAAUUCUUUUAGUCAAACUUACAACUUCUUCAACGACUUUUAGUACUUUUUGACAAAUAAAGUUUUGAGUAAAAUGUACUAUUAUGUUAAUCAGUGACAUUCAAAUUUCCUUAAGCAGUUUUAGUACUUUUUUAAACAUAAUCUUACCUGGCAGAAACAUAUAUAUACGACUAGCAAAAAUUGUUUUUUUAUUCCAAAAAAGAUUUUUCAUCAUCAGCUUAGUUAGUGCACUAACUUUUCCAUCCGUGGGUUAUAUAUUCACAUUCAUUAUCUCUUUACAUUUGAAUACUUUUUUUAAAAAAUAAAUCUUCAUUUUCACAAACUACUAACUAUUCAUCUCUACUUAACCAAUGCCUUGAGUGUUCUCAUUAAACUAGCCCUUAGGUAUAUCAUUUUUCUCUAAAAAUUAUUAUUUUUAUUGCAAAGUCUUUUUCUAUUACAAAAUAUACCAUUUUCUUAGUAAAUUUACAUCUACACCAGUAAAUUUAUAACUAAUGAAGAUUUAACAAUUUUCUUUGAACGAAGCAAGUUUUGCUUGGAAUGCGGUGAUUUUUCAAUGAAAUAGAUAAGUUUUGCUUAAAAAGGGUUAACAUCAAAAAAAAUUCCCCUGAAAUUUUCUUUAACGUCACUUAGCAUCUAUUCUUUAUCUUUAAGUUUUUCAGCUCCAUUUGUUUGAUAUGGGAAUUAAGUCUCAAGUGAGGCUUAAUAUAUUCAUUUUGAUAUUAUGGAAAACUGCAAGGGAAGUUACUAAUAUUAUUCCUAAAAAAAUGUUAUAUGUUUUUCUGUAAUUUAACAAAACUUUUAAAUCAAGUAUCAUUUUGUGUUGUAAAAUUAAAGUUGCAUAUUUCAUAAGAAACUUAAUAAACUUUUUGUGUUCUCUUAAGUUUUGCCACAAAAUUAGUAAAAUAUUUCAAUAAACUAAUUUUGCUAAAUAUGUGGUUAGAUUUCUUAAUGAAAUCAUAAGUUCACUUGUAAUAGAAGUGAGUUUUGUGUAAAAAAAAAUGGGUAAGUUACGCUUGAAAAUUAGUAAGGUUCAUUAAUAAUGCAGUAAGUUUAGUACUAAAAAAUUGUAAAAUUAGUUAGAAACAUACUAAAAAUUUUGCUAAAAAUGGAGUAAAGUUUGUUAAUUAAGUCAUAAGUUUUGCUUGAAGAAAUUAGUAAGUUAUGUAUAAAAAUAGUAAGUUUUGCUUGAAAGUUAGUAAGGUUUGAUGAUGAUGUCGUAAGUUUUACCAAAAAAGUAGAAAGAUUAGUCAAAUGAAGUCAAAAGUUUUGCUUUAAAAUAGUAAGUUUUGUAACAAGGAUAUUUUUAUCACUAGUUGAAUUCUUGCCUUGGUUUGCAAAGAUGCCUUAUAUUUGGUAAUUGUGGAACUUGGAAUGGAUUCAAUAAAAGUUUCAAAAAUAAUAAUUUCAAGGUCUGCAGGGAACAUGGUUGAAUUGAUUCCUGUUUCUUGUAAAGCAUUAAAAAAAAAUGAAAGAACAGAUUAAUUGUGUAUCACUCUUGUGCUUUAUUGCUUCUUUAGGACAAAACGAAAGCCAUCACUAGCUUUUAUUUCAUUAAAGGGCUAAAACAGUUUUCGCUUAUAGUACAUCAUUUUCUUGCCACCUCUAUUUGUGCAAAAGAUGGAAAAUAUCAGUUUAAAAUUCAAAAAGACUCUUAUAUUACGUAUUAUUAACAAAUAUAUUGAAAUUUAUGACAAAUUUUCAUAAUUUGUAUUCAGAUAAACAUGUAACUUGUGAGUUAUGCAAAAAAAAUAACAAAGUCUUAUAUCAUUUUUUUUUUCAAAUAAUGAACAUAAUAUCAACAAUUUGAUAAAAUGACUAUCUUGUAGCAAAAGAUACAACUCACUUUUUGUAUCAUACAAGCAUAACCUAAUGUUAGAAAAAAUUAUUUUUUUUUGAAAUUCUAGUAAGGGAGAAGUGGAAAGGGGGGAAGGAAGAUUGAAAUUCAGGACUUCUAAUUCCUAGAGUCCUGAAUUUUGUAUUAUUCAUGGAUAACUUUUUAUGUGUAACAUUGUAAAACUUGAAUGUUUCAACUGAAUUUUGUAGUGUACAUUUUGAAGAGUAAGUUCUGUACGUAAAACGUUUUGUAUUAUUCUCAUACCUUAUCUUAGUAAUGUUUUUUUUUUAAGAAAAUCUUUUGGAAGUUUUCUUUCUGCAAUGAAUCAUGAAAAGUUGAUAGAGUUAUAAUUCAUGACAUUGUCUUGGUUCAGAAACUUGAAAUGAGAAACAAAAAAGAAAAAUUAACAGUCCGUGAAAAGAAAAUGAGAAGUGCAAUAGGGACACUAAUUUUAGUUUGGUGGGUGGUGGGCCAACGGGUGAAGUUUUUUUUUUUUUUUUUUUUUUUUGUCAAACAACGGGUGAAGUUAGUUUUUUUUUUUUUUGUCAGACUUUUUCAAGUAAGGUGAAGUUAGUUUUGAGUUAUGCGGAUAUCAUUUAUGAAUAUUAUAUUUGUUCAUCACUUAGAAAACAUGUUGGGGGCCUUCCCAUUUUUUGUUUUUCCAACAUCAACGGAAACAUAGGUUUGUGAUUUUCAAAACGAAGGGGAUUAUGACACUACCUAAAAUUCUUUUCUAUUUUAGAAAAGGAUCAUAAGUAGUAUCAUAAUCCCUUUAGUUCUGAAAAGCACAAUCACAAAUGUGAAUUCGAUUUUUUAUUCUCCAAGACCGUAACACUUGAGAUCUUUUUUUUGUUUAAGCAUAAACUUGAGAUCUUAAAGAAGCACACAAAUGUCUUAUAAAAUCAAAAUUCCUAAAGUUUAGGAUAAUCAUACAAUGAUAAUGUUAGAAUACUUCAGAAUUCCACUAUACUAUCUUUUUCGUAUCGAUUAACCCACUAAACUUUUAAAACUAAUUAAUUGAACCAUUCCGUCUAGUUACUGAUUAAAAAAUAUGGAACUUUCGGAAUUAGUGGGGAAUUUUCGUCACUUUGUUAAUGAAAAAUAGUAUGGCGGAUUAAAUGGAAGUUUAGUAAAAUUAAGUGAAUCUUGAUACAAUUUGUUGGAAAACUUCUUGGAAACUAAAGAAGAAUGGAAAAAAGAAAUGUUGUAGAAAAUGUUUAACACAACUAAUGCUCACAUACUCAAAUCUUUUGAACUAGUAUCAGAAAUACUUUACUGAGAUGACCAUAAGAUCUGACGUUCGACUAUCAAGUCCUUCAUUUUUUUUUCUUUCCCAUAGUAAGGCUGAAGUCUCCCGUUCAAAGGAAAAAUAAAACAGAGUAACUUUUAAGGUUUCUUUAGUUGACAUGAUGUAUUGUUAUAAAAUAGUAACCCAAAAUUUCAGUAGCUAAAAAUAACCACUCAAUCACACACACAAGGCAUGUAAAAAAUCUUCAGUUCUUCGUUUAUUUAUUUACUUUUGCAAGAUGGCGCAGUAGCUAUUCGUUUAUCGUGUUGAAGUGCCUACAAUCAAUUGGAAGUUGCUGAAAAGUGAUAAAAUCUUCCUAAUAUAUAAUUUCCAUGAUUUUGCAUUUUAGCUUCAGUCGUAGCCUAGGCAUCUUCUUUCAAAAUAAGUCAUCGUUUGGCUUUCUCUUUAUAGGAUUCCAUCCUUUUGCUUUAGUUUGCUCUCUUUUUUUAAAGAUUAUGACCCCAUAUGUCAUCAAAAAGGAACCUAGAUCCAAAGUGAACUAGGACCUUGCUAGGAAGUCAUGGUUUUGCUCUGUCGAUAAAAAAUUUUGCACCACAUACGAGUUGAGCAAAAACUGAUAGUGCGUUAGCUGACGGGGACUCGAAGCCAAGUAAAAUUGUAUUUCAUAAAAGGAUCAUAAUUGUAUAAUAACCCUUACCCUUGUAAAUAGAGGUGGCAAAACGGGCAAGAUGGACGAGAUUUACUUAGAUUUGAGAUAGAACAGAGUUAUAUGAGUUUGGGUUCAACCUUAUCCAUAUGUGUUUUGAGACUAACUUGAGCGGGAUCACUUUGGAAUGAGUUUAGAUUGAUCCCGUCCAAUACCCAAAUCUAUUUUCUACACAUUUUUUUUCCGUUAAUUCAUUUUUUAUUUUUUUUAAAUAACUUUAAUAUUUUUUAUUUAUUAAAUUUCUUUUAGUCUUAUUGUAAAUUUAUAUUUUCAUGAAUUCAUUUUACACUCUAGAACGAUCAACAGUUACUUGCCGUACAAGUUGGGCAAUGACUAAGUAGCAAUGCAGAUAAGUUCUAAUUAUCAACUAUAGUCUCGUCAAAGGAAAAAAGGAAGAAAAAGAAAAAGGAAAAUCACUUGUUUUGCCCCUCCAAAAACCAGACCUGCAGAGAGCAAGAAAAGACAGAGAAACAACCUUUAAGACUCAAAAACAAGAAUCCAGGCCUUUUUUCUCCAGAAAGCAACCGUACGUAGCUUGAUCCUCAAAAUUCUUUCUUUGUAUCCCCAGUCCAAAAAAUCUUGCCCAAAACGAAAAUAAAGAAUAAAGAAAAGAACCCAGGAAUGCUCAACCUUCAAAACCCAAAUCCCUUUUUCCCAAACGUUUUUGGGAAGAUAUUUGGGCUCAAUGGGUACCCAAGUAUUUCCCAACAUUUUUCAUCAAUUAAUGGGUAUAAUUGGGAUAUGUCCCAUUUUAAAUCUAGUAUCAAAUUGCAAUACCCAUUCCGCCUAAAGUUCAUUUGGGCAUGGAUAGUCCAUUGGGAUUUGAGACAAAUUGCCACCUCUACUUGUAAAUUUGAAAAUCAAAUACACAGCACAAAUUCAAAUGGGAUAAUUUCAAAAACCUCCCUUGUGGUUUCUCACAUUCUCACUCCUCUCUUUUGAGAUUUUCGAAAUAUCAAAAGCCUAUUACAAAAAUAAGUAGCUAGUAUCAAAUCAAAUCCAAUCCAAUUCAAAAAGACAAAUAAUAAAAAUUGGGAGCUGGAGAGAGAAAAUGACCUGAUGCUACAAAUGCCCUCAAGCCUGGCACCAGUAAGAUAAUUUCAUAUGAACAGUACCUAGAUAAUUUAACAAAGAUAGUAGUCUUUGCAUGGAUAGAAAAUAUUCAGGAAAAGUUAAUAAAAGAAUUCCUUUUAUUUUUUUAGUUGGGAUUGCAUGGAUAGAAUGGAUAGAAUAUUACUUAGAAAAACUUUUGUAUAAUUCACUGUAGCAUGUUUUGUAGUGUAAUGUAUUUAAGAUAAAUAAGUAGGGUAAAAAACAAAAAAGUUCCCUGUAAUAAGUUUAAUAUACAGAAAAGUCUCUUAUAGUUUCAAAAUAUACAAUACGAUACCUCAUGUUUUAAACUAAAUUGUAAAUGUGACGGAAUUCGUUAAAUUUAAUGGAAAUGACUUAUUGGAACCUAAAAAAAAAAAUUAUACCUAAUUUUUAUCAAAUAUACCUAUUCUACCCCUUAACCCUCAAUUCUCUCUAUUUAGAGAAUAAAACAAAUGAUUUUUUUGAGUUAUCUUUUACUUAAUUAUAUCAGCAUUUUGGUCAUUUCAUCCAUUUCUAUUAAGUUUAACAGAUUCUGUCACAUUUACAAUUUAGUUCAAAGUAUAAGGGGUCGUGUUAUAUAUUUUAAAACUAUGAAGGGCUUUUCUGUAUAAUAAGUUUAUGAGAUUUUUUUGUUUUUUACCCAAAUAAGUAAUUGUAAAACAUGUUUAAGAGCAAUUAAAAAAUAUAUAUAUAUAUUGUAAUGAUAUGUAACACAAGUGUCCCACAAAUUAGCUAUCAUUGCACAAGUAAAUCAGUAAGGGCAGAUUCACAUGUGAAUAUGUCUGGAAGUCUUCGCAGAAUCAAGACCUAUAUUAGCAGAUCUGAACGCGGUCUUGAUUUGUUGACCAAUAGUUCUGAACCACACAUUAUUAAAGUUCAUCAUACUGCGAACCGAGGACCAACUCUAAUUUCUUCCUUCUGUGUACAGGGUCAAGGAGCCUCUCUUCCUUACCUGAUAUUCUCAAGUUAAAGAAAAAGACUGAAAAUGGCAGAAACAGUUCUCUCUUUUGUGUUAGAUCAGCUCUCAAUUUUUCUGCGUGAAGAGGGCAGAUUAUUGGGAGGGCUUCGCCAAGAGGUUCAACUCAUCAGCGAUGAGUUGGGGCACAUGAGAGCUUUCGUGGGAGUGGCAGAAGCAAAAGAAGAAGGUGCUGAUCCCAGGCUCCAAGAAUGGAUCAAGCAAGUACGAUAAGCCGCUUAUGACACUGAAGAUGUUCUUGAUGAAUUCGUAGCUCGCUUUGCUCACCAUCAUGCAACAGGGUUCUAUGGCUCUUUUAGGAAAAUUUUCAACUCCGUGAAGACUUUGCGAGCUCGUCGUAAGGUUGCUGAGCAAAUACAGAGCAUCAAGGCCAGAGUAAAGAAUAUAUCUGAAGGGCGUCAGAGAUACCAAUCAGAAUUCGGCGGUACUUCCCAAGCGGCCGGGUCUCUUGCUGCUGUCAACAACACAUGGGUCUAUAGCAGGGAUGAUGCACUUCUCGUGGAAGAAGCUGAACUAGUUGGCAUUGACAACCCCAAACAACAGCUAAUUUCUCAACUACUCGAGGGGGAUGAUUCCCAACUCAAAGUUGUUUCUGUGGUUGGCAUGGGAGGACUCGGAAAAACUACCUUAGUCAAAAAAGUCCACGAAGAUUUAGAUAUUAGAAGGCAUUUCCCAGUUCGUGCCUUUGUAACUGUCUCUCAACCAUGCAACUUCCAGGAGCUCCUGAAAGACUUGACUCGGCAGUUACACAAUGAUUUGAAGAAACCAGUUCCGGAAUCGAUUGAGGCAAUGACUGCAUAUCAGCUGAAACUAUGUGUUAAAGAUUUUCUUCAACAAGCUGGAAGGUAUGCAAUUGUGUUCGAUGAUGUAUGGGACGUGGAAUUCUGGAAUGCGAUUAGAUUUGCACUGCCCGAAAAUGGCUAUGGCAAUCGCGUCAUGCUAACAACACGAAAGGCCGAUGUAGCCUCUGCUUCUUGUAACAAAUCUCAAGAUUAUGUCUACAAAAUGGUGGCACUAUCUUUCGAAGAUUCAUGGACCCUAUUUUGCAACAAAAUUUUCAAAGGAAAUGGUUGUCCUGCCCAUCUAACAGAUGUUGCAAAAGGUAUAUUGGGGAAAUGUGAGGGAUUGCCCCUUGCGGUUCUUGCAAUCAGUGGGCUUUUGGCUUUGAAAAAUUUGAAUAUUGCAGAGGAAUGGGAGAUGGUUCGACGCAGCCUAGUGGGUGAAUUAGAAGGCUCUGGUAUGCUGGACAGGGUCAAAAAGAUACUUUCUCUCAGUUACAAUGAUCUGCCCUGCCAUCUUAAGACCUGUUUGUUGUAUUUAAGCAUUUACCCAGAGGAUUUUGAGAUACGUUGUCAUAGACUUGUUCAAUUAUGGUCAGCUGAAAGAUUUGUAGGUGAGAGAGAAGGAAUGACAAUGACAGAUGUAGGCUACAAUUACCUCAGAGAACUUGUCAAUAGGAGCCUAAUUCAAGUGAUUGAAGGUUUUUAUGAAGGAAUCCCCUACACUUGUCGAAUCCAUGACCUAGUGCGAGAAGUUGUUCUUUCCAAGGCAAGGGAACAAAAUAUGAUCGCAAUUACUACUGGACAAUACACAAAGUGGUUAUCUGAGAAGGUACGCCGUUUGGUAGUCCAUAGUAGCAGCAACAACACCGAGCAGCACCAAGAAAGCCAAUGUUAUAGCUUUAACCACCUUCGAUCCUUUAUUACGAUUGAAUCCAUGAAUCCACUGAUAUCCAGAACCUUGUUAUCAGAAGUUUUAAAGAGUGGCAGAUUGUUAAAGGUUUUGUAUUUGUGUGAUGAAGAGACAUUGGAGGAAAUCCCAAAUGAGAUUUUCAACUUGUAUCAUCUCAGGCAUCUGAACCUACUUAGGACAGGAGUUAAAGCAGUCCCGAAAUUCAUAGGAAAGCUUCGAAAUUUGGAGUAUUUGAAUUUGGGUGAAACUCAAGUCAGGGAAUUACCCGUGGAAAUCCUGAAGCUACAAAAGCUUGAGCAUCUUAUAGUAUACCAAAAAGUUGAUUCUUCUGAUGACAGUCAAGGAUAUCAUGGGUUUAAAGCUCCACCAAAAUUGGGAGGACUUCUUGCCCUACAAUCAUUAACAGCCAUAGAUGCGAGUAGCGGAUCCGUAGUAGUUAAAGAGAUAGGAACAUUGACUCAAUUAAGACAAUUAGGGAUUUCAAAUCUGAGAAGAGAAGAUGGAAAGGUGCUCUGCUCCUCCCUCGCCACCCUCACUAGUCUUCGGCAACUAAACAUUGCUUCAAUUAGAAAUGAUGGUGGUGAUUAUGAGGUAAUGGAUCUGAAUCAUCAUCAUCAACAACAACAUUCUCGUUCAUCUUCGAUGCCUUCUUCAUUUCUCCAAUCUCUUCGUAUGCUAAUAUUGUAUGGCCGCUUAGAAAAGAUGCCGAAAUGGAUAGCUCAUCUUGAAAGCUUGGUAAGAAUAGAUUUGAGGUGGAGCAGUUUAAGGGUUGAAGAGGAUCCGCUUGAACCCCUCCACCAUUUGUCAAAUUUGGUAACUAUUCAAUUUUUUGGAUCUUACCAAGGAGAGGGGUUGUGUUUCAAGGCUGGAGGAUUCCUGAAGUUAAAGGAUUUGUACCUAAAGAAAUUAGAGAAGUUGAAAUGGCUGAAAGUGGAGGAGGGUGCAUUACCCAGUCUCCACGAACUGCGUCUGCAUUCACUUCCAUUGCUAGAGGAGUUACCUUUGGGAAUUCAGCACUCAAGGAAUCUUCGAAAGCUGUAUUUGUCUGAGUUGAGUUCUCAACUGAUGGAGAAGUUAGAGAAUCUAAAUGAAGAGACUGAAGAUUAUAAAAAAAUUGCACACGUUUCUGAAGUUGUCAUUGAAUUGUGGACAGAUGAGGAGGGAUGGAGACUGCACCGGCUGUGGGGGAAGAAGAUGUAAAUAUUUCCUUCCUAUUUCUUUUUUUUUUUUUUUUUGCACGUUUGUUCGUAACUUCUGAGUUUAUAAUUUGCUUUAUCUUUUAUCUUAUUGUAUAAAUAUUGUAUUGCAUAAUCUUGUUUAUAUACGGUAUUGCACUCUAUAUAUAUAUAUUUUUUUUUGCUUGUUUAUUUUUUCUUUAAUUGAUUUAGCAAAUAAUAUAGAGGUUGUAGGUUAGAACACACAAUUUCAAGAUACAAAAUUAAAACAUGAAGCCUAUGUUUAUACGCUGGUAUGACUUAGAAAUUGAUUUCUCUAGUAAUUAAUAAUAUAGUAAUUUUUGGACAAAUAAUGGUUGUAUCAGUCCUCUAUGCUCAUCCAUCCGUCCUUUUGUGACAAAUAUUCUCAAGUAAGUUAUUUUCAAUAUUAUGUAUGAAUUAAUAUUAUGCCCAACUGCUAUGUAUGAAUUAAUAUUAUGUCAAAGAUAUGACAAAUCGAAUUUUUCUGAUGUGUUGGACACUCAAAAUGUGAAUCCUAGUCAAAUAUUUUCUUUUUAGUCCAUCUUUAUCUUUGAUGAGUGCACAGAUUGGCAGAAAAGAAUUGUCUUCUAAUAUGAAGUGAGAGAGUAAGCAUGUAUUGGUAAGUUUAAAAACUGGAGUCUUGAGUUUUAAGAAAUGACUAGAGGUGAAUCAUAUUGUUGAAGUUGGUUAAGAGGAGAGGCAUGGUAAAUACCGGUACAAAGGUAAAUUAUGGUAAAACAGUAAUCUUUUAAUGUGAAUGGAUAGGAAAAAUUUGUGCCUUCUUGACAGAUACUUGUUAAUAAUUUUAGUCCAUCCUACAAAGGUCUACUUCUAAAUCACUUUUAUUCCUUGUUAUUGGACUCCAUCAUAGGUUGUUCCAGACGCAAUAAUUUCUUUUUCUAUGAAUUCAUAAUCGAUUGUUUGCACUAUAAUGCCCAAUACACCAAGGUUCAUUUUUAAACCAACAAAAUUGAAGUUGCUAAAAUUGAGAACUUCUACAUCACCGCUAUAAUUUCUUCUUGUGAUGAAUACUCGUGUAAUACAUCACAAUCUUGUUUUAAUACUUGCUACUAUUUGUUGAUGAAUGCAGUCAUAUUCAUAGUCAAUAUUUGUAAGGCAAUACAGAAAUAUAAAAACCAAAUAAUAGUGCUUUGUUUGGAAAGCAAUUUUUCUCCAAAAAAAUUUUAAGUUUUUUGUGAAUAUAUUUUUGAAUCACCUUUUUAUCUCGCACGCAUUAAAUCGUUACAACGCAUUUUUUAUGUAAAAAUUCUAGAAAAUAACAAUCCAAAUGAGACGUUUAGUGUCCUUAAAACACAAAUACUGCUCGACAUUAUCUGGGAUUGUCACAGACUAUGGCGUUAUAUAACAAACUAACACAGAGAAAUAGGAAAGCUCAGGUCUAGUAAUUAUGGCCUCGGAUUAAUAAUUUUGAAGUUUCAGGAAAGAAUUGAGAGUACUCCAGAAACAUAUAGGCUAAAAUUUUGUGCGGCUAUUCUUUGCCUAGACCUAAAUCAAUUCAUUCCAUAGAUGCAAUUCGUGCCAGUGAUUAUUGGUGCAACUUAUGGACAAGAAAUCUUUGAUCUGAUAGAGCUCAAAUUACUUCAAUUACUGAAGGCCUGUUUAAGCUUUCAUACAGCUCUUGAUGAAAAGCCAUAAAACAGUCUUUUUCCACGCUGCAAAAGACGUACACCUAAAGGAAAAGAUUACAAGACAUGACAAAUCAUAUCAAAUGAUGCUAAUAGGAGACUUAGAUGUACAGUCUGCCCCUCCCCGCAAACUACGCACAAUGCUACCACAUAAAUCUCAGUAUGUACCAAAUAGAAAACAAAUGAUUGCUGGUAUCAAUUACCAAAAGUAAGCUAAAUGUUGAAGUACCAUUUGAAGCUGCAUCUGUGUGUGUGUGUGCAGAACUCUAGAGAGAAAGUGUCUGAGAUUUAUAUUUUACAAGUCAUGUAACUUGUAAUGAUGCCUACAACUGUCAAAAUUACGUAUUUAUAUCAUAUCUAACCAAAUUCCUUGCAUCCUACGCAUCAUAGGAUGCUUUUCCCUGAAAAUUCCUAGAAAGUUCCAUGCAAACGUAGGAUGCUUUUCCAUGCAACACUUUCCGAGAAAAAUUCUAUGCAAACAACUCAAAGGGAAGAAGGUCAACCCAAUACCAGGAAGGAUUCAGACGAUUCAGAUAUUGCCGCAUCAUGGGUCUGAUUCAUGUGUCUCUAUCCUUCAAGUUGACUAAACCAGUCUGUAAUUGUUCUUGUGAGGACUCUAGUGUCAUUCAAAGAAAUUGUCUUAAGGCCUUGAGCAACAGCAUCUACAGGCGAGUAUAUAUCUCCCACUUGCCAUCUAGGUUCCUGAUCGUCCAACAAAACAAAAUUUCAGCAUAAAUGGAGAAUAAAAAGAAGAAAUUUAGUUAAGAGAACAAUCGUUGACCAUGUCAUUGUUCUGAUUACCGUGCCACUUUCCAAUUUUUUAUCAAAAGUAACUUAAAGAUCAUGCUAAAUAAUACAUACACAAUUGGCACAAGAUACAAGGCGCAGCACAACAUGUCAGCAUAAAUUCCCAGAAAGCAAAGGACUAAAGAUUAUGAUACAAAAGGAGUACAAAGUUACUGCAGCGUACCUGUAUGCAAGGUGUAAUAUGAGUUCCAUUCAAUAUUAUUUUCUGUAGUUUUCCGCCAAUAGAUUCCACUCGAGGCUUCAGUGUCUCUUCAAGAAUAUCAGUCUCAUAAAUUGCAUCAAUAUUGAACUUGACCUGAAAAAAGAAUCAGAUAGACUAAAAAGUGAACAUUGAAGUUGGAGCAAUUCAAUCAAUUAUUGUACUUGAAUAACAUGCUCAAACCAGAAAUGUAUGCUGAACACUGUAUGACUUCUGGAAACAGUCGAGAUUCUCAGAGGGUGUUAGCCUGAACUCUGAAAUUCCUUCAGCAAGCUGAAGUAACAUCCAUUGAGGCAGAUUGAGGAUUAGAGAAUGACCAGAAGACAGAAAGCAACAAAGCCAUUUCACCAUUUGACAGAUAAAUGAUGGAGAUAUAGACAUGUUCAGCCACAAAGGUGGCAGGAUUUGUUUUCCAGGUUGGAUAGGCAUCAUCAUGUAAGUGGGAUGUCACCUGAUUAAAAACAGCUGGCAACUGAUCAACAAACUUGUUGACUGAAACUGCCCCUUCCGGAUUGUAAUUUGGAAUCAUGGUUCCAGCAGUAUCGAGUAGUACCUUCCAUGCAUCUGCUGUAUAUUAGUAUCAAUGACAGGAGAAGGCAUUAGAAUCAGAAAGAUGACACAAGCAAUUAUUCAACCAAAUCAGCCAUAUGUCUUCAAUCAAAUGAAGCAUUGUAUCAUACCUAUGAAAAAAAUCCCAAUUUGAUUUUAAAACCAGUACCAGGAUAUUUUCAUUACUACUUGAAGGCUUGCCUUGGUUUACAGAGAUACCUUAUAUUUGGUAAUUGUGAAACUUGGGGAGGAUUUAAUAGAAGUUUAAAAAAUAAUAAUUUCAAGGUCUUGAAUUGAUUUCUGUUUCUUGUAAAUCAUAAAAAAUGAAAGGACAAGUUAAUUAUAUGUCACUCUUGUGCUCUAUUGCUUCUUCAUGAAUAAUAAAGUACACGAAACUUAACUAUUGUUUGCAAGUAAAUAUCUCUGUAUUCCCUAAGACCCUAAAAAUAAUAUUCUACUCCCUCGACACAAAAUAGAAGACCGAUGUUUUAGAUGAUCUAAAGGCUGACAUCAAAACACUUGAUGCAUUAAGUUUCUCUUCUUGAUAAAGCCCAGUUUUCAAGCAUCAUUCUGCAUCGCAUUGUUAUAAAAGCUUUAUGCACCAUUAGCUUGAUCAAGGAUUAAAUAUAUACACUACUUGCUUCAGUGUCCAUCAUGCUCAUAUCUUCAGGAAUAAAUGAGAAACAACAUUAUGUGGGUUAUGUGAAGGAAGGACUUAGGAGGACUCGUAGAUUACAGCCUAGCAUAUGCAGACUCCCCAGUCCCGGGGUGGGGGGAAGCCUCUAUGGUUCAGGAAAAUAAUGUUUAGGCCACACAAGGAAUUAACUGUUAGUAAACAUUUGCAAAAUUAAGAAAAAGAAACCAAAUGCAAGAGUACAAAUUCAAUUAUAGUUAAUGAUUCAUUUUCUUUUUCUAAUUUCUAAUUAUUAAGUUUUGUACAAACCGAAAAAAUUAUUUUUUGUUGUUACUGCUACACUUGCUAUCUACAAUGAAAAUGCACGUAUUAACAUUUGAAAGUUGCAAUGAAGUACACUCUCUGCAAAAUGUCAAAUAAUGUCCCCUUUUUUUAAUGUAAGUGGGAGGGCUUGAACCUGGGAUCUCUCACUUACUCUCCCUCCCCUCCCCCCCCCCCCAAAAAAAAAAUCAAAUAAUGUCUCAUUUUCUGUUUAAUGCAGAUAGUGUUGAGGCCUCUUUCAAAGCAUUAAAAUGGAAUCAGGACCAAAGAGCACUUGUAUGCCUGGGUAAUCUUGCGUAUGUUUCAAGGCCUCAGAAAAUAACAUUUGCAAGAAGAUUCUCUUUUAGCAUAUCUAUAAGGAAAUCAAGGGUAGAGACACUUCAGCAAACUAUAGUUCCAAAUAACUGGUCUUCAGGAACCCAAAGAGUUGCACAGGACAGGGAAUUAGUAUAAGAUUAAAUCAAACUGGUGGUACCUAUUCAAAUUUUGUCCAAUACGGUAGAUGUACUCAUCCUCCAUUACAUUAACAGAAGGUUUGUUUUCUGAAUAGAAGAGAAAAUGAAAAAGGUAAAUAAACAUUGGCAAGAAUGUCACAACAGUCACACGAACUACUCAAUUAAGUGCAGAUAGAAAACUACCCAACCAUGUUGAGUGCAGAUCGUCAAUCUGUGGAUAAUAAAGUUGGUACCUACAACUAGAAGCUUUGAUUUGGCUACAAAUUCAUGAUAUCCACACAUUAGUAGCUCCACAAGUAUUUGUGUCGACACAAAUUGUAGGAUACAAUUUCUACAGCAUGCCUUGCUAGUUUCUGAAAAGCCUAAGACCUACCCCUCAUUCUUGAGCUAUCUAUGACCAUCAAUAGAGUUCUUCUAUAUAAACCACCUCAUAGGUAACCAGUUUUCCACUCUGUUGUUUAACACCCUUAUACAGAACUUAACCCUAAAAAGUUAGACUAACUCAAAGAAAAUAGUUCUACACUAUCACUGCAAUUUACAAUAGAUAAAUAAAACAGAACAGGAACAUUCCCUACCACCCCAUCCCUUCUUCCACUGCACCAAUACUCAUCAGUUUACAACACAAAUUCCUCCACCUAACCCAAAGUACAAGUUAGAUCACAGGAAGGUGAGAGCAAAAAUGACCUUCAAGAGUCCAAACAAAGCCACUCUGUUUCUAAUCAAAGCUAAUGUCAAUGGUUAUUAUAAUAACAACAGAGGGAUUGAUUUGGCAAUUUCUCAGUAGGCUGCUUUUGUAAAGAGCAUCCAAUUAAUCCAGGGAUUCAAAAGAUUUCUAUUAGACUAACGCAGCAUUGAUGUAUGAGUAGGUAAAGCAACAUAACUAAUAAUGUUUAAUUUUAAAGGAGUAUUAAGAAAAUUAAGAAACCUUUCACUGUGAUCAACCUGAGGCAUUUCGAGUGAAUGAAUAUAGUACUGGAGACGCUUCCAUAAUUGGAAAUAUUUGACUGACAAGAGGUCCUAAUUGCAUCAUAGCAUAAUACAACUUCAAAAAUGAGGAAUGUUACAAAAGCAAUAUUAGUUCUUUGAGAGGCAGUAGACAAAAUUUGACACGGAUUCUAAAGCAAGGGCUGAGAAACUGGAGCCCUACCAAUUGAACGAGUACAGUAACAACUCAUCAUAUAAGCAUAUUUAUAAUCAACUCCACCUUGGUAUAUAAGAUUUAAAAUGAAAUUAAAGUUCAAAAACAUAUGACAAAAUUGAUCCACCAAAUCUCAGGGUAUAAUAUUUAUGCAAUAUCAAAAUAUAAAUUAAACAAACUAGAUAAAUGUUUAGAUCCAAAUUUCCAUAUAAUCCUCAAUGUUGAUUGGCUCCAGUUCAACCAUCAACUAUAAUGUUGUUUACAUCAAUUCCCUUUUAUACUGAACUAAUUUGUAUUCUUGAAUGAAUGGAAGACUGAUAUGACUUCGCCAUUUGGAUGAAUAAUAAUUGGUGAACAGUUCAGUAUAAGGACAAAAUUACAACAAUCACAAAUGAACAAAAGUGCGUUAGUUGCUGUAGAAGCCAUCAGCAAGCAGAAGCAUAGAUGCUAAAACUCAAAGCAGAAAGAUCUAGAAAUGAAGUGCAAAGUCAGUAAUAUGCACAGACAUACCAUUUCCACAAAUAUAUGCAAUCCACUAUGGACACUCUUUUAAUUUAUAAACUGCAUAUUACACUUUCUACUUCACAUUUUUUUCCCUUUAUUUUCUGAGUUGCUACGUUCAGUUACCAUUUGUCCUGUUUCACUUAUAAGUUUACCCAUUUUCUUGCUCCCUGUAACGUCACCAAUUAUUUCCUUUCCAAAAAAAAAUCUUCACUUUACAUCAACUUCAUGGCAUAGCUGAAGCAAUAUAAGUUACUCACAAUCCACCCAUUAUAUGAGCAUAUACUAUCUGAAAUAUUAUAAAAAAUUUUCUUUGUUAAUUGACAGUCAUAGUAUGACAUUGAUGUGAUGGCACCUUUACAUUCCUUUAUGCAUUAGCAUUUUCAUGUUUGUUUUAACAUUUUACAUCUUAUACAUAUUCCAAUGUAAAGGGAAUAACAUGACAAUUAAGGAGAUUUUGAGGAUGAUAGGCAUGUGAUCCGACACAAUGGGUCAUGUAUACAUCUUUCGACAACUAAGAUGUUAUCAUCCAUAGGAUUAUUGAAGGAUUAGUAGAAUUGCACUUGAAAAAGGUAAUAAACUCAUGCCAUGGCUUGAUAAUGAAAGCAAUCUUAGUAGCUAAAGAGCCCUUCAUCCACCAAGUAUGCUCUCACAAAUGGCAGCAGCUGGAUAAAUGUCAAAUAUCUACAGGACAUGACUUUUACUUCACUGGUGGGGGAGGGCUUAGAGUGCAACGCUUCACCAACAUCUACACUCACAAAUCAUAGAGUUCCCUGUUCAUGAACUCAGACAAAAUACAUCAGUCAGUUGCAUCGCUAUCAUAGAUCCUCAAUAGAAACCACGAUUCUUUUAAAUUUACCCUAUAUAUAUAUUGGUUGGAAGAUUUAGAAAGGCAAUGAAAGAAUAGGCUGUUUGCCUGGUGAAAUUUGAGCUGAAAUUAGAUUUAAGAAGUAGAGGUUAAAUAGAGAUUAGGAGAGGUAAAGGGCAAAAGAAAGGAAGGAAGGAAAGAUGACUACUAAGACUUCACAGGUAAGAGACUAAGAGGGGUUUUGUUCUGAAACUUUCUUGAUUCAAACUCACUCUCAUUUACAAAAACUAAUGCAAGCUAUUCAAAGAGUCUAAAACAGCAACCUAAAAGCUUUCUCUUGUAAAAAAAAGCAGCCGUUCAAGAGUAGAGUCUGUGGCAAUUGUUGUCCACUACAAUAGUAGCUAUGUAGGAUGACCAUUGAACUCCCAACCAUGGGUGUUCUUUGAAAGUCCACCCAUGCCUGCCCAUUGGACUUCCAAUCAUGCUUUACCCUUAGACUUCCACUACUAGUUUCAAGUACAGUAUCAUUAUCAGGCAGCCAACUACUUACCAACAAAAGUUACAGCAAAAAGCUCAACAGUUGCACACUGAAAAUUGGCAAAUGAACCACAAUCUGAAUCUUAAAUCAAAUCCAGAGCUAAAAGAUUGUGAAACUGAAGUUUUUUUUCCUUCGAUAUAUUGAUGUCUUUCAUGUCUUGCGUCACACUAGCUAAGCCAUGGCUACAAUUAUUUGAUCCACCCUAGAGCACCAUUACCUGUUACCUGCUUGGCAUAGUAUGCAGCAGCUCUUAUGUCACAUGGUCGGAACUAAGAGGGAAACAAAAUGCCCUAUAUACAAAUCGAAAAGGAUGAUUUUACAAACUAAUCUUAUUAUCCAUAGUAAAAAUGAUAUAUAUGAAAGAAUACCCAAAUCUAAGCAAAUUUGUCAGAUAGCACUGAAAUGAAUCAAUUUGCAGGAUUCAACUAGGGUGCAGGUGCAACACCAACUUCUACACUCACGAGUUGCUGCCAUCCUGUGCAUGAACUCAUACAGACUAUUUCAGCAAGUGGCAUAACACAGAUGCAUCCUGAUUCACUAAACAUUGUUUUGAACUAUUCAUUCUACCCAUAGAAGUCCAUUCCCAGCUUCACAUAUUACAUAACAGCUCUUUAGUCAUUAUGAGCCAGCCAGGAAGAAUUGUAAUCCCCAAAGGUUUUUGGGCUCUUGAAGGGUGGCCUUCAAGAGUUCAUGGCCACAACUGUAUAAGAAAAGGAAAUCCCCAUCCAUGUUCCUUGGAAGCCAGUAAAAGCCAGAACUAGGAAAAUGAAAGAAACUAAAGCAGAAACUGCAAAUUUUUCCUUCCUCAGGAGCAUUGCAUGAAUAGCCCAAUUUAUGGCAGUUAGAGAUGAAGGGGGCAAAAAGGGCAAUUUUCUUUCUUUUUUGUGUGAAGGAAUAAGGGUAAGUACUGUAAAUACUUAAAUAAAGAAAGACCUUUAGCGUUGAAAUAAAUAAAAAAUUAGCAAACAUCCAAUUUAAUAAAGAUUAAUUGCUCAACUUCAACAGCAAAAAAGGUUAAAAGCCACCUUUUUUUUAUUUUUGGAUAAUCAGGAUAACAGCUAAGCCCCUUAAAUUAGCAUUGGAACAGAAUUACCUGCUCAAAGUAUGGUACUGCCUCCGACGCUGGCCUGUUGUUGUAUGAUAUUAUUGCAUUUGCCUUCAUUGAGAGACAAGUAUAACAUUCAUUAAGUCAAAAAGUACUAAACACUGAACUAUGGUGCAUUUUCACACAUUAAAGCUGCAAAAGCAUAACUUUUUAGUUAUAUUUUUCUUAUCUUAAUUAAGUUCAAUUUUGGUUAAGCACUUAUGAAACUUUGGAAGAAAGAAGGAACCUUGGGUAUCUUCUCACAAAAAAAACUUCCAGUAAGCACUUGUAGAAGUGCACCAUUGCUGCAUUAUAGUUAAACCAAAUAACAUCAAAGAUAGUUUCGUGAUAUGAUUGAAAUAAAAGUUAGAUAAAUUACAUAGCAUUUUAGGCAUGGUUAUCUAUAACGGAGUCUCAUCGGAAUGAAACUUAGGAGUACUAGCGAGGUUUUUAACCUUGAAGUGUUCUUCAUCACCCUCACCAUUUCAAAUUAAACGUUCCCAGCAUUUUGUUAAUUCAAUCAGUCACAAGUUCCUCCAAUCUACCCAAGCUUAACUCGAUCAUCUUACGUUCAAAAAACAAUUCAUUGGAAAACUAUCCCAUGUUCAGCUCCAAAACAGCUUUACUGAACCUCUACUAUGAUAAAAUGAAUGUUGCUCUGAAGGUUAGCAGCUCCAAUACACAUUGAUGUAAAGAUUCCUCAAGAAAAAAAGAGGACAUGCCUAACAUCCUCGGGACAAAGUAUAUCAUUGAACAUACAAACUAACGUUAGACAACACAAUUAAGGCUUUAUGAAGUUUAAUUUGUGAUCAUUAAUGCUCAAUUAACCUCCACUCACCUAUGGUUUCUGUGUUUCAAGAAUUAAUCCAAGGAUUAAUCUAAUAUAGUGUGUUAAAACUGUAGUUGGACAAGCAAGUUGCCACAUAUAUUAAUCCAGAAAUUAAAUUAAAAUGUUCCAUCCCAGAAAUCUAACAGCACUUCAUCAAAAUAGCAAAAAAAAAAAAAAAGACAUGAAAAUUAUCAACUAUAAUAGUCAAGUUUGAAACAGAGUAAAUUGUUGAUUGACCUGUAAGUAACUUCAGGGACAGCUCCAACAAAAGCACCUCCCAAAAAUUUAAUAAUGGCUUUGGGUUUUUUCCCUCUUGGAGGAGGAAUGACCAAACAAGACUCAAGCCUGUCGUAAAUUCUACCAUUAUGAUUCACAAAAGAAGUGUUCUUGAAGCUAUUGGGUUUAACCAUUUUCAUUUGGGUCCUGCAAAUUGUCAUUUUUGAGGGUCUUGCGCAAUUCUCAGUGGGGAAAACCCCUCUGGAGAGAUAAUUGAGAAAAGGGCUUUCUUUAAAUUUGUUGAUUCUUGGAAUUUGUUGAGAAUGGAAGUGGUGCUAGCCACGGCGGCCAUGGCCGGCCUUCUUCACUCGGAGGUUCUAGUUGGGUGUUGGGAGGGGAAAUUUGGAGCUAAAAUUGUGAAGCGCGGGAGGCAGUACCUGGCAUUUUAAUUGCGCCUCCUUUGUGUCCGCUACAUUUCCUAUUUAGAUUUGGAGUCUCCAUUUUAGUGGAUUUUGUGCAUUUGUUUGGUGAUAAUUGAGUAAUUGUCUAAUUUCUCCUUUUUUUUUGGCCUUACAUGCAAUUUGUGUCUUUGAGUCUUUUUUUUUUUUGGUCAAAAAUCAUUUGUAUUGUAUUAGUGUAGUAAUCAUCUAUGUAUGCAUGUACAAUUAAGAGACUACUGAUUGUAAAAUUUAGAUGUGUCUCUAUUUUAAGGUGCACAUGAAUUAUACUUCACAUUUAAGAUUGGGUAAAUUAUCUUUUUAUUCUCCUGUGGUUUGAUACUUUAUCAGAUAAUCCCUCUAUGGUUUAAUAAUCUAUGUAUAAGCUCUUCAUGGUUUGGGUUAAAAUAUCAUCUUUAAUUUUUUCAUUAAAACUAACGGUCAAUAGUAUAAAGUCAAAAUCAAACUAAUAAAUUGACAAAUUUAUGCUUUUAUUAUUUCUUUUUUCCCUCCAAAUGUAAAAAAGAAGAAAUUGAAAUAAAAACUACAUAAAUAAGAACUAGAAAAUACCAUUAAAAUUUUGAUUUAAAAACCUAUAAUGAUAUUUGUAGUAAAAAAAAUUGGUAUUUUCAUUUCUUAUUUAUUUGUUUUAUAUUUCGCUUCCAUCUUUUUUUAUUCUUAUUUAUUUAUUUAUUUCCCUUCCAUUUGUUUUGUAAUUGGGGAAAGUUCAUAUUUUGUAUUUUAAAUUAUAGGUGACGGGUGUCGAGCCUGUGCAAUAAUAAUUACUAAAAAGUCCUAGUUACAACCACAAUUAAUUAUAAAACAAAUCCAAGUACUGGAGCAGGGACCCUUGGUGUGCAAUGGGUUACUUGAUUCACCCUGUUCCCGAAGAGUGUGCUGAAUCCGAUAUGCCAGAAUUGUCUAUAAAAGUAUUAAAUUUGCAUACAAUGGCAAGUAGGGUCGAUUUCACAGGGAGCGGGUAGGAAGUUGUUUCUUUCCAAAUCAAUAGAACAAAAUUGGGGGAUAUUUGAGGGAAUGAAAAUGAAAAUAAAAUAAACAAAAUUCAAAAGUUAACUCACCAAGUAUAAUUUACUAAAAAUAGCAAUUAAUAAAACUCUACCCAAAAGAUCAACUUUUCAAGCAUGGUCCAGUUAAAUGAUUAUCGAUGCAAAGAUAUUUCAUUCAUUCGUCACUAGAUUGGUUAUAGCCAUCAACAAGUUCUGACAGCCAAUUCUUCCUUACUUUUUCGACAAUCAAGGUACGACCAUUGACUGUUUCUCUAACCAGAAAACAACCCUAGAUACGACCGUAGGAAUUUAAUUAUCCAGUUGCAUUAAAAUUAGAAGAACUCAAUCCUAACCAAUAAACACGCUAAGAGGGUUUAUUUAAAUUAGAUCUUACGUUUCCCCAACAUAAAGUCAAUUAUGGUGGUUAUCACUAAUUAUCAACUAAGCGAAUAAUUACGGACAAUUCAGUCAAUCGUGAUAGUAGGCUAUUAGAUUAAAUAAAAUAUCCGGCCGUUGAUACUCAAUAAAUAAAAUAACCAUGAACAAUUAAUCCAGGAAACGCACGAAUAGUAACAAAUUGGAAGAAAUAGUGAAAGUUCGAUUAGAUCUCACAGAUGUUAUGGACCGCGCCUUCACGUCGAUCUUUGGGUAGAGGAGAAAUCUAGCCGCUCCUCAUCAUAUCGAUCUCGCGUGGUUUAAUUAAUUCCAUCCACACAAUUGCCAAAGAAUUGAGAAAGAUGAAAUAAAUGAAGAGGCAAACGAAAAGUCUUCGUCCUUUUUGUUUCGUGUUCGUACUGAAGAAAAGUAACAGCAAAGUCUAAAGAAAAAGUCGUACGACACAAAAAAGCAAAAGUCGAAAACCAAAUCGUCUCCCAAGGGUAGCGAAAGGAAAGCUACCCUAAAAUUGUACAGAACCAGAGCAAAAGUAAAACAAAAUUACGUCUGACAGCCAAGGAAACGAAACUAAAAGCUAAAUCUCCUGAUUACAAAUGAUUCUGGCUUUUUUGAGCCUUUUGUAGCCGCCGCUAGCAGAAGCAAAGAAACGUCCAGGAGCAAGACUUUGUCUAGGGAUUUUAAUCCCAUGCAUCUUCGCGGUUCACGUGGACCUGAUUUCUUGAUUGGCCCUGCUGCUACCAAUCCCGUGGGUCCAGCUUUUGGGUAUCCUUCUACAGUUUCUGACGUGGGCACGCCCUGAGAUGAAAUGUCUUCUGGAAAUUCUUCCCAAGAUACCACUUUUAACACCAACCACUUGCAAUUUAUACAAACAUCAAAUAUAAGCAAAAUCUUAAUACUUCGUACAGUGAGUAACCAGAAUUAUGAUCAAAUAAUAUCACAAAAUAGUGCCCAACAAUUGCUCUAUCAAAUCCCCCCACACCUAGACAAUGUUGCGUUCAAGCAUUUCGAAACUCAGAAGCACAAUCAAGAUAGCAAGAAUUUCAUAGUCAUCUAUACUAACACAAACAUCCCGCAUUUCCGACAAUAUCGCCAAAAUUAGAACAUACCAGACAGGUAAUUAUUUAAAAAAUAUGAACAGUAUUACACGUCACUUUCAAGAAAGUGUAUAACUACUAGGAACGCUCAAAUCAACAUCACAGGAUGACAUUACCAUAGACUAGCACAUUUAUCACAGCUCCACCACUAAGAAAUGAACUAAAUACACAAAUCAAGGGGACUUUAAUAGGGUUGUAAUGGUGCUUAAGUAAAAGGUGGGAUAAGAAGGUAAAGACAGGGGGUAAUGUGUCAAGAGAAUGUUCAAUAUCCACUACAUAACCACAACACUUUCCGGAGAAAUUUCACAAGCAAGGCGUUUCCUUGUUCUAUUCCACUGUGCAAGUGUCAAAACUCUCUCUCUCUUUUUUUUUUUUGAAGAACCUCUUGUAAGGCGUGGGCACGCCCUAUAAGACAGAGUCUUCUGUUUACCAGCUUGUCGAUAGUUUUUUUUUUCCCGAUCUCAGAUGCACAAAACUGGCACCAUACAACUUCUAUUCCGACAACACUUGCGGCCCUAGAUUUAUUUGCCUUGCACAAGCAAUGAAAUUCAGACAUCUCUUAACGACAUAAGGUUGAAUAAGAAAGUCUAAAAAGGUCCUGAGUUAUCAAACACGACUAACACACAAAAGAGAAGGAUAAAAUCUCAAAUCAGUUCACUAUUGGGAGACAAGAUGAAGGCGUGGUUUGUAGAAAGUUAAAGAAAGUUAAAUCUUAGGGAGAAUUGUAAUUUUGGUUCCCAAUCUAUAGUGUAUGCCCUUAUUGAGUCCCCAAUCUAUUUCGAAAAUUAAUUUUGGUCCCUAAUCUAUUCGAUUUUGAGUUAAAGUGGACAAUUGACGGAAUUCGUUCAAUUUCAACCGGAACCAUGUCACGUGAGAUCACGUGCCGGCACUAAAACCCCCUUUUCAAUUUUUUUAAUUUUUGAAACACCUUUUUAAUAUUUUCAGCUCUGUCUUGCCUUUGGACAUAUUAAACAAAGACAUUAAUUGCUAAAAUUCUCUAAUUAAGGACUGGAGCCCACAAAAAAGGUUGAAUAUCAGACAGAGAAAAAGAAGCUGUCGUCCACUACUUCCUUCUUUCCUCAUCUUCUUUCUUCCAACUCAAGAAGAAACCCUAGGAGCUUCAAUCCCAUUCUAAUCAGACAAAACCAUUUUCACGUCAUUGUGACAAAAAGUUGCAAGAUCUGGGCAAAAACUUUAUAUCAAGUUUCUUCUAUUUUCAAUUUAGCUCCUCAUGGAACCAAUGAAAAAUUGUGGCUGCAAGCAGCGAGCAAUAAUGGUUACUUCUUCGACAGACAACAAUCCUGAGAGAAGAUAUUUCACUUGUGUAAUGAAGAAGGUAUGAUUGUCUCUGUUUCUGAUUUCGAGAUUUCUGUCUCUAUUUCUGAGUUUUGUGCUAAAGCUUUAUGAUGUUGGCUGUGAAGGGUGACAGAGGAAAAGGAUGCGAUUAUUUUGAAUGGCAUGAUCCGAAAAUGUGUAAAAAGUCAACAACCCUGAUUCCUGGACUACUACAUAGCAUGAACUCUAAGAAUGCUACAAUUGAGAGGCUAAGAGCAAGGGAAAGAAAAUUACUGGUAGCAAUUUUGUUGUUGCUACUUCUACUGGUUAUUGUGUUAUUGGUGUAAAACUCAAGAAGGUUGGAUAGUCUUGGUAUCAACUAAGCAGCUCAAGGAAAAUGUGUUAAGUAUUAAGCUAAGCUAGUUAUUGUUUGAACUUAGAGAUGAAAGACAUUCAUCCAGAUUGUAAUUUUGAUUUUUUUUGUUGGAAUGGGUGAAUGUGUAAGUUAGAAUGCACUAUCAGGCUAGUACAUUCUGUUUAUUGAAUGAAUGCAUAUAUUGGAUGUUUCAAUCUGCUUUUAAUUAGUUGUUUUUAAAGUUCAUUUACAAUUUAACUAGAUGUUGAGUUCUCCUUGAAAAAUGAAUUAAAUUUGAGAAACACCACAAAACAGAAUGAAAACUUGAAUGAAAGCAGAAUGUAAAGAAACACCAGAAAACAGGAUGAAGUAAAUUCACUGCAAUCCCUGCCUAGAAUCCUAUAUAAAACUUGAAGCAGCGAGCUAUGAUAAUUUCCACAAUCUAGAACUUCUAGAAAACAGAAUGAAAACUGAAUUUCAAAAUGUGGAUGUAAGCAAAAUAAAAUGGCCAGAAUUCACGUUCACAAUCUAUGUGCAAGAUAAAAGAAGAAUUUAUUGCUAGAUUGGAACUAAUGAACAAAAGAUACAUUCAAUGAUCAUUACAACCAUCAAAUAGACACUGUUUUGUCAUUUGCCAGAAAUGAUUACAAAAUGGGCAGAAUGUCAUGUUCACGCUGGUUUGUUCUCAAGAUACAUGAGUUCCAAAUACCAAUGUACAAAAGCUACUAAUCUGACAAAAGCUACUACUAAUUAAAUUCAGCAACACAACCACUCCAAAAGCUGCCGAUUAACAACAUUAAGUUAGGUACUGAUUAGCUACUCUUCAGCUAAUUGAUGCUGGCUUUUCCUUUGUCAUUCCAAGGUGGAUUUGAACAUCUCUGAUCCUAAAAGAUAUCCCUAUUCCUCCUUGGCCAACUGGUUGACUGCUAUGUACCACAAAAUUCUCUGGGAUCCCAAAAGCUUCAUGCAAGUUUGGUUAAGCAGUAGGGGCAGAACUGAUUAUAUUGUCAUCACCAAUUGCUGGGUUAUUCUGUGAUGAAUCUAUUUGCUUUGCAUUUUGUUUGGUGUCAUUUCUCUGCAAUACAUCAGCAUUUAAUCACUAAAUAUUGAACUCAUAAGAAACAAUAGCAUUAUGUACAUUAAGUAAUAAAAUUACAACAGAUUUUCUUGAUUUUUUGUUAUUCUUUUCUUUGCAUUUGAAGUGUUGCCCCUGAGCUGCAACAAAGUAUAAAAUGCAUUAGCUGCUACAAUGUUACAAGUAUAGUUCAUGUAUAGCUAUUUACACAAAUUACACACCUGACUUGCAGAGUUAUCUACUCUCAUGUCAUCUAGUUGUGAAAGACUCAUAUCCUCCUGAUUUGCUUGUAUUUCCUACCCCUGUUCACUCAUUUGACUGGCUGCAAUACCUGUUUCCUCUCUAAGCUUACAUAUUCGUGUGUUAUGGCCUUGCCUACCACAGAAUGAGCAUUUACAAAUUUGACCAAAUCUCCUCACCUUCUUACCCUGCUCCUUUGUUUGCUAUAUCUCAUCAGCAGAUUUUCUCCUCUGUUUCUUUGGUCUUCCUGGUGCUCUUCCAUAAGUUGGUGGCAGGGGUGGCUAAACAUCUAUAUCUUUCGACUCAUGCUCUCCAUUCACAGGUAAAAUGCAAGGAUCAUAACACUUAAGAUACGUUUCAACACUGUAACAGUCUUCAAUGUACUGCAUAGGGUCCUUCAUAGCAAUCCACAAAGCUGAAAUUGCAUGAGCACAUGGUAUCCCUGUCAAAUCCCAUUUCCUGCAUGAGCAAGUCCUAUCCUCAAUAUUGACUGCCCACUUUUCAGCAUAAGGAUCAGCAACUUCAAAACUGACAUCAUUUGAUUUGUAAGGCACACAGUAAGUUGCCUUGUCAAUAUUGACCUUCAUCCUUUUUCUAAUUUUGGACAGAAACCAAAUUUGCUCCACUUUUCCCUAGUUAUAUCUCUAUUUUCUUGCAUUCUUUGCAUGACAACAUGCCUCAAUGCCACCAUCAUGACAACAAUGGACCCUUCCCUGGCAUCUAAUAUUUUGCUGUUAAAUGAUUCACAUAUAUUAUUCAACAACAUAUCACAUUUAGGGAAUGUUCUGAAGUAUGAUCUACUCCACUCUGUUGGAUUCUUGUCCUCUAACCACUUAAUUGCAUCAGCAUCCAAUUCUGCUAUGACUUCCAUUUUUCUUAUGAAUUGUGCAUGAGUAGUUGCCUUAACUGUUUUCCAUGAGGCUUGCCUCAUGGCUGUCCCUUUAAAUCCAGCAGCUACCAUAUUGCUAUGCAUAUGCUUCACACAAAAUCUAUGAUCAGCCCUUGAAAAAACUGAAUCACAUGCUUGAAUUAUGCCCUUCUACUUGUCACUCAUUAUGGUCCAUUCAUAGUCAUUUUCAAUUUUUAGAUCCUCCUUAUGUAAAGUAAGAAACCAAAUCCAGGAAUCCUUAGUUUCUCCCUCAGUUGCUGCAUAAGCAAUUGGAUACAAACCAUUAUUUGGAUCAACUCCAAUUGCUGUCAGUAAUACUCCACCAGCUGCACCUUUGAGAAAAGUCCCAUCUAACCCAAACAUAGACUUGCAAGCAUCUAAAAAUCCUUUUUUCACCCCAGCAAAGCACAUGUACAAUCUUUGAAAUUUUCCUUGUUUGGUGACUGAAUCACAGUAGUCUUCUGCCACCUUCAUUACUACAGUACUACCUGGUUUACUUCUCAAAAUUUCAUUGAUAUAUUUGGGCAACUUAUUGUACUGGUCCACAUCACUACCUUGGGCCAACUCCCUGCCAAUUUUUCUAGCUCUAUAGCCUUGAUGUCUACUCAAAUAGCACUUGUUCUCUUUCAUUACCAGGUUUUUGAAGCUCCCAUUAUCCAGUUUGGGAUUCUCCCUAAAUGUGUUAACAUAUUUUCUGCCAAUCCACCCAAAUUUCACACUCUUGUUAUGAUAUGAAAACCCACACUUGUGUUUCUGCUGGAAUGUCCUAACUUCUAGUCUGUCAUCACCUUUCAUUUUCCUAACAUAUAUGCACCAGUCACAACCUUUUUUAGGACAAAUUGCUCUGCAUCUAAUGGUGUCACUCUUGAUAAAUUUAAAUGGUCUACCCCGCUUGAUAUUUCAUGUUCUAACUGCCUCUUUAAAUUCCUUGAAUGUGGUAAAUACCUGCCUAAUUUCAAGGUUAGGGUUAUCUGCAUGCUUGGGGUCAUACAUAGGGGGUCUACAAUGACCCUCUUCAUCCGAACCUUAGAAACUAUCAAUAUCUGAACCUGAAUCUGGUGCAACAUCCAUGUCAGAUUUAUCAUCAUCAGUAUCAAAAUUACUCACUGUUUGUCCCCUAAUUUCCUUUACACAUUCCUUUUUUUCAUUCCUCUUAAGCUACUCUUUUCUGUGAUUUUCUACCCUUAACCAUUCUAAAUUAUGAUCAACAUUUUCUUCAUACUCAUUGUCAUCAGAAUUUUGCUCAUAAUCAGAAUCUUUUCCUGAAAAUUCUCCGGAUUCAAAACCUAAGGUGUAUUGACUAUCAGAUUCAUCAUCUUCAUCUUCUAAUACAAAAUCUUCAUCAUCAACAUCAGACCCCCACUGUGAUGCUAAUAACUCACUAAAAGAAACAUCUAUGUACAACUCAACUACCCUUCCAUACUCAAACUGAUCAACACAAUAGGCAUGCAAUUCUCUAUCAUGCUCUAACAAACGGAAGCCAUGUUCGUCUAUCAAAAUGUGGUACUUUUUGUCACCUAUAGUCCCAACCUGACUUUCUAACAUUCUAUCCAUUUCAAAAAGGCUUAUACCUGUGACCUUUACAUGAUCAAAUACCUUUAAUUCACCUCCCUCAUAAUGAAUAUCAGGUUUAGUUUCGCAUUUUCCCCAUAAGUAACACUUCAUAGUAACUUUCGUGCUAUCACUGUCUACAUUAAAAAAAAUAAAAACAACACAAGCCAUAAUUUAGAUGACAGAAAUAGGUGCUGCUAGCAAAUCGACAAUAAAAAAUGCAUACUUUAGCAAACAUUCAAAGACAAUGACCAUCAAUUGCAGUAAAAUAAGUCCCACUUGUACAGUAAGAACCAGCAUAAUAAGAUCCCGUUUAGAGACACACAUGGACCACACCACAAAUGACAAAUUUUUUUCUUAGUUUUUCAAGAUUGGUCGUUAAUAAAGCCAAAAUUAUCAGAUUUUUCCCCCCGAAGUACAAAAAGCAUCUUUUUCCACUAUAUUCUAACAUUAUAGUUGGCGAUUGUGCAUAUAUAUCACAAAAAGAAGGCAAAAUCCCAUACCAUAAUUAGGUGCUGCCAGUUUGUUCAUUUUCUUAGGUCUCACUGCCAUUUCUACUUUGCAAUGCCACGAGUAGCUUCAGCUUGACUGAAUUCAACAGAUUUUUUUGUAAUUUUUUCACGUUUUGAUUCUUGAUUUUGGCUCUUAGGGUUCGGUGAGCUGUUUGCUGAAGAGAGUUUGACUAGUUUGAGCAGUGGACGAUAGUUUCUUUUUCUCUGUCUGAUAUUCAACCUUUUUGGUGGGCUCCAGUCCUUAAUUAGAGAAUUUUAGCAAUUAAUGUCUUUGUUUAAUAUGUCCAAAGGCAAGACAGAGCUGAAAAUAUUUAAAAGGUGUUUCAAAAAUUUAAAAAAAUUGAAAAGGGGCUUUUAGUGCCGGCACGUGAUCUCACGUGACAUGGUUCCGAUUGAAAUGGAACAAAUUCCAUCAAUUGUCCAUUUUUAGUGCAAAAUUGAAUAGAUUAGGGACCAAAAUUGAUUUUUGAAAUAGAUUGGGGACUCAAUCCGGGCAUACACUAUAGAUUGAAGACCAAAAUUACAAUUCUCCCUAAAUCCUAAAUGCUCUUAUCAUUUCAAAUGCAUCCAGUUCAACAAAAUAUGGUCUCGACAUGUAUAAAAUAGCAAAUUCUAGAAUACCAAUACCAUGUGUGAUACCCACUCAACAACCCAAAAGAAUCAAACAAAAUAAUGUGCUCGCGCAUGGCUCAAAAGCUCCCAAAAGUUUCAAGAAUGGGUCAAAUCCAGCAUAUUCAACAUUCAACGAUAUUGCCAAAGAAAAGUAAAAUGCACAACUAGCAUAUAUGACCACAUACACAUGCAUCCUGAUUGUGCAAUCCAUCAUAACAACAUACUCUAACAGCUAACAAAUGUAAAAAUAAAAAGAAAGUCAACUAACUACCCUUUUUUUUUAAGUUUUUUGGUUUUUUUUGUUUGUUUGUUUGUUUUUUUUGGUGCAAAAAGAAAUAAUAGAAACCAUCUCCCCACACUUGAAAUCUACAUUGUCUUCAAUGUAGCAAAGACAAAUAAAGCAUAAGGACAAAAACAGGGAGAAACUUUCCUGACCACCAAGAGGGUGUAGCGAGACACUAAGGUGGAAGAGAAUGAGGUGACAGUGGUGCGGACAGCGGUGUGCGAUAGGUGGCGCGAGACAGAAGGCGACGCGGUGGUGGUGCGGGAUGCAGAGCGGCAGCGGACGAAUAAGAAAAGGGAAAAGAAGAAAUUGAAACCAAGACAAAACAACAGAAAUUGAAAAAUAGACACUAAGACAAAGGAAAUUGAAAAGACCAGACAAGACAAAAAAAGAGGAAAGUAGAAAAGUGGGGUUAGAGAUGGUCCUAGUUACGUUUGACUUUCGUUGUCGCAAAGGUUGGAAGGCGUGGGCACGCCUUGGAGGGCGAGGUCUUCUGAUCAUCAAGUUUGACAAAUAUCCAUGCUUUGUGAAUACAAGACGCGGGCAUGCCUUGUAACAUGAAGUCUUCUGCCCAUGAAUUUGUGCCCCCAACUCAGAAUAAAACUGCACAGAAAUACCCAUGACUUACAAUACAGAUUGUUUAUCAAUAGAAAUCUAAAUUCACUGAUUUUGAACAUACAAAUAUGAAAUAAAACACAAUUGAAAUCCUUGAAUUGCCUUCCAAGUAGUGCAUUUCUUUAACGUCUUUGGCUAGAUGUUAAACAACACUCUUCAGUCUGGAUGUAAUUCAGUUUUCUUGUAAUCGGUGGCUCUCCUCCGAGAUCCAAAUAGCCAUUGAGUGCAACAUUUUUCCUUAAUUUUCUAUCCAUUUUCAACUCAUGAAUUGCUUUCAUCCCAUGAUACUUGUUCGCAGGAACUUUGAAUUUACCCCUACAAGCAAACUCAGAGAAUUCUUGCAUAGAGGGAUUAGUGGCAUAAAUAGCAAACACAGAAUGAGAAUUAACAGGAUGUUUAAUUGUAUCAAAAAUAUUAAAGUGGACUAUUUCUCCAUCAAAUUCCAUCGUGAGAGUACCCUUACUAACAUCAAUCUUAGUUUGGACAGUACUUAAGAAUGGCCUUCCUAAUAUAAUGGGUGAUGGAUUUGGGACACUUCUAUCAUCCAUGUAAAGCACAUAAAAAUCAGCAGGAAACAUUAAUCCAUCUACUUGCACUAAAACAUCCUCAACUAUCCCAUCCGGAUAAGCAAAUUUACGAUCAGUUAAUUGAAUUAUUAUCCCUGUUUCUUUUAAAGAUCCUAAAUUUAGGGAAUCAUAGAUUGAUUUAGGUAUCACAUUAAUAGAAACCCCUAAAUCUAGCAUGGCAUUUUCGAUAUUAGAACGUCCAAUCUUAUAGGGGAUAGUAAACAUACCUAAAUUUUCGCAUUUAGGUGAUAGUUUUCUUUGUAAAAUUGCUGAAACGUUCUCACCUACCAAAAUUUGUUCAUCCCCCCUCAAUUUAUUCUUGUCGACGCAUAAGUUUUUCAAGAAUUGAGCGUAUUUUGACACUUGCUUGAUCACGUCCAACAAAGAGAUAUUGAUUGCCACUUUUCGAAACAUCUCUAAAAUCUUCUUUUUCUUAUUUUGCUUCUUUGUCUUUUCCAAUCUGCAAGGAAAAUGAGGUAAGUUAAACUUAAUUGGAGUUGAAUGAGUAAAUUUUACCUUAGGGUCUUCGCGAAUGCUCCCUUCUUCUUCAAUCUCCUUUUCAAUCUCUUCUUCACUUUUACUCUUUAGGUUCGUGGUCUUAGACCCCUCCACUUUCUUGCCACUCCUCAGUGUCAUGGCACUUACAUUCUUGAAAUUUGUCUCGGAUUGCUAUGACAAUUUUAAAAAACUUGGGACUCUAAGCGAUUAAUUGCAGUUGCCAUGUGACUUAUUUGAGUCUCCAGAUUCUUCAUGUCGGAUCUAGUUUCCUGCUGGAAUUGAGCGGUACUCGUGGCCGGACUCUUGACAAUAUCCUCCAAAGAGCUUCCUGAAUUGGAGGAUGAAGGUUGAGACUUUUGUUGCCAUGGUUGUUGAAAUCCUGGUGGACGAUUUGAGAACGAAUUUUGUGGCCUGUUUCCAUAGCUGAAGUUGGAAUGAUCUCUCCAACUCGGAUUGUACGUGUUCAGCCUCAUCCUCUUGCAAAAUAGGGUAUGAAUCAGUGGGGUGGCCUACGUUUGUGCAGAUUCCAUAGACCUUGGUUUGAUGCAUGUUCCCACAGCUAAUUGGCGAACAAAAGAUGUUAGCUCUGAUAGCUGCUGUUGAAUGGAUGACGUCUCUACCUCGUUAACCCUACGGGUAGGGUUACUCUUGUGAAGAUAUCUAGCUUUCUCUAGGUUUACUUGUAAGAAUGUAGGCAACAUUGAUUUAACUUUCUUGAACUAUGAUUUUCAGGUCACACGUGAUGGAAGCAUUUGUGGGAAUUCUCGUAGAUACUUUGAAUUCCAUGAUCCAGAAGGAGCUUGGAUUGCUUUGUGGCGUUGCAACCGAUAUCCGAAAGCUUUCAAGCUUGCUACAUAUUCAUGUUUUAGUACGUAAUAAACUAUUUGUGUACUGUCCUGUAGGUGUGAAGAGCAAAACUAGUGCCCAAUUUAUACCAUACCUAGUAGAUAUGAAUUUAGUCAUUUGCUAGAGCUUGGAUUAAAUGACGAAGACAUUGGGGUUUGACUAAAGUUCUAGUUUUUUCUCAUAAUGCUAUUACUUUAGACCAUCCAUAUAUUUUUCAAAUGUAAGAUUAAUUAUGAAAUGUAAAUAAAUACAAGGAAGUGCAAGUAAUAUUAAAUAAGAAAAGUGCAUAAAUGUAAGAGAGAGUAAUAAUUAUUAAUAUGCAUAUAUCCUUGAUAGAUUAGAUGAAUGUUAGAUGUGUUAACCAAUUAUUAGGCAUGUCAAGCAAUUGAUCUGGACUGACAAAAAAUUUUUCAAAGUAGAUCUGGACCUAUACAGUGAAGUUGCAAAAUUAUAAUUCUUAAUAGAUAUGAUUGGAAAAUUCUCGAUGUGGAAGUGGGAAAUUUGGAAAUUCAAAUCAUUGCAAUUUUCAGCAGUCGCACCUUCCUCUUCUUAAUGAAACUAUAAACCACAAUCAAAGUGCACGUUAGUAUUGCAUUCUUAUGGAUGCAAACAAUUGGGACCAUGGCGUAAAAGGGGAGGAGCAAAUGGUAUAAAAUAGCGAUAGUGUCUUGAAAAAAGUCUUAAAAUGCCCAAGGCAGAAAUGGCAACUAUGUCAACAGUCUCUUUUGAUCUUUCUGGUAGUGACCUAAGUUUCUUCAAUAGUUGCAUUAGGGAGAGAGUGAUUGGACUUUGCAAAAUAGUAGGAUUAACUGUUGAAAUUUUACAAAUGAAUCAUUGGUCGAAAAUCAAGAAACCUUGCAGGUCUCAAAAGCAAACAACUAAUUAAUAAAAAAAAUCUAUCUUUGCCUUUCAACAUUAGGCUCACUAGGAAGAACAAGGAACUUAACUUUACAGUUUAACUAUCAGGGUGAAAGGCAAGCAAACAAGUAUCUUCAUCCUACCGAAACAAUAACUGGUGCAAAAUGUCACCUAGGAGGCAUUUCAAAUGGCUGACUAUUCAAUGUAGAACUUGAGGGAUUAGUCGACAGAAUUCCGUUAUCCUGAGAGCUCAAACUACCCCAUUUUGGGUCUGUAUCCGAUGGCUCGAUUACAUGAAUAGCACCAUCACUCAUACCAAUUUGCUCUUGGAUCGGACGGAUGUGCUGCAAUCACCAUGGGAAAAGCACUACUGCUGUUGCCACAUUUGAAAACUCGCGUCAGAUCAAUAGAAACGCACCACUUAAAGAUGAGAUUAGCAAUUUUAUGAACUGAAUGUCAAUGCAAAAGCAUAUAUAUUUACAAAAUUUCUGGACUACCACUCAAAAUGAACAAAAUAAGAGUUACAGAAAAUUGCUUUAGAAAUUUUGAACCUUUUCAAUUAACGAUCUAAUCUUGUGUUUUAGAUUAGUUCUAAAGGCAAGGAAAAUGACAAGGAAAUUCCAAAUUGUAUACUUGAUGCAAUAGGAUGUCUUCAAAAGUGCACAACUGCACGCUACAUGAUUGACUUGUUUCAGUCUUCCAGUCAGAUACAUAUGUGAAUCACUAGCAAAAACAAAGUCAGGAUCCACACAGAAAGACACCUGUGCUGGCAAAGAGAGAUUUUUUACCAUGGUACAUCGUGAACCUGUUUGACUGACUCAGACCAUGGCAGAAACUUGAAGAACUAUGAAGCAUAACCAGCUUCCUUAUUGGAAAGUCAGAGGAUGAUCGAGAGACCAGAGAACUAAAUCUCUCAGAUUCUUAACACAUAAAUUAGAGGACGGUCUAAAUAAUGUUGGUGCUUCAUUAUUUAGCAGAAAACAUGUCAAUCUGUAAAUACAUUUUAAUAACUACAAAAUGGAUAUAAGAUUGAAGAUUCCCAGUGUUACAUCAUCUCACUAAUCUUGUAUUAGAAGCAUAAAAUAAAAUCAAGAAAAACAUGUACAGAAUGGUUUGUCACUAAGUCACAGCUUAAGAACCUUGCAUUUCUUUUGGAAAACAUACUUUUUGAUACCAUGAUACAAGAACUUAAACAUGUAAUUUACUUUAGAGGACAUCAGGACAGAGAUUUCACAACUUAACAUGAUAAUUUUGCAUCUUGUUGUUCACCUGAAACAAAAAUUAAGAGCAAACAUGCAAAAGAAAGAUUAGACAAUAAUAAUAUAUUGAUAUUGAUACUCAAGUGUGAAGGGUUGAAGCACGGAUAUCUCGCUCUCUUUAAGGUGAUUCAAGCCUCUACGGAAGAAUCAACUCCAGUGCAACAGGUUCUUUAAUUUGUCACCCCCAAGAUACAACAGCCUACCCAUACUUGCGAACACUCUCUCUAGACUACACAAUUAAGAGAGUAAAACUCUACAAAUACCUUUUGUUUCUUGUCUAACAAUGAGAUAGAAAAUAGUGAAUUUAGACUGAAAAGACAUAAGUUAUUGUAGUAUCACUUUUCUAUCUCAACUAUGCAUAUAUAUAGAGGUGAAGAAAAGUUAGACAAACACAACCUAUGUUACUAAUAAGACACCAAGUAAAUGCUGAAAUUAUUGGCCAUUCAAAACACAUUCAAAUUUGUGUUGUAGGUUACAAGAUACUUAUUGUAAUUAAAAAAAUCAUAAUUUCAUAUAAUGAUACAUAUUUAAUCCAAAUUUGAAUUGUAAGUUACAAAACUUCAAUGUAAUUGAAAAGCCAUAAUUUCAUACAAUAAAUAUUUAGUAAAAACCAUUCAAACACCUAUAAAUUUCAGAAAAUUUAACCAAUUUAUUUCCCCUGUAACAUGCAUAUUUAAUUGAGAAUUUAAUUAUUUUAUUAAAAUACUACAACAAUCCCCCACUUAUUUUGAUAAAAUAGUGUAAAAUUUAAAUGGCAAGAAAGGACUAUCAUACAUAAUAUAGGUAGUAAUGCAUUGAACCUAUAUUUAGUAUUGCAGUAAUUUCUACUACCAGAGCCAGUAGUGAACUACAGUCUUGAACUAUGGCUGCUUAUGGGAUAUUAGAUAUUACCUUACACAUAUAAUAGUCCAGGUGUUCUCAUGAACUCUCAGAACUGGCACUUUUCGGCCCUAUGCUAAAUCCCAGUUUCAUGAGUGUAUUAGAGAAUAAGUCCCAAUUCUCUUCAGGGCAGCCCCACCCAUAACACUCAUAUAGGUAAAAUCCAUCAAGAGUGCUCCUGUAAUUCAAACACUCCACUCAUAAGACCUAUAGAUUUCAUUAAGAGCACAAAAACUCAACCUUACUUACAUUACAGGAUAUAUGCACAUACACCAUAGGGAUGGAGUAUUAAUAUAUAGUUGUGCAUAUCUUUAUUCAAAUCACUAUGUAAUUCAUUUUUCCCUUUUGAACCUAACUCUUGGGAUCUCCAAUCAUUAGGUUGGGUAUCCUUACAUGUGAUUUAUGUAAUUAUGGAUUUUAAUCCCAUCCCUCUUGAGGUAUCCCAAACUCUUCCUCUAGCUAGAGGUUUUGACGAGGGAUCAGAUAUAUUAUCCCUUGACCUUGUAUAAUUUACAUUGAUGGUACCAUUUCCAAUAUAUGCUCACACAAUACUAUGCUUUCUUCUUAUUGCUCUUGAUUUUUUAUUGUAGUAUCGAUAAUUUACCCUGCCAAUUGCUGCGAUGCUGUCACAAUGUAUCAAUGUUGGUGGCACUGAUUUUUCCCAUAAAGGAAUCUCAUGUGUAAGAUCCCGUAGCCAACUUGCUUCUUCACAAGAAGAAGCUAAUGCAAUUAAUUCGGCUUCCAUUAUAGAUUUUGUCAUAAUUUGUUGCUUCUUUGAUUUCCAAGAUAUAGCACCACCAACUAAAGUAAAAAUAUAUCCAAUAGUAGAUAAUGAAUCUCCAGACAAUGUAUUCUAGUCUGUAUCACAAAAUCCUUCAACAGCAGCAGGGUAAUUUGUACAAAAUAAACCAUAAGACUUAGUCUUGGCUAAAUGUUUCAUUAGACGAUUAAUUGCAUGCCAAUGAGGAAUAUUUGGUUUGCUAGUAAAUCUACUAAGUACUCCUACGGCAUAUGCAAUAUCAGGUCGUGUGCAAUCAGCUGCAUAACGCAAACUUCCAAUUAUACUAGCAUAUUCUUUUUGGUUGCACACAUCAUUUUCAUUUUCAGUUGGAAAUAAGUGAACACUAGGAUCAAACGGUGUACUAACAUAUUUAGUAUCACCAUAAUUAUAUUUCUUUAGUAAUUUUUCAAUAUAAUGUGUUUGAUCUAACGAAAUACCAUCAUUUAAACUAGAAAUUUUCAUUCAAAGUAUAACAUUAGCUACACCCAAGUUUUUCAUGUCAAAAUAGCUUUUUAGCAACAUUUUUAUUUUCUCAACUACACCUAAAUUGGAAACAAAUAUCAAUAAAUCAUCCACAUAUAAGCAAAUAAUUACAUGUAGGUCAUCAAUAUUUUUAAAAUAUAAACAUUUAUCACAUUCACUACAUUUGAAACCAUUUUCUAGUAAACAAGUAUUAAAUUUUUCAUGUCAUUGUUUAGGAGCUUGUCUAAGACCAUACAAGGAUUUAUUUAAUUUACACACUUUAUUUUCUUGACCAGAUACAAUAAAUUCUUUUGGUUGAUCCAUAUAUAUUUCUUCAUCUAAAUUGCCAUUUAAAAAGCUGUUUUUACAUCCAUUUGGUGAAUAACUAAAUUAUGAAUAGAAGUAAUGGCAAUUAAAAAUCUAAUUGAUACUAUCCUUGAAACUGGAGAAAAAGUAUUAAAGAAAUCAAUAUCUUCUUUUUGCUUGAAACCUUUAGCAACUAAUCUUGUUUUAUAUUUUUCUAUUGUUCCAUCUGGUUUAUAUUUUUUCCUAAGGACCUAUUUGCAACCGAUAGUUUUACAACUAGGUGGCAGGCCAACUAGUUUCCAAGUCUUAUUAGAAAUUAAAGAAUCCAUUUCAUCAUUAAUAGCUUCUUGCUAAAAAAUUGAAUCAAGAGAUGAUAAAGCCUCUUCAACAGUAUUAGGAAUUUCUUCCAAAUUAUAAACAUAAUAAUCUGAACCAUAAUCUUUUUCUAUUCUAACUCUUUUACUUCUUCUAGGUUCAAUAUCACUCAUAUGUUGGUUUUCCAUAGAAGAUGUUGAUGCAAAUGCAUUAUUCUUAGGGCUGUCAAUCGGGCAUAAUAAGCUAGGUUUUCAUAAGUUCAAGUUCAGCUUAUUUAAUUUGUAAUAUUUUCGGGUUUCGGGCUAUGAGUUUCGGGUUAAAAAAUGUGAAACUCAUAUUCAACUCACAUAAUAUUCGGUUUACGAGCCUUAUUCAGCCUUAGCCCAAACUCACUUAUUACUCUUAAUUUUCUAUCUUAAUAUAAUUACUAUAACUAUUAAGUUGUAAAACUAAUUUAACAUUUAUAAGACUACAAUAUUAAAACUAAACAUGAAAAAAUAAUAAUUCUUAAAAAGUAUAUAAACCAAAAAAUUUUCAACAAUAUUUAUAUUUAAUUCGUUCAAAAUAUAUGAAAAAUAGUAAUAAAACAUGUGAUCAUAAGCCAAUACAUCUUUAAAAGUUGAAACUUUUUUAUAGCCUUGUGAUUUGAAUCUAAACAUGCUUGAUGAUUUGUGUUUCUAGACCAAAAAGAAAUCAACCAAUAUUAUGCCAAUACAAAAAUUUACUCAACCAAUAAAAAAGUUAGAAAUUCAAUUAUGCAUUACUAAUAUUGGCUCUCAAGAAAGCUCAUAGAAGAGUCUUCAGAUGCAUUUUUGUGUUGCAUAAUUUAUAGUUUUAGUAUUUAGUAAUAAUAUAUUUGGAUAUAUAAUUAUACAUAAUAUCAAAAUAUAAAUAUUAUAUAUAUAGGUAAUUAAAGGGCUUGGCCUAGACCGAUUUGAGCCUAAUGAGGCCCAAGCUCGGUUCAUAUUUAAUUCGGGUCUAAUUUUUAGAUUCAAACUCAAACUGGCUCACUAAAAGAUCGGGCUUAUCGGGCUUUUUAUCGAGCCAAACGAGCCGAGCUCUGGCUAGCCCAGCCCCAUUGAUAGUCAUAGUAAUUUCUGCACCCCCAUUAUUUCUAGACACAUAGGGAAACUUGUCUUCAUGAAAAAUAGCAUCUAAAGAUUCAAUCACCACAUUAUUUUUCAAAUCUAAAAAUCUAUAGGCUUUACUUGUUAAAGAAUAACCAACAAGAACCCAUGUAGAAGCUCUAGCACCCAAUUUUGGUCUUUUAGGAUCAUUUAAUCGUACAUAAGCCAAGCAACCCCAAACUUUUAAAUAAUUUAAAUUAGGCUUAUAAUGUUUCCAAAGCUCAAAAGGAGUUAUUUUAGAAUUUUUAUGAGGUAUUCUAUUUAAAACAUAACAAGCAGUCAGGAUUGCUUCGCCCCAAAGAUUAAAAGGCGCAUUAGAACUCACUAGCAUAGCAUUGGUCAAAUCAAUUAAAGUUUUAUUUUUUCGUUCUGCUACACCAUUAGAAGACGGUGGGUGAGUAAGGAGGUGUAGUUUCAUAAACUAUCCCCAUCGACGUAAUAAAUGAAUCAAAGCCAAGUGAUUCAUAUUCCUUACUUCUAUCACUUUUAAAUCUCUUGAUUUUUUUCUAUCGAAUUGAUUUUCUACUUCUUUUAUGUAGACUUGAAAAACAUCAAAAACAUUACUCUUAUUUUUCAACAAGUAAACGUAAGUAUAUUUAGAAAAAUCAUCUGUAAAAGUCACAAAAUAUCUUUUACCACCACAAGUUAAAAUUCCUUCAAAUUCACACAAGUCUAUAUGUAUUAAUUCUCGAAGUUGAGAAUAUCUUUCAGCACUUUUAGAAGGUUUCUUUGCGAUUUUUGUCUUGCUACAAGAUUCACAUUUUUCAAAGUCAUUAUUUAAUCUCGGAAUCAAACCAAGAUUGCUUAGAUUUUUCACAUACUUACUAUUUAUUUGACAUAAUUGUGCAUGCCAAAUAUUCAUAGAAGAAAGCAUAUAAACAGAACCAUAGGAAGUUUUAUUGAUGUUCAUAACAUUUAACUUGAACAUGCCAUCACAUGCAUAUCCUUUACCAACAAAAGAAGCAUUCUUCAUAAUCACAUAACUAUCAGACUCAAUAAUUUGCUUGAAUCCAGCCUUAUUGAGAAGAAAUCUCAAAACUAAAUUUUUCCUCAUCUUAGGUGCACGAAGCACAUCUUUAAGAAGUUCGACCAGAAGUAAAGUUUAAUUCAACCUCACCAGAACCCAAAACUUUGAUAGUAUGAGAGUCACCAAGCAUGACUUUCUUAUCUUUCUCGAUGGGUGUGUAGCUUUUGAAGCAAGUGUAAUCAAAGCAUACAUGUUUUGAAGCACCCGUGUCUAUCCACCAACCAUCGAACCCCCAAGCAUGUUAACUUCUGUGAUCAUAGCCACAUAUAGUUCUUCGGCAACAUUGGCCUGUGGUACAGACCCACGUUUCCAGUAUUUGCAUGUCUUAGCAAAAUGUCCUUGCUUUCCACACACAUAACAACCAUCAUUUGGAAAAGUGAUUGAUUUAAAAAGGGGCCUUUGAUUUUUGCCUUUCUAAUGGAAGUUAUAUCUAUGCUGGUUUGAGUGCUGAUUCUUAUGCCCACGUUUCAUUUUUUUUUUCUUUGGUUUCAGUUGGGCAUUAUUUUUUGCAUUCAUCUCAUUGGACAUGUUGUCAUUGGAAGUAAUGAAAUUUAACUUGGUAGUACCAUUUUCAUUACCAUUUUGUCCACUUUUAGCAUCUUGAUCUAUUGCUUCUUCUUCAAUCCUUAGACAGGUGAUGAGACUUUCUAAUGAGAACUUUUUGCUUGUGUCGAAAACUCUUUUGGAAAUCCUUCCAAGAUGGUGGAAGUUUAUCCACUAUCGCAGCAACUUGAAGUUGUUCAUCAAUCUGGAUUCCCUCGGACCUUAACUCAUGUACAAUCAUUUGAAGUUCAUGAGAUUGGGCCAUCACAGAUUUUUCAUCCACCCUUUGAAAUUUCAAGUAGCGGCUUGUGGCAAAUUUCUUUGCGCCUACUUCUUCAAUGUCACACUUUUUCUGCAAAGCUUUCCAAAUCUUUUUAGCAGUAGGAUAUGAAUUCUCAUAAAAUCAUAAAAUUCAUCAGAAAGACAAUUUAGCAAGUACUUCUUGCAAUGAAACUCAUCAACUUCCCAUUUCUUUAUUUUUUUUCUUCAAGAACUUUCUUGUCCUCAUCACUUAUCUCAAUUGUUGAAACUUUUUUGGACUUUUUCUCCAUUAGAAUGUAAGCCAAUUUCAUCAAACUAAGAUAGAAGAGAACUUUUCCCUUCCACCAUUUGAAGUGAACUCCAUUAAAAUGAAAUGGCUUGUUCAAAUCACUUGAGUCUUUGAUAUGAACUUGCGAGUUGGUCUCCAUUUGAUCUGAAUUACCUUAAAAUUGUUGUUCACCUGAAACAAAAAUUAAGAACAAACAUGCAAAAGAAAGAUUAGACAAUAAUAAUAUAUUGAUACUCAAGUGUGGAGGGUUGAAGUAUGGAUAUCUCACUCUCUUUAAGGUGAUUCAAGCCUCUACGGAAGAAUCAAAUCCGGUGCAGCAGGUUCUCUAGCUUGUCACCCCCAGGAUAUAAGAGCCCAGCCACACUUGCUAAUACUUUCUCUAGACUGCACAACUAGGAGAGUAAAACUCUACAAAUACCUUUUGUUUCUUGUCUAACAAUGAGACGGAAAAUAGUGAAUUUAGACUCAAAAGACAUAAGUUGUUGUAGUAUCACUUUUCUAUCUCAACUAUGCAUAAGACACCAAGUAAAUGCUGAAAUUAUUGGCCAUUCAAAACACGUUCAAAUUUGUGUUGUAGGUUACAAGAAAACUUAGUGUAAUUAAAAAAUCAUAAUUUCACAUAAUGAUACCUAUUCAAUUCAAAUUUGAAUUGUAAGUUACAAAACUUCAAUGUAAUUGAAAAGCCAUAAUUUCAUACAAUAAAUCUUUAUUACAAACAUUCAAACACCUAUAAAUUUCAAAAAAUUUAACCAAUUUAUUUCUCUUGUAACAUGCACAUUUAAUUGAGAAUUUAAUUAUUUUAUUAAAAUACUACAACACAUCUGAUUUGGCGAAUCCAAAUUUUAUUAUCUUUCAUGUCAAGGAGAGGAGUAAGGAAACUGGCUCAACAUUAGGGAUUUGAUUAAAAAAUUCUGAAAAUGCCUAAGGCAGAAAUGGUAUUGACCUAAGUUUUCUUAGAAAAAGAUCGAAUGAAAAGAGACCAAAGUUGAAUUAAAGAGUGAUAAAUUGGACUUUGCAGAAGAGCAGGAUAAACUAUUGAAAUCUAUUAGUGGUUGAAAAUCAGAAAACCUUGCAGGCCCCAAAAACAAACAAACAACCAAUCAAAAACUUGUAUCCUUUUGUCAUUUUUAACAUUUAGCUCAGACUAGCGAUUGAGGGACAUGGACCAUAACUUUACAGAUGAUUAUCUGGGCAAAACUUGAGUACAGAAGAUUCUUCAUGUCACCGACAACGGUUUAGAUGGCUGACCAUUCAGUGCAAAACUUGAGGGAUUAGACGGUACAGUUCAAACUACCCAAUUUUGGCCUUUGUAUCCAAUGGCUCGAUAAUAUUUGAAGCUCAUGUCAGUUCAAUAGAGAAACAGAUCACUUAAAGGUGACAUUAGCAAUUUUCAGAACCAAAUGUAGGACCUGUUUGGAACCUGAGUUUUUUGGGAGUUUGUCUAAAACUUUACUAGUGCACUGUAGAAGUUUUUGAAAAAAUUUUAUAGAAGUUUUUGUAAGGUGAAAAACUUUUUUAUAGAAGUUUUUGUAAUGUGAAAAAUUUUGUAAAAAUUUUUGUAAAGUGAAAUUUUUUUUCCCUUUUCUUUUUUUUCUUUCUUUCCUUUUUCCUUUCUUUCUUUCCUUUUUCUUUUCUUUCAUCUCUUCUUCUUCUUCUUCUUCUUCUUCCUUCCCCAUCCCCCAUCCCCCUUCCCCGUUACCUCUGCCUCCCACCUCCAGCACCACCUCUCUCUUUUUUUUCUUUUCUCCUCUCCCCCCUCCUUCUCCCCUCCCUCGCCACCCCUUUCCUCCCCUCUCCCCCGCCAACCCCUUCCCACUCCCUUCCCCGUUCCUCCCCCCUAUGCCCACCAUCCCUUUCCUCCCCUCUCCCCCACCACUCCCUCUGCACCGCCGCCCCGCCGACCCGUCACGCCCUUCCCCCGCUACCCCCUCUGCCCUUUCCCCCUCUCCCUCACCACCCUCUCUGUCCCUUCCCCCUCCUCUGUUCCCCUUCCCAUUUCUCACCUUCCCUUUGCCCCUUUCUUUUUUUCACAUUUUCCCUCUCCCUCUCCUCCCGUCUCCUCUCCUUGCUCUUGCCAGAAGAUGAAGCUGCGUAAUGAAAACAUUUUUUUUGGGUAAUUUUCCUUCUCCCCCCUCCUCCCCUUCCCCCGCCAUCCUCACCCUCCCUCGUGCGAUCUGGUCUCGCGACCAGAUCGGCCAGAGGGGAAGGGGAAGGGUGGUGAGGGAGGAGUGGGGGAGACGCAAAAAGAAAAAAAAAGGACAGAGGGGGGGAUGGCAGGGGAGGAAGAGGGGGAGAAGGAAAAAGGGAAAAAAAAAAAAAGAAGACCGGCACCGGAAGAGGUGAUCGACGCCAGAACUGGCGGUGGAGGUGGUGGCCGGCGACGGAGGUGGUGGUGGGUUGGGGUGGGGGAGGAAGAAGAAGAAAAGGGGAAGGGAAAUUUUUUUUUUUUGUGUUUUGGACAUUUUAAGUGUGUAGGUAAAAAACUUUGAGAAGUUUUUUGGUGUUCCUGUAGUAAAACUUGUUAAAAAACUAGUAGGUAAAAAACUUGUCCAAAAAUAAAUACAAAAGCAUAUGUAAUCAGAAUUUCUGCACUGCCAUGCAAAAGGAACUAGAUGAGAGUUACAGAAAAUACCUCAAGAAGUUUUGAACUCUUACAGCUAAUAAUCUGCUCUUGUAUUUCAAACUAUUUCAGUAUAGAUAAGAAAAAUGCCAAGGAAAUUCUGUAUUGUAUGCCAGGCGGCAAUCCAACAUUGAGCCUCAAGCUAUGGGCAUCAUAUAUUCCAAUUGCACCAUCAGAAAAGCCUAUAUAUACCAGAGGCUAUCACAGCAAUAUGUUGCACUUGCAAUGCAGAGGAAGAAAAUGAGUCUUGUGGAUUCCACUGCAAUACUAACUAGACAUUCUAAAUCCAUGAUAGAGAGUAGAAUAGACUUGAAAAAUUUCUCAGCUUUAUCUUAAUUCACAAUGGAUGUAAUUCGUAUAGCAAUCAUCUGUAACUUUAUGCGAAAUCAUGAUUUGCAGGUGAAAUCACAUGCUACAUGGAGCAUAAUCUAUAUCCACUUGGCAAACAUUAAUUAAUUUCUUAGAUGUAUUCGCAUUUUUAUUUUAUUUUCUUUUCAUCUGAUGAUAUCUCUUAUGACUCUACCUUGUCUGAAAAAUAAUUGAGGGAAUUUACUCUAACCAAAAGUGUUAUGCUUAUAUAUAUAUAUAUAUAUAUAUAUAUUUGUAAAAAUUAUUCUACAAAAACACAGCAGUGGUACCAUAAGUGCACAAUAAUAUGCGCAAACCGCAACCAGAUUACCAUAUAAAUUGAAUCAAUAAUUGAAAGUAAUCACCAAAAAAUUUAAAAAUUAAAAAUGUAAAUGAUGGGUCUCGUAUACCUGGACUUCGCAAGGCAACCAAGGUUUGUAGAGACCCAUGAUAUGAUUUGGAUACAUGGGCCUUUGUAGAGAACUUUUAGUGACAUUUCUGACCCAUAUGUCAAUGCAAAAACAAUUAGAGGUGGACAAAAACAACCGUUAACUUAAAAAUUCGUCAUACCUAAUUCGAUCGGACCUGAAAAUUAGAAUAUCCAAUUUGUAUUAUUUGACCGAAUCAAAAGAAUGUCAGAAACCCGCUUAGAUGCGAGAUGGGGUAGGAUCACAUAAAUUAAAAAGCCAUAGGUACCCAAUCCGCCUCGCCCCCCACCACACACACAUAUAUGUAUUAUUUUUAUACACAUACCACAAAAUAAUAUUUUUAGAGCUAAAUAAGUAAUUUCAUUGUUUAAAUUACAUUACAAAUACGGGAGACUAUAGUCUGUUCACAAGAUUUAUUUGCAGAAAUCAUGAUCCUAUAUUUUUUAGAAAAGAGUUUAAUUAAUGUGGAAUAUAUACUUAAAAAAAGGUACUACUUAUUUCAAAAUUUCAUUGAUUUUGAUUUCUUUUAAUUUUUUCCUUUUUCUUGUAUUCUCUUCGCAUGUUUGUUUCUUAGUGGGAGACUUUUUAUUAAAUUAUAGAUGAAUAUGUAAAAUACAAAAAUUAAAUUAGUAUAAAUUUUUUAAAAAAAAUUAAAUGAUAAGCAAGGUAGGGCGACUACCUGUUAGAGCGGAUAAGGGUCAGAAAAUGUCUGACCCGUAAGAUGCGGAUCGAGUCAGCCAAUUGGUACACGAGGCAGAUACAUGGCCCGUGCCCGCCCCUAGAAACAUCUUUCUAAAGUAAAUUAGCUGACCUAACAGUCCAAUGCAAACUAGUGUUGAUUAAGAGCAAAUUACCCCGGUAGCCAUUGAACUUUUAGAAUAAUCAAGUUUUGGCUACUCAAUUAUUAAUAAUAUAUUUUUAUCCAUUGAAUUUAAAAAAUAUAAAUUUUGAAUUAUUCCAUCUGAUUUCACCAUUAAUUCUACUAGAUCUAACAAUUAAUAGUAUGUCUCGUGAACAAUGCAAAUCUAAGAUCUGGCAGAGUUAAUAGUAAAAUUAGAUGAAAUUACCGAAAAUUUACUUUUUUUAUAGUUCAAUGGAAAUAUACUAAUAAUAGUUGAGUGGGCAAAUAUUGACUAUUCAAAAAAUUUAGUGGCUAUCCAAAUAAUUUGCUCGUUAAUUAAUGGUAGUCUUUUCGUUUAGGCUAAGGAAUUUAACAAAGGAUUUCAAAUUCAUCUGAAUUGUUCUAGUAGUUUAAAUUGUUUAAGAAGUAUUUAGAUUUGUAUCAAUUAUCAAAAUAUAUUUUAAAUACUAAAAUAAUUGAUGAUUUAUAAAUUCAAAUACAUUUUGAAAAAAUUUCAAAUCUUUUGUCAAAUCAUUCAAUCUAAAUGCAGACUAAAAUAGUUUGAAGUAAUGAACUCGUUACUAAUAUGAAUGGAGAAACCUUUCCUCAUUGCAGCCGUUCCCAUCCACUUGCGGUCAAUUUUAAGUAACAAAUAUCCACAAUUAAGGCUAACAAAUAUCCACAAUUAAGGCCAAAGAUGAGAUUAUAUGUACAUUUUCUUACUAAAUUGAGUUAAGGGACCUAAGAAUAUUUUCCCUCAGUUGGACAUCUAAAUAAAAAAAAAUUACAUUUUCCUUCUACAUGGAUUGGGUACUAAUUGAUAACCGUUUGCCAUAGAUCUCCUAAUGAUUUACCUAUAUGUUUUGUUAGUGUCUCCAUUCCUUUGAUCAUGGAUAUUGAUUAUUAACAAAAUUAUAAAAUAAGUUCCAAACAAUAUUUUCUCUUUUCGUAGAAGUAUAUCUCAUUUUAUUUUUCAAAACUAUAUGCACAACAAAUUUGUCAUGGGACACCAGAUCGUUUUUCAAGUCCUCGCCAUAGUUAUUUUGUCUCCAUCCAUCACAUUAUUGCGGGAAGACUCAGCGUCAACGUUGGUGGACCGACAAGAAACAAUGGGCAUACUCGAUGUCAAUUUCGGUGAUUUUUUUUUGGUUUUAUUGGAAAAAUAAAUGUUUACGUGGUUUUAGCUCAAGUUAUCACUAUGGCUCACGACAUCCCCGAUCAGUUAGUGAACAUCUAUAUAUUGUACAUUGGUCAUUGUAAAAUAUGUAAUCGAAAAUAAUGGCCUUGUUUGGCAGACAAGUUUUUCUGCUACAAGUUUUUUAAAAACUUUAAUUAUAGUAACUUCAAAAAAAUUUUCAAAAUUUUUAAAUUAUACACUUCAAAAUAUUCAAAAAAAACACACUUCCAAAAUUUUUUUAAAAACUUUUACAGUAAAUUACAGUAAAAUUUUAGACAAACACCUAAAAAACUCAUUUGCCAAACAGGGUCUAAGAGUGGUGCAAAUUAGGAAGGAUUUCCGCAACGAAUGUUGUCUGUAUUCGUUAACAUGCCGAUAUUUCACUCAAUCUAUCAUAUAUAUAUAUAUACACACACCAAUAAUAAUUAUUUUUUCUUACAUUUAUAAAUUUUUUAAAAUUAAUCUCCUUAUAUAUAUAUUAAUUAAUUUUAUAUUUUUAAAGUUUUAACACUUGAAAUAUAUUUUAAUGCAUGUCCACAAGACACUCGCUAAACAAAUCGAAUUAGAAAAUCACGGCCAAGUGAGUCAGGCAGGCAAAUGAUCGCAUUCGUCCUAAGUGUGUUGCUAUUUGAUCACAUAUAGGUCCCAUUUGGCAAGUGAGUUUUUUGGAUGUUUAUCUAAAAUUUGUAUUGUAAUUUACUGUAGAAGUUGUAAAAAAAUUUUUUGAAGUGUAUAAACAUAUGGAUAUUUCGAAGUAUAUGGUUUAAAAAAUUUGAGAAGUUUUUUAAAAUUAUUAUAGUUAAAAUUAUUAAAACACUUGUAGCAGAUAAACUUGAUAAAAAACUUGCUUAAUAUCUUCAUAUAACUGUGAUUUUAGUGCAUAAUCUACGAAAAUUUUCCUUUCCUAUUCUAUCUUUUGUCCCUGCUGACCUCGGGUCCUGACUGCCAUUGUUCAACCUUCACUUUAUUCAAUUAGUACCCUCAAAAUUAACUUCCAAGUUCCAGCAGGUGGAAAAAUUUCUAAGAUGGAAUUUAGGUCCCCCACAUUCAAAAGUUUAUUACUACUACACACCCAUAAAUGUCAUGCAAUAAUUUCACUCUGCUUCUAUAGGCCCACCAAGUUCAUUGAAUUAUUGUACUACUUCCCAGCGAGGAAAGUCACGAUCAAUUUCACUCUACUUUCUCCUCUAAGUAGUCCCAUCUCCCUUGCUAAAAAUCUUGCACUUGCAAAAUAACUGGCCAAACAGUCCAAUGCAAACUACAUCUGAUUAAUUGUAAUUCUCUAACUCGAGCAGUAUGAACUAAUCAACUCUGUACUAAUAUGAAUGAAGAAACUUUUUCUUGUUGCGGUCAAUUUUAAACAGCAUAUAUAACUUUGCAAUUAAGGCUAAAGAUUAGACUGAAAAAAGAAAUAGUGGGCAUACUCAGUGUCUUGUCCAUUAAAUUUUUUUUGGUAAAAUAAAUAUUUAAAUGGUUUUAACGCUAAUAACCACCACAACUCAAGACACGUCCCAAAAUCAUACAUUUAGGGAUGGCAAUGGAACGAGUUUGAGGUGGAGGAAUCCUCACUCGUCCCCCAUCCCGACUAACCUCGUUACUCUCGCAGGUGCACCUGUCCUGCCCCAAUACCAUUUUUAGUUUUUAUUUAGUCUUAUUUUUUCUCUUUAUAUAUAUAUAUAAUGCUAGUAAUAAUUUUAUUGAUCAUUUUUUUUUAAUUUUUAGCAAAAAAUCCAGCAAUCGCUGUGAAAAGUAUGGAUGUCAGCUUCUUUAAAGAAGCAUCGAUGUCCAUGAUGUUGAAUUAGUGCUUAUUGAGUUAGUUGUUGGAAAGGAACACAGCGAAAUGACUCAUUCUCUGAAAGCUUUCAAUGGUUGAAUGUUAUCCAUCAACUUCUGUUUCAGAACUCAGAACAAUGUGAUUCAAAUUAGAUAAGGCAAGCAUUUGAGGAUGAAAUCCAUAAGUUUGUUAGAGUUUUAGUUAACUGCAUUUAAUUUGAUCCGAGAAAAGGUCAUCCAUGCUAAAAAGUGUACAAAAUGUUGAGCUAAAGAUGUGUCCUCGCAAAUGAUUCAGGACUGGUGGGAAUUUGAAUUUGGCUUUCCCAGCAUGGGUGAUUUUUCCUUUUGUUGAUCUUCAGAACAGUGUUUCCAUAUCCACUAAUUGGGAUACUUAUAACGUUUAGAUAUAAGAAUACCAUUUAUAAUACUUAUAACAAGACAUAAUGGAAGCCCAAUACUCCCCACGAACUACGGGCGCAUGCACGAAUUGAUCUUUUAACUAGUGAACAUAGAUGGGUUAAGUGCACACAAUUCCUUUAUGUUUUGCAGGUAGUGGCAUUUGAACACAGAAAAUCAACAUAUUUUAGGGUUUGUUUGCUUGGAUGUAAAAUCUUUUCAUGGGAAAAAUAUUUUCAUUGAAAAUCAUUUUCGGUUGAACAUUUGUUUUUUUUUAUAAUUAUUUUCAGAUCUUUGAUUCCCUUCCUGAAAAUUUUGGCUUCAUAUAUUACGCACUUUUCUCUUCAACUUGUACCGAUCUUCCACUCUAUUUUACCACUGCUUCCCACGUACCCAACUCCCAUUACACAACUAGUAUUUUGACCAAUGCUAAGCACGAAUUUAUAUUUAAUACAAUAAUAAUAAUAAUAAUAAUAAAUAAAUUAUUUUUUAUUAAUUACACGAAAAAAAAAGUUAAGAAAUAAAAAAAGUGCUACUUUUGUAUCUAAUUUUUAUUGUAUUUAUGUACAUUGUCUAAAACUUUAAAGUAUAUUAAAAAAUAUGAACAAAGAUCACAAAAAUACCUAAAGAAAUAUUAAAAGUGCAUCAAACACAACAUUAUUAACCCCCCCCCUCCCCCCUCCAUGUUCUUCCUCUUUGUGCCACUUUCUCUUAACAUUCCACUACUCUUCAUUACCCUCUUUCUUACCUUCUUAAUUCAAACUUCCCACAUUCCUCCAACUUUUUUCCCUCCCACAAACCCUACCUUCCCUUCACCCUACUCUGCUUUUUUCAAAUUGCGCAAUCUCUUACUAAUUUCGUAAUCUAUUUACUGCCAUCCUAUUGUUCUUUCCACCCAUUUAUAGUUAUAAAUAGUGGCCAAUUUUGCAACUUGUUCUUGAACAAAUGAGUUUGGGUAUGCCGUCUACUUAGGUUCAAAUGGAUAACCUAAUGACACCCAUUAAUUAGUGACUAUUAAAUGGAAGGAAUGGGAUCACUUAUUUAGAGCUAAUUAAAUUAGACGUAGAUUCAAAUUCAAUCGUUGGUAAGUAAAUUUAAAUCACUACCAAAUCAAUAAAUAUACUCUACUUUUUGCAAAGGCAUAUUUAAUGUUCUUUUCCUAUUCUUUAAUUUUCAUUAUUUUAAUUUUUGUUAAAUUUCAUCCUACUUCCUCCUCCCUUCCAUCAAAGUUUUAAUGAACUCCUUGAGUGUUAAUUGAUUUGUAACAUUCACACCUAAAUUAUUUUUAGAUUCUUAUAGAGUGAUAAAAUUUGAAACUCCUUAUGAUCACCACUAUUGAUUCUUCCAUGUAAUUUGAGAAUUUUGGCAAAGUAAAAAAUGAAAAAGUUCCUGAGCCAUAUUUGAGAAAUUUCAACUUACUAGGUUAAUAAUUAUAAAUGCUGCUCUUACGAGAGAAUCAUAGAAUGAUUCAACAAAAACAUUUCAACUUAAGUGUGUUUCGAUAGCCAUUAUUUGGCUUCAAAUUAUUUGUUUGCAUCACAAACAUAAUUUUCAAAACACCUUUUUAUCUUUCCAAUCAAUUUUUUAUCUCACAUACAUUACAUCACAAAAAGUGCUACAGUAAUUAUUCCAAAUAAUAUUUCAAAUAAUCCCCUAUCCAAUAAGAAAAAAAUCAUAUAUUCAAUAAUUUUCAGCGCGAUCAUAUGGUUGUAACUACAAAUAACCUACCAUGAAAAUACCUAUUUUUAGCUUCAUUUCAUCAUGUGAAUUUCUUGUGAUUUCAUUUUAGCAUCCUUAUUUUUUAAUUAAAAUAAUCUUGUGAAAAAGCUUCCUGUAUAAGCAAAAACAAAAGAAGAAUACACAAUGGCAAAUUUUAGUUCAUAGUUAGCUUCCAUGUUCGUGAAAAAUUUUCUAGGAUGGAAUCUAAAUUGUGUCCCCCAUGUUCAAAGUUUAUUACUACACAACCAAAAAAGUCAUGCAGUUAUUUCACUCUACUUUCUUAUGCCAUUGCUUGGAAAAAUGUAAUCUAUAGGUCCACCACAUUCAAUAAUUGUACUACUACACUGCUAGGAAACUCACAAGCAAUUUCGCAAGUCUACUUUCUUAUCAAUAACAGUACCACUACUUUGUCUUCGUUAAUAGACCAUCUCCAUUGCCAAAAAAACCUUGCAUACACAAAUGAUCAAUUUCAAACUCUCCAUAAAACAAAUAAAAAAGAAAAAAGUCAUUUACUUUGGGAAUGGAAAAAAAUUAAAAAUGUUCCUGCAUCAUAUUCGAGAAAUUUCUACCGAUAAAUAGGAGUAAAUGCGGCUCUUAGAGGGAAUCAUAGAAUGAUUGAACAAAAACACAAUGGAAGUUAUUUCACUCCCAAAUAAGGUAUUUCACGUCUUCAACAAUUUUCAAUGGGAUCAUAUGGUUGUAACUACAAAUAGCCUACUAUAAAAAUGAUAUUGAAGAUGGCAUUCAAAAACUUUGACCCCGAUUGUGAUAUUUCGCAGAAAAAUUUUUAUGUUUUUCACGAACAUAUUUUUCAAUUACUUUUUUACCUCACAUACAUCAAACUGUUACAAUAUACCUUUUUUUUUUUUUUGCAGAAACUUUUAAAAUAGCAAUCCAAACGGGCUAGAUUUUACUACUUGUGCUGACUCAUCUUGACAAUUAUUGGGUCAUAAACAAUUGCAAUCUAGUGCCAAAAUUUUAAUCUUCUCAACCAUUUCAAGAUCGCAAGAAAAUGCCCCGAAUUCUAUAUUACUUGUAUGAUUUUUGAGUAUGGGUUAAUUUAACAUGUCCUGGAAGUUAUUUUAACAUCUCCAUCUUUAACUUCAUUUCAUCUUGCGGGUUUCUCAUAAUUUUAUUUUAGUGUCUUUAUUUUCGACUUAAAAUAAUCUUGCGAAAAAAAAGCUACUGUACAAGCAAAAACAAAAGAAGCAUGGUAAUUAUCAAACCUUUCUUUUUCAAUUGGUACAUUUAAAGUUUAACUUGCAAGUUCCAACCGGUAAGAUGAAAUCUUAAUUUAGGUCCCCCAUAUUCAGAAGUUAGGUCAUGCAAUAAUUUGAGCAUGCCUCUAUAGGUCCAGCACGUUGAGUGAUUGUUCUACUAUCCAACCAGGAAAGUCACGGCCAAUUUCACCCCACUUUCUUAUCAAUUACGGUACUGCUCCUGCUUUCUCCUCUAUAUGAUACUCCAUCUUCCUAGCUAAAAGCCUUGCACAUACUGCAUAAUUGUUUUAAUUUUGAUUCAAAUUAUCAUCUUCCUCGCCCGUGUUCUCUUUUUCAUCAAACUUGGAUUUGACAGGGUAGGUUCACGAUAAACAGGCAAUUUUCCCAUAUUCAUCAGAUCAGCUAUUGCCAGAGUAAGUGCUGAGAUUUGUUUACUUUUCUUGAAGUUCAAGGCUUUUUUUUUUUCUUUUUUAUAAACAUAGCCUCACCAUAUAAGGGAAUAUCUGCAGAUUCAACGGAUCAACCGUUGCCGGAGUGAUCAUUCUCUCCAAAGUGAGUGCUGAAUUUCUUUUUCUUUUUUUUUUUCAUACACAUAUUUUGGUUGAAAUAUAAAUGGCUUCCAUGUGUUUAUGACAUUCAUUCUACUAGCAUACUUUCAUAUGUUGGCGACUAGCUUCCAAGGCUAGAAUUUUUGCUUCCUGCUAUUCUUGAAACUAAUAAGAAGGGUAAGACACUCAAAAUUGUACAGUGCAAAUGUGCAAUAUGCAUCCCCUGUUCAAAACUCUAUUACUAGACAACCCUGAAAGGUCAUGCAGUUAUUUUUUCAUUCUACUUUAUUAUGCCAUUGCUUGGAAAAAUUCUAAUCUAUAGGUCCACCACAUUCAAUAAUUGUACUGCUACAAGGCUAGGAAACUCAUGACCAAUUUCACAGAUCUACUUUCUUAUCAACAACAAUACUACUCCUUUCUCCUCAAUAAUGGAUCAUCUCCAUUGCCAAAAAGCCUUGCAUAUACGAACAGUUUCUACAUUUUUUUCUUAAACUUUACUUUUGAGUAAUUAAGUAGCUUCGCGAUAUACUAGCAAUUUUCCCAAAUUCAAUAGAUCAGCUACUCCCAGUGGUUUCUUUCUUUCUUUUAUUUUACUCUCAAGUAAGUGCUUAAUUUUGUUUUUUUUUUUCCCUCAAACUUAAAGGAAUUUUUAUUUUUUCUAUUUUUUUCGACGUAGCCUCGCCAGUAUAAAGGGAAUUUCUGCAAAUCCAACAGAUCAGCUUUUGCCAGAGUGUUUAUUCUCUCCAAAGUAAGUGCUGAAUUUCUUUUUUAUUAUUAUUAUUAUACACAUUUUUGGUUGAAAUAUAUAUAUCUGGCUUCCAUGUGCUUUUGACAUUUAUUCUUCUGCUACUAUGUACUUUUAUAUGUUGCCGAGUAGCUUCCAGGACUGGGAAUUAGCUUCCUGUUGUUCUUGGUAGUAUAUCAUACUAGUUUGGAUGCACGUGCUUUGCACAUUACCCGUGUUCGGUGAUAAUUUUCUUAUAUUGCGUGGUUUUUUAAAUUAUUUUUUUAAUGCUAGGUAAGUUUUAGAAUGAAAGCUUUUCCUUUUUUCUCCGUUAUGGGCAUAUAGAUGAAUAAUCUAUCUUUUGGAAGGGAAUGAUUGGAGUAGGAAAUUCUAGGUUGACAUGCUUUCUAAUAAUAUUCAUGGAUAAGUUUUUAUGCAUAACAUUUUUAAACUUGUAUUUUUUACAUGAAUUUUCUACUGUAGUUUUUAAAGAGUAAUUUGUGUAUGUAAGACAUUUUGUGUCAGUCUCAUACCUUAUCUUAGUGACAGUGCUUUUUGUCUUUCAAGAGUUUCCUUUCUGCAAUUAAUCAUGAAAAUUUGAUAGAGUCAUAAUUCAUGACAUUUUCUUAGAUCAGAAACUUGAAAUGAGAAACCAAAAAAGAAAAAUUAACAGUCCUUGAAAAGAAAAUGAGAAGUGAAAUAGGGACACUAAUUAUCCUAAAGUUUAGGAUAAUGAUAUAAUGAUAAUGUUAGAAUACUUCAAAAUUCCACUAUACUAUCUUUUUCGUAUCGAUUGACCCACUAAACUUUUAAAGCUAAUUAAUUGAACCAUUCCGUGUAGUUAGUGGUUAAAAAAAAUGAGUGGGGAAAAUCAAAUACACAAUUAUGUAAAGUCAAAUUUUUACUAUCUCACCUUUUUUGUUUUAUACUUUCUCCCUUCUCUGCACGCUUUUCAACCACAAACUAUUAGGACCAGGAUUCAUAAUGUUACUGUCUUACCUUGAAACAUUCAAAAUUUUAAAAAUCUGCAUGAACACCUAUCACAACUAAAAGAGGAUGGUACUGGUUAGUAAAAAAAGUAAAAGUCAAAUCGCAAGUAACUUAUCAGUUAUGACUUUCAAUUCUUUUAGUUGGCCUGAUUUAAAAUUGUAAAUCAUCGUGGCACAUUAACAAAAAAUUACACAAAUUACAGUAGUUAAAACACACACACACAUACACAAAAAGGCAUAUAUUACACUUUUUCGUCCAUCAUUUAUUUACUUUUGCAAGAGGGUGCAAAAGUAAAUCAUACGAAAGGUCCUGAAGGGUGAAGACCCGACGGACAGCAAAGUCUUUCUAAUAGUUUCCACGAAUUUGCAUUUUAGCUUCAUUUGCAGACAGGGUAGUCGUUGUCUGGCUUCUUCUUUUUAAUUUCCAUCAUUUUGCUUUAGGGUGUUCUUUCCUUCUUGACAAUUAAUACUUCAUUUCCCUACAGUUUCUUUCUUCUGAGGAACCACUAUCGUGGAUCAUGGGUUAAGAAGCAACACAGUAUCACUAUAAGUAACUAAAAGAGUACAAAAGAGGGAGAGAACACAAAACCCUAUAAAAUAAUUCCAAGGUCCAAAUGUAUCUAAAACUAAAAACACUUGAGAUCUUUUUUUUUUUUUUUUUGGAAGCAUAACACUCGAGAUUUUAAAGAAGCACACAAAUGUCUUAUAAAAUCAAUAUUCCUAAAGUUUAGGAUAAUGUUAGAAUACUUCAGAAUUUUGCUGUACCAUCUUUUUCGUAUGGAUUGACCCACUAAAAUUUUAAAGCUAUUUAAUUGAACCAUUCCAUCUAGUUAGUGGUUAAAAAGCUGGGAACUUAUAAAACACGAGCAGCACAUUGCAAUUAGUGGGGAACUUUUGUAACUUCGUUAAUGAAAAAUAGUAUGGCAGACUAAACAGGACUUUAGGAAAAUUAAGUGAAUUUGAUGCUACUUGUUGGCAAACUUCUUGGAAACUGAAGAAGAAUGGAAAAGAGAAAUAUCUUAGAAAAAGUUAAACACAACUAAUGCUCACAUUCUUAAAUCUUUUGGGCUAGUAUUAAAAAUACUUUAGUAGGAGAUUUUUCCUGUUUUUCCUACUAACUUUAAUCACAUGCCAAAUAAAAAUGUUGUUGCUUUUUAAAGAACAUACCAUUGCAGGUGAAAAGUACUGCCACAAACUCCAUUUGUCAAGUGACAAGAUCAUUACUUCAGAAAAGGCUAUGCUGAUUUUUGCCUCUAUCUUCCGCACUUUUCAGAAAGAAAAAAAAAAGAGCAUAAUCAUUUAUACGAGUUAAUAGUGACAGCAAAAAAAAAGAGUAUAUCCCUUUAAAGGAUAAACCAAAAAAAGGGUAGAAUCACUUAUUUGUGCUUUAUGAUUAUCCUAUUUGAACUACUGCUCUAUUUUUUUUUCUUUUUUUUUUUACACUUUUCUUGUUUUUCCUUUUGACAAUGCAGUUCUUGAUAAUCCCUAAAAUACUAUCCUCUUCCGGUUUGUCUUAUUUUUCUCACAGUAUUUUUUUCUAGUUUCUGGUUGCUUUUAAGAAAUAAAGAUAUGGAUUAGAAUUUUAUUAAUGUCCUUGAAAUCACAAAUGCACUCAAAAAUUUGUGGAACUUAUCAUCUUAUAAAUAUUGGUACUACUAAAAACUGCUUAGACUAUAUAUAUUUAGAAAAUAAUGGCCAACAAUAUUAAAUUAUUAAAGUGUACCCCUAAAAAAAGUAAAAAAAUGACAAGAUAUCUUUCUCACACGACUAUAACAAUUCUUUUUGUAGGAAUGGUAUCAAGAUGACAAACACUUACCGAAAAGAAUAUGGUUUUAGUUGUCAUGGGAUUCAAGUAACUCGAGUAAUUGACUCUCAAGUUAUAACUAGCAACAAAUUUCACCGGUAAAUUUUAAAUAUUUAACUAAGGUAACUGUUUUGAUAUAGGAAUUUGAAAAAAAUAAAAGGUAAUAACUCAAUCAAUUGAACUACUGCUUUUUAGCCUAUCACUCCAAAAUAUAUUCAGGAAAAGCCAAUAAAAGAAUUCCUUUUAUUUUUUUUUUUUGUUGGGAUUGCAUGGAUAGAAUAUUACUUAGAAAAACUUUUGUAUAAUUCACUGUAGCAUGUUUUGUAGUAUAAUGUAUUUAAGAUAAAUAAGUAAUUGUAAAACAUGUUUAAGAGCAAUUAAAAAAAUAAAUAUUCUUUUAGAGUCAUCACAAUGAUACGUAACACAACUGUCCCACAAAUUAGACAUCAUUGCAUGAGUAAAUCAGUAAAGGACAGAUUCACAUGUGAAUAUUGUCUGGAAGUGUGUAAGUUUAGCCCCACACCUUUUAUAUUAACAGAUCUGAACGCGGUUUGAUUUGUUGACCAAUAGUACUGAAUCGCCCAUUAUUAAACUUCAUCAUAUUACGAACCGAUGACCAACUCUAAUUUCUUCCUUUUCUGUACAAGGUCAAGGAGCCUCUCUUCCUUUCCUGAUAUUCUCAAGUUAAAGAAAAGGACUGAAAAUGGCAGAAACAGUUCUCGCUUUUGUGUUAGAUCAGCUCUCAAUUUUUCUGCGUGAAGAGGGCAGAUUAUUGGGAGGGCUUCGCCAAGAGGUUCAACUCAUCAGCGAUGAGUUGGGGCACAUGAGAGCUUUCCUGGGAGUGGCAGAAACAAAAGAAGAAGAUGCUGAUCUCAGGCUCCAAGAAUGGAUCAAGCAAGUACGAGAAGCAGCUUAUGACACUGAAGAUGUUCUUGAUGAAUUCGUAGCUCGCUUUGCUCGCCAUUCAGUAACAGGGUUCCGUGGCUCUGUUCGGAGAAUUUUCAACUCCAUAAAGACUCUGCGAACUCGUCAUAAGCUUGCUGUGCAAAUGCAAAGCAUGAAGGCCAGAAUAAAGAAUAUUUCUGAAGGGCAUCAGAGAUACCAAUUAGAAUUCGGUGUUACUACUAAGGUAUCUGGGUCUCCUGCUGCUGCUAACAACACAACAUGGCGCUAUAGCAGGGAUGAUGCACUUCUCGUGGAAGAAGCUGAACUAGUUGGCAUUGACAACCCCAAACAACAGCUAAUUUCUCAACUACUCGAGGGGGAUGAUUCCCAACUCAAAGUUGUUUCUGUGGUUGGCAUGGGAGGACUCGGUAAAACUACCUUAGUGAAAAAAGUCCACGAAGAUUUAGAUAUUAGAAGGCAUUUCCCAGUUCGUGCCUUUGUAACUGUCUCUCAACCAUGCAACUUCCAGGAGCUCCUGAAAGACUUGACUCGGCAGUUACACAAUGAUUUGAAGAAACCAGUUCCGGAAUCGAUUGAGGCAAUGACUGCAUUUCAGCUGAAACUAUGUGUUAAAAAUUUUCUUCAACAAGCUGGAAGGUAUGCAAUUGUGUUUGAUGAUGUAUGGGAUGUGGAAUUCUGGAAUGAGAUUAGAUUUGCACUGCCCGAAAAUGGCUAUGGCAAUCGUGUCAUGCUAACGACACGAAAAGCCGAUGUAGCCUCUGCAUCUUGCAACAAAUCUCAAGAUUAUGUCUACAAAAUGGUGCCCCUGUCUUUCGAGGAUUCAUGGACCCUAUUUUGCAACAAGAUCUUCAAAGGAAAUGGUUGUCCUGCCCAUCUAAUAGAUGUUGCAAAAGGUAUACUGGGGAAAUGUGAGGGAUUGCCCCUUGCGAUUCUUGCAAUCAGUGGGCUUUGGGCUUUGAAAGACUUCAGUAUUGCAGAGUGGGAGAUGGUUCGACACAGCCUAGGAGGUGAAUUAGAAGGCUCUGGUAUGCUGGACCGGGUCAGAAAGAUACUUUCUCUUAGUUACAAUGAUCUGCCCUGCCAUCUUAAGACCUGUUUGUUGUAUUUAAGCAUUUACCCAGAGGAUUAUGAAAUAGGUUGUCAUAGACUUGUUCAAUUAUGGUCAGCUGAAAGAUUUUUAGGAAAGAGAGAAGGAAUGACAAUGAAAGAUGUAGGCUACAAUUACCUCAGAGAACUUGUCAAUAGGAGUCUAAUUCAAGUGACUCAAAGUUUUUAUGAAGGAAUCCCCGACACUUGUCGAAUCCAUGACUUAGUGCGAGAAGUUGUUCUUUCCAAGUCAAGGGAGCAAAAUAUGAUCACAAUUACUACUGGACAAUACACAAAGUGGCCAUCUGAGAAGGUACGCCGUUUGGUAGUCCAUAGUAGCAGCAACACCACCGAGCAGCACCAAGAAAGCCAAUGUUAUAGCUUUAACCACCUUCGAUCCUUUAUUACGAUUGAAUCCAUGAAUCCACUAAUAUCCAGAACCUUGUUAUCAGAAGUUUUAAAGAGUAGUAGAUUGUUAAAGGUUUUGGAUUUGAGUCAUGAAAAGACAUUGGAGGAACUCCCAAAUGAGAUUUUCAACUUGUAUCGUCUCAGGUAUCUGAACCUAUAUAGGACAGGAGUUAAAGCAGUCCCGAAAUUCAUAGGAAAGCUGCGAAAUUUGGAGUAUUUGGAUUUGCGUGAAACUAAAGUCAAGGAAUUACCCGUGGAAAUCCUGAAGCUAAAAAAGCUUGAGCAUCUUAUGGUAUACCAAAAAGUUGAUUCUUCUGAUGACAGUCAAGGAUAUCAUGGGUUUAAAGCUCCAUCAAAAUUGGGAGGGCUUAUUGCACUACAAUCAUUAGAUACCAUAGAUGCGAGUAGCGGAUCCGUAGUAGUUAAAGAGAUAGGGAAAUUGACUCAAUUAAGACAAUUAGGGAUUUCAAAUCUGAGAAGAGAAGAUGGAAAGGUUCUCUGCUCCUCCCUUGCCACCCUCACUAGACUAUGGGAAUUAAACAUUGCUUCAAUUAGAAAUGAAGCUGGUGAUUAUGAGGUAAUGGAUCUGAAUCAUCAUGAUCAACAACAACAUUCUCUUUCAUCUUCAAUGCCUUCUUCAUUUCUCCAAUCUCUUCGUAUGCUAGUAUUGCAUGGCCCCUUAGAAAAGAUGCCGAAAUGGAUAGCUCAUCUUCAAAGCUUGGUAAGAAUAGAUUUGAGGUGGAGCCGUUUAAGGGUUGAAGAGGAUCCGCUUGAACCGCUCCACCAUUUGCCAAAUUUGGUUAGGAUUAUUUUUUGCGGAUCUUACCAAGGAGAGGGGCUGUGUUUCAAGGCUGGAGGAUUCCCGAAGUUAAAGGAAUUGUACCUAGUGAAAUUAGAGAAGUUGAAAUGGCUGAAAGUGGAAGAGGGUGCGUUACCCAGUCUCCACGAACUUAGUCUGGAUAGACUUCCAUUGCUAGAGGAGUUGCCUUUGGGAAUUCAGCACUCAAGGAAUCUUCGAAAGCUGUAUUUGUCUGAGUUGAGUUCUCAACUGAUGGAGAAGCUAGAGAAUCUAAAUGAAGAGACUGAAGAUUAUAGAAAAAUUGCACACAUUUCUGAAGUUGUCAUUGAAUUGUGGACAGAUGAGGAGGGAUGGAGAAAGCACCGGCUGUGGGGGAAGAUGAUGUAAAUAUUUCCUUCCUAUUUCUUUUUUUUUUUUUUUUUUUUUUUUUUUUUUGCACGUUUGUUUGUAACUUCUGAGUUUAUAAUUUGCUUUAUCUUUUAUCUUAUUGCACUCUAUAUUUUUUGUUUUUGCUUGUUUAAUUUUUUCUUUAAUUGAUUUAACAAAUAAUUUAGAGGUUGCAGGUCAGAAGUGCCUAUAUACAAUCUAAAACAAUAGCCCAAAAUAAUAUAGCCCAAAACAACACAGAGAAAUAGGAAAGCUCAGGUCUAGUAAUUAUAGCCUCGGAUUAAUAAUAUUGAAGUUUCAGGAAAGAAUUGAGAGUACUCUAGAAACAUAAAGCCUCAAACCUUGUGCGGCUAUUCUUUGCCUAGCCCAAAAUCAAUUCAUUCAAUAGCGUAUUAACAUUUGAAAGUUGCAAUGAAGUACACUCUCUGCAAAAUAUCAAAUAACGUCUCCUUUUUUUAAUGUAAGUGGGAGGGCUUGAACCCGGGAUCUCUCACUUACUCUCCCCCCCCCCCCCCCCCCCCCCCCAAAAAAAAAUCAAAUAAUGUCUCAUUUCCUGUUUAAUGCAGAUAGUGUUGAGGCCUCUUUCAAAGCAUUAAAAUGGAAUCAGGACCAAAGAGCACUUGUAUGCCUGGGUAAUCUUGCGUAUGUUUCAACGCCACAGAAAAAAAUGGUUGCAAGAAAAUUCUCUUUUAGCAUAUCUAUAAGGAAAUCAAGGGUAGAGACAUUUCAACAAACUAUAGUUCCAAAUAAUUGGUCUUCAGGAACCCAAAGAGUUGCUCAGGACAGGGAAUUAGUAUAAGAUUAAAUCUAACUGGUGGUACCUAUUCAAAUUUUGUCCAAUACGGUAGAUGUACUCAUCCUCCAUUACAUUAACAGAAGGUUUGUUUUCUGAAUAGAAGAGAAAAUGAAAAAGGUAAAUAAACAUUGGUAAGAAUGUCACAACAGUCACGCGAACUACUCAAUUAAGUGCAGAUAGAAAACUACCCAACCAUGUUGAGUGCAGAUCGUCAAUCUGUGGAUAAUAAAGUUGGUACCUACAACUAGAAGCUUUGAUUUGGCUACAAAUUCAUGAUAUCCACACAUUAGUAGCUCCACAAGUAUUUGUGUCGACACAAAUUGUAGGAUACAAUUUCUACAGCAUGCCUUGCUAGUUUCUGAAAAGCCUAAGACCUACCCCUCAUUCUUGAGCUAUCUAUGACCAUCAAUAGAGUUCUUCUAUAUAAACCACCUCAUAGGUAACCAGUUUUCCACUCUGUUGUUUAACACCCUUAUACAGAACUUAACCCUAAAAAGUUAGACUAACUCAAAGAAAAUAGUUCUACACUAUCACUGCAAUUUACAAUAGAUAAAUAAAACAGAACAGGAACGUUCCCUACCACCCCAUCCCUUCUUCCACUCCACCAAUACUCAUCAGUUUACAACACAAAUUCCUCCACCUAACCCAAAGUACAAGUUAGAUCACAGGAAGGUGAGAGCAAAAAAUGACCUUCAAGAGUCCAAACAAAGCCACGCUGUUUCUCAUCAAAGCUAAUGUCAAUGGUGAUUAUAAUAACAACAGAGGGAUUGAUUUGGCAAUUUCUCAGUAGGCUGCUUUUGUAAAGAGCAUACAAUUAAUCCUGGGAUUCAAAAGAUUUCUAUUAGACUAACGCAGCAUUGAUGUAUGAGUAGGUAAAGCAACAUAACUAAUGAUGUUUAAUUUUAAAGGAGUAUUAAGAAAAUUAAGAAACCUUUCACUGUGAUCAACCUGAGGCAUUUCGAGUGAAUGAAUAUAGUACUGGAGACGCUUCCAUAAUUGGAAAUAUUUGACUGACAAGAGGUCCUAACUGCAUCAUAGCAUAAUACAACUUCAAAAAUGAGGAAUGUUACAAAAGCAAUAUUAGUUCUUUGAGAGGCAGUAGACAAAAUUUGACACGGAUUCUAAAGCAAGGGCUGAGAAACUGGAGCCCUACCAAUUGAACGAGUACAGUAACAACUCAUCAUAUAAGCAUAUUUACAAUCAACUCCGCCUUGGUAUAUAAGAUUUAAAAUGAAAUUAAGGUUCAAAAACAUAUGACAAAAUUGAUCCACCAAAUCUCAAGGUAUAAUAUUUAUGCAAUAUCAAAAUAUAAAUUAAACAAACUAGAUAAAUGUUUAGAUCCAAAUUUCCAUAUAAUCCUCAAUGUUGAUUGGCUCCAGUUCAACCAUCAACUAUAAUGUUGUUUACAUCAAUUCCCUUUUAUAAUGAACUAAUUUGUAUUCUUGAAUGAAUGGAAGACUGAUAUGACUUCACCAUUUGGAUGAAUAAUAAUUGGUGAACAGUUCAGUAUAAGGACAAAAUUACAACAAUCACAAAUGAACAAAAGUGCGUUAGUUGCUGUAGAAGCCAUCAGCAAGCAGAAGCAUAGAUGCUAAAACUCAAAGCAGAAAGAUCUAGAAAUGAAGUGCAAAGUCAGUAAUAUGCACAGACAUACCAUUUCCACAAAUAUAUGCAAUCUACUAUGGACACUCUUUUAAUUUAUAAACUGCAUAUUACACUUUCUACUUCACAUUUUUUUCCCUUUAUUUUCUGAGUUGCUACGUUCAGUUACCAUUUGUCCUGUUUCACUUAUAAGUUUACCCAUUUUCUUGCUCCCUGUAACGUCACCAAUUAUUUCCUUUCCAAAAAAAAAAUCUUCACUUUACAUCAACUUCAUGGCAUAGCUGAAGCAAUAUAAGUUACUCACAAUCCACCCAUUAUAUGAGCAAAUACUAUCUGAAAUAUUAUAAAAAAAUUUCUUUGUUAAUUGACAGUCAUAGUAUGACAUUGAUGUGAUGGCACCUUUACAUUCCUUUAUGCAUUAGCUUUUUCAUGUUUGUUUUAACAUUUUACAUCUUAUACAUAUUCCAAUGUAAAGGGAAUAACAUGACAAUUAAGGAGAUUUUGAGGAUGAUAGGCAUGUGAUCCGACACAAUGGGUCAUGUAUACAUCUUUCGACAACUAAGAUGUUAUCAUCCAUAGGAUUAUUGAAGGAUUAGUAGAAUUGCACUUGAAAAAGGUAAUAAACUCAUGCCAUGGCUCGAUAAUGAAAGCAAUCUUAGUAGCUAAAGAGCCCUUCAUCCACCAAGUAUGCUCUCACAAAUGGCAGUAGCUGGAUAAAUGUCAAAUAUCUACAGGACAUGACUUUUACUUCACUGGUGGGGGAGGGCUUAGAGUGCAACGCUUCAGCAACAUCUACACUCACAAAUCAUAGAGUUCCUUGUUCAUGAACUCAGACAAAAUACAUCAGUCAGUUGCAUCGCUAUCAUAGAUCCUCAAUAGAAACCACGAUUCUUUUAAAUUUACCCUAUAUAUAUAUUGGUUUGAAGAUUUAGAGAGGCAAUGAAAGAAUAGGCUGUUUGCCUGGUGAAAUUUGAGCUGAAAUUAGAUUUAAGAAGUAGAGGUUAAAUAGAGAUUAGGAGAGGUAAAGGGCAAAAGAAAGGAAGGAAGGAAAGAUGACUACUAAGACUUCACAGGUAAGAGAUUAAGAGGGGUUUUGUUCUGAAACUUUCUUGAUUCAAACUCACUCUCAUUUACAAAAACUAAUGCAAGCUAUUCAAAGAGUCUAAAACAGCAACCUAAAAGCUUUCUCUUGUAAAAAAAAGCAGCCGUUCAAGAGUAGAGUCUGUGGCAAUUGUUGUCCACUACAAUAGUAGCUAUGUAGGAUGACCAUUGAACUCCCAACCAUGGGUGUUCUUUGAAAGUCCACCCAUGCCUGCCCAUUGGACUUCCAAUCAUGCUUUACCCUUAGACUUCCACUACUAGUUUCAAGUACAGUAUCAUUAUCAGGCAGCCAACUACUUGCCAACAAAAGUUACAGCAACAAGCUCAACAGUUGCACACAGAAAAUUGGCAAAUGAACCACAAUCUGAAUCUUAAAUCAAAUCCAGAGCUAAAAGAUUGUGAAACUGAAGUUUUUUUUCCUUCGAUAUAUUGAUGUCUUUCAUGUCUUGCGUCACACUAGCUAAGCCGUGGCUACAAUUAUUUGAUCCACCCUAGAGCACCAUUACCUGUUACCUGCUUGGCAUAGUAUGCAGCAGCUCUUAUGUCACAUGGUCGGAACUAAGAGGGAAACAAAAUGCCCUAUAUACAAAUCGAAAAGGAUGAUUUUACAAACUAAUCUUAUUAUCCAUAGUAAAAAUGAUAUAUAUGAAAGAAUACCCAAAUCUAAGCAAAUUUGUCAGAUAGCACUGAAAUGAAUCAAUUUGCAGGAUUCAACUAGGGUGCAGGUGCAACACCAACUUCUACACUCACGAGUUGCUGCCAUCCUGUGCAUGAACUCAUACAGACUAUUUCAGCAAGUGGCAUAACACAGAUGCAUCCUGAUUCACUAAACAUUGUUUUGAACUAUUCAUUCUACCCAUAGAAGUCCAUUCCCAGCUUCACAUAUUACAUAACAGCUCUUUAGUCAUUAUGAGCCAGCCAGGAAGAAUUGUAAUCCCCAAAGGUUUUUGGGCUCUUGAAGGGUGGCCUUCAAGAGUUCAUGGCCACAACUGUAUAAGAAAAGGAAAUCCCCAUCCAUGUUCCUUGGAAGCCAGUAAAAGCCAGAACUAGGAAAAUGAAAGAAACUAAAGCAGAAACUGCAAAUUUUUCCUUCCUCAGGAGCAUUGCAUGAAUAGCCCAAUUUAUGGCAGUUAGAGAUGAAGGGGGCAAAAAGGGCAAUUUUCUUUCUUUUUUGUGUGAAGGAAUAAGGGUAAGUACUGUAAAUACUUAAAUAAAGAAAGACCUUUAGCGUUGAAAUAAAUAAAAAAUUAGCAAACAUCCAAUUUAAUAAAGAUUAAUUGCUCAACUUCAACAGCAAAAAAGGUUAAAAGCCACCUUUUUUUUAUUUUUGGAUAAUCAGGAUAACAGCUAAGCCCCUUAAAUUAGCAUUGGAACAGAAUUACCUGCUCAAAGUAUGGUACUGCCUCCGACGCUGGCCUGUUGUUGUAUGAUAUUAUUGCAUUUGCCUUCAUUGAGAGACAAGUAUAACAUUCAUUAAGUCAAAAAGUACUAAACACUGAACUAUGGUGCAUUUUCACACAUUAAAGCUGCAAAAGCAUAACUUUUUAGUUAUAUUUUUCUUAUCUUAAUUAAGUUCAAUUUUGGUUAAGCACUUAUGAAACUUUGGAAGAAAGAAGGAACCUUGGGUAUCUUCUCACAAAAAAAACUUCCAGUAAGCACUUGUAGAAGUGCACCAUUGCUGCAUUAUAGUUAAACCAAAUAACAUCAAAGAUAGUUUCGUGAUAUGAUUGAAAUAAAAGUUAGAUAAAUUACAUAGCAUUUUAGGCAUGGUUAUCUAUAACGGAGUCUCAUCGGAAUGAAACUUAGGAGUACUAGCGAGGUUUUUAACCUUGAAGUGUUCUUCAUCACCCUCACCAUUUCAAAUUAAACGUUCCCAGCAUUUUGUUAAUUCAAUCAGUCACAAGUUCCUCCAAUCUACCCAAGCUUAACUCGAUCAUCUUACGUUCAAAAAACAAUUCAUUGGAAAACUAUCCCAUGUUCAGCUCCAAAACAGCUUUACUGAACCUCUACUAUGAUAAAAUGAAUGUUGCUCUGAAGGUUAGCAGCUCCAAUACACAUUGAUGUAAAGAUUCCUCAAGAAAAAAAGAGGACAUGCCUAACAUCCUCGGGACAAAGUAUAUCAUUGAACAUACAAACUAACGUUAGACAACACAAUUAAGGCUUUAUGAAGUUUAAUUUGUGAUCAUUAAUGCUCAAUUAACCUCCACUCACCUAUGGCCAACCGAGUAAAGUGGAAGAUCAACAAUAUCAUCAGGUGAAAGGCCAUAUUCUGGCAAUUCAGACCCCAAAAUCAAAUCAAAGCCAGCACGAAACCUCUCAUAAAUCUCCCUAAUUACUUUUUCAUGAUCAAACGUCACGUUAUAUGGCACCGAGAUAAUGAAAUAGCCUUCAUUUGCCAGUUGCUCAAGCAAAUAGCUGCCACCACAACAAAAACAACUAAUCAAACAAAACAGAUCAUAAGACUCUAUUAGCAUUUUAGUUUACAGUAGAAAAAAUUGAAUUAACAACCCUCUGUUCUGUAGUAAACAUCACCAGCGCAAUGUCAUCACAGUUUGAAUUUCAAUCAAGUAGACCUUGUUUUUCCAGCAAAAUGUUUCCUUCCUCUUUUCCCGAUUUAAAAAAAAAUUACUUUAACCACAGGAAAAAAUUUCUGUGUUUCAAGAAUUAAUCCAAGGAUUAAUCUAAUAUAGUGUGUUAAAACUGUAGUUGGACAAGCAAGUUGCCACAUAUAUUAAUCCAGAAAUUAAAUUAAAAUGUUCCAUCCCAGAAAUCUAACAGCACUUCAUCAAAAUAGCAAAAAAAAAAAAAAAGACAUGAAAAUUAUCAACUAUAAUAGUCAAGUUUGAAACAGAGUAAAUUGUUGAUUGACCUGUAAGUAACUUCAGGGACAGCUCCAACAAAAGCACCUCCCAAAAAUUUAAUAAUGGCUUUGGGUUUUUUCCCUCUUGGAGGAGGAAUGACCAAACAAGACUCAAGCCUGUCGUAAAUUCUACCAUUAUGAUUCACAAAAGAAGUGUUCUUGAAGCUAUUGGGUUUAACCAUUUUCAUUUGGGUCCUGCAAAUUGUCAUUUUUGAGGGUCUUGCGCAAUUCUCAGUGGGGAAAACCCCUCUGGAGAGAUAAUUGAGAAAAGGGCUUUCUUUAAAUUUGUUGAUUCUUGGAAUUUGUUGAGAAUAGAAGUGGUGCUAGCCACGGCGGCCAUGGCCGGCCUUCUUCACUCGGAGGUUCUAGUUGGGUGUUGGGAGGGGAAAUUUGGAGCUAAAAUUGUGAAGCGCGGGAGGCAGUACGUGGCAUUUUAAUUGCGCCUCCUUUGUGUCCGCUACAUUUCCUAUUUAGAUUUGGAGUCUCCAUUUUAGUGGAUUUUGUGCAUUUGUUUGGUGAUAAUUGAGUAAUUGUCUAAUUUCUCCUUUUUUUUUUUGGCCUUACAUGCAAUUUGUGUCUUUGAGUCUUUUUUUUUUUUGGUCAAAAAUCAUUAGUAUUGUAUUAGUGUAGUAAUCAUUUAUGUAUGCAUGUACAAUUAAGAGACUACUGAUUGUAAAAUUAGAUGUGUCUCUAUUUUAAGAUGCACACGAAUUAUACUUCACAUUUAAGUUUGGAUAAAUUAUCUUUUUAUUCUCCAGUGGUUUGAUACUUUAUCAGAUAAUACCUCUAUGGUUUAAUAAUCUAUGUAUAAGUGUUAAUAAGUUAUGACAAAAAUAAGUUUCAAUCAAUUAGUAAUAUUAAAAAAAGUACAAAGUAAACAAUAUUUUUAGCUAAUCUAUUUAAAUGUAUAAUUUAUUAUCUAAAAUUCACAAUACAAGCAAUAUAAAAUAUUACUCUAUUUAUGAUGUGUUUCCAAGGAACUUAAGGAGUGAGUGUGUGUUUGUGUGUGUGAAAAUAUAUUUAUGUAUGUGAAAAUGUGUUUAUAUAUGUGAAAAAAAAAUUUGUGUGUUAAAAUGUAUGUGGAAAAGUUUAUGUAUUAAAAUGUAUUAAUUAAUUUGUUGGGUCAUAUUUGGGUCAUGGGUUUGAGAUAAUCCAAUAUGACCCAACCCAAAAUCAAUCCAAUUUAAAGUUGGACGGGUUGGGUAUAACCCAUUUAAGUGAAAACCCAAUAUUAACCCGCCCAAAACCCGUCCAAUCCGCCCAAAUUGCCAGGUAUAUAAAACCUCUUCAUGGUUUGGGUUAAAAUAUCACCUUUAAUUUUUCCAUUAAAACUAACGAUCAAUAGUAAAAAGUCAAAAUCAAACUAAUAAAUUGACAAACUUAUGCUUUUAUUAUUUCUUUUUUCCCUCCAAAUGUAAAAAAGAAGAAAUUGAAAUAAAAACUACAUAAAUAAGAACUAGAAAAUACCAUUAAAAUUUUGAUUUAAAAACCUAUAAUGAUAUUUGUAGUAAAAAAAUUGGUAUUUUUGUUUCUUAUUUAUUUGUUUUAUAUUUCGCUUCCAUCUUUUUUUAUUCUUAUUUAUUUAUUUAUUUCCCUUCCAUUUGUUUUGUAAUUGGGGAAAGUUAAUAUUUUGUAUUUUAAAUUAUAGGUGACAGGUGUCGAGCUUGUGCAAUAAUAAUUACUAAAAAGUCCUAGUUACCACUACAAUUAAUUAUAAAACAAAUCCAAGUACUGGAGCAGGGAUCUUAGGUGUGCAAUGAAUUACUUGAUUCAUCCUGUUCCCGAAGAGUGUGCUUAAUCCGAUAUGCCAGAAUUGUCUAUAAAAAUAUUAAAUUUGCAUACAUGGCAAGUAGGGUCGACUCCACAGGGAGCGGGUAGGAAGUUGUUUCUUUCCAAAUCAAUAGAACAAAAUUGGGGGAUAUUUGAGGAAAUGAAAAUGAAAAUAAAAUAAACAAAAUUCAAAAGCUAACUCACCAAGCACAAUUUACUAAAAAUAGCAAUUAAUAAAACUCUACCCAAAGGAUCAAUUUUUCAAGUACGGUUCAGUUAAAUGAUUAUCGAUGCAAAAAUAUUUCAUUCAUUCGUCACUAGGUUGGUUAUAGCCAUCAACAAGUUCUGACAGCCAAUUCUUCCUUACUUUUUCGACAAUCAAGGUACGACCAUUGACUGCUUCUCUAAUCAGAAAACAACCCUAGGUACGACCGUAUGAAUUUAAUUAUCCUGUUGCAUUAAAGUUAGACGAACUCAACCCUAACCAAUAAACACGCUAAGAGGGUUUAUUUAAAUUAGAUCUUACGUUUCCCCAACAUAAAGUCAACUAUGGUGGUUAUCACUAAUUAUCAACUAAGCGAACAAUUACGGACAAUUUAGUCAAUCGUGAUAGUAGGCUAUUAGAUUAAAUAAAAUAUCCGGCUAUUGAUACUCAAUUAAUAAAACAACCAUGAACAAUUAAUCUAGGAAACGCACGAAUAGUAACAAAUUGGAAGAAAUAGUGAAAGUUCGAUUAGAUCUCACAGAUGUUAUGGACCGCGCCUUCGCGUCGAUCUUUGGGUAGAGGAGAAAUCUAGCCGCUCCUCAUCAUAUCGAUCUCGCGUGGUUUAAUUAAUUCCAUCCACACAAUUACCAAAGAAUUGAAAAAGAUGAAAUAAAUGAAGAGGCAAACGAAAAGUCUUCGUCCUUUUUUGUUUCGUGUUCGUACUGAAGAAAAGUAACAGCAAAGUCUAAAGAAGAAGUCGUACGACACAAAAAAGCAAAAGCCGAAAACCAAAUCGUCUCCCAGGGGUAGCGAAAGGAAAGCUACCCUAAAAUUGUACAGAACCAAAGCAAAAGUAAAACAAUUUUACGUCUGACAGCCAAGGAAAAGAAACUAAAAGCUAAAUCUCCUGAUUACAAAUAAUUCUGGCUUUUUUGAGCCUUUUGUAGCCGCCGCUAGUAGAAGCAAAGAAACGUCCAGGAGCAAGACUUUGUCUAGGGAUUUUAAUCCCAUGCAUCUCCGUGGUUCACGUGGACCUGAUUUUUUGAUUGGCCCUGCUGCUACCAAUCUCGUGGGUCCGCUUUUGGGUAUCCUUCUACAGUUUCUGACGUGGGCACGUCCUGAGAUGAAAUGUCUUUUGGAAAUUCUCCCCAAGAUACCACUUUUAACACCAAUCACCUGCAAUUUAUACAAACAUCAAAUAUGAGCAAAAUCUCUAUAUUUCGCACAGUAAGUAACCAAAAUUAUGAUCAAAUAAUAUCACAAAAUAGUGCCCAACAAUUGCUCUAUCAAAUCCCCCCACACCUAGACAAUGCUUGCGCUCAAGCAUUUCGAAACUCAGAAGCACAAUCAAGAUAGCAACGAUUUCAUAGUCAUCUAUACUAACACAAAUAUCCCGCAUUCCCGACAAUAUCGCCAAAAUUAGAACAUACCAGACAGGUGGUUAUUUAAAGAAUAUGAACAGUAUUACACGUCACUUUCAAGAAAAUGUAUAACUACUAGGAACGCUGAAAUCAACAUCACGGGAUGACAUUACCAUAGACUUGCACAUUUAUCACAUCUCUACCACUAAAAAGUGAACUAAAUACACAAAUCAAAGGGACUUUAAUAGGGUUGUAAUGGGGUUUAGGUAAAAGGCGGGAUAAGAAGGUAAAGACAGGGGGUAAUGUGUCAAGAGAAUGUUCAAUAUCCACUACAUAAUCACAACGCUUUCCGGAGAAAUUUCACAAGCAAGGCGUUUCCAUUUUCUAUUCCACUGUGCAAGUGUCAAAACUCUCUCUCUUUUUUUUUUUUUGAAGAACGUCUUGCAAGGCGCGGGCACGCCCUAUAAGACAGAGUCUUCUGUUCACCAGCUUGUCGAUAGUUUUUUUUUUCCCGAUCUCAGAUGCACAAAACUGGCACCAUACAACUUCUAUUCCGACAACACUUGCGACCCUAGAUUUAUUUGUCUUGCACAAGCAAUGAAAUUCAGACAUCUCUUAACGACAUAAAGUUGAAUAAGAAAGUCUAAAAAGGUCCUGAGUUAUCAAAUACGACUAACACACAAAAGAGAAGGAUAAAAACUCAAAUCGGUUCACUAUUGGGAGACAAGAUGAAGGCGUGGUUUGUAGAAAGUUAAAGAAGGUUAAAUCCUAGCGAGAAUUGUAUUUUUGAUCCCCAAUCUAUAGUGUAUGCCCUUAUUGAGUCCCCAAUCUAUUUCGAAAAUCAAUUUUGGUCCCUAAUCUAUUCAAUUUUACGCUAAAAGUGGACAAUUAACGGAAUUUGUUCAAUUUCAACCGGAACCAUGUCACGUGAGAUCACGUGCCGGCACUAAAACCCCCUUUUCAAUUUUUUUUUUAAUUUUUGAAACACCUUUUUUAAUAUUUUCAGCUCUGUCUUGCCUUUGGACAUAUUAAACAAAGACAUUAAUAGCUAAAAUUCUCUAAUUAAGGAUUGGAGCCCAUAAAAAAGGUUGAAUAUCAGACAGAGAAAAAGAAGCUGUCGUCCACUACUUCCUUCUUUCCUCAUCUUCUUUCUUCCAACUCAAGAAGAAACCCUAGGAGCUUCAAUCCCAUUCUAAUCAGACAAAACCAUUUUCACGUUAUUGUGACAAAAAGUUGCAAGAUCUGGGCAAAAACCUUUGUAUCAAGCUUAUUCUAUUUUCAAUUUAGCUCCUCAUGGAACCAAUGAAAAAUUGUGACUGCAAACAGCGAGCAAUAAUGGUUACUUCUUGGACAGACAACAAUCCUGAGAGAAGAUAUUUCACUUGUGCAAUGAAGAAGGUAUGAUUAUCUCUAUUUCUAAUUUCGAGAUUUCUGUCUCUAUUUCUGAGUUUUGUGCUAAAGCUUUAUGAUGUUGGCUGUGAAGGGUGACAGAGGAAAAGGAUGCGAUUAUUUUGAAUGGCAUGAUCCGAAAAUGUGUAGAAGGUCAACAGCCCUGAUUCCUGGACUACUACAUAUCAUGAACUCUAAGAAUGCUAUAAUUGAGAGGCUAAGAGAAAGAGAAAGAAAAUUACUGGUAGCAAUUUUGUUGUUGCUACUUCUGUUGGUUAUUGUGUUAUUGGUGUAAAACUCACGAAGGUUGGAUAGUCUUGGUAUCAACUAAGCAGCUCAAGGAAAAUUUGUUAAGUAUUAAGCUAAGCUAGUUACUGUCUGAACUUAGAGAUGAAAGACAUUCAUCCAGAUUGUAAUUUUGAUUUUUUUUGUUGGAAUGGGUGAAUGUGUAAGUUAGAAUGUACUAUCAGGCUAAUACAUUCUGUUUAUUGAAUGAAUGCAUAUAUUGGAUGUUCCAAUCUGCUUUUAAUUAGUUGUUUUUAAAGUUCAUUUACAAUUUAACUAGAGGUUGAGUUCUCCUUGAAAAAUGAAUUAAAUUUAAGAAACACCACAAAACAGAAUGAAAACUUGAAUGAAAGCAAAAUAUAAAGAAACACCAGAAAACGGAAUGAAGUAAAUUCACUACAAUCCCUGCCUAGAAUCCUAUAUAAAAGUUGAAGGAGCGAGCUAUGAUAAUUUCCACAAUCCAGAACUUCCAGAAAACAGAAUGAAAACUGAACUUCAAAAUGUGAAAGUAAGCAAAAUAAAAUGGUCAGAAUUCACGUUCACAAUCUAUGUGCAAGAUAAAAGAAGAAUUCAUUGCUAGAUUGGAACCAAUGAACAAAAGAUACAUUCAGUGAUCAUUACAAUCAUCAAAUAGACACUGUUUUGUCAUUUGCCAGAAAUGAUUACAAAAUGGCCAGAAUGUCAUGUUCACGCUGGCUUGUUCUCAAGAUACAUGAGUUCCAAAUACCAAUGUACAAAAGCUACUAAUCUGACAAAAGCUACUACUAACCAAAUUCAACAACACAACCACUCCAAAAGCUACCGAUUAACAACAUUAAGUUAGGUACUGAUUAGCAACAUCCAAAAGGUACUGAUUAGCUACUCUUCAGUUAGUUGAUGCUGGCUUUUCCUCUGUCAUUCCAAGGUGGAUUUGAACAUCUCUGAUCCUAAAAGGUAUCCCUGUUCCUCCUUGGCCAACUGGUUGACUGCUAUGUACCACAAAAUUCUCUGGGAUCCCAAAAGCUUCAUACAAGUUUGGUUGAGCAGUAGGGGCAGAACUGAUUAUAUUGUCAUCACCAGUUGCUGGGUUAUUCUGUGAUGAAUCUAUUUGCUUUGCAUUUCAUUUGGUGUCAUUUCUCUGCAAUACAUCAACAUUUAAUCACUAAAUAUUAAACUCAUAAGAAACAAUAGCAUUAUGUACAUUAAGUAAUAAAAUUACAACAGAUUUUCUUGAUUUUUUGUUCUUCUUUUCUUUGCAUUUGAAGUGUUGCCCCUGACCUGAAACAAAGCAUAAAAUGCAUUAGCUGCUACAAUGUUACAAGCAUAGUUCAUGUAUAGCUAUUUACACAAAUUACACACCUGACUUGCAGAGUUAUCUACUCUCAUGUCAUCUAGUUGUGAGAUACUCAUAUCCUCCUGAUUUGCUUGUGUUUCCUGUCCCUGUUCACUCAUUUGACUGGCUGCAACACCUGCUUCCUCUCUAAGCUUACAUAUUCGUGUGUUAUGGCCUUGCCUACCACAGAAUGAGCAUUUACAAAUUUGACCAAAUCUCCUCACUUUCUUGCCCUGCUCCUUUGUUUGCUGUAUCUCAUCAGUAGAUUUUCUCCUCUGUUUCUUUGGUUUUCAUGGUGCUCUUCCAUAAGUUGGUGGCAGGGGUGGCUGAACAUCUACAUCUUUCCACUCAUUCUCUCCAUUCACAGGUAAAAUGCAAGGAUCAUAACACUUAAGAUAUGUUUCAACACUGUAACAGUCAUCAAUGUACUGUAUAGGGUCCUUCAUAGCAAUCCACAAAGCUGAAAUUGCAUGAGCACAUGGUAUCCCUGUCAAAUCCUAUUUCCUGCAUGAGCAAGUCCUAUCCUCAAUAUUGACUGCCUACUUUUCAGCAUAAGGAUCAGCAACUUCAAAACUGACAUCAUUUGAUUUGUAAGGCACACAGUAAGUUACCUUGUCAAUAUUGACCUUCAUCUUUUUUCUAAUUUUUGGAUAGAAACCAAAUUUGCUCCACUUUUUCCUAGCUAUAUCUCUAUUUUCUUGCAUUCUUUGCAUGACAACAUGCCUCAAUGCCUCCAUCAUGACAACAAUGGACCCUUUCCUGGCAUCUAAUAUUUUGUUGUUAAAUGAUUCACAUAUGUUAUUCAACAACAUAUCACAUUUAGGGAAUGUUCUGAAGUAUGAUCUACUCCACUCUGCUGGAUUCUUGUCCUCUAACCACUUAAUUGCAUCAGCAUCCAGUUCUGCUAUGGCUUCCAUUCUUCUUAUGAAUUGUGCAUGAGUAGUUGCCUUAGCUGCUUUCCAUAAGGCUUGCCUUAUGGCUGUCCCUUUAAAUCCAGCAGCUACCAUAUUGCUAUGCAUAUGCUUCACACAAAAUCUAUGAUCAGCCCGUGGAAAAACUGAAUCACAUGCUUGAAUUAUGCCCUUCUGCUUGUCACUCAUUAUGGUCCAUUCAUAGUCAUUUUCAAUUUUUAGAUCCUCCUUAUGUAAAGUAAGAAACCAAAUCCAGGAAUCCUUAGUUUCUCCCUCAGUUGCUGCAUAAGCAAUUGGAUACAAACCAUUAUUUGGAUCAACUCCAACUGCAUUCAGUAAUACUCCACCAACUGCACCUUUGAGAAAAGUUUCAUCUAACCCAAAUACAGGCUUGCAAGCAUCUAAAAAUCCUUUUUUCACCCCAACAAAGCACAUGUACAAUCUUUAAAAUUUUCCUUAUUUGGUGACUGAAUCACAGUAGUCUUCUGCCAGCUUCAUUACUACAGUACUACCUGGUUUACUUCUCAAGAUUUCAUUAAUAUACUUGGGCAACUUAUUGUACUGGUCCACAUCACUACCUUGGGCCAACUCUCUGUCAAUUUUUCUAACUCUAUAGCCUUGAUGUCUACUAAAAUAGUACUUGUUCUCUUUCAUUACCAGGUUUUUGAAGCUACCAUUAUCCAGCUUGGGAUUCUCUCUAAAUGUGUUAACAUAUUUACUGUCAAUCGACCCAGAUUUCACACUCUUGUUAUGAUAUGAAAACCCACACUUGUGUUUCUGCUGGAAUGUCCUAACUUCUAGUCUGCCAUCACCUUUCAUCUUCCUAGCAUAUAUGUACCAGUCACAACUUUUUUUAGGACAAAUUGCCCUGCAUCUAAUGGUGUCACUCUUUAUAAAUUUAAAUGGUCUAUCCUGCUUGAUAUUUCAGGUUUUAACUGCCUCUUUAAACUCCUUGAAUAUGGUAAAUACCUACCUAAUUUCAAGGUUAGGGUUAUCUGCAUGCUUGGGGUCAUACAUAGGGGGUCUACAAUGACCCUCUUCAUCUGAACCUUAAAGACUAUCAAUAUCUGAACUUGAAUCUGGUGCAACAUCCAUGUCAGAGUUAUCAUCAUCAGUAUCAAAAUUACUCACUGUUUGUCACCUAGUUUCCUUUACACAUUCCUUUUUUUCAUUCCUCUUAAGCUGCUCUUUUCUGUGAUUUUCUACCCCUAACCAUUCUAAAUUAUGAUUAACAUUUUAUUCAUACUCAUUAUCAUCAGAAUUUUGCUCAUAAUCAGAAUCUUUUCCUGAAAAUUCUCUGGAAUCAAAACCUAAGGUGUAUUGACUAUCAGAUUCAUCAUCUUCAUCUUUUAAUACAAAAUCUUCAUCAUCAACAUCAGACCCCCAUUGUGAUGCUAAUAACUCACUAAAAGAAACAUCUAUAUACAACUCAACUACCCUUCCAUACUCAAACUGAUCAACACAAUAGGCAUGCAAUUCUCUAUCAUGCUCUAACAAACGGAAGCCAUGUUUCUCUAUCAAAAUGUGGUAUUUUUUGUCACCUAUAGUUCCAACCUGACUUUCAAACAUUCUAUCCAUUUCAAAAAGGCUUAUACCUGUGACCUUUACAUGAUCAAAUACCCUUAAUUCACCUCUCUCAUAAUGAAUAUCAGGUUUAGUUUCGCAUUUUUUUCAUAAGUGACACUUCAUAGUAACUUCCGUGCUAUCACUGUCUACAUUAAAAAAAAACAAAAACAACACAGGCCAUAAUUUAGAUGACAGAAAUAGGUCCUGCUAACAAACCGACAAUAAAAAAUGCAUACUUUAGCAAACAUUUAAAGACAAUGACUAUCAAUUGCAGUAAAAUAAGUCCCACUUAUAUAGUAAGAACCAGCAUAAUAAGAUCCCGUUUAGAGAUACACAUGGACCACACCACAAAUGACAAAUUUUUUCCUUAGUUUUUCAAGAUUGGUCGUUAAUAAAGCCAAAAUUGUCAGAUUUUCCCCCCGGAAGUACAAAAAGCAUCUUUUUCCACUACAUUCUAACAUUAUAGUUGGCGAUUGUGCAUAUAUAUCACAAAAACAAGGCAAAAUUCCAUACCAUAAUUAGGUGCUGCCAGCUUGUUCAUUUCCUUAGGUCUCACUGCCAUUUCUACUUUGCAAUGCCACGAGUACCUUCAGCUUGACUGAAUUCAACAGAUUUUUUCGUAAUUUUUUCACGUUUUGAUUCUUGAUUUUGGCUCUUAGAGUUCGGUGAGCUGUUUGCUGAAGAGAGUUUGACUAGGUUGAGCAGUGGACGACAGCUUCUUUUUCUCUGUCUGAUAUUCAACCUUUUUGGUGGGCUCCAGUCAUUAAUUAGAGAAUUUUAGCAAUUAAUGUCUUUGUUUAAUAUGUCCAAAGGUAAGACAGAGCUGAAAAUAUUAAAAAAGGUGUUUCGAAAAUUAAAAAAAUUGAAAAGGGGGUUUUAGUGCCGGCACGUGAUCUUACGUGACAUGGUUCCGGUUGAAAUUGAACAAAUUCCGUCAAUUGUCCACUUUUAGCGCAAAAUUGAAUAGAUUAGGGACCAAAAUUGAUUUUCAAAAUAGAUUGGGGACUCAAUCCGGGCAUACACUAUAGAUUGAGGACCAAAAUUACAAUUCUCCCUAAUCCUAAAUGCUCUUAUCAUUUCAAAUGCAUCCAGUUCAACAAAAUAUGGUCUCGAUAUGUAUAAAAUAGCAAGUUCUAGAAUACCAAUACCAUGUGUGAUACCCACUCAACAACCCAAAAGAAGCAAACAAGAAUAAUGUGCUUGCGCAUGGCUCAAAAGCUUCCAAAAGUUUCAAAAAUGGGUCAAGUUUAGCAUAUUCAACAUUCAACGAUAUUGCCAAAGAAAAGUAAAAUGCACAACUAGCAUAUAUGACCACAUACACAUGCAUCCUAAUUGUGCAAUCCAUCAUAGCAACAUACUCUAACAGCUAACAAAUGUAAAAAUAAAAAGAAAGUCAACUAACUACCAUUUUUUUUAGUUUUUUGGUUUUUUUUGUUUGUUUUUUGUGCAAAAAGAAAUAAUAGAAACAAAAAGAAACAAUAGAAACCAUCUCCCCAUAUCUGAAAUCUACAUUGUUCUCAAUGUAGCAAAGACAAAUAAAGCGUAAGGACAAAAACGGGGAGAAACUUCCCUGACCACCAAGAGGGUGUAGCGAGACACUAAGGUGGAAGAGGAUGAGGCGACAGUGGUGCGGAUAGCGGUGUGUGAUAGGUGGCGUGAGAUUAAAGGCGACGCGGUGGUGGUGCGGGAUGCAGAGCGACAGUGGACGAAUAAGAAAAGGGAAAAAAAGAAAUUGAAACCAAGACAAACAAAGGAAAUUGAAAAAUCCUGACAAGACAAAAAAAGAGGAAAGUAGAAAAGUGGGGUUAGAGAUGGUCCUGGUUACGUUUAACUUUCGUUGUCGCAAAGGUUGGAAGGCGUGGGCACGCCUUGGAGGGCGAGGUUUUCUGAUCAUCAAGUUUGACAAAUAUCCAUGCUCUGUGAAUACAAGACGCGGGCACGCCUUGUAACAUAAAGUUUUCUGCCCACGAAUUUGUGCCCCCAACUCAGAAUAAAACUGCACAGAAACACCUAUGACUUACAAUACAGAUUGUUUAUCAAUAGAAACCUAAAUCCACUGAUUUUGAACACACAAAUAUGAAAUAAAACACAAUUGAAAUCCUUGAAUUGCCUUCCAAGUAGCGCAUUUCUUUAACGUCUUUGGCUAGACGUUAAACAACACUCUUCAGUCUGGAUGUAAUUCAGUUUUCUUGUAAUCGGUGACUCUCCUCCGAGAUCCAAAUAGCCAUUGAGUGCAACAUUUUUCCUUAAUUUUCUACCCAUUUUCAACUCAUGAAUUGCUUUCAUCCCAUUAUACUUGUUCGCAGCAACUUUGAAUUUACUCCUACAAGCAAACUCAGAGAAUUCUUGCAUAGAGGGAUUAGUGGCAUAAAUAGCAAAUACAGAAUGAGAGUUAAUAGGAUGUUUAAUUGUAUAAAAAAUAUUAAAGUGGACUAUUUCUCCAUCAAAUUUCAUCGUGAGAGUACCUUUACUAACAUCAAUUUUAGUUGGGUAAAAUACAUAAAACCCCCCUGUGGUUAAGGAAAUUGACACGAAACUUCCUCAUUAUUCAACAACUCCCACGUAACCUCCUUGUGCUUUGGACUAAUUUGGAAAAUGGGCGGAAAUCAUCCAAAUUGAUGGAAAGAUAUAAAUUUCCUAUAUUAACCCUAUUUACAAACUGAAUCAAAGUUUAACUCAGGGCUCAAUUAAAGUUUUAAAAGCUUUCUUCCUUCAUUUGAAACAAAGGUAGAACUAAGGGGCUCAUUUGAAAUUUUAUAAGAUGUAUCAUCUUCUUCAAAGAAAUGUCAGAACGUUCUGGGCUUUGCGGUCAUUCCGGCUUCAUCCCACAUACUAUCUUCGAGCUUCCUAGUUUCGGAGCUAAGACGCCGCCAAAGAAACAGAGAUGGAUUUCUCGCGGCAUGCUCCUAGUAGCUCUUAGUAGAUAGCCAGGCUUUAUACUUCCCAACGACUUAAAUUGAUUCGUUCCCGGCCUUGAGAAAUGCCCCACCGUGCCUUAAGAAGGUCUGAUUCUUUGGCGGUUGAACAGGCAGGCGCUAGAUCCCGCCCAAGUGACAUAGAUUUAGCUAUUUUAGUGGGGUUCAUCCUUCUGUUUCCUCAAAUCAAGUUUACUCCGUCAAAUGGUUUGAUGCCCAAUUCUACUUUUUUUCUUGAAUUUGAAUCACUUCCUCUUUAUCGUCAUUCUUCUAUUUAACUGCGUUCUGGGCUUUGCGGUCAUUCCGGAUUCAUCCCACAUACCAUCUUCGAGCUUCCUAGCUUCGGAGCUAAGACAGAGCCAGGGAACUCAACCCGUCCAUUGCCUUAUUUGAAGUGGAAUCAGCAGCAUAUUGGCAUCAAAGGCCUUCAUACCAUCUCUUUGGAUGCUCUAGGCACUCAACCUUUUAUACGGUGGAUCGGCUGAGGUCUAUCGGCCUCGCCUUGUUCACCAUCUUUAGAUUCCGGCACAGCAGCAUUCUUGCUACUGUCUCUGCCGCCGAAUCAGAAUCGAUCUCUGAAGGAAUGGUACUUGUUGUUGUUGGCGUUGUUUUUCCCAAUCCCCUCUCCCUGGACGGCCGCUAUUCUACUUCUUUGCAUUCACGAUCAAUUGGUGUUAUGUUGGGAUCAAUUGAUCGAGAACUUUUUGUUAAUUUUUGAGACUAUUAGAUUGAGAAUUUUUAUUGUUAUUUUGUGCUCUAUCUAAUUAGAAAAUUUUUGGUGUUAUUUUGGGAUCAUUGAGUGUUGAAAUCAGUGAUGAUUGGUGGUAGAGUUGCUGGUGAUUGGUGGAGCUACUGGUGAUCAGUGGCGGUACUGAUUAUGAUUGGUGUUCACUGGAGUCGUUGACCAUUUUGGUGUUAUUGACCAGUUUGGUUGCGAGCAGGAAAGAAAUGGAGAAGGAAAAUAAACAAAAAAAAAAAGAAAAUAACAAAACACUGCAAAAUACUAAAUUGUCCUUGACAAUAUCACUUGAAACUCCCUUAAUAGACGAGCGCAUCUCAAACGCCGUUAAUUUGGAUGAUUUCCGUCCAUUUUCCAAAUUAGCCCAAAACACAAGGAGGUUAUGUGGGAGUUUUUGAAUAAUGAGGAAGUUUCGUGCCAAUUUCCUUAACCACAGGGGGGUUUUAUGUAUUUUACCCAUUUUAGUUUGGACAGUACUUAAGAAUGGCCUUUCUAAUAUAAUGGGGGAUGGAUUUGAAGCACUUCUAUCAUCCAUAUAAAGUACAUAAAAAUCAGCAGGAAAAAUUAAUCCAUCUAUUUGCACUAAAACAUCCUCAACUAUCCCAUCUUGAUAAGCAAAUUUACGAUCAGUUAAUUGAAUUAUUAUCCCUGUUUCUUUUAAAAGUUCUAAAUUUAGGGAAUCAUAGAUUGAUUUAGGCAUCACAUUAAUAAAAUUCCUAAAUCUAGCAUGGCAUUUUCGAUAUUAGAACGUCCAAUCUUACAGGGGAUAGUAAACAUACCUGGAUCUCCACAUUUAGGUGAUAGUUUCCUUUGUAAAAUCGCUGAAACGUUCUCACAUACCAAAAUUUGUUCAUCCCCCAUCAAUUUCUUCUUGUUGACGCAUAAGUUUUUCAAGAAUUGAGCGUAUUUUGGCACUUGCUUAAUCACGUCCAACAAAGAGAUAUUGAUUGCCACCUUUCGAAACAUCUCUAAAAUCUUCUUUUUCUUAUUUUGCUUCUUUGUCUUUUCCAAUCUGCAAGGAAAAGGAGGUAAGUUAAAUUUAAUAAGAGUUGAAUGAGUAAAUUUUACCUUAGGGUCUUCGCGAAUGCUCCCUUCUUCUUCAAUCUCUUCUUCACUUUUACUCUUUAGGUUCGUGGUCUUAGACCCCUUCACUUCCUUGUCACUCCUCAGUAUCAUGGCACUUACAUUCUUGAAAUUUGUCUCGGAUUGCGAUGACAAUUUUUCAAAAACUUGGGACUUUAAGCGAUUAAUUGCAGUUGCCAUGUGACUUAUUUGAGUCUCCAGAUUCUUCAUGUCGGAUCUAGUUUCCUGCUGGAACUGAGCAGUACUCGUGGUCAGACUUUUGACAAUAUCCUCCAAAGAGCUUCCUGAAUUGGAGGAUGAAGGUUGAGGCUUUUGUUGCCAUGGUUGUUGAAAUCCUGGUGGACGAUUUGAGAACGAAUUUUGUGGCCUGUUUCCAUAACUGAAGUUGGAAUGAUCUCUCCAACCCGGAUUGUACGUGUUGGAGUAUGGAUCGUACUACCUACGAGGCACGCCUCCAGCCAUGUUUACUUGUUCAACCCCAUCCUCUUGCAGAAUUGGGUAUGAGUUAGUGGGGUGGCCUACGUUUGUGCAGAUUCCACAGACCUUAGCUUGAUGCAUGUUCCCCAUAACUAAUUGGCGAACAAAAGAUGUUAGCUCUGAUAGCUGCUGUUGAAUGGAUGACGUCUCUACCUCGUUAACCCUAUGGGUAGGGUUACUCUGGUGAAGAUAUCUAGCUUUCUCUAGGUUUACUUGUAAGAAUGUAGGUAACAUUGAUUUAACUUUCUUGAACUAUGAUUUUCAGGUCACACGUGAUGGAAACAUUUGUGGGAAUUCUCAUAAAUACUUUGAAUUCCAUGAUCCAGAAGGAGCUUGGAUUGCUUUGUGGUGUUGCAACCGACAUCAGAAAGCUUUCAACCUUGCUGCAUAUUCAUGUUUUAGUACGUAAUAAACUAUUUAUGUACUGUCCUGUAGGUGUGAAGAGCAACACUAGUGCUCAAUUUAUACCAUACCUAGUAGAUAUGAAUUUAGUCAUUUGCUAGAGCUUGGAUUAAAUGAAGAAGACAUUGGGGUUUGACUAAAGUUCUAGUUUUUUGUCAUAAUGCUAUUACUUUAGACCAUCCAUAUAUUUUUCAAAUGUAAGAUUAAUUAUGAAAUAUAAAUAAAUACAAGGAAGUGUAAGUAAGAUUAAAUAAGAAAAGUACAUAAAUGUAAAAGAGAGUAAUAAUUAUUAAUAUGCGUAUAUCCUUGAUAGAUUAGAUGAAUGUUAGAUGUGUUAACCAAUUAUUAGGCAAGUCAAGCAAUUGAUCUGGACUGACAAAAAAAUUUUCAAAGUAGAUCUGGACCUAUACAGUGAAGUUGCAAAAUUAGAAUUCUUAAUAGAUAUGAUUGGAAAAUUCUCGAUGUGGAAGUGGGAAAUUUGGAAAUUCAAAUCAUUGCAAUUUUUAGCAGUCGCACAUUCCUCUUCUUAAUGAAACUAUAAACCGCAAUCAAAGUGCACGUUAGUAUUGCAUUCUUAUGGAUGCAAACAAUUGGGACCAUGGCGUAAAAGGGGAGGAGCAAAUGGUAUAAAAUAGCGACAAGUGUCUUGAAAAAAGUCUUAAAAUGCCCAAGGCAGAAUUGGCAACUAUGUCAACAGUCUCUUUUGAUCUUUCUGGUAGUGACCUAAGUUUCUUCAAUAGUUGCAUUAGGGAGAGAGUGAUUGGACUUUGCAAAAUAGCAGGAUUAACUGUUGAAAUUUUACAAAUGAAUCAUUGGUCAAAAAUCAAGAAACCUUGCAGGUCUCAAAAGCAAACAACUAAUUAAUAAAAAAAAUGUAUCUUUGCCUUUCAACAUUUGGCUCACUAGGAGGGACAAGGAACUUAACUUUACAGUUUAACUAUCAGGGUGAAAGGCAAGCAAACAAGUAUCUUCAUCCUACCGAAACAGUAACUGGUGCAAAAUGUCACCUAGGAGGCAUUUCAAAUGGCUGACUAUUCAAUGUAGAACUUGAGGGAUUAGUCGGCAGAGUUCCGUUAUCCUGAGAGCUCAAACUACUCCAUUUUGGCCCUGUAUCCGAUGGCUCGAUUACAUGAAUAGCAUCAUCACUCAUACCAAUUUGCUCUUGGAUCGGACGGAUGUGCUACAAUCACCAUGGGAAAAGCACUACUGCUGCUGCCACAUUUGAAAACUCACAUCAGAUCAAUAGAAACGCACCACUUAAAGAUGAGAUUAGCAAUUUUAUGAACUGAAUGUCAAUGCAAAAGCAUAUAUAUUUACAAAAUUUCUGCACUGCUGCUCAAAAUGAACAAAAUGAGAGUUACAGAAAAUUGCUUUAGAAAUUUUGAACCUUUUCAAUUAACGAUCUAAUCUUGUGUUUUAGAUUAGUUCUAAAGACAAGGAAAAUGACAAGGAAAUUCCAAAUUGUAUACUUGAUGCAAUAGGAUGUCUUCAAAAGUGCACAACUGCACAUUACAUGAUUGACUUGUUUCAAUCUUCCAGUCAGAUACAUAUGUGAAUCACUAGCAAAAACAAAGUCAAGAUCCACACAGAAAGACAUCUGUGCUAGCAAAGAGAGAUUUUUUACCAUGGUACAUCGUGAACCUGUUUGACUGACUCGGACCAUGGCAGAAACUUGAAGAACUAUGAAGGAUAACCAGCUUCCUUAUUGGAAAGUCAGAGGAUGAUCGAGAGACCAGAGAACUAAAUCUCUCAGAUUCUUAACACAUAAAUUAGAGGACGGUCUAAAUAAUGUUGGUGCUUUCAUUAUUUAGCAGAAAACAUGUCAAUCUGUAAAUACAUUUUAAUAACUACAAAAUGGAUAUAAGAUUGAAGAUUCCCAGUGUUACAUCAUCUCACUAAUCUUGUAUUAGAAGCAUAAAAUAAAAUCAAGAAAAACAUGUACAGAAUGGUUUGUCACUAAGUCACAGCUUAAGAACCUUGCAUUUCUUUUGGAAAACAUACUUUUUGAUACCAUGAUACAAGAACAUAAAGAUGUAAUUUACUUUAGAGGACAUCUGGACAGAGAUUUCACAACUUAACAUGAUAAUUUUGCAUCUUGUUGUUCACCUGAAACAAAAAUUAAGAGCAAACAUGCAAAAGAAAGAUUAGACAAUAAUAAUAUAUUGAUACUCAAGUGUGAAGGGUUGAAGCACGGAUAUCUCGCUCUCUUUAAGGUGAUUCAAGCCUCCACGGAAGAAUCAACUCCAGUGCAGCAGGUUCUUUAAUUUGUCACCCCCAAGAUAUAACAGCCUAGCCAUACUUGCGAACACUCUCUCUAGACUACACAACUAGGAGAGUAAAACUCUACAAAUACCUUUUGUUUCUUGUCUAACAAUGAGAUAGAAAAUAGUGAAUUUAGACUGAAAAGACAUAAGUUAUUGUAGUAUCACUUUUCUAUCUGAACUAUGCAUAUAUAUAUAUAUAGAUGAAGAAAAGUUAGACAAACAUAACCUAUGUUACUAAUAAGACACCAAGUAAAUGCUGAAAUUAUUGGCCAUUCAAAACACAUUAAAAUUUGUGUUGUAGGUUACAAGAAACUUAUUGUAAUUAAAAAAUCAUAAUUUCAUAUAAUGAUACAUAUUCAAUCCAAAUUUGAAUUGCAAGUUACAAAACUUCAAUGUAAUUGAAAAGCCAUAAUUUCAUACAAUAAAUCUUUAGUAAAAACCAUUCAAACACCUAUAAAUUUCAGAAAAUUUAACUAAUUUAUUUCCCCUGUAACAUGCAUAUUUAAUUGAGAAUUUAAUUAUUUUAUUAAAAUACUACAACAAUCCCCCACUUAUUUUGAUAAAAUAGUAUAAAAUUUAAAUGGCAAAAAAGGACUAUCAUACAUAAUAUAUGUAGUAAUGCAUUGAACCUAUAUUUAGUAUUGCAGUAAUUUCUACUACCAGAGCCAGUAGUGAACUACAGUCUUGAACUAUGGCUGCUUAUGGGAUAUUAGAUAUUACCUUACAUAUAUAAUAGUCUAGGUGUUCUCAUGAACUCUCAGAGCUGGCACUUUUCGGCCCUGUGCUAAAUCCCAGUUUCAUGGGUGUAUUAGAGAAUAAAUCACAAUUCUCUUCAGGGCAUCCCCACCCAUAACACUCAUAUAGGUGAAAUCCAUCAAGAGUGCUCCUGUAAUUCAAACACUCUACUCAUAAGACCUAUAGAUUUCAUUAAGAGCAAAAAAACUCAAUCUUACUUACAUUACAGGAUAUAUGCACAUACACCAUAGGGAUGGAGUAUUAAUAUAUAGUUGUGUAUAUCUUUAUUCAAAUCACUAUGUAAUUCGUUUUUCCCUUUUGAACCUAACUCUUGGGAUCUCCAAUUAUUAGGUUGGGUAUCUUUACAUGUGAUUUAUGUAAUUAUGGAUUUUAAUCCCAUCCCUCUUGAGGUAUCCCAAACUCUUCCUCUAGCUAGAAGUUUUGAUGAGGGAUCAGAUAUAUUAUCCCUUGACCUUGUAUAAUUUACAUUGAUGGUACCAUUUCCAAUAUAUGCUCACACAAUACUAUGUUUUCUUCUUAUUGCUCUUGAUUUUCUAUUGCAGUAUCGAUAAUUUACCCUGCCAAUUGUUGUGAUGCUGUCACAAUGUAUCAAUGUUGGCGGCACCGACUUUUCCCAUAAUGGAAUCUCAUGUGUAAGAUCCCAUAGCCAACUUGCUUCUUCACAAGAAGAAGCUAAUGCAAUUAAUUCGGCUUCCAUUAUAGAUUUUGUCAUAAUUUGUUGCUUCUUUGAUUUCCAAGAUAUAGCACCACCAACUAAAGUAAAAAUAUAUGCAGUAGUAGAUAAUGAAUCUCCAGACAAUGUAUUCUAGUCUGUAUCACAAAAUCCUUCAACAGCAGCAGGUAGGGGUGGGCGCGGGUCGGGUACCCGCCCCAUUCACCAUUUGACUGACCCGACCCGCACCUUGCGGGUCAGCCAUUUUUUGAUCCUUACCCGCCCCGCAUAUCAGCGGGUACCCAAUAAUCGGGUACCCGCUGAGAUAGGGUCGGGUCAACGGGUACCCGCCUCGCCCCAUUUAUCAUUUAAUUAAAAAAUUUGAUUUAUACUAAUUUAAUUUUAUAUUUUACACAUUCAUCAAAGAUUUAAGAAAUAUUUUUUUUCUAAAAAAAGGUUUCCCACCAAGAAACAAGCAUGUGAAGAAAAUAUAAGAUAAAGGAAAAAAAUUAAAAAAAUUCGAAAUCAAUAAAAGUUUGAAAUAAGUAGCACAAUUUUUAAUAUAUAUAUUCCACAUUAAUUAAACUUUUUUCUAUAAAAUAUAAGAUCAUGGCCUCUACAAAUGAAUCUUGUAAAGAAACUAUAGUCUCUCAUAUUUGUAAUGCAAUUUGUUCAAUAAAAUUACUUAUUUAGUUCUUAUUAUUUUAUAAUGUGUGUAUAAAAAUAAAAAUAAAAUAAAAUAUAUAUAUGCGGGGCGGAUCGGGUACCCGCGAGUUUUUAAUUAUGUGACCCUAACCCGCCUCGCAUCUUAGCCGGUACCCGACCCUCUUUUAACCCGAUCAAAUAAUAAAAAUCGGAUAUCCUAAUUUUCGGAUCGGAUCGGAUCGGAUAUGACUGGUUUUCGGGUUAACGGAUAAUUUUGCCCACCCCUAGCAGCAGGGUAAUUUGUAUAAAAUAAACCAUAAGACUUAGUCUUGGCUAAAUGUUUCAUUAGACGAUUAAUUGCAUGCCAAUGAGGAAUAUUUGGUUUGCUAGUAAAUCUACUAAGUACUCCUACGGCAUAUGCAAUAUCAGGUCGUGUGCAAUCGGUUGCAUAACGCAAACUUCCAAUUAUACUAGCAUAUUCUUUUUGGUUGCACACAUCAUUUUCAUUUUCAGUUGGAAAUAAGUGAACACUAGGAUCAAACGGUGUACUAACAUAUUUAGUAUCACCAUAAUUAUAUUUCUUUAGUAAUUUUUCAAUAUAAUGUGUUUGAUCUAACGAAAUACCAUCAUUUAAACUAGAAAUUUUCAUUCCAAGUAUAACAUUAGCUACACCCAAGUCUUUCAUGUCAAAAUAGCUUUUUAGCAACAUUUUUAUUUUCUCAACUACACCUAAAUUGGAAACAAAUAUCAAUAAAUCAUCCACAUAUAAGCAAAUAAUUACAUGUAGGUCAUCAAUAUUUUUAAAAUAUAAACAUUUAUCACAUUCACUACAUUUGAAACCAUUUUCUAGUAAACAAGUAUUAAAUUUUUCAUGCCAUUGUUCAGGAGCUUGUCUAAGACCAUACAAGGAUUUAUUUAAUUUACACACUUUAUUUUCUUGACCAGAUACAAUAAAUUCUUCUGGUUGAUCCAUAUAUAUUUCUUCAUCUAAAUUGCCAUUUAAAAAGCUGUUUUUACAUCCAUUUGGUGAAUAACUAAAUUAUGAAUAGAAGUAAUGGCAAUUAAAAAUCUAAUUGAUACUAUCCUUGAAACUGGAGAAAAAGUAUUAAAGAAAUCAAUAUCUUCUUUUUGCUUGAAACCUUUAGCAACUAAUCUUGCUUUAUAUUUUUCUAUUGCUCCAUCUGGUUUAUAUUUUUUCCUAAGGACCCAUUUGCAACCGAUAGUUUUACAACCAGGUGGCAGGCCAACUAGUUUCCAAGGCUUAUUAGAAAUUAAAGAAUCCAUUUCAUCAUUAAUAGCUUCUUGCUAAAAAAUUGAAUCAAGAGAUGAUAAAGCCUCUUCAACAAUAUUAGGAAUUUCUUCCAAAUUAUAAACAUAAUAAUCUGAACCAUAAUAUUUUUCUAUUCUAACUCUUUUACUUCUUCUAGGUUCAAUAUCACUCAUAUGUUGGUUUUCCAUAGAAGAUGUUGAUGCAAAUGCAUUAUUCUUAGGGCUGUCAAUCGGGCAUAAUAAGCCGGGUUUUCAUAAGUUCAAGUUCAGCUUAUUUAAUUUGUAAUAUUUUCGGCUUUUGGGCUAUGAGUUUCGGGUUAAAAAAUGUGAAACUCAUACUCAACUCACAUAAUAUUCAGUUUGCGAGCCUUAUUCAGCCUUAGCCCAAACUCACUUAUUACUCUUAAUUUUCUAUCUUAAUAUAAUUACUAUAACUAUUAAGUUGUAAAACGAAUUUAACAUUUAUAAGACUACAAUAUUAAAGCAAAACAUUAAAAAAAAAUAAUUCUUAAAAAGUAUAUAAACCAAAAAAUUUUCAACAAUAUUUAUAUUUAAUUCGUUCAAAAUAUAUGAAAAAUAGUAAUAAAACAUGUGAUCAUAUGCCAAUAUAUCUUUAAAAAUUGAAACUUUUUUAUAGCCUUGUGAUUUGAAUCUAAACAUGCUUGAUGAUUUGUGUUUCUAGACCAAAAAGAAAUCAAUCAAUAUUAUGCCAAUACAAAAAUUUACUCAACCAAUAAAAAAGUUAGAAAUUCAAUUAUGCAUUACUAAUAUUGGCUCUCAAGAAAGCUCAUAGAAGAGUCUUCAGAUGCAUUUUUGUGUUGCAUAAUUUAUAUUUUUAGUAUUUAGUAAUAAUAUAUUUGGAUAUAUAAUUAUACAUAAUAUCAAAAUAUAAAUAUUAUAUAUAUAGGUAAUUAAAGGGCCGGGCCUAGACCGAUUUGAGCCUAAUGAGGCCCAAGCUCGGUUCAUAUUUAAUUCGGGUCUAAUUUUUAGGUUCAAAUUCAAAUCGGCUCACUAAAAGAUCGGGCUUAUCGGGCUUUUUAUCGAGCCAAACGAGUCGAGCUCUGGCUAGCCCAGCCCCAUUGAUAGUCAUAGUAAUUUUCUGCACCCCAUUAGUUCUAGACACAUAGGGAAACUUGUCUUCAUGAAAAAUAGCAUCUAAAGAUUCAAUCACCACAUUAUUUUUCAAAUCUAAAAAUCUAUAGGCUUUACUUGUUAAAGAAUAACCAACAAGAACCCAUGUAGAAGCUGUAGCACCCAAUUUUGGUCUUUUAGGAUCAUUUAAUCGUACAUAAGCCAAGCAACCCCAAACUUUUAAAUAAUUUAAAUUAGGCUUAUAAUGUUUCCAAAGCUCAAAAGGAGUUAUUUUAGAAUUUUUAUGAGGUAUUCUAUUUAAAACAUAACAAGCAGUCAGGAUUGCUUCGCCCCAAAGAUUAAAAGGCGCAUUAGAACUCACUAGCAUAGCAUUGGUCAAAUCAAUUAAAGUUUUAUUUUUUCGUUCUACUACACCAUUAGAAGACGAUGGGUGAGUAAGGAGGUGUAGUUUCAUGAACUAUCCCCAUCGACUUAAUAUAUGAAUCAAAGCCAAGUGAUUCAUAUUCCUUACUUCUAUCACUUUUAAAUCUCUUGAUUUUUCUAUCGAAUUGAUUUUCUACUUCUUUUAUGUAGACUUGAAAAACAUCAAAAACAUUACUCUUAUUUUUCAGCAAGUAAACGUAAGUAUAUUUAGAAAAAUCAUCUGUAAAAGUCACAAAAUAUCUUUUACCACCACAAGUUAAAAUUCCUUCAAAUUCACACAAGUCUAUAUGAAUUAAUUCUCGAAGUUGAGAAUAUCUUUCAGCACUUUUAGAAGGUUUCUUUGUGAUUUUUGUCUUGCUACAAGAUUCACAUUUUUCAAAGUCAUUAUUUAAUCUCGGAAUCAAACCAAGAUUGCUUAGAUUUUUCACAUACUUACUAUUUAUAUGACAUAAUUGUGCAUGCCAAAUAUUCAUAGAAGAAAACAUAUAAACAGAACCAUAGGAAGUUUUAUUGAUGUUUAUAACAUUUAACUUGAACAUGCCAUCAUAUGCAUAUCCUUUACCAACAAAGAAGCAUUCUUCAUAAUCACAUAACUAUCAGACUCAAUAAUUUGCUUGAAUCCAGCCUUAUUGAGAAGAAAUCUCAAAACUAAAUUUUUCCUCAUCUCAGGUGCACGAAGCACAUCUUUAAGAAGUUCGACUAGAAGUAAAGUUUUAUUCAACCUCACCAGAACCCAAAACUUUGAUAGUAUGAGAGUCACCAAGCAUGACUUGCUUAUCUUUCUCGAUGGGUGUGUAGCUUUUGAAGCAAGUGCAAUCAAAGCAUACAUGUUUUGAAGCAUCCGUGUCUAUCCACCAACCAUCGAACCCCCAAGCAUGUUAACUUCUGUGACCAUAGCCACAUAUAGUUCUUCGGCAACAUUGGCCUAUGGUACAGACCCACGUUUCCAGUAUUUGCAUGUCUUAGCAAAAUGUCCCUGCUUUCCACACACAUAACAACCAUCAUUUGGAAAAGGGAUUGAUUUAAAAGGGGGCCUUUGAUUUUUGCCUUUCUAAUGGAAGUUAUAUCUAUGCUGGUUUGAGUGCUGAUUCUUAUGCCCACGUUUCAUAUUUUUUUUUCUUUGGUUUCAGUUGGGCAUUAUUUUUUGCAUUCAUCUCAUUGGAUAUGUUGUCAUUGGAAGUAAUGAAAUUUAACUUGGUAGUGCCAUUUUCAUUACCAUUUUGUCUGCUUUUGGCAUCUUGAUCUAUUGCUUCUUCUUCAAUCCUUAGACAGGUGAUGAAACUUUCUAAUGAGAACUCUUUGCUUGUGUCGAAAGCUCUUUUGGAAAUCCUUCCAAGAUGGUGGAAGUUUAUCCACUAUCGCAGCAACUUGAAGUUGUUCAUCAAUCUGGAUUCCCUCGGACCUUAACUCAUGUACAAUCAUUUGAAGUUCAUGAGAUUGGGCCAUCACAGAUUUUUCAUCCACCCUUUGAAAUUUCAAGUAGUGGCUUGUGGCAUAUUUCUUUGCGCCUACUUCUUCAGUGUCAUACUUUUUCUGCAAAGCUUUCCAAAUCUUUUUAGCAGUAGGAUAUGAAUUCUCAUAAAAUCAUAAAAUUCAUCAGAAAGACAAUUUAGCAAGUACUUCUUGCAACGAAACUCAUCAACUUCCCAUUUCUUUAUUUUUUUUCUUCAAGAACUUUCUUGUCCUCAUCACUUAUCUCAAUUGUUGAAAUUUUUUUGGACUUUUUCUCCAUUAGAAUGUAAGCCAAUUUCAUCAAACUAAGAUAGAAGAGAACUUUUCCCUUCCACCGUUUGAAGUGAACUCCAUUAAAAUGAAAUGGCUUGUUCAAAAUCAAAUCACUUGAGUCUUUGAUAUGAACUUGAGAGUUGGUCUCCAUUUGAUCUGAAUUACCUUAAAAUUGUUGUUCACCUGAAACAAAAAUUAAGAACAAACAUGCAAAAGAAAGAUUAGACAAUAAUAAUAUAUUGAUACUGAAGUGUGGACGGUUGAAGUAUGGAUAUCUCACUCUCUUUAAGGUGAUUCAAGCCUCUACGGAAGAAUCAAAUCCGGUGCAGCAGGUUCUCUAGCUUGUCACCCCCAGGAUAUAAGAGCCCAGCCACACUUGCUAAUACUUUCUCUAGACUGCACAACUAGGAGAGUAAAACUCUACAAAUACCUUUUGUUACCACUGAAGAACUUUCUUGUCCUCAUCACUUAUCUCAAUUGUUGAAAUUUUUUUGGACUUUUUCUCCAUUAGAAUGUAAGCCAAUUUCAUCAAACUAAGAUAGAAGAGAACUUUUCCCUUCCACCGUUUGAAGUGAACUCCAUUAAAAUGAAAUGGCUUGUUCAAAUCACUUGAGUCUUUGAUAUGAACUUGAGAGUUGGUCUCCAUUUGAUCUGAAUUACCUUAAAAUUGUUGUUCACCUGAAACAAAAAUUAAGAACAAACAUGCAAAAGAAAGAUUAGACAAUAAUAAUAUAUUGAUACUGAAGUGUGGACGGUUGAAGUAUGGAUAUCUCACUCUCUUUAAGGUGAUUCAAGCCUCUACGGAAGAAUCAAAUCCGGUGCAGCAGGUUCUCUAGCUUGUCACCCCCAGGAUAUAAGAGCCCAGCCACACUUGCUAAUACUUUCUCUAGACUGCACAACUAGGAGAGUAAAACUCUACAAAUACCUUUUGUUUCUUGUCUAACAAUGAGACGGAAAAUAGUGAAUUUAGACUCGAAAGACAUAAGUUGUUGUAGUAUCACUUUUCUAUCUCAACUAUGCAUAAGACACCAAGUAAAUGCUGAAAUUAUUGGCCAUUCAAAACACAUUCAAAUUUGUGUUGUAGGUUACAAGAAAACUUAUUGUAAUUAAAAAAUCAUAAUUUCACAUAAUGAUACCUAUUCAAUUCAAAUUUGAAUUGUAAGUUACAAAACUUCAAUGUAAUUGACAAGCCAUAAUUUCAUAGAAUAAAUCUUUAUUAAAAACAUUCAAACACCUAUAAAUUUCAAAAAAUUUAACCAAUUUAUUUCCCUUGUAACAUGCACAUUUAAUUGAGAAUUUAAUUAUUUUAUUAAAAUACUACAACACAUCUGAUUUGGCAAAUCCAAAAUUUUAUUAUCUUUCAUGUCAAGGAGAGGAGUAAGGAAACUGGCUCAACAUUAGGGAUUUGAUUAAAAAAUUAUGAAAAUGCCUAAGGCAGAAAUGAUAUUGACCUAAGUUUUCUCAGGAAAAGAUCGAAUGAAAAGAGACCAAAGUUGAAUUAAAGAGUGAUUAAUUGGACUUUGCAGAAGAGCAGGAUAAACUAUUGAAAUCUAUUAGUGGUUGAAAAUCAGAAAACCUUGCAGGCCCCAAAAACAAACAAACAACCAAUCAAAAACUUGUAUCCUUUUGUCUUUUUUAACAUUUAGCUUAGACUAGGGAUUGAGGGACAUGGACCAUAACUUUACAGAUGACUAUCUGGGCAAAACUUAAGUACAGAAGAUUCUUCAUGUCACUGACAACGGUUUAGAUGGCUGACCAUUCAGUGCAAAACUUGAGGGAUUAGACGGUACAGUUCAAACUACCAAUUUUGGCCUUUGUAUCCAAUGGCUCGAUAAUAUUUGAAGCUCAUGUCAGUUCAAUAGAGAAACUGAUUGCUUAAAGGUGACAUUAGCAAUUUUCAGAACCAAAUGUAAAUACAAAAGCAUAUGUAAUCAGAAUUUCUGCACUGCCAUGCAAAAGGAACUAGAUGAGUGUUACAGAAAAUACCUCAAGAAGUUUCGAACUCUUACAGCUAAUAAUUUGCUCUUGUAUUUCAAACUAUUUCAGUAUAGAUAAGAAAAAUGCCAAGGAAAUUCUGUAUUGUAUGCCAGGCGACUAUCCAACAUUGAGCCUCAAGCUAUGGGCAUCAUAUAUUCCAAUUGCACCAUCAGAAAAGCCUAUAUAUACCAGAGGCCAUCACAGCAAUAUGUUGCACUUGCAAUGCAGAGGAAGAAAAUGAGUCUUGUGGAUUCCACUGCAAUACUAGCUAGACAUUCUAAAUCCAUGAUAGAGAAUAGAAUGGACUUGAAAAAUUUCUCAGCUUUAUCUUGAUUCACGAUGGAUGUAAUUCGUAUAGCAAUCAUCUGUAACUUUAUGCGAAAUCAUGAUUUGCAGGUGAAAUCACAUGCUACAUGGAGCAUAAUCUAUAUCCACUUGGCAAACAUUAAUUAAUUUCUUAGAUGUAUUCUCAUUUUUAUUUUAUUUUCUUUUCAUCUGAUGAUAUCUCUUAUGACUCUACCUUGUCUGAAAAAUAAUUGAGGGAAUUUACUCUAACCAAAAGUGUUAUGCUUAUAUAUAUAUAUAUAUAUAUAUAUAUAUAUAUAUAUAUAUAUAUAUAUAUAUAUUUUUUGUAAAAAUUAUUCUACAAAAACACAGCAGUGGUACCAUAAGUGCACAAUAAUAUGCGCAAACCGCAACCAGAUUACCAUAUAAAUUGAAUCAAUAAUUGAAAGUAAUCACCAAAAAAUUAAAAAAUUAAAAAUGUAAAUGAUGGGCCUCGUAUACCUGGACUUUGCAAGGCAACCAAGGUUUAUAGAGACCCAUGAUAUGAUUUGGAUACAUGGGCCUUUGUAGAGAACUUUUAGUGACAUUUCUGGCCCAUAUGUCAAUGCAAAAACAAUUUGAGGUGGACAAAAACAACCGUUAACUCAAAAAUUCGUCAUACCUAAUCCGAUCGGACCUGAAAAUUACAAUAUCCAAUUUGUAUUAUUUGACCGAAUCAAAAGAGUGUCAAAUACCCGCUUAGAUGCGGGAUGGGGUAGGAUCACAUAAAUUAAAAAGCCACAGGUACCCAAUCCGCCUCCCCUCCACCACACACACCUAUAUGUAUUAUUUUUAUACACAUACCACAAAAUAAUAAAUAAGUAAUUUCAUUGUUUAAAUUACAUUACAAAUACGGGAGACUAUAGUCUGUUCACAAGAUUUAUUUGCAGAAAUCAUGAUCCUAUAUUUUUUAGAAAAGAGUUUAAUUAAUGUGAAAUAUAUACUUAAAAAAAGGUACUACUUAUUUCAAAAUUUCAUUGAUUUUGUAUUCUUUUAAUUUUUUCCUUUUUCUUGUAUUCUCUUCGCAUGUUUGUUUCUUAGUGGGAGACUUUUUAUUAAAUUAUAGAUGAAUAUGUAAAAUACAAAAAUUAAAUUAGUAUAAAUUUUUUUAAAAAAAUUAAAUGAUAAGCAAGGUAGGGCGACUACCUGUUAGAGCGGAUAAGGGUCAGAAAAUGUUUGACCCGUAAGAUGCGGAUCGAGUCAGCCAAUUGGUACACAAGGCAGAUACAUGGCCCGUGCCCGCCCCUAGAAACAUCUUUCUAAACUAAAUUAGCUGACCUAACAAUCCAAUGCAAACUAGUGUUGAUUAAGAGCAAAUUACCCUGGUAGCCAUUGAACUUUUAGAAUAAUCAAGUUUUGGCUACUCAAUUAUUAAUAAUAUAUUUUUAUCCACUGAAUUAAAAAAAUAUAAAUUUUGAAUUAUUCCAUCUGAUUUCACCAUUAAUUCUACUAGAUCUAACAAUUAAUAGUAUGUCUCGUGAACAAUGCAAAUUCUAAGAUCUGGCAGAGUUAAUAGUAAAAUUAGAUGAAAUUACCGAAAAUUUGCUUUUUUUAUAGUUCAAUGGGUAAAAAUAUACUAAUAAUAGUUGAGUGGGCAAAUAUUGACUAUUCAAAAAAUUUAGUGGCUAUCCAAAUAAUUUGCUCGUUAAUUAAUGGUAGUCUUUUCGUUUAGGCUAAGGAAUUUAACAAAGGAUUUCAAAUUCAUCUGAAUUGUUCUAGUAGUUUAAAUUGUUUAAGAAGUAUUUAGAUUUGUAUCAAUUAUCAAAAUAUAUUUUAAAUACUAAAAUAAUUGAUGAUUUAUAAAUUCAAAUACAUUUUGAAAAAAUUUCAAAUCUUUUGUCAAAUCAUUCAAUCUAAAUGCAGACUAAAAUAGUUUGAAGUAAUGAACUCGUUACUAAUAUGAAGGGAGAAACCUUUCCUCGUUGCAGCCGUUCCCAUGCACUUGCGGUCAAUUUUAAGUAACAAAUAUCCACAAUUAAGGCUAACAAAUAUCCACAAUUAAGGCUAAAGAUGAGAUUAUAUGUACAUUUUCUUACUAAAUUGAGUUAAAGGACCUAAGAAUAUUUUCCCUCAGUUGGACAUCUAAAUAAAAAAAAAAUUACAUUUUCCUUCUACAUGGAUUGGGUACUAAUUGAUAACCGUUUGCCAUAGAUCUCCUAAUGAUUUACCUAUAUGUUUUGUUAGUGUCUCCAUUCUUUUGAUCAUGGAUAUUGAUUAUUAACAAAAUUAUAAAAUAAGUUCCAAAAAAUAUUUUCUCUUUUCGUAGAAGUAUAUCUCAUUUUAUUUUUCAAAACUAUAUGCACAACAAAUUUGUCAUGGGACACCAGAUCGUUUUUCAAGUCCUCUCCAUAUUUAUUUUGUCUCCAUCCAUCACAUUAUUGCGGGAAGACUCAGCGUCAACGUUGGUGGACCGACAAGAAACAAUGGGCAUACUCGAUGUCAAUUUCGGUGAUUUUUUUUUUUGGUUUUAUUGGAAAAAUAUAUGUUUACGUGGUUUUAGCUCAAGUUAUCACUAUGGCUCACGACAUCCCCGAUCAGUUACUGAACAUCUAUAUAUUGUACAUUGUUCAUUGUAAAAUAUGUAAUUGAAAAUAAUGGCCUUGUUUGACAGACAAGUUUUUCUGCUACAAGUUUUUUAAAAACUUUAAUUAUAGUAACUUCAAAAAAUUUUUCAAAAUUUUUAAAUUAUACACUUCAAAAUAUUCAAAAAAAACACACUUCCAAAAUUUUUUUAAAAACUUUUACAGUAAAGUUUUAGACAAACACCUAAAAAACUCAUUUGCCAAACAGGGUCUAAGAGUGGUGCGAAUUAGGAAGGAUUUCCGCAACAAAUGUUGUCUGUAUUCGUUAACAUACUGAUAUUUCACUCAAUCUAUCAUAUAUAUAUAUAUAUAUAUAUAUAUAUAUAUAUAUAUACACACACCAAUAAUAAUUAUUUUUUCUUACAUUUAUAAAUUUUUUAAAAUUAAUCUCCUUAUAUAUAUAUUAAUUAAUUUUAUAUUUUUAAAAUUUUAACACUUGAAAUAUAUUUUAAUGCAUGUCAACAAGACACUCGCUAAACAAAUCGAAUUAGAAAAUCACGGCCAAGUGAGUCAGGCAGGCAAAUGAUCACAUUCGUCCUAAGUGUGUUGCUAUUUGAUCACAUAUAGGUCUCAUUUGGCAAGUGAGUUUUUUGGAUGUUUAUCUAAAAUUGUAUUGUAAUUUACUGUAGAAGUUGUAGAAAAAAUUUUUGAAGUGUAUAAACAUAUGGAUAUUUCGAAGUAUAUGGUUUAAAAAGUUUGAGAAGUUUUUAAAAAUUAUUAUAGAUAAAAUUAUUAAAACACUUGUAGCAAAUAAAGUUGAUAAAAAACUUGCUUAAUAUCUUCAUAUAACUGUGAUUUUAGUGCAUAAUCUACCAAAAUUUUCCUUUCCUAUUCUAUCUUUUGUCCCUGCUGACCUAGGGUCCUGACUGCCAUUGUUCAACCUUCACUUUAUUCAGUUAGUACCCUCAAAAUAAACUUCCAAGUUCCAGCAGGUGGAAAAAUUUCUAAGAUGGAAUUUAGGUCCCCUACAUUCAAAAGUUUAUUACUACUACACACCCAUAAAUGUCAUGCAAUAAUUUCACUCUGCUUCUAUAGGCCCACCAAGUUCAUUGAAUUAUUGUACUACUACCCAGCCAGGAAAGUCACGAUCAAACUACAUCUGAUUAAUUGUAAUUCUCUAACUCAAGCAGUAUGAACUAAUCAACUCUGUACUAAUAUGAAUGGAGAAACUUUUUCUUGUUGCGGUCAAUUUUAAACAGCAUAUAUAACUUUGCAAUUAAGGCUAAAGAUUAGACUGAAAAAAGAAAUAGUGGGCAUACUCAGUGUCUUGUCCAUUAAAUUUUUUUUGGUAAAAUAAAUAUUUAAAUGGUUUUAACGCUAAUAACCACCACAAGUCAAGACACGUCCCAAAAUCAUACAUUUAGGGAUGGCAAUGGAACGGGUUUAAGGUGGAGGAAUCCUCACUCGUCCCCCAUCCCGACUAGCCUCGUUACUCUCGCAGGUGCACCUGUCCUACCCCAAUGCCAUUUUUAGUUUUUAUUUAGUCUUAUUUUUUCUCUUUAUAUAUUUAUAUAAUGCUAGUAAUAAUUUUAUUGAUCAUUCUUUUUAAUUUUUAGCAAAAAAUCCAGCAAUCGCUGUGAAAAGUAUGGAUGUCAGGUUCUUUAAAGAAGCAUCGAUGUCCAUGAUGUUGAAUUAGUGCUUAUUGAGUUAGUUGUUGGAAAGGAACACAGCGAAAUGACUCAUUCUCUGAAAGCUUUCAAUGGUUGAAUGUUAUCCAUCAACUUCUGUUUCAGAACUCAGAACAAUGUGAUUCAAAUUAGAUAAGGCAAGCAUUUGAGGAUGAAAUCCAUAAGUUUGUUAGAGUUUUAGUUAACUGCAUUUAAUUUGAUCCGAGAAAAGGUCAUCCAUGCUAAAAAGUGUACAAAAUGUUGAGCUAAAGAUGUGUCCUCGCAAAUGAUUCAGGACUGGUGGGAAUUUGAAUAUGGCUUUCCCAGCAUGGAUGAUUUUUCCUUUUGUUGAUCUUCAGAACAGUGUUUCCAUAUCCACUAAUAAUUGGGAUACUUAUAACGUUUAGAUAUAAGAAUACCAUUUAUAAUACUUAUAACGAGACAAAAUGGAAGCCCAAUACUCCCCGCGAACUACGGGCAUAAUAACUAGUGAACAUAGAUAGGUUAAGUGCGCACAAUUCCGUUAUGUUUUGCAGGUAGUGGCAUUUGAACACAGAAAAUCAACAUAUUUUAUGCAAACUAGUGUUGAUGCAAGCAAAUUACCUGGUAGCCAUUGAUCUUUUGGAAUAAUGGAGGUUUGGUCACUCAACUAUUAAUAGUAUAUUUUUAUCAAUUGAACUAAAAAAAUAUAUAAAUUUUAACCAUUCCAUCUGAUUUGCCGUUAACUCUACUAGAUCUAACUAUUAAUAAUGUGUCUCAUGAACCAUGGAGACCCUUUAGUCUCGUAGAGUUAAUAGUGAAAUUAAAUGGAAUGAUCCAAAACUUACACUUUUAAUAAUUUAUUGAGUAAAAAUGUACUAUUAAUAGUUGAGUGACCAAAUUUUAACCAUUCAAAAAGUUUAGUGGUUGUCCGAGUAAUUUGCUUUGUUUAUUAAUUGUGGUAUCUUCGUUUGGAAUGAGGAAUUUAACAAGGGAUUUCAAAUUCACCAGAAUUGCUCUAGCAGUUUAAAUUUGUAUUUCACCAAUUAUCAAAAGCACAUUUCAAAUACUAAAAUAAUUGAUGAUUUACAAAUUCAAAUACCUUUUAAAUAAUCUCAACAACUAAAGGGAUUUGAGAAAAUUUCAAAUCCUUAUCAAAUCAUUCAUUCUAAAUGCAAACUGAAAUAGUUUGAUGUAAUGAACUAUGUACUGAUAUGAAGGGAGAAACCUUUCCUCGUUAUAGUUGUUUCCAUCCACUUGCGGUCAAUUUGAAGUGGCAAAUAUCUACAAUCAAGGCUAAAGAUGAGAUUGUAUAUACAUUUCUUAGUUAAGGAACCCGAGAAUACUCCCACAGUUGGACAUUUGAAUAAAAAAAAAAUUUUGUACGUUUUCGACAUGGAUAGGGUACUAAUUGAUAAUCAUCUGCCAUAUGGCCCACUUGGAGCUCUUGAUUCCGUGGCCCAGCUCAAUAAAAUAGUCGCCCCGUACUACCUAUUUAAAGUUUGAGAAUAGGUAGAUCUCCUAAUGUUUUACCUAUAUGUUUUAUUAGUGUCUCCAUUCUUUUGAUCAUGGUAUUGAUUAUUAACAAAAUUAUGAAAUAGAAAUGUUAUUUGCACUCUCACCAUUUAUUUUAUCAUAGAGUCUAAUAAAUGAAAGCCAUAUGAUAAAAAUGAUAGUGAAAGUGUGAUUAACAAAAAUUGGAGUACAAAUAACAUUUCUUUUUAUAAAAUAAGCUCCAAAAAUUAUUUUCUCUUUUUACAGAAGUGUAUCUCAUUUCUUUUUCAAAAUUGUAUGCAUAACAAAUUCGUCAUGAUCAUUACAAGUCAGGGGAGGCUCGUUUCAAGUCUUCGUGACCAUUUUUUUUCUCCCCAUUUGACAAUUUUUAAAAAUGCUCUCUUCCUUCAAUUUUCCCCUCCAAAAAAUCUGAAAUAAGUUAAAAUGUCUUUUAUCUUUACUUUACAAUUCAAAAUCAUGUUUCAAUAUUACGAGUAAAAUCUAUCAAAAUUUUAACCUUGUUUCAUUUCAAAAUUUUCAUUGUAAAGUAUUUAAUCGAAAAUAAUAUCUUUAUAUAGCAGUGAUUUUAGUACGUGAUCUACAUAAUUUUGUCCUUUACUAUUCUAUAUUUUGCCCCUACUGACCUCAGGUCCUCCUAACUCAACCACUAUUUAAUGCAAUUGGUAAUUAUUUGAGAACUAUAAUGUUUAAAACAUUUUUGGACGGGUUGUGAUGAAAUCCCCCGUGAAUCCAAUUUCUCUGGAAAAAGAAGACAAUCAAGAAUCCCAAUGAUCAAUUCAAACUCUCCACAAAACAAAUAUAAAAAAAAAGGUUCAUUAACUUUUGGUAAGUAAAAUAAAAAAAAAAUUUCCUGUAUCAUAUCCGAGAAAUUUCAACUUACUGAUUAAAUAGUCGUAAAUGCUGUUCUUAAGAGAGAAUCAUAGAAUGAUUGAACAAAAACACAUUUCCUAUGAAUCGGAAACACAUUACGCGCUUUUCUCUUCAAUUUGUGAAUAGGAGUACCGGACUUCAAUAUAUGACGCGCUUUUACCUCUGCUUCCCACGUCCCCCGGCUUCCACUCCAUAAUCACAGUAUCCCACAUACCCAAUUCACAUCCUACACUAUAUGAAUAAUAUAAGCAUAUCCACAACUAAAUAUACGAGUAAAAUUACUAUAAUUUCCACAUACUAUACUACAUGAAUAUCAAUUUUAUCUCUUCUUCUCAUAGUAAGAUAUUAAAUCAGCAACUUUUGACAUCGUUGAGGCUUUAUAAGUACAAAUGUAAAAAACAAAUUAGGAUAAAAAUAGUUUGUUAUUUUCUGCAUGAGUCAUGAGAUAUGUCAUAGUCGCAUCAUAAAUUUUAGAGUUUAUUACAAAUGGUAACUGUUUGAGAGCUAUAAUAAUUUAAAAUUUUUUUACGUGCCUUAUGCUAUUAGGUAUAAAGUAUAAAUAAUUCAGAAUAUUUUCAAAAUGUAUAUAAUGCUAUAGUUGUUUGGGACUAAAUGUAAGAACGUAUAAUAUGAAUUUACAUUAGGUUUUGACUUCGGGAGAAGCUGGGCGGGGCGGGGAACCAACUCUGCCCCAUUGCCAUCCUUAUUUUGACAUCGUCGAGGCUUUAUAUCUAUAUAAAUGUAAAAAAAAUUAGGAUAAAAAUAGUUUGUUAUUUUCUACAUAACACAUGAGAUAUGGUUGUAACUACAAAUAGCCUACCAGGAAAAAGAUAUUAAGGAUGGGGCUUGAAAACAAUACUCCUACAAAAUACUUAAACCUUAUUAUUUGAGCCAACUCUUGUUGACAACUACUAGGACAAAAACGACAAUAAUUUAGUGCCCCAUUGGCCAAUGUUUCAACCUUUUCAAUUAGUUCAAGAUCGCGGCUAAUUACUUAGAAUAUUAACAAAAAAAAAAAGAAAAAUUGGACAUCUAAUAAUCUGACAAGGACCAUUUCUAUUAUAUUCUAUAACUAUUGCUGCCACAGCCCGACAGCAAAAGCCCAAUUUUUUUUUUUUUUUUUUUUUUUUUAAAAACCACUGCUACCGGGCGUUGUUGAAUUUUUUUUUUUUUUAAAAAAAAAUUGGCAGCCAGAGUCAGUGCUGCCAUAUUUACUAUCUUGCGUUAAAUUUUCACACUCCUUUUUGGCUUCUUGCGUCAUACUUCUCCUCGGACAAAGAUAUCUGUCAAGUACAGUAUACAUUCUCACAAAAAGAAGUUCUAAAAAAUUACACAGAAUGGGAAUCCUCAAGGAGUAAAAACUAAAAAGGAAGCAAGAGAAAUUCUGCGGCUGGCCAGAGUCAGUGGCCCGAGAGGGCUUUCAGAGUCACUUUCUUCUCUUAAGAUUUUUGGCAGGAUGGACUUGUCCUUGCAUGCAACUGCUGUGAAGAAAGAAUAAGAAUAUGGAAUUGAAGAUCUUUUUCAGGUGGAGUGGUACCCCCCAUCCUUGAUCUUUUCGGAGGAUAAGAUAAUGCAAUUGGAUUUUUUUAAAAAUAUUUUUUUAAAAAAAAUAUUUGGGCAGCAGCCGGCCGGUGCAGCCUGGCAGCACUGACACUGGCUGCCGGGCUUAAAAAAAAAAAUUUCACUGCUGCCAAGCUGACAAUGAUUUUUUUUUUUUUUUUUAAAUUUGGACUUUUGCUGCCGGGCAAUGGUUGUAGAAACACCCCUUGCCAGACUACUAGAUGUGCAUUUUUUUUUGUUAAUAUUCUAAGUAAUUAACCCAAGAUCGCAAGAUAAUGCCCCUUAUUCUAUAUCACCCGCAAGACUUCCAAAUAUUAGGUUGAUAUAACGUGUCCUAAAACUUAUUUUAACAUCUCCAUCUUUAGCUUCAUUUUAUCUUGUGGAUUUCUCAUAAUGUCAUUUUAGUAUCUUUAUUUUCAACUUAAAAUAAUCUUGUGAACAAAAAAAAAAAAAAAUUAACUGUAUAAGUAAGCAAAAACAAAAGAAGCAUGGUUAUGAUGAACCUUCACUUUUUCUACCGGUGAAGUCCACAGUUAGCUUCCAUGUUCCCACUCGUGAACCAAAUUUGUAGGAUGGAAUCUAAUUUGGGUCCCCCAUUGCUUGGAAAAAUUCUAAAGUUUAUCACCAGACAACCUGGAAAGGCAUGCAGCAAUAUUUUCGCUUUACUUUAUCAUGCAAUUGCAUGGAAAAAUUGUAAUCUAUAGGUCCACCACAUUCAAUAAUUGUAAUACAACACGGCCGGGAAACUCACUACUUUCUCCACAAUAAGAGACCAUAUCCAUUGCCAAAAAGCCUUGCAAACACUAAUUGUUUCUACAUUGGUUCAAAUUAUCGUCUCCGAAUAUUAUUGUUUCUUAAACUUUACUUUGAGUAAUCAAGUAGCUUCGCGAUACACUGGGAAUUUUCCCAUAUUCAUCGGAUCAGCUACUCCCAGAGGUUUCUUUCUUCUCUCUCUCUCAAGUAAGUGCUGAAUUUUUUUUUUUUAUUUUCCUUAAACUUAAUGUUGUUUUUUUUUAACGUAGCCUCACCAUAUAAAGGGAAUUUCUGCAAAUCCAACAGAUCAGGUGAAUUGCUUUUUUUAUUAUUAUUAUUAUAGACAUUUUUGGUUGAAAUAUAUAUGUGGCUUCCAUGUAUUUUUAUAUUUAUUCUUCUGCUAGCAUAUACUUUUAUAUGUUGCCGAGUAGCUUCCAGGGCUGGGAUUUUGCUUCCUGUUAUUCUUGGUGUAUCAUAUUAGUUUGGGUAAUUUUCUUUGUACAUAUGAAUCAUUUGGAGUAUUAUUUUCCUGAAACCGAUAAGAAAUCACUGAAAAUAGUACAGUGCAAUAUGAAUCGUUUACAUUAUAGAAAAAGACAAUAUAUACGAUCCAUAUGUCAACUAAUUAAUGCAUCAUGAAUUAAACUUCUAAACUCUGGAUCUAUUAUGGCUUUUAUUCAUAAAUUUUGAUGAUCCGGCUAAUGCGUCACUUAAAUUCAUAAAUGUAUCGAUCCGUAAUCUCUUGCAUCAUCAUUAAUUAUAGGGUACCAAUAAAUUAAUUAUAGGGUAAAAACCACUGUACUCCCUGCAAACAUUACUUUUAGGCUUUUUGUUAAAUGUGCUUUUCAAUACUUAAAUUUUUCCUUCUAAUAUUACUAAGGCUUUGUCAAUUUUGCUAAUCUUCUAUAUAAAGUUGCACAGUUUUGCUCCAAAAAAAAAAAAAAAAAAAUCAAGCACUAUUGGCUUCUUUAUUUUUUACACUUUUCCUUUCAACGUAAUGCUGUUUUUUGAGAUUUCAAGUUUUAUGUUCCUACCAUAGUAAUUUUCAGAGUUUGUAUGCUAAUUUGUUUUAGACACUCAAAUUUUAUUGUGUAGUUUUUUUUUUAAAGAAAUACUAAGUAAGUUUUAGAAUAAAUUCCUCUUGUCCGUUAUGGAUGUAUAGAUGAAUAAUCUAUCUUUUGGAAGGGAAUGGUUGGAGUAGGAAACUCUAGGUUGACAUACUUGCUUUCUAAUUUUCAUCAUAUUUUUGCUUAAACCCCCCCCCCCCCCUCUCAAAAAAGACAAAAAAAAAAUAAUUGUGGUGACGGGACAUAAACAGAAGAAAAUGUGGUGAUUUGAUUGCACCGGUUAGGAUUUCUCUACAAGAUACUUAAAGUUAGUCAUAGUAUUUCGAUCUACUUUCUUUAAGUCAACAGGUUCAAUUAUUGUUAAAACUCAAGGAAUUUUUAAAAAAAAAAGAAAUUCACGCAAUUUUUAGGAAACUCAUAAGCAAUUUCACCCUACUUUUGUUUCUUCAAUAACAAAUAGUGACCCCUUACCUACUACUACUAUGUCCGUUAUAAUGGGCCGUCUCCAUUGCAAAAAGUGCUUUGUACAUGACCCGUGUUUCUUUGUACAUAAUUAUUUUGAAUGCUAUAUUUCAUGAAAGAAAUAAGAAGAGUAAAAUAUUUAAUUAUUUAAACUUGAUGAAGGUAUUUGGUUAUCUUUCCGGCAGAUUUUAAGAGUCCUUUUGGUCAUAUUCUCAAAUUAAAUUCACCGUUUGAUGGUGAAAUAAUAAUGUUUUUGUACCUUUAAUUUGUAAUAUUUUCAAAAAUUCAUAAUUUGAAUCACUAAUCAUCUCUUAGGGACAAAGAUUGUGGCAAUGAUCGCUUGAAAGGACCAUAGAAUUUUCCUAUCUCUUCAGAUUUUGAUUAAUUUUAGUUUAUCUUUCACCAGAAUUUUUUUGUGUUCCGCAAGAAUUUGUUUUUUUUUUUUUUGGAUUAAUAUGCCAGGUGACCGAUGGCUGUCUAAUGCUUUCCAAAAUAACAACAGGCUGUCUAAUAUGAGAACGUUUUUAUUUUAUUUUAUUUUUUAUCAUAAGGUUCAAAACAUUUCGUUCUGCAUUUGAUGAUAUCGAGCUUUUCUACAUUUACUUGUACAAAAAAAAAAAAUUGUCCUUUUCUUUUUGACAUCCCUCUCCUUGCCCCUAGGAACUUAAUUAAAGUCCACUUCCCUUUCAUUAUUUGUAAUUUUCAGGUCACACUUGAUGGAAGUGUUGCUGCUGGAAAGUCUGGUAAAAUCCCUGAAUUCUCCAAUCCAGGAGGAGCUUGGAUUGCUUUGUGGUAUUGAAACAGAGAUACAAAAGCUUUCAAGCUUGCUAUCAACAACCAAAGCAGUGAUUGAAGAUGCCGAAAAUAAGCAAUUUACUAACAAGGCAAUUCAACUUUGGCUGCAGAAGCUCAAUCUUAUUGCUUAUGAAGUCGAUGACAUAUUAGAUGAUUAUGCAACCGAAGUCUCGAGAGAGCCGAGCAAUGUAUUGGAUUGUCUUCCAGCAACAUCAAACAUAUGGUUUCGGCACAGGAUUGGAGCAAGGAUGAAGAAAAUCAUUGGAAAAUUUGAUGCAGUUGCUGAUGAGAGAAUAAAACUUGGAUUGAGCAACCACUUUCUGGUUGAUUCCACUGCAAUACGUGAGAUUGGUUCCUUGCUAAACGAACCUGAUCUAGUCCUUGGAAGGGACGAGGAGAAAGACGAGAUUGUGAAAACAUUGGUGAAUCACGUCAGAGAUAAUCAAAAUGUAUCAGUGCUCCCUAUAGUGGGUGUUGGAGGCCUUGGAAAGACAACACUUGCCCAAUUGGUGUUUAAUGAUGAGAACCUAGCCGAGCCUUUUAAGCCAAAACUAUGGGCUUGGGUUUCAGAGAAAUUUGAUGUGAAGAGCAUUAUAAAAGCCUUAAUUGAGUCUGCAAAAGGGACUUCUAUGGGAGACUUACCCUUGGAUACUCUCCAAAGAAAGCUUCAAGAGUUAUUGAGAGGGAAAAGAUACUUGAUUGUACUGGAUGAUGUCUGGAAUGAGAAUCCACAGGAAUGGGAGGAUUUGAAAUCUGUUCUGCAAUGCGGAUCAAAAGGUAGUUCAAUUGUCACGACAACUCACAUGGAGAAGGUUGCCACAAUAAUGGGCACAUUACAAACAUAUUAUCUGUGGAGUUUGUCAGCGAAUGAGUGUUGGUCACUAUUUAGGCAACGGGCAUUCGGCUAUCAAGAGGCUGAAGAAUAUCCUAACCUUGUAGUUAUCGGAAAAGAGAUUGUGAAAAAAUGUGGUGGUCUUCCGCUGGCUGCAAAGGCUCUUGGAGGCUUGCUACGAUUUGAAAGGGAAGAAAAUGUAUGGAACUCCGUAUGUAGUGAGCUUGGGAACUUACCUCAAGAUGAAACAGAUAUCUUGCCCGCAUUGAGAUUGAGCUACCUUAAUCUUCCGGUGGAGUUGAGAGGCUGCUUUGCAUAUUGUGCUGUAUUUUCCAAGGGAUCUGAAAUUGAAAAAGAGGAGGUAAUACAUUUGUGGAUGGCAAAUGGAUUGAUUUCAUCUAAUGGAACGAUGGAAGUGGAAGAUGUUGGUGAUGCUGUGCUGACUGAACUGCAUCAUAGAUCACUGUUCCAAGCCGUGAAGAAAGAUGAGUCUGGCAAUGUCCUUACUUUUGUGAUGCCUAACCUUGUCCAUGAUCUGGCUCAAUCAUUAAUGGAGGCUAAAGACGGUGGAACAAUUAGAACCAAUAGGCAUUUGACAUUGGAUUUCCCAUAUGAUCAGCAAAUAGUGGCUUUUCCUAUUAGAAGAAUGAGAGGCACUGACCGGUACUCUUCUUUCUUGUCAAAAUGUGGUUCCCUGAGAGUGCUCAUUGUAAGGACAGCAUGGUGGGAAAAAAGGUUUUCAAAGCUGCCACCUGCAGUAAAUCUUUCAGGAUCUCACAUUGUUGAACUACCCAAUUCAAUUUGUGGCCUGUGGAAUUUGCAAAUUUUAAACCUAAAUGAUUGUGAACAUCUUCGGAGUUUACCCAAGGGCAUGAGAUUCCUCAGAAAUCUUCGACAUCUUUGUCUACGGGGGUGCUGGAAUUUGACUCACAUACCAAGUGGAAUUGGGGAGUUGAGUUGGUUGCGGACGUUGAGUAUGGUCGUCCUGGGUGGCAAAAAAGGCUUCCAACUAAGUGAGUUGCGAGGCUUAAAUAUGCUUAGAGGAGAGCUAUCAAUUAGGCACCUUGAGAGGGUUGAAGAUAAAAAGGAUGCAGAAGAAGCUUGGUUAAUUGGAAAACAGAGUCUCCGCAGGUUGUGUUUGUAUUUUAAUUGGGAUUCUGAAAGAAUGCUUCAACGUUACAAUGAUGAGGAAGUGCUUGAAGCCCUUAAACCCUCCCCCAUCCUUCAAUUUCUGCACAUAGAAGGCUUCAACGGUUCAUCAUUUCCAUCUUGGAUUUCAACUGUAACAACUGUUCGUGUGUUCAACAGUGCACCGGAGUAUAUAGUUGGGGCCCAGGAGAGUACCGCCACUGCUGCUACUGACAAUCCAAAAGGAAUGUUAAAAGCACUGGUGUUAUGGAACAUGCCCAACCUAAAAGGAAUGUUAGGAAGAGAAGUCCAAGUUACUCCAGGAGUAUUCUCUCAACUUCAAUCCUUGUCUUUUGUUGAUUGCCCAACGUUGACAUUGCCAUUGCCACGUAUGCCGUCCCUAAAGGAGUUAGACGUCAAUAUGUGCCGGAACAUGGCAUGGGCUUCAAUCUCCAAUCUCACUAGUCUUAACUCCCUUAUAAUUGAGGACAUUCCAGAAUUGAGUUGUUUUCUAGAAGAGAUGCUACAAAAUCUUAGUCUUCUUGAAUCCCUGGAAAUUAGGUUUAUAUGGGAUCUGCGAGCCUUACCCAGAAGCUUGGCUAGCCUCACGGCUUUGAAGACGUUGACCAUCAAGGAAUGUCCCAAGCUGGGGUCUCUGCCAAAAGAACACCAUUUGUUCGACUGCUUUAAUUUGGUGAGUCCCUCAAUGGGGACUACAGCCCUCAAAUCCCUGACUCAACUAAGCAUCCAAGGGUCAAACGCGACAGCUCUGCCAGAGGAACUCAAAUAUUGAGUGGUCUACGUAAAAAUUAUACUAAAAAAUAACAAGGGACUCUAACCCCACGUCAUUUAAGUCUCAAUGACUUCAAAAAAAAAAAAAGGUCUCGAUUUUAUUGCCAUGAGCCACUCUGAUUGCCAAUAGAUAGGAUCCACAUUCUUAAUUUAAAUACAAUAAAUGUUUCACAAUUUAAAAUUUUCCAUUUUAUAAUUAUGUUUGUCAAAGUAUACAUUGAUGCGUUUAUUCAUGUGCAUAAAUUUAAAGACUUUUUCCCCCUAUUAUAUUAUGUUUCAAACACAUAUCUUUAAAGUGUAUGUCUUCAAUAUAUCUAAUAGUUGAUAACAAUAAUCACAAAUUGAAGUUUUAGCACCCCAAACUUCUAGGUUUUACAAUGCAACCAAAAUAUUCCGAGUGCACUUAGUUAAUUUUGCAUCAAAUCAUUGCAAUUUUCAGCACUGGCACCUUCCUCUUCUUAAUGAACCUAUAAACCGCAAUCAAACUAUUGCAUUCUUAUGGAUGCAAACAAUUGGGACCAUGGCGUAAAGUAGCCCAAGGCAGAAAUGGCAACUGUGCCAACAGUCUCUUUUGAUCUUUCUGGUAGUGACCUAAGUUUCUUCAAGGAAAGAUCCAAAUAUAGGAGACCAGAGUUGCAUUAGGGAGAGAGAGAGAUUGGACUUUACAACAUAGCAGGAUUAACUGUUGAAAUUUUACAAAUGAAUCAUUGGUCAAAAAUUAAGAAACCUUGCAGGUCUCAAAAGCAAACAACUAAUUAAUAAAAAAAAAAUGUAUCUUUGCCUUUCAACAUUUGGCUCACUAGGAGGGACAAGGAACCUAACUUUACAGUUUAACUAUCUGGGCGAAAGGCAAGCAAACAAGUAUCUUCAGAUGGCUGAACUUUAGUUUCUCUUUUUUUUUUUUUUUUUUUGUCGAAACGAUAGGAAUAUAUUGAUUGGAAGGGGUUUAUACACAGACGAGACUAGCUCGAUGCUAUACAAAGUGCAUUUUGCACUAUAGAUUGGGGUUAACCCAUUCUACAUCAAAAUAAUUGCUCAAAGCUUGAGCACUAAACAAACAACUUAGAUCGUUCAUUCUAGAUUUUCCUAUGCAAAAGGAGCAUUUGUAAAACAUCUUACUUAGCUCGCGUAUGUCCUCUAUUAGGGUAGCUAACCACAAGCCUGCUGUUUUUGUUCCCUGUAUUUGCUGCAGAAGGUCCGUAUUAAGUACUCCAAUGCAUACCAACCUCCAUCCUUGUUCUGCUGCUUUGAUCAGGGCCCAUUUAACACCUUCAGCUUCAUGUUGAACUUGGUUUGAGCUUUCUCUUUCUCUCAUUUUCCAUCCCAUCACAUCCUGCCCUCUGCAAUCAGCUGCCACAAUGCCAUAUCCAAUGGACUUUGAUGCCUUGUUCCACCUGGUAGCUACUCUUAACUGCAUUCCUGCUGUUCUGUUGUCUGGAGUUUGGCUAAUUCCUUGUUCGUUCCUCUGAAGUGAAACUGUUGUUGAUUCAAUGCUACAGCUCCUAGUCUUUUUGGUCCCGUCAUUGAACUCCAUCCAUGCAUUCCAGGCUUUGGUGAUCACUUGUGCUGGCUCAUGAGUUUUGUUGUUAAACUCUUUAUCAUUCCUACUUUUCCAGAUAUGCCACAGUAUAUAAGCUGUAAGAGAUAUAUGGUCUAUCCCUUGAUCUCUCUGAAUUGCUUCGGAUAAUGCAGCCCACCAUCUGUUGAAAUUCCCAUUAAGCUCCUGAAUCCCAUCCCACUGUACUGGUGCAACUUUCCAGAUCUCCUUAGCUUUCUUGCACAUCAGGAGAAGAUGUUCCAAUGUUUCUAGCUCCUCCCCACAGCCUGAGCAUAUAGGGUCUCCUUUAGACAUCCUUCUCCAAAUUAAUUCCUUGACUGGAAUUGCUUCUUUCAGUCCUUUCCAUAUAAAGAGCUUAACUUUGUGACUGAUUUUCAGUUUCCACAGCACUCUCCACAUGUCAGUCCUUCUGGGUCUGUAGCUAGUCUCAAUUCCUUCUCUUCUCCCUCUAUCCUCCUGUUCUGUCUUAGCUCGGAUUGCCUUGUAGCCUGAUUGCAUCGUGUAUUCCCCUUUCUGAUUUUCUGUCCAGAAGAUAUUGUCCUCUCUUCCUGUGAUGCUUAUGGGAAUCUUGAGAAUGUUUUCAGCAUCCUCCUGUUUGAAGUUUUUGAAAAUGAGGUUUCUAUUCCACCUGUAGCCUUCUAUCAAAUCAGCAACUUUCUGAACUUGGCAGUCUUCUGGCUUGAUUGUGAUUGGCCUUCCUACAUUUUGAUUAGGAAUCCAUUGAUCCUCCCAGAUUCUAGUAGAAAGGCCAUUCCCUAUCCUUUUUCGUAUUCCCCAUUGAAGCUCUUCUCUUGCACUCAUGAUGCUUUUCCAAAACCAUGAUGCAUUGUUGGGGAUUCUGGAGUCCAAGAUACUGCAAUUUGGAAAAUACUUGCUUUUCAGAAUUCUGCUGGAUAACAGAUUUGGAUUUCUGAUGACUCUCCAAAUCUGUUUAGCCAGCAAAGCUCUGUUGAAACUUUGAAUCUCUUGGAAUCCCAAACCACCUUGUUUUUUCUCCCUUGUCAUCUGUUCCAGGCUACCCAAUGCACCUUAUUCUUGUUGUCUUUUUCUCCCCACCAGAAGUUGGAAAGCAUGGAGCUGAUCUCUUUGCAUAAUCUGCAAGGAAGUUUGAAACAAGACAUUGUAUAAUUAGGCAUUGCCAUAGACACAGCUUUGAUCAAAAUUUCUUUCCCAGCUGAGCUUAGAAGCUUGUUUUUCCAGCUUAGCAUUCUUCUUCUAAUGUUAUCCUUUAUGUAGCCAAACAGCUGUCCCUUAGACCUUGAAAUCACCAUGGGCAAUCCUAAGUAUUUCCCUUGUGUUACUAGUCGAAUACCUCCUAGUUCCAUACAUACUUCCUCCUUAGUUGCUGCAUCCACAUUUUUGCUAAAAAAAACACUGGACUUGUCUAAGUUAACCAUCUGCCCAGAUUCUUGUUCAUAUACCUCUAGUAUCCUCUUCAGCUCCUUUGCUUCUUGAGAGUUGGCUUUACAAAAGAUCAGGGAAUCAUCAGCGAAGAAGAGGUGGGUUAUAGAGGGACCAUGUCUGCUUAUCUUCAUGCCUGCCAUACUUCUUGUCAGCGUUGCUUUCUUCAACAGGCUAGAGAAGCCUUCUGAACAAAUGAGGAAUAAGUAAGGUGACAGAGGAUCACCUUGUCUUAACCCUCUUUCAGGUACAAUGUAUUCCUUACACUCACCAUUGAUAUUAAAGGAGAAAGAGACUGUAUUUAUGCACUUCAUUAUCCAUGUUAUCCAUUUCUCACAGAAUCCCAUUUUUCCCAUUAUAUCUUGCAAAAAUUGCCAUUCAACUCUGUCAUAAGCCUUGGACAUAUCAAGUUUCACAGCCAUAAAUGCAUCCUUACCAUACCUUUUAUUUUUGAGAUGAUGCAAGUAUUCAUGAGAGAUAAUGAUGUUAUCAAGAAUGUGUCUCCCAGGAAUGAAGGCAGAUUGAUUCAUGCUAAUACAAUGAUGCAGAAUGGGUUUGAGCCUAUUGACUAGAAUCUUUGCAAUAACUUUGUAAAUCACACUACAGAGGCUAAUGGGUCUGUAUUGUUUGAUGUUAAUGGGGCAUGGAACCUUUGGAAUCAGGGAAAUGAUGGCAUGGUUAAUAGCCUUUAGCAUGUUGCCAGAAUGAAAAAAACUUUUAAUAGCAUUUACCAGAUCUCCUUUGAUUAUAUCCCAGAAUUUUUGGAAAAAAAGGGGGGACAUCCCAUCUAUACCAGGAGCCUUGUUGCUAUCCAUAGAGAAAAUUGCAGAUUUGAUUUCCUCUUCUGUUACUGCCUUAGUUAGAUCCUGGUUCAUAGCCUCAGAAAUGGAUUUUGGGAUUCCAUCUAUAAUCUCAUGGUUACUACUCUCGGUAGAUUUGGUGAAGAGUUGCCUGUAGUAGUUACCAAUUUCAGUUCCCAAUUCAUCCUCAUUUUCUGUCCAUGUACCAUCUUCCUUUUGUAGUUUCUGCAUUCUGUUCACCUUUCUUCUACUGUUUACCUGUGCAUGGAAAAAAUGAGUAUUCUUGUCUCCUUCUUGUAGCCAUUUGAGUCUGGCUUUUUGGCUCCAAAACAUUUCCUCAUCCCUGUAAGCUUCCUUCAGCUGCAUUUUGAGAGAUGCCUUUUCCUUCCUUAUACUUGCCAGUGAAGUUCCUUGAAUCUGCUCCAGCUUUUGCUUUAUACUCUCAAUCCUUUCCUUAGAGUUCCUGUUAUUAUUGUUGCUCCAUCUAAGUAAGGCAAUUCUGCAAUUCCUCACUUUUGUCUUAACCUGAAACAUCCUGGAUCCCUCUACCCUCUUGUCCCAAGCUUCCUUGAUAACUUGAACUAUUCCUUCGUUCUGAAGCCACCUUUUGUCAAAAAAAGAAUCUUUUUUUCCUGUUUCUUUCCAUGGGGAUAGUAUCCAAAAGUAGAGCACUGUGAUCAGACGCAUAGGAUUUCAGGUGAGUGCAUUUUGCUUUUCCAAAUUUCAGGUUCCAUUCUACACUGCUCAAUGAUCUAUCAAGCCUUUGUUUAAUCUCACCGUCCCCUUCCCAGUUAUUACUCCAUGUCCAAGGCUGCCCUUCAUAACCAAUGUCAAUCAGCUGAUUUUCAUGGAUAAAGUUCCUGAAGUCAGAGAAAGUCCAUUCUUCUCUUUUUCUUCCUCCCCACUUUUCCUCAUUGGAACAAAUAUCAUUGAAAUCCCCUGUAAUUAUCCAUUUGUUACCCCAUAAGUGUUUCCUUCUUUGAAUGACUGACCACUGUUGUUUCCUUAUAGAAUCAUCACAACUAGCAUAGAUCCCUACUAUCCACCAAUCACUAUUGCUGCUUUGGUCCUCUAUGUGAGCCUCUAGAGUGAAGGCCGUGUGUUGUACCUGCAAUAUUUUAGUAUGUGCACUCCAGUAUAGGACCAUACCUCCUGCCUUGUUCAUCGAUUCCACUAUAUAGCUGUGCUCAUAAUAUAGGAUCCUCUGGAUCUUUUCCAUAUAUUGUUUCCUGUUCUUAGUUUCAUAGAGAAACAUUAAUUCUGGGGAGAGGAGUCGCUUGUACUCCUUCAAAUGGGGAACUGUCAAGGGGCUCCCAGCACCUUGGCAGUUCCACACCAUAACCUUCAUGGAUUACUUGGGGUCCAGUGAAGGCUGGCACCCACCCCUUCCUUUACUCCUUCUAUUUCCCUAACUUGGUCUCCCCCUUUACUUUUUUUCAGGAUAUGUUCGCAGGUCCCAGAGUCUGUCAUGGCUUCAUCUUCCACAGCCAAUUUCCUUUUGGCCGUUCCUACUUGGAUCAGACAAUUGCUGUCAAUCUGUUGCAAAGCCUUCCUGCCCCUUCCCAUUAAUAACCUAGCUAUUUUCCUUGUUUUCCUGUCCUGUCUCUGGGAGUGUUCUACUUGAGAGCCUUUGCUGUUUUGGAACUCAGUUUUACCUUGUACCUCGCUUGGCAUAGUACUGUAACUGCCAUCUGCUUGGAUAUUUAGAUCAGCUGUUUGUUCUAACUCUAUCAACUCCCUGUCUAUCAUUAUCUCAUCAUCUCCUUUAAUCCCUUGGAAUUCUGGUUUCUUGCAUCUUUCCACCUCUUUUAGAAGCUCCAUCAUCGUGUUACUGCUAGAGUGUUGGACUCCUGCCAGACCUUCCUCUAAGAUUGUUUCCUCCACCUUGUCCAUAUCUGCCUGAUUUUCUACUAUCUUUUCCUUACUGACCAGAGCCUGAAUCUGUAGUUCUCCAUUCAAGUUCCUUGGAAUAUGGUCCACUCUCUCCGUUGGUUUAUUGUUUCCUUUAUUCCUUUCUUCCAGACUUUCCUUUCCCCUUGGAACUGUGAAUUCAUUUUCCUCUUCCUGCCUCUUUGAAUCUUUCCUUACCAGUUCCCCGUUUUCCACCCCCCAGUAUUGCCUCUUAGAUGGAGAUUUGUAAUAGUUCUUCUCCUUUUGGGGUGAAGAUUUCCCAAAUUGUACUCUCAUCCAUGGCCCAUACUGAUUCUCUUGCAGAUCAUCUCCUACUAGUAUCUUAGACUGACAGCUCUUUUCACUCUGGCCUAUUAUCCCGCAUGUGUAGCAGAAGUCAGGACACCUUUCAUAUUUGAAGUUAAUCCAUCUCUUUUGACCGUUCAUUUUGAUUGUUGUUCCACGAAGCAGAGGAUGGAGUAUGUUCACCAUGACCAGAGCCUUCAGGUGCUUUCCUUCUUUGCCUCCAUUCUGUGGUAUAACCACCUCCCUGACUUCCUUAAACACUGCACCCACUUUCUUUCCUACGUCCUUUGAUAUGCAGUGUAGGGGAAGAUUCCACAUUUGGACCCAAAGUGGUGCUAUACUAAAGGCAUUAGGAUCAUCCUCAACCCCCUCGUACCAUCUGCUCAACACAAGUAACUGAUUGUCUAAAAUCCAAGGCCCUCCAUUGAUUAUUCUUUCUCUAAUUUCCUCCCCUUGAAUUCCAAAUUGGAAGAAGUUUGGCCCUAGUUCAGUUACCUUUAGCUCUCUCGGAUAACCCCAAGCACUUGCCACAAAGUUUUUAACCCCAGUAUAGUUAGCUAUCUUAUCUCCCCUUAUUCUUCCCAGCAAACUAGCCUGGCAUUCCUGCCUGCCUAUGCGAGCAUCCCCUGCAUCCAGAUCCGUCACACAGUACUCAUGGCUAUUUAAAGCAAACUUUUGCAUGAUCUCAGUCAACUCUUCAGCCAUAAUAAUAAAAUGAUAUUUAGAUGGAAACCCACUCUCUCUGAGAUAUAAAAAGGAUCUAGCCAAGCUUAUACAGAUGAGCACUCAAAUCUGCAAACUUCCACUAGGUAAAUGCCUUUCUGGGAGAUCAGUAUAACGACAAACCAACAAAGAAGAAAAAAAGGAAAGCGAUGAAAGAAGCUAAUGCAUAGAAAAAAGUCAAAGCAUAAAACUUAAAUAACCUCAGGCUGUAAAGCAUGCAUUUAUGGCCGUAAUUCCUGUUCUGCGUCGGUCCAAAUUCUUAGCACCGACCAGCUAUAAUUAGUAUGUCCGAAGCUCCUGGAUCCUGGCCACUUUUUGUUCCGACAUCCACCAACACUAGCACCAGAUCUUGUGGGUUUGCGAACAGAUUCACGUUGAUUGGUUGCAAGAAAUUGAUUGUUAGUUCCUGGUCUGAGUCUCUGUUUUUGGAUUUUUGAAAGUUUGAAAGUUUGCACAGUUGGAAAGUUGGAGAGUUUUGGCUCCCACAAUUGGGGGGAAAAAGCUCUCGUAGUGAGAGAAAGAGCUCUCAUAGAGAGAGAAGCCCAGAUUGUCAAUAACUGGUUAUUGAACUUUAGUUUCUCCAAUUACGGGUGAUGUAUGACCUGGUGGUGCUUGCAUAGCUUUCAUUUUCUUCUUCUGCAAACCAUCAAUGUUCCAGAUACAUAGCUGCAAACAAUAUGGUGCACCAAUCAUGAGCAGUUAGCUCCUUAAUAUUUUUACAGAUGAUUUAAUCCAGACUUGGAAAAAAAGAAAAAACACCUGCCUGUGCAUCAGCUCCAGAUGAUACCAAUACAUUCAAGUUCUAGGAGAAAGCAAGCCCAGUGAUUUGUUUAUGGUGCCCCUUAAGCUUGGUUUUAACCUAUAAUUCAAAACAAGGGUCAAAAAGAAAAACAGCUGAUAGUUCCAUCUCAAGCAGGGGGAAAAGAAGACAUACAAGCCGAUAGUGAAGCUGCCACCAUAUACAAAAAAGAUCGUAAUCAACAGAUCUGUGGGCUUCUUAAUUCCAAAAGCUAAGUACACACUAACAAAAUAGAAAGCAACCUUCUUCUUAGUCCUUUUUACCAGUCAAUCUAGGGAAAAAUAUAUUUAAAGAAAGAUCAUAUGCACCAAUGUCACAACAUCUUCCCUUUAAAUGAAAACAGAGGCAUGUAAUGCACAGGAAGAAAUUAGGGUAUAUCACGCAAUACAGAUGCAAGAAAACAGGAAAAUGACAAUGGAAACGCCCAAAUAAACAUUGGUUGGAGUUUUCACAAAAAAAAAAAAGAAGACUAAGUUUUCCAUAAUCAUUUAGUAAGUCAGGCUCUUGCUCCUACUCCAGAAUCUGACUAUCACCAAACAGAAUAUAAGUUUUUAAGUUUUCCUUCCUAAUUUCCUAUUUAGUCUUAAAUUUGAGGACCUUUAGAAAUUAUAGGUGAUUUGGGCCUCCAAAUGAUGCCACAUUCAAGAUAACAAAGCACGAAAUCCUACUAUAAGGCUCAAACUGGUAUAAUAUAAUCCACAAUUGACCUAUUGUGGAAGGUUUAGGGACUUCAAAGGGGCUGUCUCAACAACAAAAGAUGUACUUUGAGGUAGACAAAGAGAAUUAGUCAAGUGAUUGCAACAAAAAUCCUGCGGCAGCAUCAUUAUCUUUAUCUAAAAGCCAUUGAAGUGCUAAAAAAACAAUUUCUUUAAAUAAGCAACAUGAUCAGCACUUUGGAAUAGGAUAAUAUGCACAGAUCCAAAGGGAUGACAAGAAAAUCUACCUCAUCAACUCUGACAUUGUAUAUUUGUAUAGUGGAAUCUUCCAUUCCUAUGGCAAUAAUAUUGUUGUCCUGAGGAUGGAAUGCCAAGUAGGUAGCUGCUAGAGGUGGAGGCAUGAAAGUAGUCAUGACCUGACCAAAAUUCAAGGAAUUGGAUUUGUCAUCUUAAACCAUCAGCAGAGGUCAGACAAUGCAAACAAUGGGCACAAUGGCGUUAGGUACAGAGGGUAACAACAUACCUUAAACGUCAUCAUAUUGAACAAAGAGACCUUGCCACCAGGUGCAGACAUGACGUAAGAGUCAUUCCUUGAUAAAGCAAUGCAUGCGGGUGACUCUUCGGCUGGUUUGGCUUCACUUACAUCAUUAGACAGAUCCAAUAAAAGAAUUAACUCUCAGUCAAAUAUUUAAAUAACUAAAGGUUGAUACUUCAAGAAUUAGGGAAUCUGAGUUUAAAUCAAUUGUCCCCCCUCCUCGCUUCUCCCGUACCAACCCUCCCAUGUUGAUAAAAAAAACAAAAAAAAAGAUUGAGAUGCGUGAUUAGAGAUUUUAAUUCAAGAAUUACAUGGACAGAAUCUCAAUUGGCAAAUAUGCCAUUUUUAGUGUUUCAUCAAUAUCAGACGUAAUUUGUCUGUAGUUUUAUUUUAAGCUUAUCCUAACAGGAACAAAUUAAUGAAUUUUCAAAUUCAAUCAAGACAACAUGGGAAUGGUUUAAAUAAAAGAACUCUGCAUUAGUUCGUUGCAACCAUACAACAAAGGGAUUUCAGUUGGGAUAACACAAGUGCAAAAAUUCAUGGAAUUAGUGGUCCCAAAUAAGAAGUAUGGUCUGGAAUCUUUGUACAAAAAACAAAGUCAAUUAUUCAAUCUAAGCCACAUCUGAGGAAUGAUGGAUGCAAUAGACUGAUAUGCACAGAACAUACAACACGGAAGAAAGAAGAUACAAAAAAUGGGAUAUAUCAGAUAAGGUUAAACCGAAGGAAAAGAGAACAGAAGUGGAAACAACAUGCUGAAAAUCCAACCUUUCCAGAAGGAUUCCGUUCACUGCGCUGCCAUUUCCAGAGCCUAUGAAGAGCAUUAGAGCCCAACACCAACAGAGCAAGACCAGAAUUUGUGUAAAGCAAACGCAAAAUCUGUAAUUCCCAUAUUUUUUGCUAAACAAAAGUACCAAGGGUAUCCGUUGAUAAAGAACUUUCAAAGCAUUACACACAGCAAGAAAUUCUAUCAAAUAUAGGAUAAUCGCAUUUGACACUGAGACUUACACACUAGAUACAGAUACCCCCUCAACUUCCGAUUGCAGCACUUUAAUACCUCAUUCAACUUUUUAGCGCAUCAUGAUAUCACACCAACACCAGGCACAAUAAAUACAUUUUCAUCAGGAGACAUGAAUGCAUAUACAUCAAUAACCUUAACUCACCCUCUCUCUCUCUCUCUCCAAUUUUCUCAUCCUUAUGCCUUUGGAAGAGGUUUAAGGUUUUAGAAAGGAGAUAAUCUGUGAUUGAGAGGUUUGGUCAUUAUGGUGGCUUGAAUGCAGCUAGCGAAAUUGGCAACUGGCUAUAGGGUAACUGGUUGGGAGGCGCUAAAUUGUUGCUGGGACAUGUUACAUAAAACAGGAAGUGGGAUAUGCUAUGCUGUUCACUGGCUGGGUUAAGUUGACUUAUGCAAUCAAAUUCUGUCCUACAAUGAAUGCCUUCCCAAGAAAACGAAAAUUAUUUCAAUAAAAGUGAGGAUCCCACCCAUGUACCAUGCAUAUACCUUGCUAGCAGCCAGAGGGUCAGGCAACCUUGGCGUCUUGAGUUGAUUUGCCUCAGCUAUAUCAGAAAACUUCCAGCAUUUAAUUCUAUCAGCAUUAUCUGAAAUCCUUGGUUUGACAUCAGCUAUUGUGCUUCCAUCCAUGGCAGCCUGUAAAUGAGUCAGAUCAAUGAGUGAGCCAAACAGAGCACAGCAACAACAUUGAAGAUGGAUGUACAGACAGAAAUCAUCAAUUAAAAGACAAAAGUUUUUAAAGAUAAUGGAAUGGGAAAAACAGAAUACAAGAUUUCCAAUGGAUAAUGAUUGUUGAAUUCUGUCGGUUCGUUCAAGAAUUGAAGCAACAGGGGCAGCAACAUGACCAAUAGGGCCCAAAGAACCAUCAAUUGCAGGCUGCAGAAAACAAUGCAAAUAAAUCAUGUGAUGCCUUCUGCAAAAAAAAAGAAAACAAAUAAAAAGAGAAGUGCAGGUACUUAACAUUGACUUGUUCAGAGAAAGCCCUGGAUUCCUCGAAUGUUCUGCUCUCCAGCAUCCUCAACAAGUAUUGUCCAUCUGUAUUCACCAAUAUUUUGAUUCCAUUUUCUCUUGUUGUAACAGCAAGCAGUGAUCCUUCUUUGUUGAAUCUCGGGCUAGGACUUCCCUGAAACGACAAAAAAAAUUCAUUAAUUUUGAAUUUGCGAAGUUGCAGUAAAAGGCUUAUCAACAAAAUAUGGUUGUUUUCAAAAGUGAUACUUACAGGCAAUCCCCCAUCAGCAUCGGUGAAAGUUAUCGCGUGGUUAUUAUCCAUGUCCCAAAACUUAAUCUGAAACUCAUCAUCAGCAGCUAAGAAACGAUUCCUUCUAUCAAAUUGCACCACACCCAGUGACCGUUUCCUAAAACCAGAGUAUGUCUUCUUGACGGCUCCUUCUCUCUCAUUCCAUUCAACAAGGUGGGAUUCACCUUCUUUGCUCGUCCCACAAGAGAACAAUCUGAAGCAAUAACAGAUUGAUGAAGCAACUUUGGAGAAAUCAAAAAAGAAAAAUUUAAAAAGUCAGAGAGCAGAACCACCAAUGCUUUCCAAGGAAAAAGUAUGCAAAAGAAAAGAUCACAGAGUGCUAAUUUUCACCAUGAUAGAUUUUGGCUUCAGAAGAACAUCUCAAGGGUUACACGAAAUGUUUAAACACUAUUAAGUUGUUCCUUACUUCAGAUUUACAGCUUUCACAAGUCGCAUAGUCGAUGACUUGGGGACUGAGAAACAAUCUAUGUGGGGACUGGAGUUGGGCAUGUGGUGACCAAUCAGUCACUAGGCUGUGAAAAGUCCCCUUGAAUGGUGGAGCUUUCGCUAGUCUAGUGUCUUUUAGCUGAUUUAAGCUAUACAUUACUAAAAGAAAAGAGGAUAUAUACACCUAAAAAUUAAAGGCUCAAGAUCUCGUGCAUCCUGAUGCAAUGCAGCAUGUCAUGCAUCCACACUUUCUAUUGGCUGGCAGAACUAAUUACAAAAGUUUUGAGCUUGGAUCCGUUAAAACGGAGGGAAUGAAGGAAAAUGGAAGUUUGGAUUUAACAUUUAACUGAGGAAAUUACUCUGGAAAAUGUGUAAUUUGGCGAGAAAGAGAGCACAAGAACUAACAAAUAGUGCAGGAACCAUUUCUUCAUGCUAAUAAAUGUCGACUGCCAAUCAAUUUCAAAUUGCAGAGGAAGAUUCUAAGCUAAACCUGCGGAACCAACAAAUCCGUGGUCUUUUUCCUCCUCCUGCGAUCAAGACUAAGUAAAAUUGCGAGAAAAUAUGAGAUUGAACAAUCCCAGCUUUGUACUUUCUUGUGGGAACAUUUUGCACCCAUAAGUGUUCCUUUCACAAAUAUAAUAAAAUGUUUUGGGCAAAUUUCACUUUACCCCCUUGUGGUUUAACAUUUUUUUACAUAAUCCUCUUGCGGUUUUAAAAGCUAUACAAAAUCCCCUUCUGAUUUGGAUUAAAGUGUCAAAGUGACGGGAAUGACCAUUCGUAAUGGAGUCACCUAAAAUGUCAAAAAUACUCUUAUGUAAAGUUGAAAAUUAUUUAUUAACCAAGAGGGGUUAUGUGUAUAUUUUGAAAAUCAUAAGAGGGUUAUAUGGUAAAUGAUUAAACCAUAAGGGGGUUAUAUAGUAAAAUAUAAAAAUCAUACGAGAUUAAUGUGUCAUGUAUUUAUAAGGAUAAUUUCGACAUUUUUAGAAGUUUCGUUACGAGUGACUAUUUCCGUCACUUUGACACUUUAAUUUAAACCAUGAGGGGUUAUGUAUAACUUUUGAAAUCAUAUGGGGGUUAUGUAAAAAAUGCUAAAUCACAGGGGAUAAAAUGUAAUUUGUCCAAAUGUUUUUUAAAAAACUGCCCUAGGUACAUCUUACUCAUUUUCCAAAAACUGCAUAAUGACAAGUCUUUCCUGUUACUGAAUCAAUAAAGAAUUACACUCAUUUGAUUUAACUUGAUAAGAUUAAUUUGGUUAUUUAAAAAUUUAAAUAGUAAAAUUUGUGAAUAGUAGAUUAUAUUAGGUGACUUGAAGAAGAGAUUAUUAGAUUCAGGCAUAAGGUUGUUUAUCCCACGUUGGUUUGAGAGUAAGAAAAAGAACGCUUAAUACAUAAAUAGUGCCCCGAAACUUUCUACUUUAAAAUUUUUUGGGCCAAGUUUGGAUUUCUGAUAUGAUGUAUUAAUUCUAUUUGGCCUUUCGGGUUCCAAACAGAGACGGGGUCCUAUGGUAGAGCCACUUUUGACCUGCAACGGAUCCACUGUACCACACUCUGUCUCACAUCCUAUCCCACUCCUUCUAAUCUUGCCAAGUGUCCCUUUAUAAACCAAAUCCUGAAGCAACCAACUCGGACUAUAUUUAAUUAGUUAACCGAUUAAUUGGGCAGAAAAACUUAAUCUCUGUAACCGGUUGUCAACUAAAAUAAAAACCCAAUCACAAAAUUAGAGAUUAAACAAGGGGAAAAAAACCACGAAACCUGAGUCGUCAUCUCCACCAUACCCUUCGAAACAAAAGAAUCAGAUAUCACUCCUUCUCAAAAGCAUCUUUCGGGUGAAACUCAUCAUCUCAUCAGCGUGUUUCGGGAAAGGCAAUUGAAUGACGCUCACCACCUGUUCAUUGAGAAAUCCAAAUUCAUGAUGGUUCUCUGCUUCUUCAUUGAAUAAUAAUUACCCAUAUUUUAUCCAGCAAAUCGUUGAGAAAAUAAAAAGGAUCCAUGAAAUUAAGAACUAUCUUGGACGCAGCAGGCCAGAGAUUAACACUUUCAGCAUCUGGGAAAUACCAAUGCAUAAGAAAAUCGCCACUCCAAAACCUUUUCUGCUAAACGAAAGCUAGUCUUCAACUGAACAGUGGGAGUAGGUGAAUUUUCCUUCAAAUAGUUACUCUUUUCCUCUGUGGGCAACUCAAAGAAUCUAUGCAAAGGGAUUGAUGGGUUCGUCUUGUUUCAGUCGUUAAGUUUCGGGAUUUCUUUUUUUAAAUCUCUGUUGAUUGAAGAUCUAUUUGCUUAAGAUGUUUUCUGUUCAAAAAUUUUUGUGCUUUUGUGUUUGUAUUGUACCUGUUGAAUUGUGAGUGAUAUCUGAUGAGAUGAUGAGUUUCACCCGAAAGAUGCUUUUGAGAAGUGACAUCUGAUUCUUUUGUUUCGAAGGGUAUGGUGGAGAUGACGACUCAAGUUUCAUGGUUUUUUUCCCCUUGUUUAAUCUCUAAUUUUGUGAUUGGGCUUUUUAUUUUAGUUGAUAACUGGUUACAGAGAUUAAGUUUUUCUGUCCGAUUAAUCGGUUAACUAAUUAAAUAUGGUCCGAGUUGGUUGCUUCAGGAUUUGGUUUAUAAAGGGACACUUGGCAAGAUAAGAAGGAAUGGGAUAGGAUGUGAGACAGAGUGUGGUACAGAGGAUCCAUUGCGCUUUUGACCAUGGUACAUCCUGAACCUGAAACUUCCACUUCAACACGUUUUUUUUUUUUUUGUCAGACUUUUUCAAAGUUAGCAAAUAAACCUAAUCCCAAAGUUAACCUCAAAAGCCGGCAACUCUUGAGGCAACCUUGGGGACUUAUCUACCCACCCCUCAAACCCCUUAGAAGCGAUGUGAUAAUAUCACUAGCCUCCCUUGAAGUUUGUAAAAUUACACAAACCUCUCUUAAGGUUAAGGUUUUGAUAACAAAUUAGUCUAAUUAGAAAAAGUAACAUUAAAAAAGUACUUUAAGAAAAGAGAUGAAACUUUGAUUCCAUAAAUACCCCUUAUACAUGUAUAUAAAUUAUAUUAGUAAAAAAAAUAAUUAAAAUUUAGAAAUAAUUAAUACACAUAUUUUAUCACUCACAAAGUUCACAUUUAACAAAUUAGACAACACAAAUAAAUAAAAACUACACUAAUGAUCACAAGAUUCAACAAAAUAGACUAGUCAUCUUUUUUAACAUGAUGUUUGCUAUGAUUUUUAUGAUUUUAAACACAAAAAUUUUUUAAUUUUGCUUUUCUUUUCCCUUCAUUCCCCAAAAUAGACUAAUCAUACCCAGAAUAUAAAAUCCACCCCCCUCUUAGUUCUUAAAUUUUAACCGUUGGCACUCUAUAGCUAAAGUAUGAAAUUUAUCUAGUAGUUUUAAUUCCUAAACUUUGAGUAUCACUUGCUUACUAUUUCAUUAGUUUUGAUAUUUUUGUAGGAUGGAUUUUAUAUUUUAGAAAGUAAGGUGUGCAAAACUAAAGUGCAAUGUAUUUUAAACUUUAGGAGGUAAAGCGUCUAAAAAUAAAGUUUAAAAGUUGAGUCGAAUGUAUCUACUAUUUAAGGGAUCAAAGUAAAGUUUACUUUAAGUAUCUUGUAGUCAUGUAGUAAUUUCGAUCUACUUUCUUAUUCCAUUGCUUGGAAAAAUUCUAGACUAUAAGUCAACAGGUUCACUUAUUGUAAUACAACACGGCCAGGAAACUCAUAAGCAAUUUCACUCUACUUUUUUUUAUUCAAUAACAAAUAGUGACCCCUUAUAUAUAGAAGUUGACCUUUGACAAAAAAAAAAAAAAAAUAGUGACCCCUUACCUGCUACUACUACUUUGUCCGUUAUGAUGGACCGUCUCCAUUGCAAAAAGUCUUGCACUUAUGGUUUGUAUUUUGGUUGAAAUCAUCAUCUUUCUCUGAAUGCUCUCUUCUCCUUAUACUUAAAUUUUGAGUGAGCAGGUGCACGACAUACUGGGAAUUUUUUGCACGUUCAUCAGAUCAUCAGCUAUUACAAGAGAUUUCAUUUUCUCCCAAGUAAGUGCUGAAUUUUGUUUCAUUUUCUUAAACUUAAAGUUUUUUUUUUAAAUCGUAGCUUCACCAUAUGGAGCGAUUUCUUUUGCAAAUUCUACAGAUCAGCUAUUGCCAGAGUACUCAUUCAUUCAAAAGUAAGCGCUGAGUUUCUUUUCGCUUCAUCAAACACGUCUUUUGAUUCAAAAUAUAGCCUCUGUGUUGUGUUUUUAACAUUACUUCUACGAGUAUAUUCUUGUUUGCUACCAAAUAACCUUUAGGGCUGGGAUUUGGCUUCCUGUUAUUCAUGUUUUGAUACAACAGUUUGGAAGCAUGUGCUUUGUACAUUACCCGUGUUUCUUUGUAUAUAAUUAUUUUGAGUACUAUAUUUUCAUGAAAGAAGUAAGAAGGGUAAAAUAUAUAAAUAUUUAAACUUGAUGAAGGCAUUAUAAUAAUUUUGUUUGGAUAGGGUAUUAUUUGAAAUAUUAUUUGGAAUAACUACUGUAGUACUUUUUGUGAUGUGAUGUAUGUGAGAUAAAAAGGUGAUUGGAAAUAUAAAAAGGUGGGUUGGAAAAUGUGUUUAUGAUGCAAGCGAAAUAUUAUUUGGGAUAAUUUUACUAUCCAAACAAAUUGCAUUAAUGGUUAUCUUGUCGGCAGAUUUUAAGAGUCCUUUUGGUCAUAUUCUCAAAUUAAAUUCACAUUGGAUGGUGAAAUAAUAAUUGUUUUAGUCUUUUAGACUCUUCGAUCAUUUUAAAAUUUGAACCACUGUCGUUUCUUAAGAGCUAAAAUUGUAGGAAUAAUUGUCUGAAGGGACCAUAUAUAGAAGUUUCCUAUCUGUUCAGAUUUUGAUUAUUUUUAGUCUAUCUUUUACAGGAUUUUUUCUGGGUUUCGCAACCUUUUUUUUUUGGGAUUAAUAUGCCAGGUGACUGAUGGCUGUCAACUAUGAGAACCUUUUUUAUUUUAUUUUAUUUUAUUUUGUUAUCAUAAGGUUUAAAACAUUUCAUUUCUGUAUUUGAUGAUAUCGAGCUUUUUGUACAUAUACCUUAUACCCAAAAAAAAAAAAUUGCCCUUUUCCUUUUGACAUCCCUCUCCUUGCCCCUAAGAACUUAAUUAACAUUCACUUUCCAUUUCCUCUUUUGUAAUUUUCAGGUCACACUUGAUGGAAGCGUUAUUGGAAAGUCUGGUAAAAUUUCUGAAUUCUCCCAUAAUCCAGGAGGAGCUUGGAUUGCUUUGUGGUAUUGAAACAGAGUUACAAAAGCUUUCAAGCUUGCUAUCAACAACCAAAGCAGUGAUUGAAGAUGCCGAGCAGAAGCAGUUUACUGACAAGGCAAUUCAGCUUUGGCUGCAGAAGCUCAAUCUUAUUGCUUAUGAAGUCGAUGACAUAUUAGAUGAUUAUGCAACUGAAGUCUCGAGAGAACCGAAGUGCAACAACAUAUGUUGCAAUGUAUUGGAUUGUCUUCCAGCAACAUCAAACAUAUGGUUUCGGCACAGGCUUGGAGCAAGGAUGAAGGAAAUCAAUGGAAAAUUUGAUGCAGUUGCUGAUGAGAGAAUAAAGCUUGGAUUAAGUGAUCAGAAGCGUGGGAGCAACCACUUUUUGCUUGAUUCCACUGCAACACGUGAGACUGGUUCCUUGCUAAAUGAACCUGAUCUAGUCCUUGGAAGGGACGAGGAGAAAGACGAGAUUGUGAAAAUAUUGGUGAAUCAAGUCAGCGAUAAUCAAAAUGUAUCAGUGCUCCCUAUAGUGGGUGUUGGAGGCCUUGGAAAGACAACACUUGCACAAUUGGUCUUCAAUGGUAAGCGCGUAAUUGAGCAUUUUGAGCUAAAACUCUGGGUUUGGGUUUCAGAGGAUUUUGAUGUGAAGAGGAUAAUAAAAGCCUUAAUUGAGUCUGCAAAAGGGACUUCUGCUGAAGCCCUAGGCAUGGAUCCUCUUCGAAGAAAACUUCAAGAGUUGUUGAGAGGGAAAAGAUACUUGAUUGUACUGGAUGAUGUCUGGAAUGAGAAUCCAGAGGAAUGGGAGAAACUGAAAUCUGUUCUGGAAUGCGGCUCAAGAGGUAGUUCAAUUGUCACAACAACUCGUGUGGAGAAGGUUGCCACAAUAAUGGGCACAUUACAGAAACAUUAUCUGUCAAGUUUGUCAAACAAUCAGUGUUGGUCAUUGUUUAGGCAACGGGCAUUUGGUCGUCAAGAGGCAGAAAAAUAUCCUAACCUUAUAGCCAUUGGAAAAGAGAUUGUGAAAAAAUGUGGUGGUGUUCCACUAGCUGCAAAGGCUCUCGGAGGCUUUCUACGAUUCAAGAGAGAAGAAACUGAAUGGAACUUUGUGAAAUCUAGUGAGCUUUGGAACUUACCUGAAGUUGAAACACAUAUCUUGCCCGCAUUGAGAUUGAGCUACCUUAAUCUUCCGGUAGAGUUGAGAGGUUGCUUUGCAAAUUGUGCAGUAUUUCCCAAGGGCUCUGAAAUUGAAAAAGAAGAGGUAAUACAUUUGUGGAUGGCAAAUGGAUUGAUUUCAUCUAAUGGAACGAUGGAAGUGGAAGAUGUUGGUGAUGCUGUGCUGACUGAACUACAUUAUAGAUCACUGUUCCAAGCUAUGGCGAAAGAUGAGUUUGGCAGUGUCCUCACUUUUAACAUGCAUGACCUUGUCCAUGAUCUAGCUCAAUCUGUAAUGGAGGCGAAACAAGGUGGAACAGAGUCAAAAAGAACCAUGAUGUUGUUUCUGGGACAUCAGCUAACAAUGGCUUUUCCUAUUACAAGCACAGGCAUUGAUCAGUUUUCUUCUUUCUUGUCAAAAUGUGGUUCCUUGAGGGCGCUCAUUGUAAGCUCAAUGUGGUUGAAAGAACAAUUUAUGAAGUUGCCACUUGCAGUAAGCAACCUGCAACAUUUGAGGCAUCUAAAUCUUUCAAGAUCUGAAAUUGUUGAACUACCCAAAUUCAAUUUGUGACUUGUGGAAUUUACAAAUUUUAAACCUAAAUGAUUGUGCUGAACUUCAAAGUCUACCCAAAGGCAUGAGAUUCCUCAGAAAUCUUCGACAUCUUUGUCUACGAGGGUGCUUGGGAUUGACUCACAUGCCAAGUGAAAUGGGGAAGUUGACUUGCCUACGGACGUUGAGUAUGGUCAUCCUGGGUGGCAAAAGAGGCUUCCGACUAAGUGAGUUGAAAGACUUAAAUAUGCUUAGAGGAGAGCUAUCAAUUAGGCACAUUGAGAGGGUUGAAGACAAAAACGAUGCAGAAGAAGCUUGCUUAAUUCAAAAACAGUCUCCGCAAGUUGUAUUUGGAUUGGGAUUCUGAAAGAAUGUUUGAAAGGCACAAUGAUGUGGAAGUGCUCAAAGCCUUGAAACCCUGCCCCAACCUUCAAUUGCUGCAUACACAAGGCUUCAAUGGUUCAUCUUUUCCACCUUGGAUUUCAACUGUAACAAAUGUUUAUGUGCUCCAAAGUGCAGCGGAGUACAUAGUUGGGGCCCAGGAGAGUACUGCCGCUGUUGCUGCAAUGUCCCCAUUGUUGAAACAACUGCAGUUAACGAGGAUGCCCAACCUAGAAGGAAUGUUAGGAAGAGAAGUCCAAGGUGCUGCUAAUACUCCGGGGGUAUUCUCUCAACUUCAAUACUUGUCUUUUGUUUAUUGUCCAACGUUGACAUUGCCAUUGCCACUUAUCCCAUCCCUACAGAAGUUACUUGUCUGGAAAUGCCCGAACAUGGCAUGGGCUUCAAUCUCCAAUCUCACUAGUCUUAAAUCCCUUAUAAUUAUGGACAUUGAAGGAUUGAGUUGUUUUCCAGAAGAGAUGCUACAAAAUCUUAGCCUUCUUGAAUCCCUGGAAAUUAGGGAGAUGAAGAAUCUUCGAGCCUUACCCAGAAGCUUGGCUAGCCUCACGGCUUUGAAGGAGUUGGCCAUCGCGCACUGUGCCCAGCUGAAGUCUCUACCAAAAGAAGGAUUGCGAGGCCUUGCUUCUUUGCAGAGUUUCAAUAUCUACGAAUGCUAUAAUUUGGUGAGUCUCUCAAUGGGGACUAAAGCCCUCAAAUCCCUAACUCAUCUACGCAUUUCAAGGUCAAACGCGAUAACUCUGCCAGAGGAAGUCAAAUAUUUGCCCGCACUACAAAAACUAGAGCUGAAUGAUUUUCCCAAUCUAACUUCAGUGCCGGACUGGUUUGGAAACCACCUAACUUCUCUUCAAGACUUGACACUAAAAUAUUGUCCCAAGCUUGAAACACUUCCAUCCAGCAUUCAAAUGAUGACAACACUCCAAAGUUUGACUAUAUUUGGCUGCGCCCUGUUGGGACCACAGUGCAAAAGGAAAGGAGAGGAAUGGCACAAAAUUAAGCACAUCCCGGACCUGAGUAUUUGAUAAUACAAUUAUGUAUGUGUGGGCCUGCUUAUAACAUAAUUAUGUAAUAAAGUAUUUGUGUACUGUCCUGUAAGUGUGGAGAAGACCAACACUAGUACGUAAUUGAUACAAUGCCUACUUGAUAUGAAUUUAGUCAUUUGCUAGAGGUUGUAUUAAAUGAAGAAGAUAUUUGGGAUUUCAUUGCAGUUCUAGUAUUUUUUUUCAUAAUGCUAUUACUUUAGACCAUCCACAUUUGAAAAUGUAAGAUUAAUUAUGGAAAAUAAAUAAAUACAAGAAAGUGUAGGUAAAAUUAAAUAGGGAAAACAUAUAAAUGCAAAGGAGAAUAAUAAUUAUUGAUAUGUAUAUAUACAUUAUAAAUUCGAUGAAUUUUAGAUGUGUUAAUGGGUGCCCUUGACCCAAAGAAAUAACCAUGAAAAUUUUUUCCCUAAAAAAAAGAAGAAAUGAUCUAUGAUUGAAAAUCCGAAGUAUCAUGUAACUUUUGAUUGAGAACAAACAUAUUAUGACUAAUCUGGAACCAGAAACAUAGCAGUAGGCUUAAAUGAAGAAGAUAUUAGUAUUUGAUUAAAAAUGUUAGUUUCUCAUAAUGCUAUCGCUUUAUACCAUCCACAUCUUACUUGCAACUCAAAUAACGAAACUAUGGUUGGAUGAAGCUCAUAAUCAUAUCAAGAAUGCUACUUUAUAUCUUGUAAUUUCAUGUGCACAUGACUGUUUAACAUUUGAGCAGUUUACUAUAGGAUUUCUUUCUUGUAUAGUUUUAUUCACAAAUAAUUAUCUAAGAAAACAAAAUUUCAGAUUUUGUAACCUAUCCAUUGAUAAAAAAAAAUUUUAAAUGUAAAAGAUGGUCAGGCAUUACAAAAAAAAAAAAGGGGAAGAAAUAUGAUUAUAUUUUAUAGUAAUAUAUUUUUGUAAAGAUAAGGAAAAUGCCAAGGAAAUUCCGUAUUGUAUGCCGAGGGUGCUGUCCAAUAUCGAGCCUCGUCUAAAGAUAUUCAAAUUGCACCAUUAGUUAAUUCCUUUGCAAAAACUAGGUAGACAGUCUAAAUCCACUUGGCAAACAUUAGUUAAUUCCUUAGACCUACUCUAGUUUUUCUUUUCUUUUCGUCUUAUUCUCUUUUCUUUUCUUUUUUUUUUUUUGAAUUCCUCUAGGGGCUCUGAUGGCAUCCCUCAUGAGUUCACCUUCUCUAAAAAAACAAUUGAUAGAAUAUAUUCUAAACAAAAGUGUUACAAUAAUAUUUUCUGUAAAAAUUAUUCUACAUAGACACAAUUAUGUUGACCUAUUUGUUUGGGUUUGGAUAUAAAAGUUUACCUAAAAGCUGAAAGAAAUUCAGCAGCUGUAACCCAAGUGCACAGGAGCAAUCACCAAAAAAAUAAAAUAAAAAUGUAAAUGAUGGGCCUCGUAUACCUGGACUUUCCAAGGGGACCGAAAAUGGUAGAAGACUCGCAGACCCAUGACAUGAGUUGGAUACAUGACCGACAUUUCUGGCCCAUAUGUCAAGGCAGAAACAGCUUUGCAAACCAACGUAACUGACCAAACAGUCCAAUGCAAACUAGUGUUCAUUAAUUUAGGUUACGUUUGGAUCAAGAGAUUUGACGAAAAAUUUAAAAUCCUUUCAUAUUUUUUCUAGUUAUUUAGAUUAUUUUAAAGUUAUUUAGAUUAUUUUAAAGUUAUUUGGAUUUAUAAAUUAUCAAUUAUUUUAGUAUUCAAAAUGCAUUUAAACAAUCUGUAAAUUACAAAUCCAAAUGUCUCUUAAGAUAUCUAAAGAAUUAAAAUGAUUUGAGGGGAUUUCAAAUUCUUAAUCAAAUUUCUCAAUCCAAGCAAAGCCUAACUGAAGUAGUUUGAAGUAAUGAAUUCUGUACUAAUAUGAAGGGAGAAACCUUUCUUGGUUGCAGAAAUUUCCAUCGACUUGCGGUGAAGUUUAAGCAGCAAAUAUUGACAAUUCAGGCUAAAGAUGAGAUUGUAUAUACAUUUUCUUACUAAACUGAGUUAAGGGACCUAAGAAUAUUCUCUCAGUCAAACAUUUGAAUAAAAAAAAUAGAUUAAUCCUUUUUAUACUAAUAGUAGUAUAUACACUAUCAAUUUUGGAUGAAUGACAAUUAUGUAAAAUUUGAAUUUAAAAUCUAAUUUUUACACAUGUUAUAGAUCCAAUGGUAAUAGUGUAUACACUGUCAGUGUAUAUAAGAUUUACUCAUUAUAUGUUUUCCUACUACAUAGGCAGCAUACUAAUUAUCAAAAGAAAAGAAAUAAUCAUUCAAAUUAACCCCUCCUCUCCUCCUCCUCUUUAGAAAAAACUCUCUAAAUAAAACUCUCUUCAACUCUCCUAUGGGAGAGAGAUCAAAUUUUUCUGAUCUUUUUCCAUUGGAGGAGCCCUCUCUAUAGCUUUUUUUUUUUAAUUGUGUGAAUAAAAUCUCUCCUAAGAUUUUCUAGUGAGAGUUUCUUUUCUUUUAGGGUUGUCUAGUGAGAGUUUUCUUCUCUCCUAAAUUUUUUUAGUUAGAGUUUUAUUUUCUCCUGAAAAAUAUAUAUUUUCCUACUACAUAUAUAGGUAUAGUACUAAUUGAUAACUAUUUAAUAUAGAUCUCCCAAUGAUUUACCUAUGUGUUUUAUUUAGUGCCUCCAAUCUUUUGAUCAUGGAUAUUAAUUAUUAACAAAAUUAUAAAAGACAUUCCAAAAAAUAGUUUCUCUUUUCAUAGAAGUAUAUCUAAUUUUCUUUUACAAAACUUACGCAUAACAAAGGCCUUGUUUGGCAAGCAAGUUUUUGGCUAAGUUUGUCUUCUACAAGUUUUUUAACAACUUUAACUACAACUAGGAGGCAUAAAUGCGCUUUGCGCGAUGGAAAUAUAAAAUGCCCUGCCCAAUUUUAUAGAGAGCAAAAAGCAAAAUAUAUGAAGUAUUAAAAAUAAUAAUUUAUCUAGAAAAGAUAUGCUGAUUAUUAGUAAAAUUCAAAAGGAAUAGAUCCUUGAACAUGUAGUGUACAGAGUUAAAUCUGUUCAGUAAUUUGUUUUGCAUAUAAAAACUAUUUAUAAAAGAAAUUGCACUGAUUAAUUAUUAGUUGAAAAAGAAAAAGAGGACAUCAAAGUUACAGAAAAACAUUCAAACAUUCACUAUCAAAAUUGGAUAGGUACAGUCAAUAGCUUAAUGACCAAUUUUGGGUCUAAACAUGCAUUAUGAAACCUUGAUUCGCUUAAUAAUUCCAACAACUUGCUAAACAUCAAGCUUCUAAUGCUAAAUGCAACACAAAAUCUGCUAUGUGAAGCAAUGUGUGGUGACUUUACUUACGAAAUACAAAAUUACUUCUUCCCUUCUUAAAGCAGUUCAUUUAUUUGCUUGUAGUUUAAGACCCGCUCUUAUUGCAAGCCAAGAAUUUGACAGUUACAAAUGAUCACCCAUAAAACAGAUUAGCAUAAAAUGCAAAAAAACUGUACACAAACACAAAAAAGUAAGCAGCGUACAACGGAAAUGGCAUCUGAGCCAUAUUAAUCAACAACCUACCUACUACAAAAUAUCUGUGGUUGAGUUCUUUAUAACAAGGACAACUACACAUUUAACUAAAAAUAUCUACUAAAACUGUUCUCUAGAAAAAGGCUGAACAAAUUAAAAAAUUACAAUAAUCAAUUUACAUUGAGUCACACUCCUAAUCAGACUACAUGAAUGCCUAACACAGCAUGUAUAACAGAUUCCUUCUUCUUAGCUGCUCAACCACAUGAUCACCCAGUUCAACAUUCUGUAACAAAAAAUCACAAGGAUAAUCAUAAACCGCAUAAGUAUGAAUAGCCAAUAUACCCCACAAUGUAAAUUAAUCUCUUGACUCCAUUGCAAAAUAUCAAUACCACAAUGUAAAAUAUGCACAAGACCAUGACAACCAUUAAGAACAUCAUUUUUCACAAUCCAAAUUCUAUUCCUUCAAUAGAAAAAUAGACACACAAAGAAUUUCCAUUUUAUACAAAAUCAAGAGACAACAAGCACAAAAUUUCCUUCAUAUAUCAUAUUGUCAAACACCAAAAGCAAUUAAACCCAAAAAUUUGAGGUAAAAAAUUCAAAACUGCAAUGAAAAUUGGAUUCUCAUCAAUCAGAACCUAUUUCUUAUGGAAUCCACUAAUUAAUCACAAAUGACCAAUCCUUCAAGCCUUGGAACCACCAAAGUAUCAAAACAAAACAUUACAAAAAAAAAACAAAAAUAAAUUUGCAUGCACGAAAACGAGAAAAAGAAGAGGAAACCAAGCAAAAGGCACUAAACCACCAGUUUUUUUAAAAAAAAAUCUCCCAAGGGAAAAAAAUGCACUAACGUUUCAAACCACCAAAGAUCUUCUCAUGGAGAACACAAAAGGAUUAUAGGAGCAAUCUACUUAUUCUGAAGCCGGAGUCCAAGAAAUUGGAAAUCUAAACACAAAAAAGAAGCUGGAGAAGAUUAAGACAAUGAUGUAACUAUAGGCCCAAGGAAAAUCAAACAAUCAAAUCACAACCUUAGUUAAUUUUCAAACCGAGUUGUAAUUCAAUUAGAUGUAAUUUGUAUCCGAGUUGUAAUCAACUCAUCUCUAAAUUGUUCUUCAACAUUUCAUAGAAGCAAGUACUUGAAAAUCAUAUGAUUAGGAGAUCAACACGGCACAAUCAAAGAGAGAAAUUUCAAUGCUAAUUUCUGCUCUCUAGUAUAUAAAUUAUACAUCUGAUUAAGCCAGCCACCUAUUACCAUAUAUUUGUUAUUCUGCUUAUGAGAGAAACUGAAAAAUGGAGUCUAGUUUAAAGCGAAAUUUAGAGAAGAAAAUGAGUAUAUAACUCAUUAAAUAACCAAUUCUUCAAGGCCUACAACCACAAAUCAAAGCAAAAAAAAAAAAAAAAAAAAAAGAAAACAACUUGGCAUGCACAGAAGAGAAAACCAAGCAAAAAACACUAAACCGCCAUUUUUUGAAAAAAUCAUCCCAAGGAAAAGCAAAUACAACAAACCAAGACGUAAAAAACCACCACAUCAGUCCAAGUUCCCAAAAAAAGAGGUGGAGAUGGAUAAAUCAUCACAAUCCGUCAUAGUACUACAUAGAAACUGGACACAUUAUGCUGCAAUGCCUAAAUAGUUUAAAAUUUUUUUGGCAAAAGAGUUUAAAAAAAUAAUAAUAAGAAGAGGAGGUUAUGAGAACUAAACAUGGAUCAAAAUAUAAGGUAUAAAGUUGUUCUGUCUGCUUCGUUUUGUAAGUUGAAUGUGACUGAACAUGCAUAUAAGUAACAGAGCAACACAAGGAACGACAACUAUUUGCAAGAUGCUGAAAAUAUUCGAUAAGAUAUAGUGUUUAGGGGGGAAAAAGGGACACAAAUUAUGCAAAGAACCAGAUUUUGAUGUUAAACAAACGAGAAAAAAAAAAGAUUUUAGAGCACUUGGACAUUGACAGGUUCAAAAUAAGAAUGUAAAAUCUGAGAAAUCACCUUCGAGCAUAGCAAUCCCUCAUUGCACAUCUUCCAACUGUGUAGAACGAACAAGAACUCGUGACAAUCACAUAAGGAAUAAAAGAAAUCCCUUGCAGCAUAUCUUCACUUUUACUCUUCUAUUCACUAGUACCACUAUUUUCUACCUCUGCCACUUCUUUCUCAUAGCCUUGCAGAUGAAUAAAAGAAACUUAAGGCUAAUACCAAUGGAUAAGAUACUAAACGUAAGUUAUGCACAUAUACUAGCAUAUGUUACUAUACACUACUUAGAAAGCAAUCCCCACAUGAAGGCAAUUGAUAUGAGCUUCAGAGACAUUCCAUAGUGCACUCUCCCCUCCAAAAUCAAAAACACCAAAAUCUACCAAAUUAUCCAAAAGAAAGAAUUUUCAUAAUAUGAUGUGCAUAUCUUUGACAAGUGCGUACUGUCAUUUGUUUCACCCCAUUCUGAAAAAGAAUCAGCCAAAAAUAGAACAUAAGAAAUCUGGUAAUCUUUUAAAAUCCAAACUAUCGUGAAUUUAUCGGAUAACAACCCACAAAACUAACAUAAUUUGCUCUUUUCGACACAAUUUUAUAUGCUAUUCUCCCCACUGCCUAACAUUGCUAUCAAUUAACCUGUAUAGAGCUUCACAAUGCCUCUUGAAAGAAUACUCCUUCCACAACUCAAGGUUGUAUUUUGUGUAAUAACAGUGCUUUGGAAACUAAUCAGCCUCCAAAAUUCUAAUCUAUAGGUCCACCACAUUCAAUAAUUGUGCUACUGCACGGCUAGGAAACUGACGAGCACAGGAGUGUAAAUGAAUCGAGACAAAUCAAGUCGAGUUUUGGUAUAAUCGAGUCGAGUCUUAACCUAGAUUUAUGAAACUUGAAUUCGACGAGUUCAAAAUGUAUAGCUCAAGCUUAAAAAAUGAAGAAAAUAAUUAUUUUAUUUUUAAAAAAUAAAUAAAAUAAUAAUUUAUCUUAACAAACAAUAAAAUAUUAGGGAUAUAUAUGUAAUUUUAUUAUUAAAAUAAAAAAUAAAAAAUAAAUAUAUAAUCAAACUCGAGCCGGCUAGCAAGUUAACAAAUUUAGUAUUUUCGAAUUCAAAUUCGACUUGGUCAGCUCGAACUCGAUGUUGACUUAGCUCCAGUCGAACUCGCGAGCUGUUCGAUUCGUCUGCAACCAUAUACAAGCGCUUUCACAAAUCUACUUCCGUAUCAACACACACCUACUACUUUCUCUUCAAUAAUAGGCCAUCUCUAUUGCCCAGAAAGCCUUGCAUGUUAAUACUAUACCACUUCUACGAAUAGCCAGGGUUUGAAAUGCUGCGAACCCUCUUGAAAGAGAGGGGUGCCUUCGGGAUCCUCCUAUUCAACUACUUCGACCAUUUCUGAGCACCUCAUAGCAUUUUCGGGGCAUUUGAUAAAGGCUCAGCAGAAAUUACUAUAAUAAAAAAUGCUAAAGUAGUCAAAAUCUGAUCAAUUUCAAAUUCUCCACAAAACAAAUAAUAAAGAAAAAAAAUCAUUUACUUUUGGGAAAGGAAAAAAAUUAAAAAUGUUCUUGAAUCGUAAUCUAGCGCCAAUUUUUCAAUUAUUAUAAGAUCGCCAGAAAAUGCCCCAAAUUCUAUAUUAUUUGUAAGAUUUUUGAGUAUGAGUUAAUUUAACAAGUCCUAGAAGUUAUUUUAACAUCUCCAUCUUUAACUUCAUUUCAUCUUGUGGGUUUCUCCUAAUUUUAUUUUAGUAUCUUUAUUUUCAACUUAAAAUAAUCUUGUGAAAAGGCUUACUGUAUAAGCAAAAACAAAAGAAGCAUGCUAAUCAUCAACCUUCAUUUUUUCAAUUGGUACAUUGAAAGUUAACUUGCAAGUUCCACGGUGAAUAAUUCUACUACUAACCAACCAGGAAAGUCACGUUCAAUUUCACUCCACUUUCUUAUCAAUAACAGUACUGCUCCUACUUUCUCCUCUAUAAUACUCCAUCUUCCUUGCUGAAAGUCUUGCACAUACUGAAUUGUUUCAAUUUUGAAUCAAAUUAUCAUCUUCCUCCCCUGUGUUCUCUUUUAUCAAACUUGGAUUUUACUGGUUAGGUUCACGAUAUACUGGUAAUUUUCUCAUAUUCAUCCGCUCAGCUAUUGCCAGAAGCUUCAUUUUCUCUCAAGCAAGUGCUGAGAUUUGUUCCCUUUCCUUGAACUUCAAGUUUGUUUUUUUCCCUUUUAUCAACUAGCCUCACUAUAUAAAGGAAAUUUCUACAGAUUCAACAGAUCAACUGUUGCCAGAGUAUUCACGCUCUCCAACGUGAGUGCUGAAUUUCUUUUUCUUUUUCUUUUUGUCAUACGCUUUUUUUUUGGUUAAAAUAUAAAUGGAUUUGUUUAGAUAGAGUAUUAUUUAGAAUAAUUACUAUAGCAUCUUUUAUGAUGUUAUUUAUAUAAGAUAAAAAAUUAUUAAAAAUAUAAAAAAUAUAUUUAUAAUACAAGCUAAAUAUUAUUAUGUAAAAAGGGGGCUUCCAUGUGUUUUUCUUGAAACUGAUAAGAAGGGUAAAACACUCGAAACAGUGCGGUGCAAUGUGCAUCCCAUGUUCAAAAGUUUAUUCCUAGACACCUGGAAAGUCAUGCAGUAAUUUCACUCCACUUUUUUUUUUGCCAUUUUUUGCUUGUAAAAAUUCUAUUCUAUGGGUCCGCCACAUUCAAUAAUUGUACCCCCACACGGCUAGGAAGCUCAUUGGCAAUUUCACUCUCCUUUCUUAUCGAUAGACCAUCUCCGUUGCCAAAAAGCCAUUGGUCCAAAUUAUUAUCUUUCUCCGAAUAUUUUUUUCUUAAACUUUACUUUGAGUAAUUAUGUAGCUUCACGAUAUACUAGGAAUUUUUCCAAAUUUAACAGAUCAGCUACUCUCAAUGGUUUCUUUCUUUCUUUCUUUUUUCCUCUUUUGGCUCAGUGCUGAAUUUUGUUUUUUUUUCCGCCUCAAACUUAAAGUAAGUUUAUUUUUUUGCAGAUUCAAUGGAUCAAUUGUUGCCAGAGUAUUUAUUCUCUCCAAAACGAGUGCUGAAUUUCUUUUAUUUUUUUUCAUUCACUAUUUUUGGUUGAAAUAUAAAUGGCUUCCGUGUGUUUAUUUCUUCUGUUAGUAUACUUUUAUAUGUUGCCGAACAGCUUCCAAGGCUGGAAUUUUUGCUUCCUGUUGUUCUUGAAACCAAUAAGAAGGGUGAAGCAAUCAAAAUAGUAUUGACAAUAUGCAUCCGUACAUUUAUAGAAAAAGACAAAGUACGUCCCAUCAACUAAUGUAUCAUGAAUUAAACUUCUAAAAUCCGGAUCUAUUAUUACUUGAAUUCAUAAAUUUUUUACACUUAGGCGCUAAUGCAUCACUUAGAUUCAAAAAUGUCUCCAUCCAUAAUCUCUUGCAUCAUGAUGAAUGAUAGGGUACAAAGGAAUUAAGCAAUUCGGCAAACCCCAGCAGACCAAAAGUAAAAGAUUUGGGAAAAGAUAUACCCCAGCAGACCAUAAUAUCAGAAGAUUAUGUCAAGAUGCUACAUUAGACUCAGAGGCACUGACCAGUACUCUUCUUUCUUGUCAAAAUGUGGUUCCCUGAGAGUGCUCGUUGUAAGGACAGCAUGGUGGGAGAAAAGGUUUACAAAGUUGGCACCUGCAAUAAGCUACCUGAAACGUUUAAGACAUUUAAAUCUUUCAGGAUCCGACAUUGAUGAACUACCCACAUCAAUUUGUGGCUUGUGGAAUUUGCAAAAUUUAAACCUAAAUGAUUGUGAAUAUCUUCAGAGCCUAUCCAAAGUGUCAUGCAUAUUAUGUUUAUAUAUUUUGGUCACUUUAGCCAUUUUAGUUUUUAACAAGGAUAAUUUCGAUAUUUUUAUAGGCUCUAUUUCAGAUGAUCAUUUCUGUCAUUUUGAUACUUUAAUCCAAAUCAUAGAGGAUAAAGUGUAAUUUGCCCUAAACUUUUCUUGUUGGGAGGGAGGGAGGAUUUAGGAAGAAAACAAUUUUUCAGAAGCUUUAAGGGUACAAAUGUAGGAUGAACUUAACCAUAUUAAAAGUUUACAUGUCUAUUUGAACAACUAGACAAAUCUUCAUUUAUGGCACUACAUUAACACAUUUUUUAAUCACAUUUGUAGUAUUUUUAAUUAAAUUUUUCAUCACAAAAAUGUUACAAUUUCUUUAAGUGAGAUAUAAACAUCUAUUAAUUGGAGUGGAAGUUUUCUCAAGCAAAAACAAUGUGCUCUGUACAAAAUGCAAAAGUAUGACUAUAAAACUAAAAACACCUGUAAGCCAUACAUCAGCCUAUGUAAAAGACUAUAAAACUAAAAACACAUCAGGCUUUGUAAAAGCAAAAAUUUGUUGAGUAAAGCCCCAUGACAUGCAUAGUUCCCAAUUCCCUCGUUCCUUUCAAUCUUUCUCCAUGUAGCCACCACAUCUAAUGAAUUCGGUACAAAAAUUACUUGGGUCGGUCUUUGGAUUCGAGUCAUGAGAAUUGAUAUCAGAACAAAUCUCACUUAUAUCUCUGCUGUGGGGAGAAUCUAGAAUGCAGUCAUCCCCCGUCUGUGGAAGGAAGGGAAAAUGAAUGAUCUUUAAGCUUGGGUCCAAUGGUUACUUCAUUACUUGGAUUAACUAUUUUGGAUCAGUGAAUUUUGGUCCCAAAGUUACUCGGGCCAUCCGGAUAGUGACAUUACCACCGUUUUUCUUUCUUUUAAAUAGGAACAAAUUUAUUUCAAACUUAUCUGCACCGUGAAGGUAUUCUUUACUUGUAAAGACACUUCGCCAAAGAAUUCUAAUGCAUAUUUGUCAGUUGUGCAUGCGCAUGAUUAGCCGGUUAAAGGCUUUGCGGGUGAAUGUACACAUGUAUUAUAUCCUUUUAAUUAUAUCUGAAAAACAAGGGACCUAACUGCUAAAUGUGACCGAAGGAUUAGAAACAUGAAAUCAAGACAUGACGAUUAAAUAAAUUUAGGAGGACAAAAUACAACUAAUUAAUGUCUUAGACAUCCCUCGUGAAUCCAACUUCUCUGAAAAGGGAAAAAAAUUCUCUGAAGAAGAUUUUAUUUUGUUUUGUAAGAAAGAAUAGUAGAAUCUCUUAAGCAAAACAUGUUUCCUAUAAUGGUGGAAAGCUAUGAAGAAGUUAUAUCGUUCUGAAUUUAGAGUGGUUAGAUAUUUCACGAGAUUCAAAAGAAUUACCUACCAUGGAAUAAUUGUUGGAAGGGCUUCAAACAUUUUUUUUUUUGUACAAAACGUUUUAACGUUAUCAACUGAGUCAAUUUUUACUAAUGCUUAGGCUAUAAAGAAAGAAAAGAAUCCAGUGUCACGUGGGCCAAAAUUGGACCUAAUCAUUCCAAGUUAACAUUGUAGGAGAAUGUCACAAAACCUUUACUUGUAACUUGUGAGACCUCUUCCUUCAAAUGUCACAAAUCCUUUGCUUGUAACUUGUGAGACUUCUUCCUUCAAAUCCUAAUCAUUCCAAGUUAAGAUUGUAGGAGAAUGUCACAAAUCCUUUGCUUGUAACUUGUGAGAUUUCUUCCUUCGAAAAAAAAAAGAAAAAAAAAACUUGUGAGACUUCAAAGAGUUAGCUUGAUUCUCGUAAUGUUCAAUGCCUGUGCACUACGCAACCUGGAAAGUAAAUGCAAGAACUUAGCUUUGCUUUCUUAUCAAUAUAAGUAGUGAUUCCUUACCUAUUACUAAUACUUUCUCCUGUAUACUGGACCACCAGCAUUGCAAAAGGUUUCGCCAAUAUAAAUUAGCUUCUUUCUUUGGUUCAAUUCAUCUAAAUAUUUUCUUUUGCUUCAAUUCAAAGUUUUCAGAACGUAGCUUUACAAUAUACAAGGAAUUUCUACAUAUUUGUCGCAUCUGUUGUCGCCUCGCAGGAGUAUUCAUUCCCUCUCAAGUAUGUGCUCAAGUGCUUUUAACUAGUUGAUCAAAUAAUUGUUUGGUUGCAGUAUAGCUUCUACUGUUUUUUUUUUUUGGACAUUUCUUCGGCUAAUUCCAGCUUUUCUUGUUUUAUUAUGCAUAUAUUUUGCACUUUGCGCUUUGAUCUUGACGGUGUCAAAUUCAUCUCUGGCUUUGUCUGAUGGUUCAGUAGCCUGCAGUUAGGCAUAAGACGUACUUCGAGUAACGCUUCCAUUAACAAUUUUUUUAAAAAAAAAAUUGUUGAGUGCAAAAAGAAAGUUCCAUAUUCUUAAUUUAGGUCUGCACUGAUUUUGAAAUUUCCGAGAAGAGAAAAUCCAUUUAAGUUGUUUGCUACAUGAUGUCGCCUUUGUCACCAAAAAGAUGAUUUGUACUAUAAUUUUUGGAGAUGUCUCUAAAAAACUAGGGAAUGGCUUCAAUAGUUCCUCAACUUUUACCAGUGAUUUUUCUAUUUGAUCUCUUAGCUUUUAAAAUUGUCUAUCAUGUCCCUUAACUUAUAAAUUUGGUUCCAAAUUGUUCAAAUGAUUCCCUCCAAGCCAAAUCCAAGCGUGAUAACGUUCAUUUGAUUUCAGGUAUAUUUUCCUUCUCAAAGUUUGAAAAUAAAGUAUAACCACAUUGAAUAGUUUUUUGGUUAAGUAUUUUAUGGUUGACCAGGUUGAGUAACAAAAAAAUAACACUAUUCUUGUAAAAAUUUACAUAAGGUAAAAAAAUUACUCUUUAGUACAUCACAAGCUUAGCAUUACCUUAUGCUUAUAAAUUUUGCUACCUUUGUUUUUUGUUAUUAGUAUGCCAUCAUCAUUAUUAUUCUAUUAAAGCCUGAUAAACCUAAACUAGUAAAUCUAAAAGUAACAUUAAUCUAACAAGAAUAAUGAAAACUAGUACAGAAAUAAACUAAAAGAAUUUUCUUUUAGGAAUUUAACAUUUUUUAAGUCAAUACUAUAGAAAAGAUGAUAAAAUGUGAAAACAAAAUAUUGUAAAAAGAUUAAAGUAAACAAAAAUUCCUAUAUCUUUCUUCAUCAUCUUCUUAAUUUGUUCACUUCUUUUUAAGGUACCUUUUUUUGCUACACCUGUCAUUUGAAUCCAAAUAAAUCGAUUAGCCCCACAAUAGAAUAAUAAUAUUUAUAACAAUAUACUACACAAAUCAAUAAAGGUAGUGAAUAAAAAUCAAUAAAAUUAGUGAUUCCUUACCUACUACUGUUACUUUCUCCUGUAUAUUCCACCAUAACUGCAAAAGUUUUUGCUAUUAUUAAUUUGCUUCUUUCCUUGGUUGAAAUUAUUAUCUUUGUCGAAAUCUUCAUCUCUUCUAAUUGUUAAUUUGCUUCUUUCUUUUGCGGAAAUUAUCAUCUUCAUCAGCCUAAUAUUCUCUUCUGCUUAAAUUCAAAAUUUUGAGUACAUAGCUUUCCAACAUACAGGGAGUUUUUGCACAUUUAUCAGAGCUGUUGCCAGAGUAUUUAAACUUUCUCGAGUAAGUUCUCAUGCUCUUUUAACUUGUAUAUCAAAUAAAAUUUUGGUUGAAAUAUAGCUUCCACUAUUUUGUUCUCCAAAUAUCUUCUGCUAAUAAUUCCUUUGUCGUCAAAUAAAUUUUUGGGCUGGAAUUUUGCUUCCACUUUUUCUUGUAUAGUUAUGCAUAUAGUUUCCGCUUUGCUCUUUGAUCUUGACAGAUAUUGAAUUCGUCUCUGGCUUAGUUCUAUGAGUUUAUAGCUUCUAGUUACGCAUAAAGUAAUAUUUUGGGUGGCAUGUCCAAUGAAAAUAUUUUUUAAGUUAUUAAGUGUAAAAAGAAAGUUCUAUAUCCCUAAUUUAGGUGUGUGUUGAUUUUUAAAUUUCUCAAAAAAAAAGAAAACAUUUAAUUUGUUUGCUGCAUGAUGUUCCCUUUGUUGCCAAAAAAUUACAACUUCUCUAAAAGACUAGGUAUCAGGCUUCAAGAAUCUCUCAACUUUCAGCCAUAAUUUUGUUGCAUCUAUCAAGUCCUUCAACUUAUAAAUUUGGUUUUAAUUGGUCGCUCCAAAUCAAAUCCAAUUUUGGUAAUAUUCAUUUUGCUCUUAAGGUUUGAUUUUUAUUUUGCUUAUCAUUGUCUAAAAUCAACUAUUUCAGUAUUGAAUAAAUAACAACUAUGCAAAAUUUGAAUUUAAAAUCCAACUUUUGCAUAUGUGUCAUUAAUCUAACGAUGAUAGUUUAUGCAUUGUCAGUGUAUAUAAAAUUAAUCCUUUAAUUUAUUGUAUGAUACUUAAUAGUUUAAGUAUUUAAUAACCAAAUAAUUUGACUAACAAAAAAAUAAUUUGAGUGUGUUUAAAUAGGAGAUUAUUUGAAAUAAUAUAUGGAAAAAAAUUGCUAUAGCACUUUUUGAGAAGUGAUGCAUGUGAAAUAUAAAAGUAGUUUAAAAAGUAAAAAAUUAAUUGAAAAUUGUGUUUGUGAUACAAGAAAAAUAUUAUUUGAAAUAAUUUUGUUUUCCAAACACACUCACAAUAUUUCUAACGAUUUACAUAUACUAAAAAAAUUGAAAAAUUACUCUUCAACACAUGAGAAGUUAGCAUCGCCUUAUGUUACAAAUUUUGCUAACUUAUUUAGUCCUGUUACAAUGUCAUCAUCAUUAUUUUUCUGCUUAAAUUCUAAUAAACCUAAAAUAAUCUAAAAAGAAACAUUAAUCCAACAAGAAUAAGAAAAGAUUAUAUGCAAAAUAAAUAAUAGAGAUUUAUUUAACUAUUUAAUGUUUUUGUAUAGUUGUUAUUGUAGAAAAGAACAUAACGUUUAACAAUGAAAAGAUUACAAAAAAGAUACACAUAAAUAAAAAUCCCAAUAUCUUGUUUUGAUUUUUUUUUCUUCUUCUUUGUGUGCUUCUUUUUUAAGUACCCUAUCUUGGCUAAUCAUGUCAUUAGAAUCUAAAUAUAUCAUUUAGUCCCAAAUUAGAAUGAUAAUGUGCAUAACAGUAGAUUGGAAUUAAUAUGCUCAGACAAAAUUUGUUAAAGGAGAUUGUUAUCAGUUUUUUUAGUUAAACUAGUUUUUCUUUUCUUUUGGUUAACUCUUCCAUCCCUCUCCACACCCUUUCCACCCCCAGCUGCUAGGUACAAAAUUUGAAUUCUAAAUCUGGUAGUGGUUAAGAUUCUAAGAACCCUCCCCUCGCCGCUAGUAACCAAACUAGUCAACAACUCAAUAUUUAUGGAAACCAUUAAAAUGGCAAAUUUGACUACUUUAUAAGUUAACUUGGGAGGAGCCAAACUUACAAUAAAAUGAAUCUUAGUCUAAUAGAAUGAAAAUUUUCUUGAUUAGAUUCAGUUUUUGGGACGAAUUAAAACCAAAUUCAGAAUUUUCAACACAUAUUAAAUUAUUCAAAUAAGUCAACUAUUAGAUACUUAACUGAAACUAUUAAAAAGGACAGAUAUGUUUUAUAUUUAAAAUUAGAGUAGGAAAAUAGACAUUAAAUUGAACCUCAGUGGGAAAGUAAAUAUUACCAUAAUGAGAUUUAGCUUGGAUGGACUAUUCAUAACUUAAUUUAUAAGUUGAGGAACUCAAUAAACACUUAUACAAGUUGAAAGACUAGAUAAAAUCAUUGGUAAAAGUUGAGGGACAAUUGGAAGUCAUUUACCCAAAAAAUUUUACUCGAGAUAAAAAUGGUGUUUGAAAGCAUUUCCUACAAAUAGUAAUGUCCAUUUUUCCUUGUGAAAACCUCGGGCUUAUAAAACCCUGUAAAUGAAUAAAGGUCAUCGCCUUUGUGUGUGCUCCUAUCUCACUUUAGGCUUUAGGGUUCAAACAUCCAAAGAUUCCAUUUUCCUGGGACUCUAUAUCGUAUGCUUUGAACUCUUCCUAAAAUUCAUUCACCAGGAUUGUCCCAAUUUUUUUUUCAUAACAUUCUUGAUAAUUUGGUUUUGGAAUAGGGACAAUACUUCAUUUAACGGUUUUUUUAAAUUAUCUUCCAUGGCUCAUGAUUCAAAGACUAAGCUCCAUGCAUGAUCUUCCACCUUGUGUAUGUAUUUUGUUAACAUGUUCCUCGAGUUUGUAACCAUGCAUGUCCACCAAUUAUUCUGAAAAUAUUUCUUUGAUUAAUCGAUAAGUAUUCUUGGUGGUCAUUGACUGGCUGCCUAAAAUGAAUCCGAACAAUGUUUUCAUGUUAAUGUAGAAGAUAUGUUUUCUUCGUUUCCUAGUAACAGAAACUUUUGCUUAUAAUUAUGAUCCAAUUUUUCAUUUUCUAUUGGGUCUAUCAAGUUAUAAAUCUCUAAUAACUUUAUUAACAUUGAUUUAACUUUCUUGAACUGUGAGUUUCAGGUCACACGUGAUGGAAGCAUUUGUGGGAAUUCUCGUCGAUACUUUGAAUUCCAUGAUCCAGAAGGAGAGUGGAUUGCUUUGUGGUGUUGCAACUGACAUGGAAAAGCCUGCACGCUUGCUCUCCACCAUCAAGGCAGUCCUUGAAGAUGCUGAGCAGAAGCAAUUCACAGACAAGGCAAUACAACUCUGGUUUCAGGAGCUCAAUGGUGUUGCCUAUGAAAUCGAUGAUGUAUUGGAUGAUUACGCAGCUGAAGCCUCAAGAGUCAAGUACAAAAAUUCUGGUUGUUUUAGUUUGAUGUGUUACCCUAUAGCAGGAAACUUAGUGUUUCGUCACAGGAUUGGGACAACGAUGAAGGAGAUCCUUGAAAAAUUUAAUGCAAUAGCUGAUGAGCGGAUAAAGCUUGGUUUGAUUGAUCAGAAGCGUGGGAGCAACCACUUUCAGGUUGAUUCUACUGGAACACGUGAGACUGGUUCCUUGCUAAAGGAACCUGAUCUAGUCCUUGGAAGGGACGAGGCGAAAGACAAGAUUGUGAAAAUAUUGGUGAAUCAAGUCAGAGAUAAUCAAAAUGUAUCAGUGCUCCCUAUAGUGGGUGUUGGAGGCCUUGGAAAGACAACACUUGCCCAAUUGGUGCUUAAUGAUGAGCGCAUAGCCAAGCAUUUUGAGCCAAAACUCUGGGUUUGGGUCUCAGAGGAUUUCAAUGUGAAGAGGAUUAUAAAAGCCUUAAUUAAUUCAAUACGAGGGACUCCUGUUGAAGAAUUAGAAUUGGAUCCUCUGCAAAGAAAACUUCAAGAGUUGUUGAGAGGGAAAAGAUACUUGGUUGUACUGGAUGAUGUCUGGAAUGAGAAUCUAGAGGAAUGGGAGAAACUGAAAUCUGUUCUGGAAUGCGGAUCAAGAGGUAGUUCAAUCAUCAUGACAACUCGCAUGGAGAAGGUUGCCACAAUAAUGGGCACAUUAAAAACAUAUUAUCUGUCGAGUUUGUCAGAGAAUCAGUGUUGGUCACUGUUUAGGCAACGGGCAUUUGGCCGUCAAGAGGCUGAAGAAUAUCCUAACCUUGUAGUUAUCGGAAAAGAGAUUGUGAAAAAAUGUGGUGGUGUUCCUCUGGCUGCAAAGGCUCUUGGAGGCUUUCUACGAUUUAAAAGGCAAGAAAAUGAAUGGAACUCCGUGAAAUGCAGUGAAAUUUGGAACUUACCUCAAGAUACAACACAUAUCUUGCCCGCGUUGAGAUUGAGCUAUCUUAAUCUUCCGAUAGAGUUGAGAGGUUGCUUUGCAUAUUGUGCAGCAUUUCCCAAGGGCUAUGAAUUUGAAAUAGAAGAGGUAAUACAUUUGUGGAUGGCAAAUGGAUUGCUUUCAUCUAAUGAAACAAUGGAAGUGGAAGAUGUUGGUGUUGCUGUGCUGACUGAACUAUAUUAUAGAUCACUAUUCCAAGCAGUAAAGGAAGAUGAAUUUGGCAAUGCCCUCACUUUUAAGAUGCAUGACCUUGUCCAUGAUUUGGCUCGAUCAGUAAUGGAGGCAAAACACGGUGGAACAGAGUCAAAUAGAACCAUGAUAUUAGGUAUGCCAGAUGAUCAGCUAACAGUGGCUUUUCCUAUUACAAUCACAGGCAUUGACCAAUGCUUUUCUUUCUUGUCAAAAUGUGGCUCCCUGAGGGCUCUCAAGGUAAUGUCAUACAAUAAGCAGUUUUUACAUGCAAUAAGCAAACUGAAACAUUUGAGGCAUCUAGAUCUUUCAAGAUCUUUAAUUGUUGAACUACCCAAUUCAAUUUGUGACUUGUGGAAUUUGCAAAUUUUAAACCUAAAUGAUUGUCUCAUUCUUUGGAGUCUACCCAAGGGCAUGAGAUUCCUCAGAAAUCUUCGACAUCUUUGUCUACAUGGGUGUUGGAGUUUGACUCACAUGCCAAGUGGAAUUGGGAAGCUGACUUGCCUACGGACGUUAAGUAUGGUCGUCCCGAGUGGCAAAAAAGGCUUCCGACUAAGUGAGUUGCGAGACUUAAAUAUGCUUAGAGGAGGGCUAACAAUUAUGCACCUUGAGAGGAUUGAAGACAAAAAGGAUGCAGAAGAAGCUUGCUUAAUUAAAAAACAGAGUCUCCACGGGUUGAAUUUGUAUUGGGAUUCCGAAAGAACGAUUCAACGGUACAAUGAUAAGGAAGUGCUCGAAGCCCUCAAACCCCGGCCCAACCUUCAACUACUACGUGUCCUAGGCUUCAACGGUUCAUCAUUUCCAUCUUGGAUUUCAACUGUAACAGAAGUUGUUGUGCACGAGAGUGCAGCGGAGUACAUAGUUGGGGUCCAAGAGAGUACUGCCGCUGCUGCUGCAAUGUCCCCAUCGUUGAAACAGCUGGAGUUAGAGAACAUGCCCAACCUAAAAGGAAUGUUAGGAAGAGAAGUCCAAGGUACUCCAGGGGUAUUCUCUCAACUUCAAUCCUUGUCCUUUAAGGAUUGCCCAAUGUUGACAUUGCCAUUGCCACGUAUGCUGUCCCUAAAGGAGUUAUGCGUCGACCGUUGCCCGAACAUGGCAUGGGCUUCAAUCUCCAAUCUCACGGCUUUGAAGGAAUUGACCAUCAAGCACUCUCCCGAGCUGGAUUCUCUGCCAGAAGAAGGAUUGCGAGGCCUUGCUUCUUUGCAGGAACUCCAUUUGGUCCGAUGCUAUAAUUUGGUGAGUCUCUCAAUGGGGACUAAAGCCCUCAAAUCCCUGACUCGUCUAUGCAUCAAUGGGUCACACGCGACAGCUCUGCCAGAGGAAGUCAAACAUUUGCCUGCACUACAAAAACUGGAGCUGCAGAGUUUUUCCAAUCUAACUUCAUUGCCAGACUGGUUUGGAGACCACCUCACUUCUCUUCAAGACCUGACACUAAAAUAUUGUCCGCUUGAAACACUUCCAUCCAGCAUUCAAAAGAUGACGACACUCCAACAUUUGACUAUAUUUCGCUGCUACCGACUGGGACGACAGUGUAAAAGGGGAGGAGAGGAAUGGCACAAAAUUAAGCACAUCCCGGACCUGAAAAUUGAAAAUUGAGUAAUACAAUUAUAUAUGAGUGGGUCUGCAUAUUCAUGUAUUACGUAAUACACUAUUUGUGUACUAUCCUGUAAGUGUGGAGAAGACCAACACUAGUACCCAAUUUAUACCAUAUCCAGUUGAUAUGAUUUGCUAGAGGUUGGAUAAAAUGAAAAAGAUAUUGAGAUUUGACUGCAGUUUUCACAAAUGAGUUCUGUUGCACGUAUUAGUUCUCUUUUUGAUUGAUUGUUCAAGUGCAUUGUAGUUACUUGACAUGAUGUUAUUAAGCACAAACUGUAUUUCCUUUUUGGCAUGUGUUUUUUUUUUUUUUUGAAUGUAUUAUUCUUCUUCUUGUUGAGUGAUUAUUCUUGAUCUAUGUGAGACCCUUUGGGUUAUCAUUGGCUUAUAAGAUGCAACAUAUCUGGGCGUUUUUUAGUGCUUAUGGUUUGACUUUGACUUUCAAUGAUUUUUCUGGGACAUUCAUUGCGUAUGCUACUUACCAUGGUUUUGGCAUACCAAAAUUGCACAUGUUGGUUUGUGUACAACAUUUGGCUAUCCUCCUACCUGACUUAGUCAAGGAUCCCUUUCUGGUGAAACAUUCUCUACUCCCAAGACUUGGUAUCUGUUGAUUGAUCUGGCAUUACAGGGAGAAUAGUUCUCAGGACUUCUGAUUUGGACUAGGAAAUGGUGAUUAACUGCCUUUUGAAAGAAAGAUGUUUGAUAGGAGUAUAUAACUGAAAGGAAUUCACAACUCCAGUAUCAAGAUGAUUGUUUUACUUCUCCAGAAAGAUAUUUGGUUUUAUGUUUUUUCAUUGCAAUUUGAAUGUAGAACGGUAGACACCGUGAUACCGUCAGUUCAGUUUCAGAACGCACCAGAGCAUAAAUGAUUUAGUAAAUCCAAGAAUAUCUGAAGUUUCAUGGUGUGCUUUUCAUAACAGAAGCCUUUGACUCUGUAUGGAUCAAGGAGCGAGGAGAGUUUUGAUUUAUUUUGUCCUUUGUUUCUCUUGGUCUGGGUUUCUUCUUGUUGUUCUGUUGAUUAGGACUUCUUAGAUGGUUCCCAUCGGGAUCAAGUUUUGCAGCGAAUAAAGACUUAAUUUUUACUAUUGCUAUCUUUCACGUCAUCAUGAGAUCCCAAAAAACUGGUUCAUAUAGAUAUUUGGUUUAAACUAUUUUGCUUUGAAUUGUAAUUCAAUAUCAAGAUUAAAUCAUUAAGGAAAAGAAACAAAAAGAAAAAGAGAAAAAUGAUAUAUAGUUGAUAGUUUUUAAAUUCAUAGUCAUAAAAUAACUUUUUACUAUACUUGUAAACCGUGUUUUAAAACUUGGAUUAGACUGGCAAGUUCAACUAGUUGAAUUGGGAAUCGAUUAGGCAUUUGGUCUAAGUCUACUUAGAAAGUUACUCAACAAAAACUCGAUCAAAAAUUGGGUUGAACUGAAAACCGUAAAAAUUGGUAAAAAAUCGUGUUUUAUUCAUUUUUUUGUUGCCAUUCUUUUUUUUAAAAAAAAAAAGUUAUUGAUUUGUUUGUUUUAUCCUAAAUUCCCUUCAUCUCUAAAGCCCUAAUUUUAUUUCCCCAACAAUCAAUGACACAUUUGAAACCACAAGGAAAAACUUCCAACCAAAUAGCAAGAGAGGAAGAAAAAUAAUGGAUCUUUAUAUCUAUGAAUGUCUUUUCUAAGAUCUAUAGAUCUAAAUAAAAAUUAGGGAAAAGAAAAACAGCAAAAAAGAAUGAAAUUAAAGAAAGGUUGAAGGGUGCCAAUUUGAAGGAAGGAAACAACAAGGAAGGGAAAAUCGUCAAAAAAAAAAAAAAAUGGAAAAGAUGCAGAGCAAGCCUGGAACUUCGCGUCAUGUUGGUGAUGAUGAAUGUUGAAGAAGACGAAGUUAAGCAAGAUAUUGCCUCUUAAGUGUAAAAAUUUUUUAGUACUUUGUUCUGAGCCUGAUGUUUUGAAUAAUUAUAAGUACGUUCCCAAACCGUUAUUAUAAUUUCAUGUGCAGUUUUAGUUUUUGUAUUCUUUACAAAUAAGCCUUGAUUUGUUGAAGACUUAUUAUCCACUUUAAACAAUUUCGGCUCAUCGAUGUGUAUUUGAACUUUGGAAACAUUAGCAAAUUAAUUCAAAACUUGAUUGUUUUUUUUUUUUUGUUGAAAAUUCUUAUUUAGUAAUUGUUGUUGAUUGGACAUUUGUUGAAUUAGCAAUUUAGUGAUCUUUUACAAAUUUGAUGGAUAAGGAAUAUAGUAUUGGAUAUUAGUCUGAUGAGUCAAACCCAUUAACUCUUGACCUCUUACUUCAAUCAAGUUGCUAGCCAAUCUGAGUUUCAAAACAUAAGUUAUAACUUUGCCUCUACCCAAAAAUCAUGGUAUGGCGACUACUUUUAGCAAAUUAGAUAUGUUACCUAAACUGCAGAAGAUAACAUUUGAGUAUAGUUCUAAAUAGUUUCCAUUCCACUCCACCUUUAUUAACACGUUAAGAGCUCACUAAAAAUAUCUAAAAGUGAAUAUUAGUCAGAAUAACUAACAGUGGCCCUCAAGAUUUAACUCAAUUGAGUUUGUGUAUAGAGAGUUACUUAAAACUGAUAAGGAAUUAGUCAGGUAACGAUGAGGUCCCUGAUUCUGACUAUAAAACCCUCCCCUUACUCUGUUCUUCCUUGUAAGACUUUACAGUCCCAUUUGAAAACAAAUAAAAUAAAAAUAAAUAAAUGAAUAAAUACUGGACGUGGACAUCUCUUAGGAGACAAAAAGAUGAACCAGGAAAAAUGGUAACCAAGUCUAUUUUACAUUUCCAUUUAUACAUAAAGAGUAUAAGAUGGAAAUUCUGUAUUAAGGAGAAUCUGGAAUUGAUGAUGGAACGGGGGUUUAGAUCAGGCAUGCCUCAUGGAUUAACUUGUUAUCUUGAUUAGUUAUCCUGACAUGUAUAGAAUUUGUAUGGUAUAGAUUAUACAGCGGUGAUUGAUGUAGUAGGCAGUUCCUUCCUUUGUAAAGCUUCUCUUCUGUUGAUCAACAAAAGAAAAAGUUUUUUGCUUUAAAAAAAAAAGAUGGAAACUAUGCAAGCUAAUUCAUGUUCGUGAAGAUGUAGGCUUAAUCAGAAGAUAUGCAAUUGAGCUUAUCCAGUGCAUGGCUAAUUCUUUGUCAUGUACAGUUAAGGCCUGUCCAUAAAACUUAUAAUGUAAAUUGUGAACAAAAAUGGAAAAAAAAAAAGAAGAAAAAAAGAAAUACACAUACGUAUGGGACCUUUAAGAGUUUAGUACAGACUAAAACUAUAGCGCAGUGAAUCAGAGGAAAAUCUGAUGUUUACCACAUAUUUAGCUAGAUUAAGAUUUAAAUUUUGGUUAACGAGUCCGAAACUGUAAUUAUUGAACCAAGUAAUUAUAAACUAGUUGCUCCAUUGUUGUUACAGAGUAAGCCCGCGGAAAGCGAACGCUAAUGAUUUUCAUGUCUUGGCGACUUUUUUUUUUUUUUUUGUUUCUCUAUCUGGAAGGACUCCGUGUCAUGAUUUGUGGAUUGCAGAAUUACGCGUUUGCAUGUAUACAUGCGUCCAUCUGGGGACAUCUUACACGAAAACAACAAAAAAAAAUCUCAAAAUAAAGGGUCAAUACAACGUUGCCCCCUUGAGCUUAGUAAGUAGUCAUACUGUACCCCCUUCAAUCUUAAAUAUACACACUUUACCCCUAAUAAGGAUUAGUCAAAGUUAGAAUUAUCAAAAAAAAAAAAAAAGAAGUUGAGUGCAAUGCAUCUUCUCUAUCAUAUCAACUAUAUAAUAAUCUCUGAGAAAAGCUAAAAAAAAGUUUAUAUUUAUUUUAUAUACUUAAAAUUUUAUUCACUUUUAUAUAUGGAUUGUUCCAUUUAUUAUACUUUAAGUCAAACAGAAUGGAUAACUAAGACAAUAUUAAAAACAAAUGUAAUUACCAAAUUUUUUUAAAGAAGAGGUAAUACUAAACUUGGUUUUUGUUUGAAAUUAGUUUCUUUAUUAUUUUAGUUUAUACUACAAAAUUUCACGAAAUUAUAUGAUGCCAAAGAUCAAUCUAACAAUAUAAUAUGAACAGAUUCCAAAUUCCGAGCCUUAAAAAAUAAAUGAAUAAAAAAUUCCAAAUGUCAAAGAUGGCAAAAAAUUGAGUAUAACUACAAUGUCUCGUAAAUAGGACACUGAUACUUCAAAAAGUCUACUAAGAAUAAUUCAUAUAGCCACCAUAAAGUGAGUGAAACUUUAUAGUAUAUUUCAACAAAAGCAUAAUAGUAUCUAGUAUCUAGAUGAUGCAAUGGAAACUCAAAUUUACAAAAUUGAAAUUGAAAUAAUAAUAUGAAAGAUAAAUUAAAAACAAUUAUGUAGAUUUAGAAAAAGCGAAGCAAAAGUUCAAUUUUUUAUACCUUUUGGACGCGUACGACAAUUGUGCCUAACUUCCUUGCAUGUGAACACAAGAUAGGGUAGGGAAAAAAAUUAGAACAGGGUAAUAUGGUCUCAUCAAUGUGAAAAUGGGAUAGUGGGAUUGCAAAAAUAACAUUACCCUUUAUUUUUUGUAUUGUGUUAUUAUUCAUUUUAUUUGACUUAAAAUCUAAUAAAUUGAAUAAAACAUAUAUAAAACUGAACAUUAAUCUAAUAAAAAAAUUUCAAGGAUAUAAACUAAAUACUUACUAUUUUUUAACUCUUUUAAGUUGAUAUUUUUGUACAAUUGAUACAAUAGAAAAGAUGUAAAUCGUUUAGCAAUGAAAGGAAAUGAUUGUUAGUUAUAUAUAAGUUCAUCAAUAAAGGGUAAUAAUGUCAUUACACUCACUUUUUUUUUUUUGUCUAAUUUUGACUAGCCUUCAUGGGGAGUAAAAUAUAUAUUUUUGAGAUUGAAGGGUAGAGUGUGACUACCCUCUUUGUUCUGAGGGCCAAAGUGUUAUUAAACCCACUAUAAACAAAUAUGUAACUAGAAAGUCUUGGUCUAUUUUUUUUUUUUUUUUUUGUCAAAAAGAAAGUCUUGGUCUAUCAUCCAACAACUGUAGUACUUACUCUACUUACUAUAUUCAAGUGGUGAAUAGGAAAUUUCACAUAUUCAUUACUAUUUACCCUUGAAUUUUUAACUCGCUAAAUUUCAUUUUGGACCCUUAAGUUAUAGACUUAUUCUCACUUUAGUCAUUAAAAAUUAGUUUUGAAUACUUUACCCCCAAAAUAUAAAAUCCACCCUACUCUUAGUUCUUAAAUUUUAACUAUUGACACUUUGUCCCUAAAGUAUGAUAUUUAUCUAGUAGCUUUAAUUCCUAAACUUUGAGUGUCACUUGCUUACUAUUUCAUUAGUUUUGAUACUUUCGCAGGAUGGAUUUCAUAUCUUAGAAAGUAAAGUGUCCAAAACUGAAGUGCAAUGUAUUUUAAACUUUAGGAGGUAAAGUAUCUAAAAAUAAUUUUAAAAAUUGAGUGGAAUGUAUCUACUAUUUAAGGGUCCAAAGUAAAAUUUACUUUAAGUAUCUUGUAGUCAUGUUGUAAUUUCAAUCUCCUUUCUUAUUCCAUUGCUUGGAAGAUCUGAGAAACCUCCAUUGAGAUUUUUAACAAUUACGUAUAGCUCCCCCAAGGUUUUAAAAAUUACACAUAUCUUUCUUAUCAUUUAAAAUAACAAUACUACCCUUAAAUAUUUUAAUGAAAUUUCCUUGUUUGGUAUGCUUAUAUUAAAAAUGACUUUUAAAAUUAUUUUUCAUUAUUUUUCCUUCUUAUUCCUUUUUUAAUUUUUUGCUAAUAAAACUCUAGUACUAGCACUAUUAUCUCUAAUUUCUAUUGUAACCAAAUGUCAAACUAGUAAUUUUUUUAAUGAGUUAACUUAUACGCAAUCCAAUGUUUUUGCUGAUCUUUGUUUUUUAUUUUUCAUUUUUUUGGAAUUAAAAUUAAUAAUAAAUCAAUAAAAAUGACCCAAAAUCACUACUAAAUUAUGAUAAUCCCACUACUCAAAAAAUUCAUAAACUAUAAAUGAAUUAUUUCAACAUUUCCUUUUCUAUUUUAUAAAUCUAAAUCCAUAAUAGAAUACCAUUAAAAGUAUCCUAUCAUAGUGAUAAAAUUAUUAUUAUAGUUAUUUAUCAAAUAAUAGGUAUGGACAUGAAAAUUUUGACAUCUUUUCCUUAUAGUUAACUAGAUAAUCUUAUAAUUGUAUAGGAAAAUAAAUUAAAACUCAUUACCCAAGGGCAUUUUUGGGUAUUCAUUUAAAAAUUUGACCAAAUUAAUAUUAUUUUAAGGUUUUGUUACUAUAACUAUCAAAUUAAGGGAGGUAAGUGCAAUUUUUCAAACUUGAGAGGAAAAUUAUCCCAAAAUUCUAAUCUAUAAGUCAAGAAGUUCAAUUAUUGUACUACAACACGGCCAGGAGACUCAUAAGCAAUUUCACUCUAUUUUUUUUUUAUUCAAUAACAAAUAGUGACCCCUUAUAUAUAGAAGUUGACCUUGGACAAAAAAAAAAAAAUAGUGACCUCUUGCCUGCUGCUACUACUUUGUCCGUUAUAAUGGAUCUUCUCCAUUGCAAAAAGUCUUGCACUUAUGGUUUGUAUUUUGGUUGAAAUCUUCAUCUUUCUCUGAAUGUUCUCUUCUUCUUAUACAAAAUUUUGAGUGAUUCACCAUAUGAAGGGAUUUGUUUUGCAAAUUCUACAGAUCAGCUCUUGCCAGAGUACUCAUUCAUUCAAAAGUAAGCGCUGAAUUUCUUUUCUCUUCGUCAAACAUAUCUUUUGGUUGAAAUGUAGCUUCUGCUGUUGUGUUUUUAACAUUUCGUCUACGGGUAUAUUCUUAUUUUCUGCCAAAUAACCUUUAGGGCUGCAAUUUGGCUUCCUGUUAUUCAUGUUUUAGUACACUAGUUUGGAAGCAUGUGCUUUGUACAUGAAUAAAUAAAUAAGAAGGGUAAAAUAUUUAAACUUGAUGAAGCUAUUAUUAAUUGGUUAUCUUUUUGGUAGAUAUUAAGGGUCCGCCUCGUCAUACCCUCAAAUUAAAUUUACCAUUAAAUGAUGAAAUAGGAAUUAUUUUGGACCCUUAAAUUGCAAUAUUUUCAAUCAUUUAAGAUUUGAACCACUGUCAUUUCUUAGGGAAAAAAAUUGUGGGAAUAAUUGCAUGAAGGGUUGGGUGGUAAGGGAGGAGAGAAUGUAAGUGAGAGAUCUCAUAUUCGAAACCUUCCAUUUAUAUUUAAAAAAAAAAGAAAGUUUCACCAGAUCUUUUUUUAUUUUCACAACCAUUUGCUAUUUUUCUUAUGGGUUAAAAACAAAAAAACCCCCUGUGAUAAGCCUAAUAUACAGAAAAGCCCCCCAUGGUUUCAAAAUAUACAACACGACCCCUCAUGCUUUGAACUAAAUUGUAAAGGUGACGGAAUCCGUUAAACUUAACGGAAAUGGUCAAAAUGACCAAAAUACCCUUAUAUAAUUAAACAAAAGACAGCUCAAAAAAAUCAUUUGUUUUAUUUUCUAAGUAGAGAGAAUUGAGAGUUAAUGGGUAGAAUAGGUAUAUUUGAUAAAAAUUAGGUAUAAAAUUUUUUUUUUAGGUUCCAAUAAGUCAUUUCCGUUAAGUUUAACGGAUUCCGUCACCUUUACAAUUUAGUUUAAAGCAUGAGGUGUCGUGUUGUAUAUUUUGAAACCAUAAGAGGCUUUUCUGUGUAUUAGGCUUACUACAGGGGGUUUUUUUGUUUUUAACCCUUUUUCUUAUUAAUAUUCCAGGAUAACUAGCUAGCUAAGAUGAGAACCUUCUUACUUAUUUUAUUUCAUGCUAAGGUUUAUUGCAUUCAUUACCGUAUUUGAUAUUUACUUGUACAAAAAUAAAAUAAAUUUACUCUAUUUCUUUUGGCAUUAUAUAAGAAACUAUUUGGAUACUGUCCUAUAAGUCAUGUAGAGAAGACCCUGACCCCUUCCCCCAAGGGAAAAAAAGGGGAAAAUGUAGGCAUGAAUGAACUCCUAUUCCAAAAAAUUGAUCUUUUCUUUCCAUUUUUUUCCUCUUUUUGGUAGUGCUAUGUCAGUUUUUCAAACAACCCAAAAAAAAUUUCCCUUUAAUUGUUUCGAAUAGUUUAAAAAAAUAUUAGAAGCAUCUUUGUUCUAAAUACUUGAAGUUGCAUAUAGAUCAAACAGUAAAAAGAAAAUGUGAAUAUGUAUAAUAAGAUAGUAAAAAACAUGUGUCAUAUCCUCUUCCUAACCUUUGAUUGAGAGCAUAAUAAGAUUGAACCAAGGGGGGAAAAAGGAAAAAGUAUUAGGAUCUGCACCUGUUAAAUAAUAAUAGCCCAUCUUGCUUGCUGAAAGUCUUGCACAUACUGAAUUGCUUUAAUUUUGAUUCAAGUCAUUAUCUUCCUCCCCCGUGUUCUCUUUUUAUCAAACUUGGAUUUGAAUGGGUAGGUUCACGAUGUACUGGUAAUUUUCCCAUAUUCAUCAGAUCAGCUAUUGCUAGAGGUUUCAUUUUUCUAAAAUAAGUGCUGAGAUUUGUUUCCUUUUCUUGAACUUUAAUUGGUUCGGAUAGUGGUAACAAAAAUAGUAGCAUCUUUGUUCUAAAUACUUGAAGUUGGAUAUGGAUCAAACAGGAAAAAAUUAAAACAAAAAUUGGAUCAGUAUAAUAAGAUAAUAAAAAAACAUGUGAUCAAUGAGUUAAAAAACAUGUGUCGUAUCCUAUUAAAAAGAUGAAUUAUUAAGAAAACAAGGAUUAGGAUCUACUCCUAUUAAAAAGAGCAAUUAUUUUUUCCAGUGAUACCUAGCCACAAGAACGAAAUCGGACAGAAAUCAACCUACAAGUCGAAAUGAGUCAUCACUUCAGGUUCCAUUUCGUAGUGUAUAUGUUAAAUUUAAGCCUCAAAAAAAAAAAGGAUUUAUCCUUUCCCUUUAUUUGGCUCACACAAGAUAAUAAUUGGUACCUUCUUUAUAUAGAUAAGCUACAUAUCAAAUAGUUAAAAAAAAUGUGAAUCUGUAAAGAAAUAACUACAAAAUUCCCCCCCCCCCCCCCCCCAAUAAAAAAAAAGAAGAAGAAAAAAUGGAUCUAUGAUUGAAAUCUGAAGUGUCAUAUCGUCUAGCUAACUUUUGAUUGAGCACAUACUAUCAAUGAGCCAGAACCUGGAACACAGCAUUAGAACGUUCUGCCAUUAAUAAUAGGAAUAAUAACUCUAGUGGUACCUAAACACCUCCUACUAAUUUAUACCAUUGCCAGUUGAUAUGAAUUUAGUCAUGUGCAAGAGAUUCGAUUAAAGGAAGAAGACAUUGGCAUUUCAUUAAAAUUCUUAGUUCUUUCUCAUAAUGCUAUUAUGUUAGACCAUCCACAUUUCACUUGCUACAAAAAUAACAAAACUCGUUUUCGAUGAAGUCCAUAAUUAUAUCAAGAAUGUUAAUUUGUGUCUUGUAAUUUCAUGUCCACAUGACUAUUUAACAGUUUUAUUGAUUUCAGAUUUUGUAAACUAUCCAUUGACAGUUGUUAAGAACUAUUUAGAAGUUUACUAUUGGAUUUUUUCUUGUAUAGUUUUAUUCACAAAUAAUUAUCUAAGAAAACAUCAUUUCAGAUUUUGUAAACUAUCCAUUGAUAGAGUUUAAUACUGUAGACUUGAAAGAAAAAACAGUUUUUCAAAAACCUUUAGAGUUUAUUACCCUAGAAUCCAAACGGAGUUGCUCAAGUAGAAGUUGCAGAUUAGAGCUUUGCAAGAAAAGAUGACAACUUUAAGUUUUAUUUGUCCUUUUAGCUUCAGACAUGGCUCGCACAAUCAUUUUCGGAACCAUUGAGAGGCUGAGAUGCUCGUUCAAGUGGGAUUCCCAUUCCCAUCUUUGAUAGCUCCAGCAAUUCAGGAAGACCUCAUUGGCGGCUUGCAGCUGACUGCUACUAUGGACAUUGGUGUCCAGACUUGCAUUGGUAGCAUGCAGGUGACUACUGACGACAAUCGAAUCCAAAGUUGUAGUACCACCAAUAAAACUACGGUCGACGUUAGAGUACAGACUUCUACUACGAGUGGUGAAAAUGAGGAGGAUGGCUCUCAUACUGGUAGUAAUACCAAGUAUGAGGUUGAGUCAAAUGAGCACGAGGAUGAGGAUGAGGAUGAGGAUGAGGAUGAGUUGGAUGGCUCUCAUACUGAUACUACAGACUCGUUUAGAGAGACUAUACGCCUAUAUGGUAUUGGUCCUAGGGGAGGAAAUUAUACCCCAAACCUUGACCAAUAUCCAGUGCCCAACCCGAACCCCGACUUCAAUCCUAAGAGCGAUGGUGAUGAUGAGUCUGAUCCUAGAUUUGAUGGUAGAGUGGUCUUACAAUUGAUCCAUGCGUGGGUUGCGCCAAUGCUGACAGAGGCCAUGGAACAUAUCACUGAUGCUCUGCACUAUAUUAGAGUUUUGUAUAACCUGAUCGCGAUGUUGUGUAUUUUGUUUUUUGCCUCUGUCAUCAUUAAAAUCUGUGGCUUGCUCAUUUAUGCAUUAAUACGUAGGUCGUUCACAUGAUGAUGAUCAACCAUUGACAAUUUGAUACGUUUUUGCAAUAGUUUCUUUGUAGACUUGAGACAUGGUUUUGGUGUGUUUUUACCUUAGUAGUUUCCAUAUAGAUUUGAGACAUGAUUUUGGUUUGAUGUGGCUUUACAAGUUGGAUUAUUUUGUGAAUGCAUUUGAUACUCAAUUGGUAAAGCGAAGCAAAGUGUCUUGUUUCAUCAAUACCACAUGUGCCAAAAUUUUAUUUUGUGAAUUUUUUUAUUUUGAUUAUCAAUACCAAAGUUGUAUAAAAAAAAUCUGACUUUUAUAUAGUACAUUAUCAAUGUAACCUAGGAAUGGUAGCUGAUUUUGUUGUGGAUGUCUUAUCCAACUGCGGCUUCUCUUCCUGUACUCCCCAGUUCCAAGUUGUUGUUAUCCUUUGGUCUGCAGUGACAUUGUAUACUCGAUGAGAAGAAAUAAAAGAUGAGGAAGCCCUCCACCAGUUAGCAGAUCUUGUUGUGUUCUUUAGGACCAGGUAGUAAAAGACGCCACAUGUUUGAUAAAUUGCCUCAACAAUCUUUUGAUGUUUUACCAAAUAGUUUCUGCUCUUUUUGGUGUUUCUUUGUCACCAUUCUACUCUGCUCGGCUUGUAGCUGCUAUUAACAUUCUAUUUCUUUUAAAUUCCAACAUCUUUUUUUUAACUGUUGUAUGCAUGCGAAUUUUCUUUGAUGUCUUGAAUAAUUAAGGGUGCGAUAGAUUAGGAUAUGCUAUUUGUAUUGGGUAUCAAGUCCUCCCAAUUUUUACCAAGGCUAUGCUUGCUUUUCUUAGAUCAACUUUAAGUAGCUAGUCUUAAGUGUGAAUGGAGAAUAGAACAUAGCAAUAUGGUUGAAUGGUGAAGUUGUGGAUACAGCAAUAUGAUUGAUUAAGGAACUAGUCUUACUUUUGCCAAGGCUUCGUAUUUUUUUCUUUGUUAAUCUUUUAGUUUGAACAUCUGUUUUGGUUUGAGUUAUUAAAGUAUUAUUAUGGCCGAAUUUCUCACUAUAUAGCUAAAAUAAAAAAUUGUCCUAAAAUUGGUGUAGUUUGAAAAGCGUGUAUGUUUUAGGGUCGCCGCAAUUCUGAUACGAGGUUUCCAAUAAAGUAGUUUUAAUUUCUAUUUAUUUUGGCUGACUUUAGUUUUCUCUUUUUUUUGGCAAGCCUUGAUGAGCGGCGAAGCAUCAGCUACCGUUCAUCAUCAUAUCAUCAAUGGCUUGCGGCCUUGGUUUUUUUUUUUUGACGUCGCAUAUCAAACGUGCCGUGUCAAUGGACACAAAUUGCGGCCAAAAUUUUUUUAAAAAAAGUGAAAGCUCAAUUUUUUUUUAAAGUGAAACCGUAAAUCUCAAUUGCGGCGAUAGUUUUGCCACCGUCCAUCCCACAUAACCAAUGGUCGUAGUUUUGCCUCAUUAUUUUUUUAAUAAAAAAAGUUGACAGCGACAAAAGAAUGGCCCUAAUUUUUUUUGAAACUAACAUCAUAAUUUGAAUUUGUGACGUUAGAUUUUUUACCAUUGAUCAGCCUUGAUCAACGGAUGGUAGGGAUUUUCAUUCACCGCAAAUUGAAUUUGCAGCGAGUCAAAAAAAAUUUCCAGUCAAAGUAGCAGUGUACUCCAUUAUUUAUGUUGCUGACAAUAAUACCUCAUGUUCACAGACAACCCCAACUUUCUCAACUUUUCUUUCUUCUCUAUACUCACUUGAGAGAAUCCCAACUUUCUCAACUUUUCUCUUUUCUCUUUUUGGUAGGAUUCCCUCAUCUUCUUCUUCAUCUUCUACAUAUUUCCAAAAAGAUUGUAGAUCUAUCAUUAUCUCUUGUAUUUUUAGUGGUAGGCGGUGGAUUGAGAUGGCUUGAAUCGAGAAAAACAACAUUAUUGUUUGAUUGACAAAAGGAGCGAUGGAUCGAAAAGAAGCGAUAUUGUCGGUGUUAAGGUUAGUUUAUUUAAAAGUUUUAUUAGUAACUAUCUCAUAAUAUUUGCAAUUAUUUUAAGUUUUAGAUAUUAUGCUGCUUUCUAAUUAUUCAAUUUAAUAGUCAGUAGUCUUAAUAGAUGUUUAUUUAUGAGUUGUUUUUUAAGAUUAAAUGUGUAAUUUAUAUUUUGAAAGAUUAUUUAAUCUGUUUGAUAUUUAGAUAAUGUGGCAAGUAUUUGUUUGAUUUUAGAUAACGUGUCAAGUGUUAGUUUGUUUUCUGAUAAUUUACAUUUUUGAAGAUUAUUUGUCGUUUGAUUUUAGAAUUAAUUUUAUAGAUCAAGAUAGGCAGUAGUCUCGUAAGUUAGUAGAUGAUAAAAGAUGAACGAUGAAUAGUAAUAAAUGGUAAAUGGUGAAUGGUGAAUGGUGAAUGAUGAAUGGUAAAUGGUAAAUGAUGAAUGGUAAAUAGUAAAAAGUAAGUGGUUAAAAUUAAAUAGUCAUAAUAACAAUAAUACAAUAUGAGAUAGUGAGAUUGUGACUGAUAAUUUAAUAGUAGCGGUACUAUUAAUUGUUAAGUAAUAUUAAUAUAAAUAAUAAAUAGUAAAUAAUACUAAUAUUUUUUUUAAAAAAAUAAGUUACACUAAUUUAUAUUAUACAAUCAUAGUUUAAUAGUAACUAUGAUUAAUAGUAAAGAAGAACCAUUACUCUAAUAGUUUGAAUAAUACUAUUUGUUUGAUAACUAUAUCUUUAUUUAUUCAUUUGAAAUUGGUGAUUGUUUUAUUAGUGGUGCUAUUACCAAUAAAAACAUUUGUUGCGUUAAUAUUAGUAAUUAUGAGAAAUUGUUAAAAAAUAUAAGUUGACAUAAAAAUAUUUGUAAGAUUAGAAAAAAUGUUGAUAGACCUUGCAUUGGUGUUUUAAUUUUAUUGAGGAGGCAAAAUAAACGAGACCGGAGGAUCAUUCGCAUAUGUCCCUCCACGGUAUAAAAAAAGUCAUUUUAGUGAAAUAUUGAAUAAGUUAUGAUGAAUUGGUGGAUAGAGUAUACACCUACAUGCAACUAAAUCGGAAUAUUUUCAAAUUGAAUCUAUGGUUUAGAAAUGUUGUUGGCCAAAAUAUAUUUGUUGUAGUGCAAUUGGGUGCGAAAAUGACAUUGACACACUAUAUCAUAUGAAAUCGAUGUCACACGGCGUGUGAGAUAUAUGUGGAAGUAGAGCCACAAACCUAUCAUAUCCAUAGUGACCAUGAUGCUAGACAAACAUCUUUAGUCCAAUUUGAUUUUGAAAAGAAGUCAAUAACAUGCUUAGUACUCCUUUAAGUGAAACUACAAAAAUGAUAGUACAGUCGGAGUAUAAACGAAUGUGGAAUGAUAAGCAAGUCAUAAGGAAGGAUGCAUGAAUCGAAACGACAAGAAUGAGAGAAGUAAAUGCAAGUUCGUAAUAGUAGUUCUCUUCAUAAAUUGCCUCAAAUGGAAAUUUUCAAUUCGAUAAUCCUAUUGAGCAUAUAGGAGAGUGAAGGCAUUCAUGUUGAUCAAGACACGGAACCGGAACCCGUCGACGAUGAUUCAAACGAUAGUAGUCAAGAUGAGCAGGAUCAAAUCGAUGAAAAAUCUGACAAUCCGUGGGUGCAAUCAGGUGUCGGUCCAUCGACCUCAUAUCAUAUACCAGUCCAUCUAAAUAACCCUGAAGGUGUGGAAGCCUCAUUGAAUUUUGAUCCGUUUAAGAAGGCAGCUUCAGAGGAGUACAAUGUGUGGGAUGAGCGGACAAAAGAGUUUAAAUUGGGAAUGAUCUUUGAAAUUUGAAACAAAGAACGAUGUGCAGCAAGCCGUCAAACUUUUGUCGAUCAAGCACAACAUGGAGUACAAAGUGUGGGAAAGUAAAUCGACUACCUGGUAUGUUCGUUGCAAGUCCCAUAGUGCCUCCCUUCCAUAUAAUUGGCAGCUAAGAGGCACUUUGAGAUGCACACAUAAUAUGUGGAAGAUUGUAACAUUUGUGAAGAAGCACAUGUGUAUGCGAGUUUCGAAUUCUAAUGACCACCGACAGCUGAGUUCAAAACUCAUAGCAGAGUGCAUAAUACACCACGUCGAGAAUGGUCCACUGUGUGCCAUCAAAGAAACACAAACGAUCAUUAAACGUACUUUUGGUAUGGAUGUUUCGUACAAAAAUGCAUGGGAUGCUAAGUGACGUGUGAUUGAUAUUGUGUAUGGUGAUUGGUCAACUUCAAUAGCCGCACUGCCUACAUACAUGCAGGAAUUAAUGAAAGCCAAUCUUGGAACAUUUGUCGAUUAGGAGCACUAUCCGUAAAGCAGUGUUGGAUGCAUAAUCUUUCAUUACAUGUUUUGGGCAUUUGGGCCAGUAAUCAAGUCAUUUCGACACCUUAAACCAGUUAUUUGUAUUGACGGCACAUUUAUAAAGAGCACAUACAAAGCAAAAUUAUUAGUUGCUGUUAACUUUGAUGCCUCCAAUCGAUAGUGGCCGAUUGCAUCGCACUUGUAGACGAGGAGACAAAUCGGAGUUGGGCAUAGUUCAUGUCAUAUUUCGACGUCAUGUGUGUUGUGAGGUGGAAAAUAUACACUAAUAACCGAUACUGUUUAGUACACAUGCAGAGCAACUUUACACAGAAAUUUCGGAGUGAAUAUACACUAAUACAUAGUGCUAAUACACCAACUAUGAGUUUAAUCAUUGAUCAAAUGUCAUUGUCGAGAUUGAAGGAUCUUAUAUGGGUUACUGGAGCAGCAAAUCAAGACAAAAAAUACGAGACAUUUAUGGAACAAAUAUGGCUGUUAAAUGAAGAGGCAUAUAAAUGGUCGAAUGGCUGUUCUAUCAAAUUGGAACAGUGGGCAUUAUACAAGGAUUGGGGAUAUCAGUGGGGCCACACAUCGAUGAACGUAACCGAGUGUUUUAACAAUGUAUUACGUAAUAUUCGGUUAUUACCAAUAACAGCAUGCGUAUAGUUCACUUUUAACCAAACUUUUGAACUCUUUACAUUGAAGCGGAAAUUGGCUUUUCAACAUGAUAUAUGUUUUUUCUAAAGAAAUAUGGAAGCCAUUCUUGAAAAAUGAAAUAAAGGCAAUGACGGAUUCGAUACAAUUAUAUGAUCACAGAUGUAAAUUUUAUUACAUUAUCACUGGUCGACGCAAUAAUAGAAAAGGUGGCAAUACGCAAAUUGUCAAGUUUGGGAAUGACACAUGUACGUGUGGCAAGUGGGUUGAAUUCAGAUUCUCAUGCUCGCAUGUAUUUGCAGCUUGUUAUAGGUCGGGUACAAAUUUGUAUCAUCUGAUAGGUCAUGUGCACCAUUUUCAGCCUGGCAAUCUUUGCUUGAAGAACAGUUUCAAUCUCUGUCGGACUCGACUUAUUGGAUUCCUUCGGAGUUACGACUUAAUUACGAUAUAGGAAGAAUUAAACAAAAGAGACACGACCCUAAGGUUAUAGCUAUAAUACAUAACCAAAUGGAUUGUCGAUAUCCCAAUACCCCUCGUCGUUGUAGUCACUAUUCACAGACAAGCCAUAAUGCCUCAAUUGCCCUUAUUCUAGUCAUUUUCAUGUGUAAAAUAUGAACGGAAUAAAAUGUUAGUUAAAAGUUGUGCAGUCGUCGACUAUAUGUUAUGUUAGUUUCUCUAAAAAAUAAUUGAGAGAAUAUACUCUAAACAAAAAGUGUUACACUAGUAUUUUUUUGUAAUGAUUAUUCUCGACAAAAACAUGAUAGUGGUACCAUAAGUGCACAAUAGCAUGUGCUAACUGCAAUCAGAAUACCAUAUAAUUUGAAUUCACCAAAAAAGAAAAGAUUAAAAAUGUAAAUGAUGGGCCUCAUAUACCUGGACUUCCCAAGGCAGCCCAAGAUUUUAGAAGACUUGCAGACCCAUGAUGUGAUGUGGAUACAUGGGCCUCUGUAGAGAACUUUGAGUGACAUUUCUGGCCCUCAAGUCAAUGCGGAAAUAGCUUUCUAAACCAAAGCAACUGACCAAACAGUCCAAUGCAAACUAGUGUUGAUCUAGAGCAAAUUACCUGGUAGCCAUUGAGCUUUUAGAAUAAUUGAGAUUUGGCCACUCAACUAUCAAUAGUAUAUUUUUAUCAAUUGAACUAAAAAAAGAUAUAAAUUUUUACCCUUCCAUCUGAUUUGCCGUUAAUUCUACUAGAUCUAACUAUUAAUAGUGUGUCUCAUGAACCAUGUAGACCCUUUAGUCUAGUAGAGUUAACAGUGAAAUUAGAUAAAAUGAUCCAAAACUUACACUUUUAAUAGUUUACUGAAUAAAAAUAUUCUAUUAAUAGUUGAGCAACCAAAUUUUAACCACUCAAAAAGUUUAGUGGCUAUCCGGGUAAUUUGCUUAUUUAUUAAUUGUAGUAUCUUCAUUUGGACUGAGGAAUUUAACAAAGGAUUUCAAAUUCACUAGAAUUGUUCUAGUAGUUUGAAUUGUUUAAGAAAUAUUUGAAUUUGUAUUUCACAAAUUAUCAAAAGCACAUUCCAAUGCUAAAAUAAUUGAUGAUUUACAAAUUCAAAUACCUUUUAAAUAAUCUCAACAACUAAAGGGAUUUGAGAAAAUUUCAAAUCCUUGUCAAAUCAUUCAAUCUAAAUGCAAACUGACAUAGUUUGAUGUAAUGAACUCUGUACUAAUACGAAGGGAGAAACCUUUCCUCGUUGUAGUUGUUUCCAUCCACUUGCAGUCAAUUUUAAGUAGCAAAUAUCUACAAUCAAGGCUAAAGAUGGGAUUGUAUAUACAUUUUCUUCCUAAAUUGAGUUAAGGGACCCGAGAAUACUCCCACAGCUGGACAUUUGAAUAAAAAAAAAAUUGUACAUUUUCGUUCGACAUGGAUAGGGUACUAAUUGAUAACCAUUUGCCAUAUGCCCCACUUGGAGUUCUUGAUUCCGUGGCGCGGCUCAACAAAGCAGCUGCGCCGUACUACCUAUUUAAAGUUUGAGAAUAGGUAGAUCUCCUAAUGUUUUACCUAUAUGUUUUAUUAGUGUCUCCAUUCUUUUGAUCAUGGUAUUGAUUAUUAACAAAAUUAUGAAAUAGAAAUGUUAUUUGCACUCAUUUUUUGGUUGAUUGCACUCUCACCAUUUAUUUUAUGAUAGAGUCUAAUAAAUGAGAGCCAUAUGAUAAAAAUGAUAGUGAAAGUGUGAUUAACAAAAAUUGGAGUACAAAUAACAUUUCUUUUUAUAAAAUAAGCUCCAAAAAUUAUUUUCUCUUUUUACAGAAGUGUAUCUCAUUUCUUUUUCAAAAUUGUAUGCAUAACAAAUUUAUCAUGAUCAUUACAAGUCAGGGGAGGCUCGUUUCAAGUCUUCGUGACCAUUUUUUUUCUCCCCAUUUGACAAUUUUUAAAAAUGCUCUCUUCCUUCAAUUUUCCCCUCCAAAAAAUCUGAAAUAAGUUAAAAUGUCUUUUAUCUUUACUUUACAAUUCAAAAUCAUGUUUCAAUAUUACGAGUAAAAUCUAUCAAAAUUUUAACCUUGUUUCAUUUCAAAAUUUUCAUUGUAAAGUAUUUAAUCGAAAAUAAUAUCUUUAUAUAGCAGUGAUUUUAGUACGUGAUCUACAUAAUUUUGUCCUUUACUAUUCUAUAUUUUGCCCCUACUGACCUCAGGUCCUCCUAACUCAACCACUAUUUAAUGCAAUUGGUAAUUAUUUGAGAACUAUAAUGUUUAAAACAUUUUUGGACGGGUUGUGAUGAAAUCCCCCGUGAAUCCAAUUUCUCUGGAAAAAGAAGACAAUCAAGAAUCCCAAUGAUCAAUUCAAACUCUCCACAAAACAAAUAUAAAAAAAAAGGUUCAUUAACUUUUGGUAAGUAAAAUAAAAAAAAAUUUUCCUGUAUCAUAUCCGAGAAAUUUCAACUUACUGAUUAAAUAGUCGUAAAUGCUGUUCUUAAGAGAGAAUCAUAGAAUGAUUGAACAAAAACACAUUUCCUAUGAAUCGGAAACACAUUACGCGCUUUUCUCUUCAAUUUGUGAAUAGGAGUACCGGACUUCAAUAUAUGACGCGCUUUUACCUCUGCUUCCCACGUCCCCCGGCUUCCACUCCAUAAUCACAGUAUCCCACAUACCCAAUUCACAUCCUACACUAUAUGAAUAAUAUAAGCAUAUCCACAACUAAAUAUACGAGUAAAAUUACUAUAAUUUCCACAUACUAUACUACAUGAAUAUCAAUUUUAUCUCUUCUUCUCAUAGUAAGAUAUUAAAUCAGCAACUUUUGACAUCGUUGAGGCUUUAUAAGUACAAAUGUAAAAAACAAAUUAGGAUAAAAAUAGUUUGUUAUUUUCUGCAUGAGUCAUGAGAUAUGUCAUAGUCGCAUCAUAAAUUUUAGAGUUUAUUACAAAUGGUAACUGUUUGAGAGCUAUAAUAAUUUAAAAUUUUUUUACGUGCCUUAUGCUAUUAGGUAUAAAGUAUAAGUAUUUCAGAAUAUUUUCAAACUUUUUUAAUUCAAACUUCCCACAUUCCUCCAACUUUUUUCCCUCCCACAAACCCUACCUUCCCUUCACCCUACUCUGCUUUUUUCAAAUUGCGCAAUCUCUUACUAAUUUCGUAAUCUAUUUACUGCCAUCCUAUUGUUCUUUCCACCCAUUUAUAGUUAUAAAUAGUGGCCAAUUUUGCAACUUGUUCUUGAACAAAUGAGUUUGGGUAUGCCGUCUACUUAGGUUCAAAUGGAUAACCUAAUGACACCCAUUAAUUAGUGACUAUUAAAUGGAAGGAAUGGGAUCACUUAUUUAGAGCUAAUUAAAUUAGACGUAGAUUCAAAUUCAAUCGUUGGUAAGUAAAUUUAAAUCACUACCAAAUCAAUAAAUAUACUCUACUUUUUGCAAAGGCAUAUUUAAUGUUCUUUUCCUAUUCUUUAAUUUUCAUUAUUUUAAUUUUUGUUAAAUUUCAUCCUACUUCCUCCUCCCUUCCAUCAAAGUUUUAAUGAACUCCUUGAGUGUUAAUUGAUUUGUAACAUUCACACCUAAAUUAUUUUUAGAUUCUUAUAGAGUGAUAAAAUUUGAAACUCCUUAUGAUCACCACUAUUGAUUCUUCCAUGUAAUUUGAGAAUUUUGGCAAAGUAAAAAAUGAAAAAGUUCCUGAGCCAUAUUUGAGAAAUUUCAACUUACUAGGUUAAUAAUUAUAAAUGCUGCUCUUACGAGAGAAUCAUAGAAUGAUUCAACAAAAACAUUUCAACUUAAGUGUGUUUCGAUAGCCAUUAUUUGGCUUCAAAUUAUUUGUUUGCAUCACAAACAUAAUUUUCAAAACACCUUUUUAUCAUUCCAAUCAAUUUUUUAUCUCACAUACAUUACAUCACAAAAAGUGCUACAGUAAUUAUUCCAAAUAAUAUUUCAAAUAAUCCCCUAUCCAAUAAGAAAAAAAUCAUAUAUUCAAUAAUUUUCAGCGCGAUCAUAUGGUUGUAACUACAAAUAACCUACCAUGAAAAUACCUAUUUUUAGCUUAAUUUCAUCAUGUGAAUUUCUUUUGAUUUCAUUUUAGCAUCCUUAUUUUUUAAUUAAAAUAAUCUUGUGAAAAAGCUUCCUGUAUAAGCAAAAACAAAAGAAGAAUACACAAUGGCAAAUUUUAGUUCAUAGUUAGCUUCCAUGUUCGUGAAAAAUUUUCUAGGAUGGAAUCUAAAUUGUGUCCCCCAUGUUCAAAGUUUAUUACUACACAACCAAAAAAGUCAUGCAGUUAUUUCACUCUACUUUCUUAUGCCAUUGCUUGGAAAAACGUAAUCUAUAGGUCCACCACAUUCAAUAAUUGUACUACUACACUGCUAGGAAACUCACAAGCAAUUUCGCAAGUCUACUUUCUUAUCAAUAACAGUAGUACCACUACUUUGUCUUCGUUAAUAGACCAUCUCCAUCGCCAAAAAUGAAAAAACCUUGCAUACACAAAUGUUCAAUUUCAAACUCUCCAUAAAACAAAUAAAAAAGAAAAAAGUCAUUUACUUUUGGGAAUGGAAAAAAAUUAAAAAUGUUCCUGCAUCAUAUUCGAGAAAUUUCUACCGAUAAAUAGGUGUAAAUGCGGCUCUUAGAGGGAAUCAUAGAAUGAUUGAACAAAAACACAAUGGAAGUUAUUUCACUCCCAAAUAAGGUAUUUCACAUCUUCAACAAUUUUCAAUGGGAUCAUAUGGUUGUAACUACAAAUAGCCUACUAUAAAAAUGAUAUUGAAGAUGGCAUUCAAAAACUUUGACCCCGAUUGUGAUAUUUCGCAGAAAAAUUUUUAUGUUUUUCACGAAUACAUUUUUUAAUUAUUUUUUACCUCACAUACAUAAAAUUGUUACAAUAUACCUUUUUUUUUGGCAGAAACUCUUAAAAUAGCAAUCCAAAAGGAUUAGAUUUUACUACUUGUGCUGACUCAUCUUGACAAUUAUUGGGUCAUAAACAAUUGUAAUCUAGUGCCAAAAUUUCAAUCUUCUCAACCAUUUCAAGAUAGCAAGAAAAUGCCCCGAAUUCUAUAUUACUUGUAUGAUUUUUGAGUAUGGGUUAAUUUAACAUGUCCUGGAAGUUAUUUUAACAUCUCCAUCUUUAACUUCAUUUCAUCUUGCGGGUUUCAAAAAUAAUUUUAUUUUAGUGUCUGUAUUUUCAACUUAAAAUAAUCUUGUGAAAAAAAAGCUACAGUACAAGCAAAAACAAAAGAAGCAUGGUAAUUAUCAAACCUUCUCUUUUUCAAUUGGUACAUUUAAAGUUAACUUGCAAGUUCCAACCGGUAAGAUGAAAUCUAAUUUAGGUCCCCCAUAUUCAGAAGUUAGGUCAUGCAAUAAUUUGAGCCUGCCUCUAGAGCUGUUAAUCGAGCCGAGUAUUUGGCUGCCGAACUCGACUCGAGUUUAAUUCGAGCCGAGCUCGACUCGAGCUCGUUAAGAAAACAUGCUUUAAAAUAUGUUCGAACUCGGCUCGUUAAAUGUACAUGUGGCUCGAGCUCGAGCUCGAGCUUGAGUUCGCGCAAAUUAACAUUAAUAAAAACCUAUAAUUUUUAAUUUAUAUAAUUUUGAUUUCUAAAAUAACAAAUAUGCCCUUCAUUAACGAGCUCUAACGAGCUACUCGAGUAUCAAACUCGGCUCGUUAACUAAACGAGCAUGUUUCGAGCUCGAGCUCGACUCGUUAACCAAAAUUAACGAGCCGAGCUCGAGCCUUAACGAGCCGAGCUCUAACGAGCUUUCGAGUUACUUGAUUGGCUUAACAGCUCUACCUGCCUCUAUAGGUCCAGCACGUUGAGUAAUUGUUCUACUAUCCAACCAGGAAAGUCACGGCCAAUUUCACCCCACUUUCUUAUCAAUUACGGUACUGCUCCUACUUUCUUCUCUAUAUGAUACUAGGGGUGUAUUCGAGCCGAGUCGAGCUCGAGUACCGCUAUACUCGAGCUCGACUCGGCUAUAAUAUAAUUAUACUCGAGCACGAGCUCGAUCAAGUCGGAGAAUCAUAGCUCGAGCUCGAGCUCGAUCGAGCCCUUAAAAAGCUCGAGCUCGACUCGAUAAGGGUACUCACCGGUAAUUUCUCAAAAUUUAUUCACCUAUAUUAGUAAUUUUAUAUAUAAUUUUUUUUAAUUUUUUAUGUGAUACUCGAUAGAGCUCGUCGAGCUCUCGAGUAUCAAAUUUCUGAGCUCGAGCUCGACUCGAUAGCUCUAACGAGCAGCUCGAGAUCGAGCUCGAGCUCGAUGAAGCGAGUUCGAACUCGAACUUCUGAUCGAGUACAUAUCGAGCUCAAGUCGAGUAGCUUGAAUCAGCUCCACCCCUAUAUGAUACUCCAUCUUCCUAGCUAAAAGCCUUGCACAUAUUGCAUUGUUUUAAUUUUGAUUCAAAUUAUCAUCUUCCUCGCCCGUGUUCUCUUUUUCAUCAAACUUGGAUUUGACAGGGUAGGUUCACGAUAAACAGGUACUUUUCCCAUAUUCAUCAGAUCAGCUAUUGCCAGAUAUUUUAUUUUCUCUCAAGUAAGUGCUGAGAUUUGUUUACUUUUCUUGAAGUUCAAGGCUUUUUUUUUUUUCUUUUUUAUAAACAUAGCCUCACCAUAUAAGGGAAUUUCUGCAGAUUCAACGGAUCAACUGUUGCCGAAAUAUUCAUUUUCUCCAAAGUGAGUGCUGAAUUUCUUUUUCUUUUUUUUUCAUACACAUUUUUUGGUUGAAAUAUAAAUGGCUUCCAUGUGUUUAUGACAUUCAUUCUACUAGCAUACUUUUAUAUGUUGGCGACUAGCUUCCAAGGCUAGAAUUUUUGCUUCCUGCUAUUCUUGAAACUAAUAAGAAGGGUAAAACACUCAAAAUUGUACAGUGCAAAUGUGCAAUAUGCAUCCCAUGUUCAAAACUCUCUAUUACUAGACAACCCUGAAAGGUCAUGCAGUUAUUUUUUCAUUCUACUUUAUUAUGCCAUUGCUUGGAAAAAUUCUAAUCUAUGAAACUCUCUAUUAAUUGAACCAUUCCGUCUAGUUAGUGGUUAAAAAAUAUGAAACUUUCAGAAUUAGUGGGGAACUUUCGUCAUUUUGUUAAUGAAAAAUAGUAUGGCAGAUUAAAUGGGAGUUUAGUAAAAUUAAGUGAAUCUUGAUACAAUUUGUUGGAAAACUUCUUGGAAACUAAAGAAGAAUGGAAAAAAAAAAUGUCGUAGAAAAUGUUUUAACACAACCAAUGCUGACAUUCUCAAAUCUUUUGAGCUAGUAUCAGAGAUACUUCAGUCAGAUGACCAUAAGAUCAGACGUUCGACUAUCAAGUCCUUCAUUUGUUUCUGUCCCAUUGUAAGGCUGAAGUCUGUUAUUCAAAGGGAAAAAAAAAAUGUAACUUUUAAGCUUUCUUUAGUUGACAUGAUGUAUCAUUAUAAAAUAGUAACCCAAAAUUUCAGUAGCUAAAAAUAACCAUGCAAUCACACACACAAGGCAUGUUAAAAAUCUUCAGUUCUUCGUUUAUUUAUUUACUUUUGCAAGAUGGCGCAGUAGCUAUUCAUUUAUGGGGUUGAAGUGCCUACAAUCAAUUGGAAGUUGCUGAAAAGUGAUAAAAUCUUCCUAAUAUAAUUUCCAUGAUUUUGCAUUUUAGCUUCAGUCGUAGACUAGGCAUCUUCUUUCAAAAUCAAGUCAUCGUUUGGCUUUUUCUUUUCAAGAUUCCAUCUUUUGCUUUGGUUGGCUCUCUCUUUUUUAAAGAUUAUGACCCCAUAUGUCAUCAAAAAGGAACCUAGAACCAAAGUGAAGCAGGACCUUGCUAGGAAGUGUCAUGGUUUUGCUCUGUUGAUAAAAAAUUUUGCACCACGUACUAGUUGAGCCAAAACUGAUAGUGCGUCCGCUGACGGGGACUCGAAGCAAGUAGAAUUGUAUUUCAUAAAAGGAUCAUAACCCUUGUAAAUUUGAAAAUCAAAUACACAGCACAAAUUCAAAUGGGAUAAUUUCAAAAACCUCCCUCGUGGUUUCUCUCAGAGUCUCACUCCUCUCUCCUGAUAUUUUCAAAAUAUUAGAAGCCUAUUACAGAAAUAAGUAGUUAGUAUCAAAUCCAAUCCAAUUCAAAAAAACAAAUAAUAAAAAUUGAGAGCUGGAAAGAGAAAACGACCUGAUGCUACAAAUGCCCUCAAGCCUGGCACCAGUAAGAUAAUUUCAUAUGAACAGUACCUAGAUAAUUUAACAAAGAUAGUCUUUGAAUGGAUAAUUUCAUAUGUCCGGAAGUCUUCGCAGAAUCAAAGACUUGUAACUUCAGCCCCGCACCUUUUAUAUUAGCAGAUCUGAACGCGGUUUUGAUAUGUUGACCAAUAGUUCUGAACCACACAUUAUUAAAGUUCAUAAUACUGCGAACCGAAGACUGAAGGAGCCCCUCUUGCUUUCCUGAUAUUCUCAAGUUAGAGAAAAAGACUGAAAAUGGCAGAAACAGUUCUCGCUUUUGUGUUAGAUCAGCUCUCAAUUUUUCUGCGUGAAGAGGGCAGAUUAUUGGGAGGGCUUCGCCAAGAGGUUCAACUCAUCAGCGAUGAGUUGGGGCACAUGAGAGCUUUCCUGGGAGUGGCAGAAACAAAAGAAGAAGAUGCUGAUCUCAGGCUCCAAGAAUGGAUCAAGCAAGUACGAGAAGCAGUUUAUGACACUGAAGAUGUUCUUGAUGAAUUCGUAGCUCGCUUUGCUCGCCAUUCAGUAACAGGGUUCCGUGGCUCUGUUCGGAGAAUUUUCAACUCCAUAAAGACUCUGCGAACUCGUCAUAAGCUUGCUGUGCAAAUGCAAAGCAUGAAGGCCAGAAUAAAGAAUAUUUCUGAAGGGCAUCAGAGAUACCAAUUAGAAUUCGGUGUUACUACUAAGGUAUCUGGGUCUCCUGCUGCUGCUAACAACACAACAUGGCGUCAUAGCCGGGAUGAUGCACUUCUUGUGGAAGAAGCUGAAUUGGUUGGCAUUGACAAGCCCAAACAACAGCUAGUUUCUCAACUGCUCGAGGGAGAUGAAUCCCAACUCAAAGUCGUUUCUGUGGUUGGUAUGGGAGGACUCGGUAAAACUACAUUAGUUAAAAAAGUCCAUGAAGAUUUAGAUGUUAGAAGGC